RNAcentral lists this long non-coding RNA (185395 nucleotides) under Ananas comosus (pineapple). RNAcentral's name for it is "long non-coding RNA (ACOM_LNC033965)". The stretch from base 133022 to 133182 matches the Rfam family "U1 spliceosomal RNA". The record is from RNAcentral. Lineage: Eukaryota; Viridiplantae; Streptophyta; Magnoliopsida; Poales; Bromeliaceae.
CAUAUUAUUUAAUCAUGUUAUUUAAAAUUAUGAAAAAUAUACAAUUAAUUUAUUUAUUUUUAAAUUAAUUUUAAAUAAUACUAUAAAAAAUUUCAACAUCUUUUUAGAAAAAAGAGAGAGAGAAUAUAGGUUAGAAAGAGAGAACAUAAUUAAAGAAAUAGGAAGAGAAAUAGAGUCGAGGUUAGAGAGAAUGAAAGGGUUGAGAUUUUAGAAAAAGAGGGAGAGAAAUAGCUUAGUUUAGAGAGAGAAAAAGAGUUGAAGUUUAGAGAGAAAAAGAUAAGUUUAGAGAGAGAUAUGAGGUUAGGGUGUAAAGAAAAAUAAUACCAACUAGCCAGCGGGUGGGAAGAAAGAAAAAGAUUAGACAUAUUAUAAUUACUCCAAUCCAUUAAUAUAAGGAUAACCACCAUCCCCCAAAGGAAUGAAAUUAGUACUUUGGGAUGCAUCUCAUUCCCAAGUAAAUCUAGUAUUAUCAACUAGAUUACUUAAUACGUUUAGCCAAACACCGUCAUAUUUUUUUAUUCCUAUUGGAUUACUAUGAAUCUUAAAAAGAUAGCGCGAACCAAACGCACCCUAAGAGUUAUGCAUUCUUUACGAAAAAUUCCAGCAACUUAACUCACAACAGAAUGACAUCGAAAUAAAAGUAAAUAACAGAGUAGUAAAUUAAAAGUUCUUAUGAAAGAGAUAACAAAGGAGGAAAAGAGAAUAUGACAAAAGGCAGACGGAAGAUUAGAGCAUUAAAAAGAGGUACCAAUGAACUCUUGGUCCCUUUGACGUUUGUAAAGCUGAUUAUUUAAGGCAUUAAAAGCAUCCGUUAUCAGAACAGCCGGUCGUACAAAAGAUUCUAGGACAGUCCCAUUCAAGUGCCUGAAAAGAAUUACGGUGGCCACAACUUUUGCUCUUAGAAGAAAGUAGUUUCAUAAGGUAUAGCUUUUAUGCAGGUAAAAUAAAGGCAAGUCCAACCGUUCUUUUCGAUGGUUGAAGUCAACUGCAUAUAUGACAUCCUCUCCAUCCUUUGUAAUCUUCCAAACAGUACCUCCCAGAAGAUGGCCAGCCACAUGAGGAGCAAUAACAAUCCCUUCUCCUUUAUCUAUUAAGGCAAAAUGAGUAACACAUCUCAAAUGUAAAGCUGAAUAUUAACAGAUUAGUACAACUUUACUAACCAGAGAGAUGGUAGUUCUGUGAGUAUUUCAAUCUAGUAACAUUUUGGAAAGCAGCAUCUAUAUCAUCCAGACUAAACAAAUCAAAAUCUGAAAUUUGCUGCAGAAUCCAAGCUCAAAAAGGUUAAAGCCCACAAGAUGACAUAAAAGUAAUCAAAAUACAAAACAGAUACAAAAAUUUUGAUGUGCAAUAAUUCAGAACGUAGGCAACUUCUCUAGUAUGAGAGAGAAAAGGAUGAAGUCAACUUUGCAAGAGGUAUAUUUGGAAGUAGUUGAACUCCCAACGAACUAAGUGACAAAGAACUCAACCUCUACCAGAACCUUAGGAAUUUAAUUAAUGGAAAUUUGAAGUUCGACAGAAGAUACUAAUUAUUUAUUUAUAUACAUACUGCUUAAAAUAGUAACUUCUGUAUACUUGAUCAAACUGCCCAUCCGUGGUAUUUCAGUGUAGAUAAGCAGGAUUAACAUGGAAUUUACAGAAAACUUACUAUUUCUGACAGAAAAAGAAACUGCUGUGUAGAUACAUAAGGCUAAUGGAACGUUAUCAGGAGCUUACUCUUCGAGAAAGGUAGUGAUCAUACAUGGUCAAAAGACCAAGUCUAUAGACAGGUUCUGUCGAAUAAACAGGAGCAGAGAGUCCGAGAUGUUUCAUAGCAUACGGCAAGGCGCCUAGGUGAAGAAUGUCAGGAUGUGAUAGCAAAACGGCAUCAACUUUUGAUGCUACCCUGAAAUAAGAUUCAUCAUAAAUAAUAGCAGAAUGUCAAUUAUCUAGCAAAGAUACAGUGGCAUAGUCAACGUAUGAUUGUCAAUUAUCAAGCUGAGAAACACCGACAUAGUGAACAUAUGAUUUGAAUAUGACAAAAUUAGAUGACAUUUACAAUGGAGGAUGUCGAUAUAGAGAUAAUUCACUCGAACACAAUGAUAUAAGGCUUUUACUUCACUUUCUUCUAUCAUUUUUCAAAUUCAAUGUAUCACAACAUGUUAUGCAAGUCCUUGUAACAACUUUCAUCAUGUUAGCUUGAGGUUUAAAACAAUUUUUUAAAACUGAAGUGAUGUAAAGCAGACGUAUUACACAAACUUUCACAUCUCGAAGACAUUAUACAAGAGAGCAAGAAAAUAUAGGGAAAAUAUUAUGGUAUAGGGUAUUAUCGAAGAAAUACUACAAUAUAGAUGCUUUUACUGGCUGCCCACGUUCCAUUCCUGAUGUAUCAUAUCCAAGAAUUGACCACACAAACCAUGAUCAAUUUUAAGAUUCAGCGGCCUUCCUGAAGAUUACUACAUGAGGAUAGCAAUUCAAAUGCGCCCCCUCGGCUCCUCUUGUGUUGAAAUAUGGGAAAUUUCAUUUAGCAAUUGUUAAAAAAUGGGCCUUUACUUUAGAAUCAUAUAUUGAAAGAAUUAUUGAAACAAGUCAAAUUGUGACAUAAAUCUGAUGCAAUUGUAGUGCUUAUCGUACAUAUUUUAUAUUCUUGCUAAGUUCUUGGGACUGUGCACCUCUAGGUCUUCUCCUCCACCAAGGUAUUUAACACCAAUUAUUAGUGUUUCCUAAGAAUGAAGAAUAAUUUGUCUACAGCAUUGCACUUAAUCCUUGGGGAUGCUUAGAUUAUCGAGUUUGUACCAUAGGCUCCAUUCAACAAAAUUCAUGCAUCGAAUAACCAGAAAACACACACAUCUCCAUAAUUUCAACACAAGGGUGUUUCUUAAUCACUUCAACCUAAUUUUGGACGCCGAAACCAUCCAAGAUCGCAUCUCCAAAAAAGGAAUUACCUUUCCCCACGACGGAAAGCGCAUUAUCGAUGCCUAAUUUCCUACCUACGCAGGAAAACACGCAUUUACCUGAUUUUCACCUAGAGAUCAUACGUUCGACACUCUUUCGCCCGGAUUCAUCGCCUACUAGGGUUCUUGAUCGAAAAGGAGAUCGAAUUGAAGGAGUGAAAAGGGGAAAGGAAAGAGGAUGGUACGAAUCGAAUACCUAGAGAGGGGUUGGAGGAGGUUGAGGUCGAAGAGGUCGUUCCACCCACAAUCCAUGAGGAAGUUGAAGCCAUCGAUGGACAAGAGGUAGCACAGCGGGUUCUCGCCGUAUACGCCGCACAGGGGAGUCACCUGGACCGAAGUCCCCAUUGGAGAGAGAGAGAGAGAGAGAGAGAGAGAGAGAGAGAGAGAGGAAUGAGGAGUCGGCGACGAUAUGCGAGGCCGAGAAGGGGAGAGGGAGAGAGCAAAGUGAGGAGUCGGCGCCGAGAAUCGGCGGGAUAUUAUACAGAGAGAGAGAGAGAGAGANNNNNNNNNNUUUUUUUUUUUUUUUUUUUUUUUUGGUAGUGAGCGCGGUCCGAAAUGCUAGUCUUUUCUUUCUACAGGCCCUCCUCCCUCGUUCUCGCGAUAUCUAGGAUUUAUUUACUUUAAAACAAAAUUUAUUGCUUUUUAGUGAAAAGUUAAAAGGAGAGCGCGAUAAAACUAACAAAAAAAAAACAAUUGACUUUUGCAGGGAAGAUGUUGUAGGAUUGUAACCUACUUUGAAUUGUGAAUCAGUUUCCUUCUCCUAAUUAGCAAGGUUUCAAGCCUUAAUUUGUCCGAAAAUUGAUUGUCAAAAUAUAUAUCUAUUAAUGGGCUUUGUUUUCAUUUACUAUCUUGUCUUGUGUAAGAAUUCAUCGAUCUUUUGCGACAGCAAUGAAAUGAGCGGAUUGCAUUUGGCUGCUGACAUUUAUCUCAUUAUUGAUGAGCGUAACAAAAUUUAUCUAAGUGGAAAAUUUUUCUCGACUAAGAGAGAACCUUUAUUUGUGUUUGAAUAUGAAUUUUCCAUUAAAAUCUUUCAAAGUAAUAGAUAUAUUUUAAAAUUUUUUGUCAUAUGUAUUUCGACAGUAUGUUUAGACAAUGUCAAACAUCUUUCAAAUAAAAGCCCCUAGAUUAUUAUUUCCUUAUUGCAAAACACGUCCAAAUUUUAAAUUUUAAAACUUGAAUUGUAGGGCCAUUUUUGACAAAUAACCCUCAUAAAAAUUGGCGUAUGCUGCUUUAUGUGGCGGGCACACGGUAUUCUUUAGUAAAAGGCGAAAGAAUAGUUCGCUCUGUGCCCACCACGCAGCUGCGUGAAUUUCACUUCAUGGGGAAGGGAACAUCAUAUACAACGCCGCUGCUCUCAAGUUCGUAGCGUAGUCAAUGUGGGACUAAUUUUCGGGAUCUGGUAAGAAUCUAGAUUAAAUAUUUCUUUUGUUUCUAACUCACACGUCAAAAUGUCAUCGUGUCUGGGUGGUGUAGUUGGUCAUCACGCUAGUCUCACACACUAGAGGUCCCCGGUUCGAACCCGGGCUCAGACAAACUUCUUUUUAUGUUCCUUUUUUACAACGUUGUUUUAAGUUUUGUUUUAAACAUCUUCUAUUUGGAAACCACUACGUUGUUUUAAGUUCUGUUUCAAACCUCUUCUAUUCAGAAAACCAUAUUCCUUUUCUCUAUCGUCGACCAUAAAUUGUUGCUUCAAUCUCUACCUACCAUAAAAUUGCAUAUUCAAUCUGCAGAAUUCUUGAUCUACAGUUUUUGGAUGGCCAAAAAUAUGCCUUUGCUUUGCUAGCGCUAGUAAAUAUGGUGAUACUCCGCCGAGGAUGUACAAAGGUCAAAAUGGGUAAAAACCCACAAAAACAGAGGAUAUUAAGAGAGAGUUUAUAAGGUACGGGGUUUUUAGAGUGCCCACAGGUAAGAAUCAAAAGAAAAUAGCUCUGCUUUGCGCCUCACUAGUAAAUGGCGCCUUCUUCUUUCUAUUGCUGAAAAAUCAAGCAUGGCCAAUUAAAUUUGAAACAGUUGGAAAAAUUACUCUGAAAGGUUUACUAUUAUGAGGAGACAAAUACAAAAGGCCCCGAAAAAUUAUCAUACCAAUCAUUUUCUCUUUCCCAUGUAAACAGAAACAACAGAGAGUGAAACCAAUGUACAGCAAAGCAGAAUUAACGGCCGCAGCAAUAAACAGUUUGCAUUAGAAGGAUGAUAAGGAGUUACUGUCACAUGUGGAACAUUUGAGAAUACAUUUCUUUGUAACUGCAGUAGCGUAAAUUAAGUAAGACGGAAAAUUUCACAUUUUUGUUCUGCUGACUAAUACAUCUUUUCCCUUGGCUGGGCAGUAGGGUCACACCUGACAAAAAUGAGUAAAAUGUUUGUUACAGUUGGUUGAAGUAAUAGAACAUGUCCAUGUCACUCUUAAGAGUUAAGGCAAGAGACCCACAACCGACAAGUUUUUUCUUCUACGGCGAAAUAAUUGUACCAAAGUACCAUCCUAAUAAGUGCACAUUUAUGUCCAUUGAAAGGCUAUUACCUAUCAACAUUAACUAGACGUAAUUUUCCUACACAGAAGCUCGAAUAUAAAGCUUUUACAAAUGUAGUCCUUUUUUUAACUAAACCGUUGGGAGAACAAUCUUUAAAGUCUAGAAAAUAUCCACCAAGAAAGUAUCUCUCAGGUAAGAAUAAAUUAGUACAACAUUGCAUAUCCAUAUAAGAAGCUCUCAAGCAAAUAUGUUAAAAGUAGAGCUAAACACAAAUGAUACACCUGUUUCCUUUAGUUAAAAUUACCGAAGAAUAUGAGAUUACACCUUAGUUGCACAAGCGGAGUUCAAACCUCCAUUUGACGGGCUUUGUCGUUUGAAAUUGGACUUGAUCCUUCCCAUAGUUCCCUCAAUUCAUUUUUUAGCCAUGAAAGAAACAUAACAGGCCCCAGAGUCGAAGGCACCUGUAGUCAUGGAAUGAGUCAGGAAGCAGGAUUUCCAACUAAAUUGAGAAAGUGAAACACAGUUUGAUUUUGCUUAAUUUAAAGAGCAAACCAUGUAUAAGUAAAAAGGUACUAGAAAAUAAAACAAUAGAUAAAUUGAAAAUAAACAUGUUCUCUUGAAAAAGGAACUACUGUAAUACUACUUCAAUGCCUCCGUGAAAGGCACUUGAAUGCCCAGAAAAAAGAAAAAAAAAAAUCAGAACAAAGUGGUGAAAAAAAUGGUGUAGAAAAAGUUUUGGUAUUAACAUAACACUAGAUAACACUCACCAGAUAAAGAAGAGCAGGUUGAGGAGACUGAUACAAGAUACCGGCAGCUAAUGCAGUUAUCAGGCCAACUGCAUACCCUGAUAGAGCAUACCACACAUACUUUUGCCUUUUUGUGGAACAUUUCUCUGAUGAAAUAGCAAUAUCCCUACUCUUUUGGUGGUCGAAGCAGAACACCAAAGCCAGAAGCAUUCCAGGAAUAGCCUACACGAACAAAUUUGAGGUGGUAAAUAUCAGGCAGCAUUAUUGCCAAGCUGCUUAUGUAAUUGUAAUCAAAUAAAAGCAUAAGUUGGAGCAACACAGUUUAAAAGCCUGAGGAAACAAGAGAGGAUUGAUCCCUCCAAUUGAAGGAGGCAGUUCACUAUUCAAAUGGAACUAGUUUGUUCCCAGUUGGCAGUGCAAUUGUUAUUGCGGGUCUCAUAGUUGCAAUCCACUAUGUGGGAAGAGCUGAUAGAUAAACUUAGAGCCAUGAAAACAUUCAUACGUAACAAUAAUUGAGUAAAACAACAUGUAGUUCAAAUGAUCCAGAUGCCACAUGAUUGCAUUAGUAGUAUGACUGUAGCUCUAAUGAUCUAGCUGUUACAUAAUUGUGUUAGCAAUAUGACUUGAUUACCACUAGACGAUCAGAAAAUAACUUAUUAACUAUAGUAUCUUAUACGAGUUAAGAGUAAGCAAAUUCUUCUUUCUACUCAAUGAGCUGCUCAUUAUUCCAAAUGGCAGAAUCAGUAUUGCAAUUAGAUUUGGGGUAGAUAGUUUUUACAUUCAACCAUUCUAGAGCUAUCUAACUCUCAAAAAGACAUACUGUUAAACCUGAAACAGAAAAUAGUACAUACCAUGUCUCCAAGGCCCAGCAUCAUGUACUCUCCAGCACUGUUUCCAGGAACUAUCCCACCCAACAAAUUUCUGGGGAAAACAAGCUUAACGGGUAGCUCCAACUUCUUCGUUAUAAGCUGCAAGCCAGGGAGGCUCAAGCUGUUCGCCACUGUGUGAACCGGAUUGGACGCCUUCUGAGUUGCAACCGAGACCAUGACAUUUGCUCCGAAGAACCUCUCCGAGAAAAAUACCCAAAAAAUAUCAUAGACGAACAAACAGACAAGGAGCAGCGCGCAGACCUUAACAUUGGGCAAUCUCACAUGGCUAACAAAAGCUAUACAUAUAGAGAUGCCAAGUAAAUUAUUCAGAACCCAAUGCCCAGAGACUAGCCAAGCCACCACAGUUCCUAUACAAAAUAGCAGUAAAAUCCCUUGCGUUCUUGUAAACGACUUGGAACAGCACCUCGACACAAAUGGGUCCAUUAAAUUAAAUUGGGAUUUGAGAUAAGCAACAUAAGGGGAGAAGCAGAAGUAAAGGGCGGAGGCCGAGGCGACGGCCGUGAAAGCAGUAACAAAGUGGGAUACAGAGGAGAAUAGAUAGAACAUCAAGAGAAGGCUACAAGAGCUUGCGAUGGGGAUCAUAAGCGCUUGUGAUCGGUCUAAGGUGAUGGAUGCUUCUGAAAAAUCCAGAUUCCGCUCCAUCUCUUUGCCGUGAUCUAGGGCACGAGAAGCCGAUGCAUAGGUCACAAAAACUGCCGUUGCAAUGAGGGUCAGAGAGGCCGGUUCGAGCAAGUACAUAAGCUUCCAUACUGACUCCAUAAUGGUAAAUUAACACAAAAAAUUCCACCUUUUUCUCUGAUUUCUCUAUAAAAAAAAAAAAAUCAGCAGAUUCAAAGGAGCCUCUUCAGUUAGUGUUUCGCUAUAAGAAGCUUUCGAUAGUAGCUUGCAUUCCUACGAACAGAAAAAACGCCCUAGAAGACGAUCUCCCCAAAUAAAUGUCUCUGCGAGCAAAUAGCACUAUGAGUAAAAGAUCGAGAGGUCCAAGACCAAAACUUUUUAACUAGCUCACAAAAUAAUCCCCUAUUAAGGGGUAAAAUACAAUCAAUUGCACUUUUCGUAGAACUCCAUGUAAGUAUCCAUCAAAUGAAUCUACCGAAAAACUCAAUUUUGUGCUAAAGCGACAGCUUUUACAAAAAAUUAAUGCCCUAAGGGCGAUGAGAACCCAAAUCUAAACUAUCUGAGUGGGAAAAAGAAGGAUCUGAACAAAUAUCUACCUCUAAAUCUGCGAAUCGACGAUUUCUCCCUGCCUUCGCCAGCAUAAUAAUAAAAAACUCAACCUGAUUCGCGGAAUCGAGGAGGAAUCGUGGGUUCGGGAUUGGGGUUUGGGAUGGAGUAAUAGAGCACGAGUGGAGUCAACGAAGGAUCCCUCUCCCCCGCUCCUUGCUCUAAGAGGAGGAGGAGAAUAGAGAGAGAGAGAGGAGAGAGGAGAGAGGAGAGAGGAGAGAGAGGGUACGACGACGACGACCACCUAGUAGAGCACGAUUUGACCUAAGAUUUGAGGAGGAGAGACCUUCGAUUUGAGAGAAAGAGCGACGGGUUAGGGAGUGAUAUUCCCACCACUAUAAUCACGAUUAUUUUAUUUGAUGUAACCGUGAUAUGUCACGGUCACGGGGAACAUUAGCUCCAAUCCUAGGUUAGGUUUAUUCUUUGUUCUUGCAUUAAUACUCAAGGCAACUUAAAUUUAAUACUUAAUUCCUUUUAAGUAAAAUUAAUAUUUUACAAAUAUUUAGAUGGUGGGACGAGUGUAAUAAUAUAAUACAAAUGAAACUAUGAGGCACUUAUACAAUAAUAGAAACACCUAUGUACAAAUCAUUAUUUUAGGCUAUUGGAUUUGCCCUAAAAAUUAUUUUGCAAUAUUUUUAGACUCUGUUCAAAAUUAUUAUCUGGUUUGAAUUUCUUAAGGCAAAUUCUUGCUAAGAUUUGAGAUACUACACAUCUUUUCUAUUAUUUAAUAAGAAUUUAUAUAUAAAUAGUCUCACAUCGCAUGACAAAUAAGAGAAUAAAAGGUUGAUAUAUUAACUAGUGGAAUUAAACUUAAUCGGCUUGAGUCUUUAAAUUGAAUAGAUUUUAUUAGAUAUAUCAUAUUCUUAGAUUUUUAUUAAGUGAUAUCAAAAUCAGCUUAAAUUUUUAGACUGAAUGAAUUUUAUUAAAUACAUUGUAUCUUUAGGCUCAUGUAGGUGUGGGCUAAAUUCAAAACUCGCUAACAUUGCUUUCUAAAUAGAGAUAGGAUUUGCGGGUUGUGCCAAUUCACGAUUUCCAAGGAAAAAUAUAUAAAAUUUUCACAAAAGUUUGAGCACUUAAUUUGUGGUUUAAUUUGUAGUGUAGCGGCUAUUGCCCAGCUCUUUGCUUUGUUUUCAUUUUAGCAACCUAAUAAGCCGAGGAGGUGGAGCCACAGAGAAAAGAAGCAAAAGAGAGCACAAAAGAUGGAGUACAUUGGUAAUAAACUUCAUAAUAUGAUAGUACCAAAAUUAAAAAAAGUUUAUGUUUUAGGGGGAAAAAAAAAAACCUAACUCGUGAGAAAUUGAGAUGCAAUAAAGAACAGCGCACAAAAUGCACAGUAACAUAACUCUUCAAUCGUCUACAAAAUGCUGUUAACACUUAUAAACCUACGCCGAUCCGAUCCGGGGGACGCAUAAGAUCAAACAUCUGAUAGCUCAGUGGGGUGCUCCUGACCCGUAGAGCUGUAGAUAGACCUCGUAGUUAGUAUAGGAGAAUCAGCCGUAGUUUGCAAACAACUUCCACUAUCCUGUUUUUUCGUUUUUUGUCUCUGUCUUCUUUGAGGCCUUGAUGUCUCACCCAUGUUGCUUAUUUCAUCUACUUAUUGAAUGAAGCGGGUAGCAUGCUAUCUUUUUCUCAAAAAAAAAAAAAAAAAAAACACUUAUAAACCUACAACUAUAUGACUUAUUAGACUAAUAAUGAUGAGGAUCAAUGAUUAACCACGCGAGCUAAUCAGUUCAUCUUUUCAAUGCUUACAACAAGCUGCAUUAUUGCGGCAUGUUCAAUUUUAAUUAUAUUCACUAAUAACUAAUAAAUUUUAACAAGCAAUUGAAAUAGCAAACUUUUGGUUGGUAGACAUAUUUUUAAAACAUUAGGGUGGGAAUCAGAGUCAUAAAGCACAAAGUCUUAUUAUAUCACUAGCCUUUAGACAUCAGUAAGGCUAGUAUUUCAAUAAUAAUUAAUAAGUGCACAACACUGGACCUGCUUUAGAAGUUACUCAUGUUACCUACAGUUCCAGGUCAUUAUAGGUGUUCUACUGGGUAAAUAUCUAUAGCUAGGGACCAUCUAACCACCCUUUAAAACACUGGAAAGAUGCAUGGUGACAUUUAAAUUUCGUCCUCUCCGUAAUUAAAUGUGAUAAUCUGAUGAUUAAAAGAUAUAAAAAAAAAUAGAAAAAACGCGAACAACAUCAUCAGGAAGCUUAACAUUAUUGGGGAGCUUCACACUUAAGUUUUUUUUUUUUUUUUUUUUUUUUCGCCUGAUGCAAUACAUAGUAGACUUACGGCUUUUGCUUUCACCAAUGAAAGCUCACACUCAGGUAGAAAUGUAGCAUUUUCCGAGUAAAAACUCUAAUUCUUUGUCAGAAAUAUUAAAUUUCAUCUUUAAAUGAGUUACUGUAUGCAGGUUAUCUUCUACUACCUAGUUCUGUGAAGCUUGUGUGUACAAUCUAUAAAUUAUUUAUGUAUUGCCUUCUUCAUUAGAAAUUUCAUUUCAUCAUAUUAUAGUGAGAGGAACCAAAAAAACGAAAAAAAAAAAAGAAAGAAAGACUGAAAAUCAAACCAUGUGAAUUGUACAGAAAAUUCCUAGAAGGUGCUUUCCAAUCAAUAUUAUUUAUCAUCUAAACUGAAGCAUAGGAGCAAUUAAUUAUUACAAGAGCAGAGAGAUCUCUAAUGUCAAAAUAUAAAACAAAAUUUUCCUUUUGCAAAUUACAUGAAAUUUUCACUUCAUGAGGAAGUCUCAGAAGAAGAAGAAGAAGAAGAAGAAGAAGAAGAAGAAGACUUUUUUAAAGAGCAGGAUGAUCUGAAGGCUUCGAUUUGUGCCUGACAUUUUACAUAGUCUCCUUUGUUUUCCUCCAAGCAUUUUCUAAGUGCUUCUACAUCACAUGGUGAUAGUUUUUUCACACCAUUUGUGGGUUUCUCAGCAUUCAUAUCCUUCACCAAAUCAAUCUGCUGAAAACAUAUGAAAAAUAUAGAUGUAUGUUGUUAUACAUAAUUUCAUGGGUUUCGAAGUUCACAAAAUAAAUGGUGAUUUUUUUGUUUUCUGGUACAAAUUAGGGCAAAAAUCCUCUACAUCUAAAGACUAAUUAUCCCUAUCAAAAAUAAUGUAGAAAUGCGAUGCAUUUGAUUCAUCAGAAAUGGGAUUGAUAAACAAAAGCUAUCAUUGCUUGAAAUUAGAUAAAUUAGGGAAAGAAAAAAAAAUUGUAACAAAAAAAAUCGUAUCUUCGGAAUCUGAAUUUAUAAAAGAAAAGGAACCCUAAUUAAACGAAUACAAAAUUAUGAAUCGAAUUAGAACAUAAAAAAUUAACCAAAUAGCAAAAUAAAAAAGAGAAAAAAAAAAAGGAAGAAGAGAUGCAAAUACCUAUUUCUCGUUCCUACGUAAAAAACCCUAAUUUGAGCUUCGCUUCGUUUUGGUGAUCGAUCCUUUCUUUUUUGAGAAAAAAAGGGAACAUGUAUCUUUUUACAAAAUGAUCCCUGCACUUUGUAUAUUUGCCUACUAUGGACGAAGGAGACUUUUUGGUAAAUUCGGUUUUGGUGUAUAGUGUAUACAAUGAUAUUGCACUUGUAUCCCUCAAGAUGUGUAUAUUUACAUAUGUAUCUCUAAAAGUUUGUAUUAAGAAAAUAAUUUCAUUUAAUCUGUAAAAAAAAACUUAAAUAUUUUAACCUUUUCCUUUAUCUUUUAAAUAUCUGACAAAAGGUUAUUUAGAUAAAUAAUAUAUAAAUCUUAGUAAUCAUUAAACAGUGAAAAGUUUUAAGGAGCAUACACAAUAUUAUUAACAUUAGGAAAAGAUAACUCGGCAACCGUUAAUAUCUGUAAGGAUAUAUACGCAAAUUCUCCAAUAAACAAAGACAAAUAACGAAUAGAAAUUGGAUUUUCCCAUUAGAAACCCUUCUACCCCAAUACGUGUAGGAGAAGCCUCACUGCCGAUAAUUAGGUACUCUGUUCGUGGGUUUGGAGAAUUAUGGUUAGGGUUUCUCUUUUAUCUUUUCUCUCUAGUUGAUUUUACGGCCCUAAUUUUUCGGAUUCCAAAUCUCCAGGGUUUUGAUCUCGUCGUUGUUUGAUCGUGAUCUCGAAUACCCGAACAAUGCCCGCGGAAUCGAGCGUGAAAGCGCCUCCGAAGGUGGUGAAGCUCGAUAGAGCCUUGAAGCUCGUAAGAGUCACUUUUUGCUCCACUUGUGAUUUUGAUUUUUAUGUUUUGCUACUGUAGAAGUUGUUCUUUGCGUGCUUCUGUGGAAGGGAGAGACGGUGUAAUUAGAUACUGUUAAUCUUUCUUUCUUUUUUUUUUCCUUUGGAGCAUUACAGAUUUGUAAUUUCUGAGCUUUUGCAUUGUCUCUUUGAGCACCUAAGGUGUUUGACACAAUGCUUUCACAGCGAUUGAGUUUAAACUUUACAGUGGAAGCAUGUUUUCGUAAGUCGCACUAAGGGUCUAUUUUGCCAUGUUGUAGGGUGUACUAUAGUUAUAUAAUAUUUGCUUGAGGCAUGAUAUAAAAAUUGUUUCAACAAUUUUUUUGCAGCGAGAAGAGCUCUAAAUUAAAACUUCUAUUUUAAGCCCCAAAAUUUUACUACUCUUUCCUGUUUCAGCAAGAAUUUCACAUUUUCUGUUAUAGUUGAAAAUAGUUGUGAAUGCCUUUGCAAGAGAAUUUUACUGAUUUAUCUCCAUGCGAGUACUCAUCGGAAUUAUAAUUUUUCAGGCUGAAUCAUGGGUGAGCAAGAUGAGCCCAUCGGCACCGGAUGAACCAGAGGAACCCAGAGUAGAGGCUCGCCAUCCGAGGUUUCUAUACUUACUAGAUAUUUUUCUUUGACAUGUUCAAAUUUUGUGUAUUAUUAUGUUCUUGUUGGACUUGCAAAAGCUGUUUUGUUAAUGUAUUCGAAGGUUGGGUCUAGGAGCCAAAGCGCCACUGAAUGUAAAAGCUGCAGCUUUGACUGAUCCAGUCGAGAGGAAAUUGUUUCAGAAGGUGAAGGCAAAGAGGAGAAAAUCCUCUCCAGAUACAAGCAAAACAAGCCAUGCUGAAGAGAAUGAGGCUAGCAAUGAUGAAACAGAUGAACCUGAAAGCAGAACAAGUGCUUUCGUGAAAAAGAGGGCGGCGCCUGUGAGUUCCUCUUCACUAGUUAAGAAGAGCAAAUGAGUUUUUGUUACUCUGUUUAGUAGAAUCUCUGUUGUACUAUAUUUCUGUUAGCAUUAAAUUAAGAAUUAUAUUGCUUUCAAGUGUUUUCUUUGAUUUUUCUCCUGCCAUUGAUAAAUACUGUCAUUUCACUUUUUGCUGUUGAGGGUAACACUGAUCCGUCAGCAUUGCUAAACUUUGAUGUGAAAAUGUUUUUCCAAUUAUCGUAUCUAAUACGCAAUUUCAACAUUUUGAUUACCGGAAAAGAUUAAGACUGCAUAAACUCGUGCUCAAGCAACUUAAUUAUCGCCAUCAUCAUAGCAGUGAUACAAGAGAAACAUAGACACAAAUACAAAAAGGAACAUAAAUGUAGGGCUGCGAAAGAACCUUCAGAUUCUGAUACGCAAAAGAGCCUCCAUUUCAGGCAGCCUUUUCCCGCUCCUCAAAGAAGCACUUCUUGUGGCAGCAGACUGGGUGAUCCUAAAGCCCCGCCACGGCCAGCAGAUGUGCCUCACUCUUCGACGGCCACUGCCGCUUCCCUCCUUUCUGCCACGGUCUGUUUCUUCAUCCAACUGCUUCGUUAGCUCUUCGAUCCGAUCCUGCAACCCUGCAGACCGGCUGUCGGCCAGCCGGAGGCAGGUUUCGGCUGCGGCUUGCGCUGCCAUUGCAGUGGCAGCGAGCUUCUCCUUCAGCUGCAGCUUGUUGUUUGCCAUGUCCAGUCCUUCCCUUGUCCUUUUGAGCUCUUCUCUCAACAAAGCAACCUACAAAAACACAAAAGAACCAUUUCAUUUAGUAAUUAUUAUUCAGAUUAAGAUCCCAGGCGAAAUGUUGGCUUCAAUUUUUUACAAACUGUUGUUUUACUGCAAGAAGCCUUUCCAUUUCUAUGAAAACUUAAAUAACCAAGGAGUUGAAGACCAACUUCCAGUAUCAAUAUUACCUAAACGACGGUCGGAUGCCUAAAUAAAAUUCAGUUGAAUAGUUCAACAAAUUGGUAAUUUAGCAAUAGGGAUCCCAUCUCAGUUGAAUAACUCAGUAGGUAAAAUCCUAGGAGUACCUCUUCAUCGCGUUCCCUGAUCGCAGCUUUUCCGGCUUCUACUUCCAGCUCGCAUGCCACCUUCCAUCUCGCAACCUCCUCUCCUGCUGCUGCAAUUUCCACCUUGUGCUCUUCAACCUUUCAAGUGGUUAAAAAAGAAUUCAAGCAUUUAUCCAUAUUGUGAUUCGCAAAUGUUAAUAAAAAAUUAUUACACUGUGAGUCAGCAGAUUUUCUCUUUCUUCCAAAUCUGUAAUGUAUUGUUCAUACUCAGUUAUCUUUUGAGCCUGCCCUACUGAAAGAGCUUGCAAAUGCUCGCAAUCUGAUCUGGAGAAUGGCAUACAAUCAGACCAGUGUUAGCAGACAGAGAAAUUUUUUUUUUCUGAAAGAAAGGAAAAGAGAGAAGUUAGUUUCAAACAAUAUUAUAAAAACUGAAUUAUGUGCUUAUGCUAACUGGUGCAUGUGCAUAUAUGACAGAUCAAAACUAUCAGAAAGUAAUCUUCAGGAUGAGAAGAGACUACAUGAUAUCAUGAUAACAUUAGGAGUUUGCGCUGCAAAAAUCAUUGAAUGUUUUACCUGGACUCUUCCAAAGCUCGUCUUAGAUCGCUGAUUUCAAGCCGUAGAUUCUUCAUUAUCUUUUCAACUGUCGAAGACUAAUUAACAGAAAUUCCAGCAAAAGAGCUAAUUGGUUAAAGAUAAACCUAAAAUGUAUGAUGUUAUUAUUUAACAUGGUAGAAAGAAACUAGACAUCCAUUCACAAAAGAACUAAACGAAACUAUAAUGGUAUAAAUUCUGAAGAGUUACAUCCAUGAUGCAUAACAUAAAUAAAACUUCCUUCUUACUGAAAGUGGCAUAUCCACAGUUCACAUACAUUGAAAAUGUUUAAACAAGUGUUUUUUUUCAUCAUACUAGUAUAACAUUAGAGCAAAAGAAAGGAGACAAGGAAAACUCGAACAUAUCAUAUGGUUACAAAUUUUCAAUUGAGACAUACACUGCAUGAUUUUAGUUCUCAUAGGAAAGCUUUGUUAAUUGAGCAGAUGAGAUGCAGAGUUUAGAUGAAUAAAGUGUUUUACCAGAGUACCAACGUCCUCUUCGCCUUCACUCGCAUCUGAUUUGGUGCUCGCAUUAUCAGGAUGCGACUCCCCGCCCAUCACCCCCAUAAAGUACCCGAACCCCACCUUCUGCAACCCCUUCUCAGCUAUUUGCAGAAUCGCGCCCUUUCUCUGCUCCCCGCUUUCCUUCAACCUACUGAGACUUCGCUCCACCGCCUCCUUUUCCUUAACAGAUACUCUUAGCAGGUUACUGAUAUCUCUGUUCUCUUCCGUCAAGUUUCGAACGGUGUCCUCCAAUUCCUUUUUCACUUUCCGUUUCAUCUCAUCGCACUCGAUAAUUCUCGAUUCGACUUCCAUUCCAAGCUCCCAAGUAGAGUGGAUCUCCAACACCAAAAUCUCUAAUUCAUCGUCCAAAUCGGAUUUGAUCUCUCGACUCCUAUCAAAUUUGUCCUCACAAACCCUAUCGCCAAUCCUCUCCAAGAUCUCCCGGACUGAUCGGACCGAGCUGAGAGCCCCUGACAAAACCCGAUCUCGCUUCUUCUGUUCCUCAAUCAGGUUGGAAACCCCUACGCUAGAUAUCUCAAUCUCACUCUCGAGAUCCCUUCUCUUCUUCGCUCGCGCCUCCUCCUGCUCCUUGGGAGCAACCUCAACCUCGAGGAGCUUAAUCUGGAGCUCGUCCCGUUCCCUCGACGCCUCCUCCAGCGCUCGAGAGAUAUCGCGACUGCUCGCGCGGAGAUCACCUAGGGUUUCCUCCGUCGCCAUAGAUCUGGACUGGAGCUCGGUGAGGAGGGUAUCGUCAGAGAGAUUAGGGUUAGUGUUCUUCCCGAUCGGAGAGAGAUCGGGAGCUCGAUCCGGGGAUGGAAUCGCCAUGGUUUCAAGGAUCCAAGCGGUAAAAGGAGAUUAGUGUUUUCGGGGGCCAUUAGCGAAAGCGGAGGAGGAAAUCGUGGAUUUUUGGGGGAGAGGAGAAGACAACUACCAGUCAGAGCAGAUGAGGAGGCGAGCGGAAGCUGAAGCCGAAGCCAUGUUUUUGGCGGGAAGAGUAGGUGAUAUGAGUGGCAUAGUGGGCCCCUCUGGGCGGUGGGUCCUUGCUCGGACCGGGUCCACCACGUCAGCAUAGAAGCGGCUGCGAUUUGGAUGUGGUCCGUUACUCCAAAUUGAGAUCAUAUAGAUUUACAAUAUUUUGAAAAACUUAUUGCCUAAUAAUAAAUAAUAAAUAUAUCAAGUAAUACAAAAAAUCAAUUUGCUUAAAUAAAGAUGAAUAGGAUAUUCAUAAGCAAAUUUGAUGGAAAAAAUGUUGUGCAUUGGAUCCGCUAUCUUCGUCCCUUAAUGUUGUGGAAUUAAUAUCGGUACCUUCUUUGAGACGAAAUUACCGCGCUACGAGCUAACAAAGCCCUGCCGAUGCUGUAAGGGUGUGUUUGAGUGCUUCUCCUCCACUGCGUUUUCGCGUGGGGAGUACAAAGAUAUACACGGAAACAAGUGCACCACAUGGGUUUGUUCUCUCCAACCCAUUAAGUUAUUAGUUGCUGUUUGGCACAGUCCCAUUAGUGUAAGUGUACUCACUACAACAACUUAAUUAAAAAACUAUAUAAAUAUCUUUAAGUGCUUAGCAAUUUUCGAACAAAUAACGAUAAGAUCUACGAUUUCUUAUUACUGUCUCAAACCAUUAGAAGAGAAAAACCAACAACUCAGGCGUUAAUAAUGCCAAUAACAACCAAUAACGCAAGAGUAUUUUUAUUUAUUUGUUAUUUGUUUAUUUUAUUUUAUGUUUUCUUAUUUAAGAUUUCCCACGCUCUCGACUUUUGCCGGCAAUUAAUGGGGUCCGCCUGCCUCCACUCCAACACUCCGCCGGGCGACGGCUGCUGAUUCCUCCGCGCCAAAAAACCUCUCUCUCUCUCUCUCUCUCUCUCUCUCUCUCUCCCCACCAUCGAAGCUCCCCCUCCCCCUCUUCCCCAAGUACAAGUACAACCCCCUCCUCUCCUCUUUGUUUUCCACAUGGUGGUGGUGGUGGUGGUACUGUGGCAGUAGUAAUACUAGUACUCUUCCUCUCCUCUCCUCUCCCCCUUUCUCUAUAACCUUAUUAAGCGCGCGCUCUCUCUCUCUCUCUCUCUCUCUCUCACACACACACACACACAUACACACAUACACACAUACUACCAUUAUUAUUCCCUUCUCAUUCCCCGUCUACACAGCUCACCACUUCACAACACUACCAUGGCUCUCCACCUCUUCUCCUCCCUCCUACCUCCCCACAAGCCCCUACUCUCCUCUCCUCGCCACCACCCGCUUUUGCUCCCCCACGUCUCCUCCUCCUCCUCCUCUCACCACACCGCGGGGGAGAGAGCCCUUGUGUUGGAGCAACCCCCUUUUGAACUCGAACCAAUCCCCAAAACCGCUUCUUUCAAUGAGGAGCCGCCCAAAGAUCGCCCUUUUGGUGUUCCUCGGGGCCGAAUCGAAGAGCCCGAGUUCCGGAUGACCCUAUCCGAGCUCGUAAAUGCCGCCGGGAUUCGGCGGCCCGUGGCAGUUUACGGCGAUCCGCAUGUUUCGGUUACCGGCGUUCAGAAUGACUCGAGGAAGGUGAUUCCCGGAGACCUUUUUGUUUGCUGUGUUGGGUGUAAAACUGAUGGGCAUCUUUACAUCACGGAUGCCGUCCGAAAGGGAGCUGUCGCGGUGCUCUCCUCAAAGGAGGUUCAUUUAGAUUUGAUGCCACAUUGUGGGGCUCUUGUCGUAGUGCAGAGCACUAACUCUGUUCUCCCUGUAAUUGCCGCCGCGUUUUAUAAGAACCCGUCAAGGAAAAUGUCGGUGGUUGGGAUCACCGGAACGAACGGCAAAACGACUACGUCGCACUUGGCGAGGGCAAUUUAUGAAGCUAUGGGGCUGAGGACAGGAAUGCUGGGGACCGUAGGAUACUAUAUUAACGGAAACACGCAGUUAGAAGAAGCCCAAAAUACGACCCCUGAUGCAGUUGCGGUUCAGAAAUUGAUGGCUAAAAUGGUGCACAAUGGGGCUAAAGCAGUGGUAAUGGAGGCUUCUUCUCACGGGCUCGCACUCGGAAGGUGCGACGAAGUAGAUUUCGAUGUCGCAGUGUUCACGAAUCUAACAAGAGACCACUUCGAUUUCCAUAGAACUGAACAGGAGUAUAGGAAAAGCAAAGCCAAACUUUUCUCAAAGAUGGUUGAUCCUCAACGGCAUGUUAAAAUUGUAAACAUUGAUGACCCGAAUGCAAAAUUUUUCAUAGCUCAGGGGAACAGAGGAGUACCUGUUUUGACCUUUGCGGUAGAGAAUAAGAAUGCAGAUAUUUACCCCCUUAAGUUUGAGCUUUCGUUGACGACGACAAAGGUUUUGAUCAAAACACCAAAUGACGUACUACAAAUCUCUUCGCGGUUGAUCGGGAGGCACAAUGUUUAUAAUAUCCUUGCAGCAGCAGCUGUGGGUAUUGCUGUCGGUGCCUCAGGUGAGGAGAUUGCUAGAGGAAUCGAAGGAGUCGAUGGUGUUUCGGGUAGGUUUGAAUCGAUAGACGUGGGCCGUCAACCUUUUGGAGUUAUAGUUGAUUUCGCACACACUCCAGAUGCUUUGUCUAAAUUACUGGAUACCGUUAGAGAGCUAGGUGCAAGGAGAAUCAUCACAGGUAUGCUGCUUUUACUCUUAAGCCUGUUUGAAGAAUGGAUUAGUUAGUCUAUCAGAAAAGAAUGGAUUAGUUAUAGCUGAAGUUUGAUUUUGUUCUCUGAUGCACCAUAUUUAGUCGUCGGUUGUGCCGGCGAAAGUGACAAAGGGAAGCGACCAAUUAUGACAGAACUUGCUGUCGACAAAAGCGAAGUCGUCAUUUUGACAUCAGACAACCCGAAAACCGAGAAUCCAUGUAUGAAUCCUGAAUAUAUAUAUACUUUCCAAUUUAAUCAAAGUUCUUUCAGAUUGAACGAGCACAAGUUAUACUGUCGAGUAACUAAGUAGGGAUCUUUUGGAUGUCAAUUUCUCAAUACAUUUUAACAGUGAACAUCUUGGAUGAUAUGUUGGCCGGUGUCGGAUGGACCAUGCAUGACUAUGUACAUUACUGUAAGAAUGAUUACUACCCGCCUCUUCCGAACGGCCAUAGACUUUUUGUUCAUGACAACAGAAGAGUAGCAGUGCGGGCUGCUAUAGCUAUGGCAGAGAAAGGGGAUAUAGUUGUAAGUUGUUCUUUUUCUUUGUUUAAUCUUCAGCCAAUCUUAGGUGCGAGUUUCUUUUGCAUAGCUGUGUCCUUAUGUGUAUAGAUUACGGUGGAAAUGCAUGUUGAAGAGCAUGCUUAGGUGCCCUUUUUGAAAUCAACUUAAUCUCCUGGGUUUCCACUAUAUAUUUCUUUUAUUGAUCACAUUAAUUUAAACUUGGACAAUUGGCCAAUGAAAGAAUUUUCCGUGGCGAUAGCAUUUUUCUCUUACGAAUGCCAUCCCUUCCUUAUUAAGAUGCAUCUGAUCUUUAUUUAAUUUUGUUUGAGCCGAGCAAGUUGUAUAAUUUUUAAUUGUUUUGAGUGAUCCUUUUCAGUUUCUUAACAGACAUUAUCAAGAAAUAACUGAAAUUUUUCGCGUGGCAAUGCAAUUUUGCUCUCUGACAUGGGUCUCAUAUUGCAGGUUGUGGCAGGCAGAGGGCACGAAGACUAUCAAUUACAAGGUCAUAAGAAGAUACAUCUUGAUGACAGGGAAGAAUGUAGGGAAGCUUUGCAUUAUAUCAACAAGUUGCAUCGGGCAGGGUUGGGAAAAAGAAUUCCGACGGUGGUAAGUUAAAAAGUGGUGAAUUUACUGCAAUUUUGCCAUGCUCCUGCAAUUUACCUCACAUUACCAAGAUGUUUUCUUAAAGAGGCUUUAUCCUGUUAGUCAAUUUGUACAUCUUGUUUGCAUCAUUGGAAUAUCAUGUUACCUCUAGUAUUCUCAGAAUUCUGUUCUGUUUCUUCUUAUUCUCCUGAAUAGAGAGCCUUUGUACAUAAUGCCCCUAUCAGUUCAUGGCAAUUUCCUUCUUGCUUUCUAGCCGACUACCGGCCGGAUAUCAGAUAAUCUACUGCUAGGAAAAGUCUCAGUUUCCGAGAUUAGAAUGUUUUGUGGUUAAAUUCGUUAGACGAAGCAUAUCUUAAAAGCCAAUUCCCUUUUGAAGUAGAGGAUACAUAAACAUUUUAUGUUAGUUUGCCUUUCUGUAUUUAUUUGCUUGCUGAUUAAAUUCGCAAAUGUACUUUAAUCUCUAAUUAUCGACUACUCUAAGCUUGUCAAUACUGGUCGUCAAACAAAGACCAGUUAAAGAAAGCACUCACUCAUCUUUACAUAGAUUGCCGAUGAGAUCAUUGAGUUCUCCUUAGCUACUUGAAGUUGCUUGUACUAUGUUAAUAAUACUAACAACUUCUGAACAGAACUUUGUCUCUCUGUUUCACUAUUUCUCCACAGGUCAUCAGAGAGCCUCUUUUGUCCUUCCAUGAAGAUGUCGAGGCUCGGCCUGUAACACCGAAGCGAGACGAGUCAUUUUCUGCUUCGCCUGUUCAUUGAUUGCACCCUCAGUGUCAGCAGUUUCUCAUGUUUGUCUUGUCAACGACAUUUCUGCCGGUAAGCAUGAAUUGUACAAGUAAUGUUUAAGUCCUAUAUUUGUUUACAGAAAAAAUAAUUUAUUUUAAUGUUAAUGUGCAGAAAAGUCACUUGUAAAUUAGUGAGAAGUGCCUUUUCGUUUAAUUUCCAACAUUUAAUGUGGAUUUUUUAUUUGCUUGCACCACUGAAUAAUCGACAAUCCUAGGCUCUUAUGUUUAUUUUUGUUAUUUUCAAAUGAAUAGGCAAUCAAACAUGAGUUCUCUCUUUUUCCUUCAGUUUCCCCCCUCUUUUAAGUUCUGAAGCUUAUCUUAGCCGUAUAUAUUCUGCUAAACCUGAGGUCCAGAAAUAUUUUGAUCUUCUAUGUAGGUACUUGAAUUCUGCUAAAAGAAAAAUAUAUACACAUGCCCGUACCUCUUUUAUUUUCGUUUUUUUUUAAUGUUAAACAUUCCAAGCAAAGACUAACCACCACUGUUUAUAGCAGUUGAUUGUUAUCCUCCGGCUUCUCAGGUUAGAUCUAGCACCCAAGCAAUUUCAAGGCAUUGAAAUGUAUUUUAAAACUCCUGUUUGGCCCAACUAAAGUUGCUCAAAGGUGGCCUGAACUGGCUUAAAUGGGCUGUAAAUGGGCUGGACUGUGGCCCAGUCACACUAGUAGAACUAUCCAUGUUUGGUUCAAAAAGACAAAAAUCUAGGCAGGUGGAAGGAUACUCUUUUGGCUAUUACUAUUAUUAUUAUAUCCCUUAUUUACAAAAUUUGUCCUUUUUUCAAUUAUUUCAAACAAAAUAAUUGAAAUUUUCUUAAAUUAUUGAAAAAAAAUAAAAGAAAAGAUGUUGUCGGUGGUUCUCUUCUUGGGAGAACGAGACGAGGCCUGUGGCCAACGCAUUAGCAAUAAUCUCAAUAAUAAUCUCUAGCCUCUAGGCAAAGACACGAACGCCUUGUAAAGCGGAAAAAAAAAGGGCCACUUAUUUGAACACUCAGAUUCAAAAAACAAAACAAUAAAUCAUCUAACUUUACAAUUAUUUUGAUCAAUUAUUUUUUUUUAUGAAUUAUAGUUAAUUUGAUUCAAAAAAAAUUUAAAUGAUUGGUUGAAGUAAUCACUAAAUUAUGUCUUUACCUUAGGGUUUAUUGUGUGUUGAAAACUAUCCACUGCUACUGAACCAAAUUAAAAUGAUAUAUAUAUAUAUAUAUAUAUAUAUGUAUAUAUAUAUAUAUAUAUAUAUCUUCGUUUUUCAAACAAAUCACAAAAAGAUUAUAUUGUAACUGAAUUGAAUUGAGUUUCUAUGAAUUUAAAAGCACCAAAUCAUUGGCACUUAUAGAUUUUCGAUUUUUGAAUGAAGAUUUGUAGGAUUAAAAUAAUAGAACUCUCCUAGGGUUGAGUGAAUGAUUGCUAGAAUAGCAUAAUCUAAGAGAUAAAAUUGGUCAAAAAGAUAUAUUUAGUGGUGAAAAAAUUACAAGCACCAAAUACUUUUAAAAGCACUAUAGCCAAACUCAACUGAAUUAUUGUAUUCUCUAACAUUUAACAUAAUUUAACUAGUGUGCUUUUCCUUCCUUUAUUUGACUUCUAAUUUAGACUCUAUAAAUAUGUCAAACUCUCCUUGUUGGUCUCAAACACCUCCUCCAUGGCUCCUCUUCCUCACUCUCUCAAUCUCUCUUUCUCACUUCCACCUCAAAUUCUCUUCUCCUCCUCCCCUCCAUCACUCCCCCUCACCCUCAAUUCCCACUCCAAAUCCCACCUCAAUUUCUCCAAACCCUACUCCCUAUUCCCCAAACCCCAACACCACCACAAAAAACCAACCAAAAUGCUCCUCAAAUCCAUACCCAACACAAAACCAAUCUCUAUCUCUGACACCCCCCACUCCAUGACCCUUUCCGAGCUCCUAAGCAAAGCCAACGCUACUCCUAUCUCAAUUCAUGGAGAUACACAGGUACCAAUCACAGGGAUUCAACACAAUUCUAAGGAGAUUAGCCCUGGCGAUCUAUUUGUUUGUUGUUUUGGGUCGAAAACCGACGGCCAUUUGUAUAUUACUGAAGCUUGUGAGAAAGGAGCUUCAGCUGUUGUGGUUACUGAGGUAGUUAAUGUUGAAGAGGAGGCCUUACAUUGUUGUAGAGCCCUUGUAAUAGUGGAGGACACCAAUUCGAUCCUCCCUCGCCUUGCCGCCUCCUUCUUCGGCCACCCGUCGAAGCGGCUCUCCGUCGUCGGGAUCACCGGCACCAACGGUAAAACCACGACGACCCAUCUGGUCAAAUCGGUGUUCGAAGCAAUGGGAUCGAAAUCGGGGAUGUUGGGAACACUUGGUUACUGUAUUGAUGAAGAUAACAAGUUGGAAGCAGUUAACACAACACCUGAUGCCUUGACCAUUCAGAGACUGAUGGCGGAAAUGGCGCGGAACAGGGCCGAUGCCAUCGUGAUGGAGGCUUCGUCGCAUGGGCUGGAAUUGGGGAGGUGCGACGAGAUUGACUUCGACGUCGCGGUGUUCACCAACCUUACACGAGACCACUUAGAUUUCCAUGUAACCGAAGAGCGGUACAGAGAGAGCAAGCUCAAGCUGUUCGACAAAAUGCUCGAUCCAGAUAAGCAUAGAAAAGUUGUGAACAUUGAUGAUCCAAAUGCGUCGUAUUUUAUCGCGCGGGGUAAUGCAGACGUACCUCUUGUGACCUUUGGAAUGGAUAGCAAAAAUUGCGACGUGCGACCUCUGGGGCUCGAGAUUUCUUUGUUUGGGACGAAGCUUUCGAUUAGUACACCAAAGGGAGUAGUAGAAAUCAACUCUGCGUUGGUGGGUCGGUACAAUGUGUACAACAUUCUUGCUGCAGUUUCUGUUGGGAUCGCAGUUGGGGGGCAAUUAGAGGAGAUUAAGAGGGGGAUUGAGGGGUUAGCUGGAGUUCCGGGCCGGUGUGAAUUGAUCGAUGAAGGUCAAAACUUCGGAGUUAUUGUCGACUAUGCGCAUACGCCGGAUGCUUUGUCAAGACUUUUGGAUGCCAUGAGAGAGCUCGCUCCGAAGAGAAUCAUAACUGGUUCGCGAUCUACUGAUCUGUUUUAUGCAGACUAUUCAUAAGCACAGUUAUUUUCCUUACUGAUGAAACUUCUCUUCUGAAUUUCCCACUUCCAGUUUUCGGGUGUGGCGGCCAACGAGAUAGCGGAAAGAGACCGCUCAUGACCCGAAUUGCUACCAACAAAAGCGAUGUUGUUAUUCUAACCUCUGACAAUCCCAGGAAUGAAGAUCCAUGUAAGCAUUCUAUGUUUCAGUAAUGUAGUCAGAAACCACAAAAACUAUCUUACAGUAAAUAUCUAAUCUUAAAUUUUGAAUAUGGGGUUCCUAAUUCUCCAAGGUAUUGUGCUUGUGUAUGGUUAGUGAAUAUCUUGGAAGGCAUGUUAGCUGGUGUUGGAUGGACCAUACAAGAUUAUGUGCAACUUACUCAUGACAAGAAUUAUGCGCAGCUUAACAAUGGGUGUCAGCUUCUUGUCCAUGAUCUCAGAAGAGUUGCUCUGCAAGCUGCCAUUGCCAUGGGAAAGGAAGGAGACAUUAUCGUAAUAUAUCUUACUCCAACCUUCUUCCUAUAUCAUUCUCACUUUCUAAAUAUGUGAAGAAUAAAUGUUUCUCAAUACAUGAGAAGAUUGGUUAAACUCAACCAACACUGUUCUUGUGUGUGUGUGUGUCUGUGUGUGUGUUAUUUCUCAUUGUGAGAACAAGAGUUUUUGCCAAAAACUGACAGAAAAUCAAAAAAAAAUGCAAGUUCUAUAGGAGAUCCUUUCUCAUACUUUCUGCUACGUUUUCUUCUCUGCCUUGUGAAAAUUUUGGUGCUGUAGGUUGUUGCAGGGAAAGGCCACGAAACAUAUCAAAUCGAAGGUGAAACGCGGAAAUUCUUUGACGACAGAGAAGAGUGCCGAGAAGCUCUGCGUUACGUCCGCGAGUUGAAGAAAGCAGGAAUAGACAUCAGUGAACUUUCAUGGGGGGUAAAUAGGCAAUUGUUCUUUUCUAUUUAAUACCUACUGUAAUUUCGAAUCGGAUUCAAUUUUGAUGCAUAAAUCCCACAAGUAAACAUUUUGAUUCAAGCUAAACUACUGUAUGUUUACUGCAGGUUACAGGAUAGGCACUUUUCUUCAUAGAUGAAUUAACCUAUCCCAUUCAAAAGUUUUUAAGUACUCUCUUUCUCUCUCAUAUUAACUUAGUUCACAUUAUUAUUUUUUUGAUAAUAAUAAUUAUUUUACAUUAACUAUUUUGUGUGUUUUGUGUGUUAUGUGCUUUUGCACUAUGCAGGUUAAAAUCAAAAUCAACUGAAACUGCCGUGGUGCUCUUCUUGGACAGAGAAUGUGUGGUUUCUUUUCUUUUUUUUUUCCUAUAUUUUUUGUUCCUUCUUGUGUAUAAAAUGUAUAGGUUCUUUAAGAAAUGUUUAUUUACAACGGUGAGAAUAAGGGUAUUUCUCUAAUGCCACUGGAACCUUGUAAUCUGCAACUGCUUCAAAAUCAGAAAAGGACGUUCAUAUAUAAGAAUCUUCUUUUCCAAGUUACUGAACGGAAGAGAAAAAAUAUAGAUAAAAGCGUAUAAAACUUAUCUGAACUAUAAACCAUAUUUAGCGCAGUUGUUAAAGAUUUGAGGUUGGUAUCUGAAAUUCCAAGUUUGAAGCCUAUACGCUUCACAUUCCCUUCCUUUUUCUCGAAAAUAAAUAAAUAAACAAAUAAUUAUUGCAUAUUCCAGCCCCAAAAUGCUUCUUCCCAGUAUAUAGCUAUAUCCGCUCUUCUCAUUUUCCUUUUAAGAAGCAAAAUAAAGUUAGGUUCAACUUUAAUUUAUUUGAAAUAAAUAAUAUUCUAUUUGUUAUUAAAUUGAGUUGAGUCCAUAUGAACUAAGGAUUCAAAUUUGAUUCUGAAACUCUUGUGUAAUUUACCCGAGCUUGAGCCUAUGUAGCUUGCAUUAAGUUUGUUUGCACCUCCACAACAAAAAAAAGUGAAGGCACUAAUUGUCAACUAUCGUAUUAUUAAACAAAACCACGGGAAAGCUUCACUUUUGAUGCAGUAGUAUACAUAAUAUGAAGAUUCUUUAAAUUAUCUUUUUAUUGAUUUAUACAUAUAGUCUAAAAAUAUUAUAUAUUCAUUUACAUAUAAUAUCACAUAUAAUUCCACGGUAAAUAAAUUAAGUUUGAUUGUUGUCUCUUUUUUUUUUGACAAGAAUAAAUUAAAGACGCGAAAAUCACAUUACAACUUCCAUUUCAUUACCCGGACAGCGUAGGCCUAAUCAACUGUUCUAUUGGGGGAAAAAAGAAGAAGCAUAAACACAAAAGCAAAACAUGCUAUAUCCAUUAUGCCUAUCAAAAACACCUCUCUUUUAUGCUUCUUAGAAUGGCUAAAAGAAAAAGGCAUAGAGUAACUGCUUCAAAAAGAAAAGCACUUCUCAGCUCCUAAAGGUUAGUUAGAGCAUUCCAAAUAUUUGCUUUUAUCCUAUAGUAUCAUUGCUAGUGAAGCUACUAAUCCAACUCUUUAAUGGUGAACUAGUGUUGUAAAGCAAAUCAUAUAUAAUUCCCUCCUAUUUUCCGUAAUUAUUUUCCCUGUAGUUUUCUAGUUGUAUGUAGAGAGGCGAGGAGGAGAGAUGGGUCUUAGUGGAGAAAUCAAAGAAGAAAGAAUGGAAGCAAGUAAAAGCGAACCUUUUCGGAGAUCGGAAGCCACGGAGGUGAUCCAUAUUGCUGUCGGAAAGAAUUAUCGUGCAGAGAAACAGAACUUGAAGUGGGUACCAGAGAACUUCCCGCGGGCUAGGAUUUUUAUCAUCCAUGUUCCUUGGCCUUCCAAGUAGAUGCCCUUCAGAAAGUUUUUGAACCUAUCGAGCAAAAUAUCGAACAUAUGUACUGUUGUUAGUUUUUCAGUUGCUUCAUUCUUUCCGAAUUAAUCUGAGUUUUAGAAAAUUUUGGUUAAAAGAUAAGAACACAAAUAAGAAGUGUCAAAAAAGAAAAAAGCAAAAUUACUUGAGAUAUCAUUCUUGGUGUUGAUAGAAUCCUCAUACAUAAUAUCUUUGAUCACCGAAAAAUAUUACCAAAAUUGAAUCUAAGUUAUGCUAGCGCCAAAAGCAUGGAAGAAUUCUGUAGUAUCUGUAGCAGAUGGAUGAUAGCAAAAGGAGGAAAAGAGAAAAAAAAAAACAAGAGAGAAAAAAAGAUUGAUGCUACUUUACAAAGCAUCUGGAAUGAACUGUAAAGUGCUGAUCUCUUAUUAAUGCUAACAAAUGUAGAGACACGAAGGAUCACAAAAAUGAGGUUGAGAAAUGGCUUACCAAUGAACUACUUAAGGUUUCUAUUCUGAAAAAUUAAUCUUUAAAAUAGAAGCAAGAUGUAAAGUUUAGGAAUGAAGUAUGGUAGGCAAAGAAACAGAGGAAAAGGCAAACUCAUCAAAAGUAGCCCUGCAGAAUAUUUGCAUGCCUAAUUUUAAGAUUUUGUGUGAUACAUAUGGAUUAAGCAGCUUGAUCUACAUAGUCACCUACUAUACAUCAACUGUAAGGUAUGUUCUUUAAGUAUGCUUCAAUCUUUUAUAAUCCCAAGACAUUACUAAGUUUGGUUCUCUCUAAUAAUAUUAGCAGUGGGUACCAAAAUAUCAUACGUAUUAGCAAACGAGGCAGAAAGAGCAUUGCAUCGAAUAAGGCAGAAAGAAGAAAUGGCACAACUGUUAUGUCAAUACAAAGCAUCGUGUAUAAAUAGAAAGGUCGAAACUAGUCCGAUUCAUUUGUGCUCGGUACUUUACAAUCUAAUAUACUUUGUUUGCUAUUUCAAGAAAAGGAACUGCACUAUGCUGAAUAUAUAAUCUGCGGUAAAUAUCACUAGGUGUUUAGAUGAUAAUGGUGAUGAUGUCAAAAUAGAUUUAGCACAUGCAGUACUAUUGUAUAUUGUAUAAUAUUAUUAUUCUACAAGAUAGUAUAAUUAUUAUCAUUCUACAAGAUAUUUGGUGAGAAACAUCCCAUCUUUUAAGAGGUUUAAAUUGAGUCUUACAACUUUCUCCAUGAUGCAGGUUGAUAUGCAACAUAUCGAUGUCAGAGAUUUUUGAAUGGAAAAUCAAGAAAGCAGUCGAAAAUUAAAGAAGACUCAACUUGUAUUACAAACAAACAAAAAGUAAACCUUCAGAGAUGUUUGGUAUUGCUGCCAUUUUUUGUCUUUACAAACAAAAAUUCUCUGUGGUUGGAUGUGCCGCUGGUUGGACUUUCCCGCUCUUGUCAUCACUGGCAAGCUUACAAUGCAACCGUGAAUAGAAUGCUAAAGGGUAUCUUCUUCUUCAAAAAAAAAAAUUUGAAGUUUGCUACCAAGUUCUGCUAUUUGUCACAACCAACACCAUAAUUGAAUAGACCGUGAACACUCCAACCUCCGCGAGCACUCUCUAUUACACAGAGUUUGUGUUUUAAAAACAAAAAACAAUUGGCAACAACACCAAAUAAGGCAUUAAAAUCCAACUUAUGUAAGUUACUGGUGGUGGGAAAUUAGAACAAGGUAUGACGAAGUUUGCACAUGCACAUGCAUAUGCAUGGAUGUACAGGGAUCCAAGUUGCUGUGUGUUACAAUAUGGCAUGUAAAUUUAUGAGUUAGCGUGAAUAACUUCAUUACAGAUAUCUGAAGUGAGCAUGACUUUAUCAUGCUCCUUUUCUUUUCUUUUCUUUCUUUCAGGCUUGCUUCAAAACAAGAUGGAUAUAUGUAUACAUAUUUUAAGCACCUUUCGUGCGAUUGUGUCUAUCUAUUCACAAUACUGGGGAGAAAAAAAAACCAGUAGCAAUUUGGAAACAGCUUGCAAAAAUUACAACGAUAAUAGGGAAGGGAUUAUGAAUACACAGCAGGAAUUUGCAAACAAAUAUAAAUACGGCUUCUUUCAUCAAAGCAAAAGCAAUACUACAACUUUUCCCUCCUUUUCAAGUAUCAAGAGGUGGAAUCUACAACAAAACACACCUAUAUUGUAUCAAUUUGUUCAGUCAUUAUACACAAACCGUAACAGAGUUAAUUGAUAAAAAAGUAUUCAUACCCACCAAAAAUUGUAAAAACAUAUUUACUUUUAUCUUGAAAGAUCCGAAGAAAUGUAAUUUCCACACUAAUCAGCAGAAUAAAUGUACUCAUUGGAUUCAUAUACUAAAAUCGAAUCACCGAAACCAAAAAAACUAAGUAAAAUUUGGAUUUCUAAACACCAAAAAGUUACACACCAAAGAAAAAAGGAGAUCACAAUUUUAACAAUGAAUCAACUUAGUCUAUCGCAAACUAAGAGAAACUACAUGCAUUCCGUUCUAAAAUCGAACACUUAAAAUAAUAAUAAUUUGGAUUUCUAAACACCAAAAUAGUUACAGGGAAAAGAAAAGGUGAUUACAAUUUUAACUAUGAAUCAAUUAAAUCAAUCGCAAGUAAUGGGAAAAAAAAAAAGAAAAAGGUACAAUCGGUCCAAAAACUAAGCUUAAAUUGAAAAGGAGAAGGUAAAAGCGCUUACCAAUAAAUUAGGGUUUGAAGGGCGCGAAUGGAGAAGGAAAUAAGCUAAACAGGUCAAUAAAAAAAAUAUAUAUAAAUUAAAAAACCACUCAAAAGAAGAAAAAAAAAAAUUGGUAAAUGUAAAAGCGCUUACCAAUAAAUUAGGGCGUUUGAAAGGUGCGAAUGGGAGAAGAAAAUAGCUAAACAGGACAAUUAAAAAAAUUUUAAAAAAUGAAAAUAAAAAAUCAACUCCAAAUAUCAGAGACAGGUUUCGAUCCUGUGACCUGUGGGUUAUGGGCCCACCACGCUUCCGCUGCGCCACUCUGAUUUGAUAAAAAUGUUUGAAAUUUAUUUUAGUUAACUUUAAAAAUAUGCUAUUGAUCAGGCAUUUUCGAAAUCAAUGUAAUAAUAAUCUUACCUGAUCGACCUAUUUGUUAGAUUGGCUCUUUCACUUUGUUCUUAGCUUACAUUAGUAGUUUGAUGACGAUGCUAUGCCGCAUUUUGAACUGGUUGUUCUGCAUUUUAAAAACUAUUAUCAAAUAAUUUGUAAUUUUGCACGCGGGUGUAGUCGAUAAAAAGGAAAAGAAUGAAUGAAGAUGGAAAUUUUUAGAAGAGUAUUGCAAUUAUCAACUAGAUGUUGGAGACAGGCACGAUAUUGCUCCCUCUUGAACGUCAGAAGUUUCAAUAGGUUUUAUUAGUGUCGCACUUGGUGGCUCUGAGCAUGCUUAGAACUGAAAUAGCUUUAAAAAAUUAAUCUGUUAGAAAAUGGAGUUUAAAUAUUUUUAUAUUUUAACAUUUUCCUCACGUUUGAACUUGUGAUUUUUUAUAAGACUCAUAAUAUGGAGCUGAAUUAAAUAGAAAAGAAUUAAUAAUGUUCGGAGUCUAACGUAACUAGAACUUAAAACCUCAUACUCUAAUAUCAUGAUAAAUUAUAUGAAAUAAUCGUUAUACUCUGAAAAUCAAAGUUGUUAGAAAAUUGUGUUUAAAUAUUUUUGCCCUGUCAUCAAUUAUAAAUGAAAAUCGUAUUGCUUUUCGUGGAGCAGAAGCUGAACAUCCUACUUGAUCUCUCCGCUCUUCUCUCCAAUUCUGAUUGGCACUAGUGUGCGCGAUUGAAUGCCCUGAAACAUUUACUUAAGGGGCAAUUGCUUAUAUAGAGGAAUGUUGCAAUAAAUGUGUUACAUGAAUCUGAACUUAGAAGCGGUCUUCUAUAAUUUAGAAAAGUUCUGUUUUGGUAGACGUUUUUGGAUAGGCUUGUCUCUUUCCUUUUCAAAUUGUUGUGAUCCACAGAUGUUAUUUUCUGCCUGUAUUAUAGUUUAAACAUUUUUGCUAUUUUCUUACAGGCUUUUGUUAUUGUGUUAAGUGUUUCAGGUAAAAUUUCUUUCAUGUCGAUGUAAAUGAAAUGAUAUGAUUUUUUUCAUUUUUGCAUUGCUUCUGCAGUGAUUCGAACAACUAUCAGCAACGAAUUGUGUUUCUAUAAUCGACGAUCCCUAGAGCGGGGCUUUGAUUCAGGGUUUGUAGAGCAUUUGUUUUGCUUAUGCUUUUGGCGACAUCGAUUUUUAGCAGAGCAUUUAACAAUCACUGGUAUUCAAUAUUUCUGCUGUAGUACCAAGCACAACGAGGCCCAUGCCACAUUGAACAUUGUCGAAUGGCGCGUAAGUUUCUAUGUUGUGUGUAAGGGGGCAUUACAUUACGCAUAAGACAGAUUAAAAAAAUAUUUUUAAUAUAAAAAAUAUUUUUUCGCUUAUUUAGUUUGAUAUUGUAAAAUUAUUUUUACGAUUUAGAAACACUAUAAAAUUUUUAUAUUUUUGUUGUUUUUUGACGAAAAAUAAAAAUUCAAACUGCAUAAAUUUUUUUAUUUAUUUUUUCACUAAAAUUUUUAAAAAUAUGUAUUAAACUUUUUUUUUUUUUCUACAAAUCAAAUACUAUAAAAUAUAAGAAAAUUUUGACCAAAUUUUUUAUUUGUCUAAAUUUUCGUACCCACUUCUCGAUUAUGGCCCAAGCAUGGCUCCACAUCGAAGGCCCACUUGGGAGGCUAAAUGUAGUGUAAGUUGCUAUCAAUCACAUCGAUCCAUUUAUUAGCCUCAAACGUACGAGUAAAGCAUGGGAAAUUCAAGUCACGUGGUACAAUGAUCGGCCAUCCACGUGUCGGCCUGUAACUGGCUGGUCGGUUCGACGCAUGUCGUGGUGCCUCGGACUUGGGAGAAAUUCUAGUAUGCAGCGCGUACACCACGUCACCUUUAUCACCGGCCAAUAAUAGCGCGACACCUCAGCAGCCAAUUAAAUUGAGAAGAAAAAUCAAACAGCACUAACGCCGUUUCCCUAGCAAUUUGAAAUUAUCGAAAAUUGGUGCCCGAGUUUUAGCGGGAGUUUUUAAUCUCUCUCUCUCUCUCUCUCUCUCUCUCACAGAUUAGUCCAUGAAAAAAGGGGGGAAAAAAUUUCCAUCGAGAUAACCCAGACACUCUGCUUCCCCGUUGCUUGCCGAGGCCACCAUUGAUGCCACCGUCGCAGACGACGACUCCGGCUGCACCGAUGACUUUAUGAUGCCAGUCUAAUUGCCGCCGCCGACGUUCUCGCACGACGCCCCUCUUGCUCAGUAAUGCUUACCGACUCCGACCGCGUCCUCCACUUUAAUUUGCUUGCCACCGAGUUCCACUGGCUCCUUCGUAAUUUUCUUUUCCUUCUCAAUGCUCCUUUGUAAUUUUUUUUCCCUUUCCAUCUAAUUUAUAUUCUCUACAUAAGUAGGCUGUACUUAUUGUGCAUGUUUUUCUUUAAAAAAAAAACCUAUUUUUUAAUUCUUAGGAAUGCACCAAGUAAUACUAAUUUGGAUGAAGAUAUUAGUAAAGUGUAUGAAGAAAACCGUCAACUUCAUCGCAUUUUAAAAUUACAGAGUAUUUUGAAACAAUUUUUUUCCCCUAUCAUUGACACAUGCAUCAACUUUUCAUAUUUUGGAUCCAAUAAUUUUAAUCUAAAAAUUAAAAAUUUUACUAAAUUUAGCUAUGAUUCGAUUAAAUUUAUAACUUUUUUUUUUAAUAUUUUCAAAUUUGUUGAGCAACAUGAGCUGCUAGUUUGCAAGCAAAGUAGUCAAUUAAAAGUCCUAAUUAGUAUUAAUUCGUAGCAUUUUAGCUAAUAAAGUAUGAUGUUCUUUAGCUCUUUUGCAAACUGAAACUCAAUCUUUCUCCAUCAUAGGUUGAAUGGCUGCAUCAAUUAGGAAUCAUGUCAUGGUCGACAAAACGAAUGAUAACAGCAUCUGGGAGUAUAUAAAUAUAGAUGCUUAUGAUAAAAAACUUGAAGUGGGUAUAAUAGUUAAUUCUGAAGACGAAGCUUACAAUCUCUACAAUGAAUAUGCAUUGAGGAAGGGUUUUAGCAUAAGAAAAGGAAACAAACGAUUAGUCGAUGGGGUUCUCCGACAACGAGAAUAUGUGUGCUCCAAAGCAGGAUUUUCUGAUUCUAAAGAUCCUUGUAACUUAAAAGGGAUAAAUCGAUUAGUAACAAGAACGGGAUGUACGGCUAGAGUUCGAUUCAGUAUAAAAAGUGGUGCUUGGGAAGUCACUCAUUUUAAUGAUAUGCACAAUCACGAGUUUGCAAAACAAGAGGAAAGACAAUUUACGAUCUGGUAGGAGAAUGCUAGAUUCUCAUGCAGCUGUUAUUUCCUCUAUGGUACAAGCAGGCAUAAAACCAAUAAAAUCAUACUCUUAUUUAGCCAAACAGGUUGGGGGGACACAAAAUGUUGGAUUUACUAAGAAAGAUUGUUAUAAUUUCUUGCAUACCGCAAGAAAAGUGAUGAUUGAAGCAGGCGACGGACAAAGUGUCAUUAAUUACUUUAAGCAUAGACAAUUGGAAGAUCCUAUGUUUUUUUAUUCUGUGCAGGUAGACCAAGAGAAUCNAAGAAUAAAUUAGCUUAUUCUAGGCCAAGUAUUGAACACAGUAUAUAGUAUAUAACUCAAUCGCUUUUACUUCUUCGUGCUCAGAUAUAUAUGUUAACUGGGCUACUAUCGAUAGUAAAUUACUCGAUUUAUUACUAAUUUAUUUUUAAUGAUAGAGCUUACAAAUUGACGAUCGGUAUCAUUGAAUAUGAUCUAAACUAUUUAAAUUAUCUAAAAAUCAAAUUUUAUAAUUCUUUGACAUCACUAACUGAACGAUCAAAGGGUCACAAAAUCUAUAAUUUUAAUGACCGAUAUGGUGUGUUUGCUCGUUUAACGGUAUAGAAGAGUUCAAAUUAACUAAAUUUUUGUUAAAAAAUUCUUUAAACUAUUUAAAAUAAGAUCUAGACUCUAGAUCUCAAAUAUAAAAAUUGUAUCAUCACUUUUCGAAGGAUAUUCAUUUCCAACCAUUCAUUCUUCUGUUCAGUUGAUGGACAAGAGAACAAUAUCGAAAAUGUGUGAAAUUUGAUUUUCAGAUAGUUUAAAUAGUUUAGAUCAUGUUUAACGGUGCUGAUUAUCAAUUUGGAAUUAUGAAAGCAUGCAUGAUAGCAUAUCUAUUCCCGAGCUUUUUUUCGAUAUAUCUCUUGCACAUCCUGCAUGAAGAAUUAUGAAAGCAUGCAUGAUAGCAUAUCUACGUACGACGAUUUAAUCCAAAAUAAUUUAUUUAUAUUAUUUUUAUAAGACUUAGAACGCGCACCCUAAAAACAUAGCACAUAGUCAUAAUCAGCAUUCAAAUUUCUUCAUGAUAAACUACUACUAGUGGUUUGAUCUGCUAAGAAGCACACACAAAAAAAAAAAAAAAAAACCCUGCAAUGUCAUGCUAUAUAUUGAGAAAGGGGCAUUUACGUAAUAAUAACAAAGAAGAAAGACGAACGGAAUGUAGCCGUUAGCUGCGUGGAAAACGGAGCACAUCUUUUGACGCGAAUGUCCAAUGGCGAUUCAAAGCCGUCGCUUUCCUCGACAGCGAGGAUCCUCCCAUCCGUUUUGAUUAACCUUGUUGCUCUUGCGGAACGUUUCUAAAGUAAGUGAUAAAAAAUUUGAUGAUUAAUAUUUAAGAUCUAAAUUUAAAUUUUAAUUAAUUUAUAUUUUUAAUUAAAUUUAUUAUUAAAUAAAAUAAACGAAGCAGAUAGCGUGUUAUCUAUUUCUUAAAAAAAAAUUCUUGUUGCUCUCAUUAUAACUAGAAUAAAAAUCCUUUUCAAAUGUGAUUUUGUUAUCAAGAUAUAGCUUUUUAUCCGUAUUAAAAAAAAAAAAAAAGAAAAACUCCACUCCUACACCCCUAAAGAAUAUAGGAUAUACACUCCACUUAUUAAGAGCGAGAAUGUGAGGUAUACUUUUUUUAGUCUGUAUUCAUCUAAGGGUGGGAUGAAUGUACUCUACUAGUUACAUUCUUUUUUUGGAUGGAUAGGGUAUCCUACAUCACUUUGGAGGUGUAUAAUAAGUAUUAUUUAAAAAAAAAUAUCAAACUAAUUAGAGAGUACUAAGAGGAAAAAUAUAUAUAUAUAGGCUACAUAUGGAAAGCAAGGGAAGAGAACUUUUCUCUAUUAUGUGAAACAGGUCACAAGCCCCAAAAGAGGGGAAAGUGGGUGGAUUAGGAAAUAAAGAAACUCUUUGCACAACAACUUACUAUUAUAAUAUCAAAAUCUAUAAUUGAAAUUUUUGUAGUAAUUAAGAGCACUUGAGAUUCCUCCUCAAUAAUGUUGUUAUUAAGAAAACCUUAGGUUUGUAAGCUGACCAUUACAACUUAUGGAUUGGUCGUCUCCGGUGCAAGUGACAAAAAGCUUGAUAAUUGAUAUUUGAGAUUGUAAGUUUAAAAUUUAGUUGUUUUAUAUUUUCAACUAAAGUUAUUUCUAAAAAUUAUAUAAACAAAGCGGUAGCAUGCCACAAUUCUUUUCAAAUAACUAAUGAAUUAUUAAUUUGAUUAUUUAGAGUAAGUUUUUAGUCAAAAUAUUAUUCAGAAAGAUAAAAAUGUUUCCAAACUAGCUAGCUUUUAAUAUAGUGAAAAAAAUUUAAGCCAAUUUUUACUCUUGCUUUUAGUGGUGGUAAUUUUUAGGGAAAUAAAUGUUUAGUAAAUCAUUGGAUUAAAAGAAAUGUACGUAGUGAGAAGCCCAAAUAAGCAUCCAAAAAUAAUUUGACUAGAAACCAUGAUUCAAAAAAUUUUGUUAAAAAUAUAUUUAAUAUUUUUAAAAUUAUUCUACUUAUAUAACAUUUAUGUAAAAAUUUGAUCUAAAACAAAUAUAAUUUCCAUAUCACAAAUAAGUUCACUAAUUUAUUUGGCCGUAAAAAUUCUUAACCUUUCGUGUUUAAUAUAGUUGACUAAGCGGUUGAUGAUUACUCAUCCGAGAUUUUAAGUUUAAAGUUUAAUUACAGUUUAUUUUUAAAAAUAAAUUAAAUUAUAUAAAAAAGCUGAAAAUAAAAUUAAAAAAAAAGACCCGAGACAGGUAGGUGAUAAUGUGAUAUCACAAAAGAUAAGACCAAACCGACCACACCACCCUGUCCACAUCACAUCGGCCUAUACCCUCUCCAGAACCAUCUCUAAACCACCUACCUAACCCCAAAAACUUUUUUAAUUAGCACAUAACCCUAUCCUAUUACUGUUGAUACGGAGAUAAUUAUUAGCACGCACCUUACCUCACCACAAACAAAGUCCUUUUUUUUUCUUUUUUUUUUGUCCUUUGGGUGGAGCCAUGGAGGGUGGGGGUAAUAAUGUGUGGAUGGUCCCCGUACAAUCUUGAUAUAGGAGCUUGAUACAGAUUCUUUUUUCACAUAAUGUACUUUAGUUCUCUGAAAAAAUUUAGUUUCUUAUCGUACAAAUUAUUUUUUUAAUUACACUUAAAAGUAAAUUAAAAUAAAUAACUUGCCUUAAAAUGAAGAAAAAAAUAAUUAUAUUUUUAGAAAAAUUAGAUUUUCCGACCAUUAGAAAUGUUUAAAAAUUAAAAUGUCUAAAAAUACUAAAUAAUACUGUAAGAUAUAUAAUUUGAUCGAUAAAUUACUAUACUAAUACUAUUUUUACAUUAAAAUUCUCGUCAAUAACUUUCAUCUACAGCCAAUCUAGAAACUCUAUAGACUGCAAAUAUUUUUAUAAAAAAGAAUAUAAUUCUUUUACUGUAGUAGAUUUUUUUUGUUUUUUGGUGCCCAAAAAGUGUUAAAAGAAGCUGGAGCGGAGGACGCAAUUAAGCACCACGCCAAACUAAUUAAAAGGACCAUUUUGGCCAAUAUUGCGAUUGUGUAGCAGUGUAGGGGCACUUGCAUAAUAAAUUUCACCCUUUUUCCAUCAAGAGCACAGACAAAAAAAAAAAAAAAAAAAACAAGACAACACAGCGCUUCUAUAAAGUAGCACUCCUCAUCAUCAGUCGCACUCCAUCUUCUCACAAGCCCACUCCUCCUCCUCCUCCUCCUCCUCCUCCUCACCUAGCUAGCUUCGUCCCCUCACUCUUUUUGAAGUACUCAAACUGAUCAGGAAUAUUAUCAUCAGGUGAGAGGGAAUAUAUUAAGAGUAAAAAAGAAUAUACAGUACUAGUAAGAAAUAAAAUGGAAGGUAAAGAAGAGGACGUGCGGGUGGGGGCGAACAAGUUUCCGGAGCGGCAGCCGAUCGGGACGGCGGCGCAGAGCCAGGAGGAGGGGAAGGACUACAAGGAGCCGCCGCCGGCGCCGCUGUUCGAGCCCGGGGAGCUGGCGUCCUGGUCCUUCUACCGCGCCGGCAUCGCCGAGUUCAUGGCCACCUUCCUCUUCCUCUACAUCACCAUCCUCACCGUCAUGGGCGUCAACAACUCCCCCUCCAAGUGCUCCACCGUCGGCAUCCAGGGCAUCGCCUGGGCCUUCGGCGGCAUGAUCUUCGCCCUCGUCUACUGCACCGCCGGCAUCUCCGGUACCUUAUCUAAUUCAUUCAUUACAUUCAUUCAUUUAUUCUUUCGCUCGCUCGCUCGCUCGCUCGCUCUGAUACCAUGUUGAAAGAAAAAAUAUUAUUGGUAUAGGUGGGCACAUCAACCCAGCGGUGACGUUUGGGCUGCUGCUGGCGAGGAAGCUGUCGUUGACGAGGGCUCUGUUCUACAUGGUGAUGCAGUGCCUUGGGGCGAUAUGCGGGGCUGGGGUUGUGAAGGGGUUCCGGAAGGGGCUCUACGAGGGCAGUGGGGGCGGGGCCAAUGUUGUCGCCCCUGGAUACACCAAAGGAGACGGCCUCGGUGCUGAGAUCGUCGGCACCUUCAUCCUCGUCUACACCGUUUUCUCUGCCACUGAUGCCAAAAGGAAUGCUAGGGACUCCCAUGUCCCCGUAAGUACUACUGCUGUUGCUUCUACUUCUACUAUUAAAGUUCUGUUGUGAAAUAACCGGUGUACUUUAACUAAAAUUUAAUUUUCUGAGUUCAACGGUUAUUUCAUAGCCCCUUAGAAUAAAAGGUUCUGAACUGAGCUCGAGUCAUAUUAAUUAAGCUCCUAUCAUUAUUAAUUUUUUUUGUUUAAUUUAAGUUCACGAUCACAUAGCUUCAACUUUUAAAGUAACUAAAAAUGGUUCCUGAAGACGUUUUUUUUUUUUUGGACAGAAAAUAAUUUGUUUACCUGUAAAAUUGUUUUCUGGUCUUUUUUCCCAGAACCAAAUAACCUUGUAUAGUUGUAUUCUCUCUCUCUCUCUCUCUCUCUCUCUCUCUCUCUCUCUCUCUCUCUCUCUCUCUCUCUCUCGAGAAAUUCUACACUGUGACACUUGUACUACGCCAUCAAUAACAAGUCAAUCAUUUUUUUUAAUAAAAGUAUAAUAAAAAUAUUUUUUAUAAUUAUGAUUGAACAUAUAUUUCUAAAAGGAGAUAUUUGAUUGGUUUGUUACGACACGUCACCAAUAUACCGGUUGUAUUCUAGAAUUUUUCCUCUCUCAGGCACAAAAGAAAAUAUAGAAUUCAUAUGUGAAUUAUAAAUUAUUUUGAUUCAAUUUUAACCAAUUUUUUAAAUUUUUUAAGUUUAGCACUUAUCCGGGUUUUCAAUUUGUAAUAUUUCAAGUUAUUUGAUGACUUUGCUGAUACAAAUUUUGAACUGAUUGGUUACUUGAAUAAUAAACUUGUAGUUGUAUGAAUUAUAUUAAAUAUAUUAAUUAAAAUCAUAAAAUUUUAAAAUUAAAGAGUCAUUAACUUACUUAAAUUAAAUAAAUAAAUUUUUUUUAGAGAUUUCUAAUUCAGAUCAAAUAGAUAAUAGCUGAGAAAAGUUUCCAUACAAAUUUUAACUCUUUUUUAUAUUGUUGCUUAGCAGCUUUUAUGCCUAUUUUUCCAGUGUUUGUACAAAAAAACAAAAUUUAGAUUUAGAUGUUGUUUGGUUUUCUAUGCUUAUGUUUUUUUUUUUUUUUUGGAGAACUUAAAUUCCAUGCGAUCAAUAUAUAGUCUGUAUGUUUGCAGGAUUUGUUUAAUAAGAGCCAACCAAGUGUAAAGAAGUGGCAUUCAAUUACGUAAAAUUUUAGUUUUAAACGAAAAAAAAGAAAGCCAUACAAAGAUCUAAGAAUUUUAAUUCUAAUUGAAUUUCCUGAACCUUCUAGAAAGUUUUUUUUUUUUUUUACUUAUUUGUGGUUUUAUUUUUUAGUUUUUAUUUAUUAUUUAUUUUUAUUUUUUUUUGUGCAGAUCCUUGCUCCCUUGCCUAUUGGGUUUGCUGUGUUCCUGGUUCACUUGGCCACCAUCCCCAUCACUGGCACAGGCAUCAACCCUGCUAGAAGCCUUGGAGCUGCAAUUAUCUACAAUAGGCCUCAUGCUUGGCAUGACCAUGUAAACAUUAAUUUCUUGCCUCAAUUUUUUUUUUUAAACCAAAAAAAAAAAAGAAGAAUCAAUUAAGAAACCUAACUUUUACUUAGUUUUAACCCUUUUGUUUUGUUUUGUUUUGCUAUUUUUCAGUGGAUUUUCUGGGUGGGACCAUUCAUUGGAGCUGCACUUGCUGCAAUUUACCAUGUUGUUGUGAUCAGGGCCAUUCCAUUCAAAAGCAGGGCUUAAAACUUUAGUCCACCCCACUCAUGCCACCUUUGUUUUAAACUUUAUGUUUGUGGCUUGUUCCUAAUUGUAUCCUCGUUAUCUUAUCUUAUCUUAUCUUAUCAUCCAUCAUGAGUUUGAGCUUUUACUUUAUCCUCUCUCUCCUUCUCCUCAGCAACUUGAGUUUAUGUCCUCAUGUAUUUCAUCAUCAUCAUCAUCAUCUAUGUGGCUGGUUUUCAAUCAAGUGUGUACAUUAUUAUUAUUAUGUAAUGCUGUUACCAGAAGUGCUUUUUUAAAUUAGCAGCUUCUAGUGUAUAUUCUCUCUCUCUAUAGCCUUAUCUGUCUACCUACUAUCCAGUGGCAUGUACUAAUUAUAUAUUAUUAUUGAGAUAAUAAAAGUUUAAUGUGUGGAUCAGAGGGAGUAUGUUGACCUGUUUAUUUAAGAUGGUGAUAGUGGGAGUUGGUGAUGGGAGUGGUGGACAGUGAUGACACAUAUCAUUGCAAAAUUUACCCUAAAGUAUUUUUAAAAAAAGUCCCUACUUUUGUGGUCAUGUGUGUAUAGAUUAGAUAAAUUAUGUCACACCAGAAAUUUGUGAUGGAGAUUGAUUAUCCAUCCAUCAAAGGGUCCUCAUUAGGAGGUGUCUUGGGGUGCGGAGAAAUUGUGCCCCAAAUCAAGCAGAAGAGAAGUGAUUUUAAUGGUUUCCUAUUUAACAAACUUAUAUACUUUUUCUCACGUUUGAAUGCGAAAUUUUUUUGAAGUUCGAGACGUAAAUCUAAGUUAAAUUUUUAAAAGUUAGAUAAAAAUUAAUAUAAAAUAUUGUGAAUUCUUCUGCUCCAAUGCCAGAUAAAAUCAUGUAAACCAACCUUUUCUUUCUAGAAACUUAGAACUGUUGGAAAAUUAUUUUUUAUUUACCAUCAACACAUAUCACAAAAGUAUUUGGAAGAGAGUGUUUCUGUUAGUAUCAGGGUAUAGAUACAAGUUUUUAGGAGGUAGAUGAAAAUCUGAGGUCUUAUAGAAACAUAUGCACAAAUAUGUGAUUUUGCAGGAAUUUACAUGUAAUUAUAUAUGUGAGGGAAAUUUAGGACAAACUUUUUUUUAUUUUUUGGGAUAAAUGUUGCAUCUUAUCGACUUUAUUCAUUAUUUUCAAUUAUGAUUUUUUUUUUUUAGAAUAAAGAUAGACCGCUACUUGCAUAAUUCAUUUAGUAAAUAAAUUUAGCUAUGUGAAGUGAGGCGUCAAUGCCUCAAAGAAGGAAAAAGGUCAAAAGAAAGAAAAAGUAAAAAUUCCGCGCUAGAUCAUCCACCACAUUGCCGGCAUCAAAAUCCGUGUCUUCAGAGCAUCUUGAGUACCCCUCCUUUGUAACUCCUCCCAAACAAUCUGGACAUCCUCGGUAAAGAGAAGAACUUGAAAUCUCUCAAGGUUGAAGGUAACGACACUUGCUACCAACAGGUGAUUCACUGUCUCGAAAGUAAUGCUGCAUAUUAUACAUUUUCCAACCAUUUCUUACGAAUUUAGUUGAAAAUAAAUAAUAACUAAUCUUCAAAUUGGAGGCACCAGAUACCUACUAUCAAAUCUUUUAUAAGCGUAUAAUUUACGCCAAACUUGUUAGGUGAAAACCUUGGGUGGGAGCCCACCAUCACAUGAGGACUUCUUUGUCCUUUUCUUUUUCCAUUUUUUUUUUUAAAUACUUUUUCUUUUGAGAGAGAGAGAGAGAGCUUUUGAGAGAGAGAGAGAGAGAGAGAGAGAGAGAGAGAGAGAGAGAGAGAGAGAGAGAGGGGGGGGGAAAGAAAGUUCUUUGGGGACAUGGUCUAUGUGCCUACAGUGGAGUGUUUGGAAGCAUUCUUUUUCUUUUUUUUCCCCUUCUUUUUUUUUCGUUCCACCGAAAAGCAAGUGGGACUGUAGGACGCCUCUGUUUAUCUCAGCCUUUAAACCAGUAGCUACAAUGAGGCCAUGUGAGUGGGGAAAAUAGAAAGUUAGCUUAUUAGUGGAUAGUACUUGUGUGUUAGUUAUGCAAACACAAAAAAAAUAUUUAAAUAUUUUUUUGAUAGUUUUCGAAAUACUUUAAAAUGCCGAUUUGUUUUUCUUUCGUAACAGAUCAUAUUAUGUUGUGCCGUUUUCUGAUUAGAUGUAUGCAUGUUAUGUUGAUUCUCAAUUUUUUUUUUUCACUAUUUCGUGAAUCCUAGGGUUCAAUUAUUUUUCGCCUGUUACUCCUAUGAGAUAUGAAAAAUGAUCUUUCUCUUUAAUUGUAGACCUCUUUUUAAAAUUUUUGAAUAAUUUAAAUUCACCCUAUAUGCGGUUAGGACUGCAAAAAAGAAUUUUUCCUAAACAUUAGAGAGAUCCUUGACGAGACAAACUAAGAUAUUCUUGUUAAAUUAAAAUAGAAAAUCUAGUUGGGAUUUAUCCGCACCGUAAAAUCGUGUCUAUCGUGUAAAGACACACGAAUUUCAAAAAGCAACGUAACAAGGGCGAAUUUGACGAUUCUCGAAAUAGAAGCUAAUUUUACCACACUGGUGAUUGGACCACGAAAUCGCCUCGGAAAUCGUGCCGGAUUGUCUUUCAAUUUCCCGUGAUCCGGCCCACCAGGGGCCCAAGCCCAAAAUCACUCACCGAUUCCCCACGCUGUUAAUGGGCCCGGCCAAGUUUUCGAUGGACCUGUUGGGCCUAUAUCAGCCCACCGUAGUUAUGCUCGAUAUCUUGGGCCGUUUUAGACCCGAGAUGGGGCUGAGUUGUACGGGUGGUCUCCCCGGGUUCAUUCACGCCCGGGUUGUGCCUUGUUUGUUACGUAGAUAGUGAGAACCAUGACUUUUGCGUCCAUUUAGUAGUUUUCGUAACAUUAUGCUACUAGGAAUCAACGUCCAAAAAAUAUUUUCGUCGAAAAUAUAUACUCGGUGGGGAGUGGAUUCGCACCAUGCCGAAGAAAAAAAUGAAAAGAAAAGAAAAGGUCAUUCGAUCAAUGUCACGCAAAUUGCUUUUCUUGUCGUCAGUUGACGAGUUUAUAGACUCAUCAUUCUUAAUGCAUGAUCAGUAUAUUUUUAUAUAAUAAAAUUUAUAAUAUUCAAUAGACAAAAUGUAUAAUUGAAUAUUAAAAAUAAAAAAAUUAUUUUUAAGAAAUUUUUUAACACUAGUUUUGAGUUAUUAUAGGUUAACAUAUUUCAAGGGCCGUGGGUAAAGUUAGUUAAAUUGCUCGCUACGUUAGUACGAUGUAUGUAGAUUUUUAUUUUAUUAAUAUAUUAAUAUACGAUACCAAAGCGCAUUAUCCGCCCUUUUGAGGAAACCGCGCUCUCUUUUCCUUUUACUUUCACGAAGAAGAAGAAGAAGAAGAAAUACCCUAACCCUAGAAUGUGGCCGUUUAGUAGGAAGGGGCCUUCGGGGUUUUCAUGGUACUCCACGGCCGAGGAGGUCACGGAGGGGAUCGAUGGCUCCGGCCUCACCGCGAUCGUCACAGGUUCGAUUCCGCCCUCAAUCGAUCGUUAUACGGUUUAUUUGUCGAUCUUAUGCAGGAUUUGGAUCAGUUGUUUUAGUAGUUGUUUCACAAAUUGUUCGUUAUUUAGCGUUCGGAUGCUGAUACCCACUUCGAUUUGCUGUUCCUACCCGCGUUUUGCUAUUUUUGGCUUAAGUUUUGAGUGUUUCUGUGAUGAUGUCUGAAAAUAUUAGAGCAAUUAGGGCUUAUAAUCUAGGAUAAGCUGUUUAUUUACAGGUAAUUCAUAUAUAUUUACAUGCUUAUUAGUGAAAAAGAGGCCUAUAGAUGGACCAGAAGCAUCAUACAUUGAGUUUAUAAUGUUCUUCAGGAUUAUAUGUCCUUGUUUUCUACUUUCCUAAUGAGUGCUAAUGAGUCAUUUGAUCUAUUUCCAGUUAUCUUAGUUAUGACUUAUGAAUCCAUGCAAAAUUAGAAAUUUUUGCUAGUAUAGAUGCAACUAAAGAAAGAGGACAACUUUGGAGUUCGAUGCAUCCAUCUAAGUUACCUUAACAGAGCUGGGAGGAGUAAAGUAGCAAAUUUGAUUACAUUUUUAUUAUGGAUAUAUGUUCUAGCUGCUGUAUAGCUUAGAUUGACCAUUUUUUCAGGGGCAUCAAGUGGAAUUGGCACUGAAACAGCUCGUGUUCUUGCGAAGCGUGGUGUUCAUGUGGUCAUGGCUGUUAGGAAUGUAACAUCUGGUAACAAUGUGAAAGAGGAGAUUUUAAAGGAGAUACCCUCUGCCAAACUUGAUGUAAUGGAGUUGGAUCUCACGUCGAAGGCAUCGGUUAGGAAGUUUGCUUCAGAAUUCAAAUCUCAGAAUCUACCGCUAAAUGUGCUCAUGUGAGAAAUUCUUAAAUGUAAAAAUCACUGGAAGAAUUAACUUGGCGACUGCUAUAUUAUUUGAAUAUAACUAAGGGCCUGUUUCAUGCGGCUAGAGCUUCCAAACAACUACAGAAGUGUUAUUAAGUACACCAAUUGGAUGAAGCGCUAGCUGUUGCUGCUCAGAGUAGUGAAACUUUAGAAGCCAGGAACCAAGUUUUCUUUUCUUUUUUUGUUUUAUUAUCUGUUGUUCUAUUUUAAUGCGCUAGUUGGAGGAUAUAUGAAAGUGGUACCUUCUUCCUUUUACUGUUAACAGUAACAAUGCAGGAGUUAUGGCAACUCCUUUUUCGCUUUCACAAGAUGGUAUAGAGCUGCAAUUUGCAACUAAUCAUAUAGGUACGUGCUCUUUUUUUUUCAUCUUAAUUUUUUUAUCAUUAAACAGUAAGUUGCUUUUUCCUUUUUUUUUGAGCUAUUCUAAGUUCCAGAAUAUAUAUAUGAAGCUUUGUUCCAUAUCAUGAAAUAUUUUCUUUGCUCACCAACAAUUUUUUUGGCUUUUUUUUUGGAGUAUUCUAGCUUUCAAAAAUUCUAAGAUUCAUUAACUCGGAAUGAUUUCAUAGCGGAAAUCUGAAGAUAUGUGAUAUACUAAAAUGCUAUCUUUUGCAGGUCAUUUUCUUUUAACAAAUCUUCUUCUGGAGAACUUGAAGAACACAGCUCGUGAAUCUGAAGUGGAAGGAAGGAUUGUCAAUGUCUCAUCUGAGGGACAUAGAUUUUCCUACGGGGAAGGGAUUCGGUUUGAUAAGAUCAACGACCCAUCUAGGUACACAAAAACUAUGUUUUAGUGCAUCCUUCUAACAUAAAGUCAAAACCAGUGAGGUUACUGAUCUUCUUGCUCUAAUAUGUUCAUCUACAGCUAUAGCAGUCUCGGUGCAUAUGGGCAAUCAAAGCUUGCAAACAUUUUACAUGCCAAUGAACUUUCCAGGCGCUUUAAGGUACCUAUCAGGGAGAGUUGGGUCUAUAUAUGAUACCUUGGUUGAUUAAUAUUCUCUUUUUUAAAUACCUUGUCCUAGUUUGUACCCAUCAUAUACACAUGCUGAAAGGGCCGGACUGGUCUACUUAACAUGUUUGAACAGAAAAACAGUUUUCUUAGCAGAAACUAAAGUCAAUACAUUAUGAUUUUCACAAGAUGAAUGCAGUUAAUCUUUGUCUUGUUAUCGAUCAAUAUAAUAAACUGAAAGAUCACAUAGAGUUCUCAGUGAACUUCUCUGAGAUAGUUUUCCUAUACUAUGUUCAACGCCUUCCUAAAGAUUUAGCUGUGUUUAGCUGCUAUGUCAUUUCAGAGAGAUGAUGUGGAAAUUACAUAGCAGAUGAUUCAUCUACUGUGUCGAGCCGAGUUUUAUUUAUUUAUUUCAGAGAGAUGAUGUGGAAAUUACAUAGCAGAUGAUUCAUCUGCUGUGUCAGAGCCGAGUUUUAUUUGUUUUUAUGGUUGAUUACAGUGAUUAUACUUUUGAGUGUAUUAAUUGCAGGAUCCAUUAAUAAAGUUGUCUCUUAUAAAGCUUUUAUCACUAUUUUCCACAGGAGGAAGGGGUGGAGAUUACUGCAAAUUCUCUUCAUCCAGGAUCAAUUAUCACAAAUCUUCUGCGCUACCACAGUUUUCUAGAUUGUAAAUUAUCUGUACUCUGUAUACUCAAUUCAUGCAUAUAUUCUCUUUAGUAAUUCCCAAUAGUUAGCUUAUAUUCUAUGGUAUCUGGAUUCCCCUGUGAUAUAAUGUCCAAAGGUUGUUUUUUCUCUUUUUCCCCCCUAGCUGCUGAUACGCAGAGAUGCUGUUGAAUGAUAACCAAUAUAUACCUCCAUUCUUUAUUGUUAGCAAAUGAUUAUCUCAUAUGUUUGCCUGAUAUAGUGCACUCUUACAAGAUUAUUAAGUAACCAAUAACCUAAUCUUCUCUACCAUACACUCUUCAUCUGUGCUUCACGAGAAACAAAAUCCUAACUUAUUUUAGGAGGAUAUCAUGUAUGACAAUAAUUGCUUUACUGUGUGUAAAUCUCUCAUGGUCUUUUCCAGUGGUAGCGUAGAUAUAACUGUUUCCAUUAAACAGAAAUGCAUUAGACAUUUUUAAGCAUCUGUAUGCUGAUGCAUGGAUAGGUUAGUCUAUUGCUUACAUGAUAUCCAUGUGUAGAAUAACUUUUCUGUUGCACUUCUAGUUAUAAUUCUAUCUGUCGAAAUUGAAGCUGACUAACCCUACAUUUGCAUGCAGUUCUUCACCGGACGGCUGGAAAACUAGUAUUGAAAAAUGCUCAGCAGGUUAGCACGUAUACUACAUAUCCUGCAAAACCAAUGAAUUGUGUUUGCGCAUCUUCACUAAAUUAUACCAUGCACUAUCCUGAAAUUUCGAGUGCCAUAGUUUUGUAAUAAGCUUUCACUCAUGCAACCAGGUUAUACAUUCUGAUGCUAUUUAAACUACUUAUUUAUCGAGAUGAUAUUGCAAUAUUUAAUUUGACGGUACAUUCCAAUUCAACUGCUCUAUAUUUUUGAAAUUUCUGUCAUUAACAGGGGGCGGCGACCACAUGCUACGUAGCGUUGCAUUCUCAAGUGAAAGGAGUGACGGGGAAGUAUUUCAGCGACAGCAACUUAUAUGAGCCGAGCGCCAAAGCGAAGGACGCUGAUCUGGCGAAGAAACUCUGGGACUUCAGCAUGGAUUUGAUCAGCUGAAACAAUCGCUGCAACCUUAAAUUCAACCUUCGAUUUCUUAAUGCUUUUGGAGAUGUAAAAUUUGACUGUUUAUCAGAAAGCGAUUAGCAACUAUCGAUACCAUUAAUGAGAUGAGGAACCUCAGCAAUACUGCACGGUGAUAUAAAACGUUCCGCGUUGAAACUGCAGUGUGUGAAAGAAAUCUUUUUUCUUUUUUUUAAUUCUAUGCAUCCUUUUCACUACCUCUGGUUUUAAGUAGGAGUUGAUUAUUGUUUGGGUUGCUUUGAUGGCGUUGGUUAUAUAUUUUUCUUCUAAGGGAAUAUUUGACUGGGUGUAGAAUUGAACCGAAAAUUAUUUUCGGCUCGAAAAAUAACUAUACGAGCGUUUGGUUGCUUGCAAAAUAGACUUUUGUGCAAAAAAUUUUUAUAGAUUUUGCUGAAAAAUUUAUUUUUCAUCCACUGUCCUAGAAAAAUAUAUAACUAAUAUAUAUGUUAGUAAUUAUUUAAAAUACUUUUAUAUAAUCAAACAAUAGAAAAGAAAAAAUAUUCUUUAUUUUUUUUCCUACAAAUCAAAUAUGUCGAGUCUGAAAUCCUUAUUUUUACAAUAAAUUCAACAUAAAAAGGUGUAAAAUUUUCUUUUUAUUUACAAUAAACCAAACAUUAAAAAACAUAUAAUUUUUUUUCCAUUAAAAACUAUUUUUUUCCGUGAAAAAGUAUUUGUUACACUUUUAUGUGGAACCAAACAAUUCGUAACAUGAAACAUUAUAGUGAUUAUUCCCAAAAUUUAUCAUGUAGAAUGGUCGAAGUUUCAAAGGAUCUGGGACUUGUAUAAAAGAAUAAUGCGAGUAAAUAUUAUUUUGUUUUCUCGGAUAAUUUCCGUAUAAUUUGGGAUACCUUCCAACUGAAGCACAGGCUUUGCGCAGGUGAUCGUCAUCCAUCUAGCUAACCACAACACGUGAGUGCGAUAAGCCGAUAACAUGUGCAUGCGCCAUGGUUUUUAUAUUUGAAGAACGCUUUAGUCCCACAUCGACUAGCGACUACUCUUCCCACUCGCCAGCAUGUAUAAGAUGGGUGGGGAGUGGACCGUAUAUCCAUACUUACCUGGACGGGGUCUAUGGGCGAUCAGAAAGGUCCAUGGCCUGGGCCCGCGGCCCACAUUGCACUUUGUGGGUGCGCUGGCCUACCAUCUCCCCAAGAGGGAGAGUGGACGUCAUAAUUUGUGGUAGAAGGGGGUACGCGCAACGCGCGGCCCCUGCCAAUUUAAAAUAUUUAAAUUUUGAAAAAAAAUUCACUUGCCAUUUUAAAAUAUUUAAAUUUUGAAAAGAAAUUUAUCUUAAAAAGUACUUUGAAUUUAAAGUAACGGUCAAAAUUUUUUAAUAUAUUUUAUUGAGUUACUAUGUUUUGAGUAGUGAGAUUUUUAACCCAGCUUAUAUAUGACUAUGGAUUUAAAAUGCCACAUUUAAUUAGCUAUAAAAUUAAUUUGCAACUAAUCAUAUUUUAAAAAAGAUUGUAGGUCGCAAGAUGAGGACAAUAAAGAUUAAUGAAAUGAUUAUAGUGGUAAUAAUCGAAGUAUUGGUUCCUCAGAUUACUUGAAACGCGUAAUAGCACCGCCGUGGCCCAUAUCCUCGGGGUUCACCGGCCCAUGACCGGCCCAGUUAAACUCUGGCCCAGUUCUUCAAACCGAUUGGUUGGACCCACUAACACGGAAUAUUAUGUCCUCAUCCUGGUCCAUAAGGUCAGAUUUGGACCGGGCCCAUGCUCCCAUCCUUAACCGUAACAAUGGCAGGUGGUUCACGGGUGAGGUGUUGGGUUCGGGUCACGAAAUUGACAAAUGCGGGCCCCGCUUGUCCGUUACGGCCUUAAAACCGUUACACAAAUUACCACCCUCAGAUCACCAAUCAUCAAACGCCAUCAUAACGAUCCCACACAGAUACUCACGUGGCAACAGCUCGGCCGUUGCUGGGACAGUUUUAUUCCCAGAUGGAGAAACACCGAAGUGUUACAUCGGAGAUUUUUUUUUUUUUUUUUUGCGCUUCUUUUCCGCGCUUUUGGAAAAAGAGGCGGAAUUAGUGUGGGAGUGGAUGUGUGCACGAGGAAACCCCUCCAUUUAUUAUCCUCUCCCUCCUCCUCGACGUCCUCGUCCUCUCCCCUCUCCUCUCUCCUCUUUUGCUUCUAUGACGAGUAAUCCCCGAUAGGUGGUAUUCCAUCUAGGGUUUCACUCCGAUCUCCAAGCUCGUUUCCUUUCCAAUGGCGAUGGGGGCCGUGCUCUCCAGUAGAAGCUUCGUUUCUCCUCUCGUCUCAGGUUUGGUCUCAAACCAUCCGUCUCUUCGUGUUUCGGUUUGAAGCGUAGGAAAGUUCAAAUAUCGUGUCCUUUAUGGUGUUAUGCGUUGAGAUGUGUAGUAGGAUUAUUGGGUCACGUAUGGAUGCUGGUGUCCAGUAAAUGAGGGCCUAAUUAGUAACUUUAAUUGGUUGAGUUAAUUGGGAGAAAGUCGAAUUGAUUUGAUUUUGCUUGCAUCUACUGAUAAAUUUCGUGCCUCGAAUUAGUUAGGAUGGUAAUUUUUUAUUGCAGUAGUUGUGAAAUUUGAAGCUUGGUUCAUGUUAACCCUGUAUGACCUUUUCAGAAGAGGAGGCUUUUCGUGCUUAUGCGAAGCUAGUAAUUAGCCAUCAUUUUUAAAUUGGUGACAGCUAACGGGUUGAACUUGUGAAGAAGCUCCCCCUUAAAGAAUUGACUAAGUUUUUCAAUUAGCUUUUGGCAAGUUGGUGUCAGAUUGUGGUAGGAAAAGCUGCAUUAGGGAGAGAGGGCUUGCUAUAAAGAUUUAAAAAUUUGUCCCCAUCUUUCAGGCACUAAAAAGCCCAAUCCAAAUAAAGUUUUUUUAACAGCAUUCAGAAACAGCAGUUUGUUUUGGCAAAAAUCGACGGUAGUUGACUUUAUAAAUUUUGUUUUGAUUCGUGACCAUUCUCAGAGCGAAGUACUUGGCCAUCACCAAAAACCAAAUAAGUGGGUCAACUUGCUCACAAUUAUUAAAGAUUAAAUGCUAUUAUCCAUGUCCUACAUAUGUUCUGCAAUUGAUGCCUCAUGCUUGGAGAUGUCAACUUGACGUUUUUGAAGGUUUGGGACUCGUGGUGACUAGUCUGGAUGCGUAAAGUGCUAAUCAAACUUAUGGUCUGGCUAUUUCUAGUCAGUUUGGCAUUCAUAACAUGUGUGCAUGUUCGGUUCAAGCAUGCUAGUUACAUGAUAUUGCAUCUCUCUUUCCUGGUUAAUGUAUUAUACUGAUUUGUAGAAUUUUACUUUCUUAUUUCAAUCUUUUAUCAUGUGAGCACAGCUGUUAUCAAAAUUAAACAACUCGCGUUACUUAAAGGCAUUAGCUCGAAUGAUGAGAUUUUAUGAUUUGUAAUGGAGGACAUGUCACUUGGAUUCUAGCAAAGUUCAUAAACUUGAAGGUAUCUAUGCAGGAAAAGAGUAUCGCUUGAAACGGACUACUGCACAUGAUAGAAAAGCACAUUCCCCAUCUUCUGCAGAGCAAUUUGUGUGGGGUGGGAUUUAUAUCUUGUCUGCUCGAAGAGAAGACUCCUAUAUUGCUAGGAGUUCCUUCUUCCCAAGUCGUAUAUCUUGUACUUUAGGCAACACUAUCAUGAUGAAGAGACUUGUAUCACUUGGCGAGCUACGAUACCCUCUAUCAAAUUCUUUAGGGAAUGGAUCUACUGGAAAGAUGCCUAAUAUCAAUUUCAAGAGAAGACUUCGGGCAAGAACAGAAUGCUUUAUUUCUUCAGAUCCGACAAAUAAUAGUUGGAUACAACAAGGAAAGUUGAACAAUAUUGGCAGAUACCGGUUGGCAAUUAGAACUCGUGCCGACUUCAAAUCAGAGCAGUAUGAAAUAACAGGACCACAACCUGAGUCAUUUAGUUCUUCAGAAGCAUCAAGUGAAGCAGUUUUACCUGGAGGAAAUGUGAGGGAUGUAUCUAGAUGGUGGGAGCAGUUUCCUAAACGUUGGUUGAUCGUGCUCUUAUGUUUUUUUGCAUUCCUGCUCUGCAAUAUGGAUCGUGUAAGUUUGUUAUUGUAUACCAUACACUUGUUGACAAUACCAGUAGUCGUAACUUCAAAAGAAGAUCCAUUUGGCAGCCUUUUAUGUAGAUUGCCGCAGUCUUUGAUAGUUUCUUCUUUUCUUUUUCUGAAGCUGGUCAAGUGUGGUGCAGGUAAAUAUGAGCAUUGCAAUCCUUCCAAUGUCGGCAGAGUUUAAUUGGAAUCCAGCAACUGUUGGCUUAAUUCAAUCAUCUUUCUUUUGGGGCUAUCUUCUUACUCAGGUCUAUCUUCAUUCCUUCCUUUCCUUUUUUCUCUCAUACAGAUGAAAAAUACGUAGGCACGCACACCCUUUUACUGGGGAUUGACAGACACUUGAUCGUCCUCGAUUUUCAAGAAUUAUGUCUGCUUCCAGUAAGGUUGUAGUGAGGGGGCACAUAAAACAUAGAGAAUGAUCAUAUUCUGAUCACUUAUAGUCUGUUACAAACUUUCAGGACAGUAAAUUUUUUUUUUAUUGAGCAAUUUUUUGCUGAAUAUUUUGUCUUCAAUUCUAAGACUAAUCACAUGAAUUAACCAUUUUUUUUUCUUCCAUCAAUGCUUUCAAUUCUUUGUACCUGGUAGUUCUUACCUAAGGUGUAUUUUCUGAAAUUUUUGAGAAAAGGUAGGGGCAAAGAGCCUCUGCCCAGUUCAUACCUAAUGUGUAUUGUACUGCCAUGGACAUCCCUUUUUACAUUGUUGGGUUUCUGGUGUCGACAGAUCGUCGGAGGUAUUUGGGCCGACAAGAUUGGCGGCAAGGUAGUGUUGGGCUUUGGAGUUGUAUGGUGGUCAAUCGCGACAAUACUUACCCCACUGGCUGCCAAGAUAGGCCUUCCCUUUCUACUUAUUAUGCGUGCUUUUAUGGGGAUUGGUGAGGUUGGUUUCUUCUUUCACCUUGACCUUUUGAUUGUUACACCUAGAGGACAAUCAUUUUAGGACCUGUCAGAAAGUUGAAGGGGAUAAUGCUGUUCUCAGUUUGUUGACUUGUCCUCUCUGAUAUUUGAUACCUGUCAGAUCAUUUUAUAAGUAUCUUUAUAAUGUAAUGUCAUUUGUAGUUGACGCAGCUGCUCUUUUCUUGGAUUAUAAAAUUUUCUGCUCUUCAUUUUGAUGCCUAUGUAUAAUAUAUCAACGAGGCAAUUUAUUUCCUUGCAGGGUGUUGCUAUGCCUGCUAUGAAUAACAUACUCUCCAAAUGGAUUCCAGUUUCAGAAAGGAGCAGAUCGCUUGCAUUAGUCUAUAGCGGGAUGUACCUUGGUUCUGUCACAGGACUGGCAUUGUCACCAAUUCUAAUCCACAGAUUUGGAUGGUCUUCUGUUUUUUAUGCAUUUGGGUCCCUUGGAAGUAUCUGGUUUGCUCUGUGGCAAUUAAAAGUAAGCCAUGAUUUUUAUUUGCUUCUGACCUUCUGAUAACUCAUAAUCUAGCAAUCUGCCGACUUUCUAUCCAUUAUGCAUUUCGAGUCCCUCAAAUGUUUCUGGUUCUUAUUUGGCCAGUUGAAGUAGGGCUUUAAUUUAUUUUACACUUAUUAAUUUGAUUUCUCUUUAGGCGCACAGCUCUCCACAAGAAGAUCCAGAGCUUAGUUCAGUUGAAAAACAGCUCAUCUUAGGGGGAAAUGUGCUGAAAGAACCUGUUACCUCUAUACCAUGGAGACUAAUUCUAUCGAAGGCUCCAGUGUGGGCCCUCAUAAUAUCACACUUUUGUCAUAACUGGGGCACUUUUAUCCUUUUAACAUGGAUGCCCACAUAUUACAAUCAGGUGAUUGCUAUUUCAUGGUUCUGGAUGUUUGUGUUGUUUCUUUAUCAAACUCAUAGGGAGUGUUUAACAGAAAACAUUGUCUCCCUUACUCUUGAUGCUUGUCAAUAACUAUAAAAUUAUCUUUUUCUUAGUAUUGUAUAUAACUAAUAAUUGCAAAAGUCAAUGUUCAAUUGAUUGUACUCAGGUGUUGAAGUUUAAUCUUACGGAAUCUGGGCUAUUCUGUGUGUUACCAUGGUUAACCAUGGCUGUCUUUGCGAACAUAGGAGGGUGGAUUGCAGACACAUUAGUUGCAAAAGGACUUUCAAUAACAACUGUUCGUAAAGUAAGUUUUUUAUGCUAUCGAAUUUUUAUCUUAUGCAGACAAUGGUGGUAGUGCUUGAUCUCAUUUUAUAUAUUAUUGAAUGGUCCUUUUGUCCCAGCAAACUAAAUUUUUUUUAGGUGUGUACAAGCUCAUCUUUGUGCAAACUGUUGUGUAAUGCUUGAAAUGAUUUUGCCAUACAAGUUACUUAAAAUUUUACCCACCCAUUCGUUUUCACUCUUCAGACAUAAAAUAGCAUACUUCUGAUUGUAAAGUUCACUUUGGAUCGUCAAUCAUCAUUCCUUGAUAUCUGGAAUUUCUUAAUAUUUCAUUAUCUACUUUAUCUAUCUAGGAGAAUACUGCGAUCAAAACAGCUGCAAGUGUGAAUUUCUGGUGCUGAGGUUGAUUUUAAUUUGCUGCCUCAUUGCAGAUAAUGCAAUCAAUUGGCUUUCUUGGUCCAGCUUUCUUCUUGACACUGCUCAGCCAUGUCCGUACACCAGCUUUGGCUGUGCUUUGUAUGGCAUGCAGUCAGGUUUGAUUUGCUUAAUAGCUUUCUUAUAAAAAAAAAUUAUUUGCUAUUUGUUGAGAUUUUAUAUAAUGCCUGGCAUUGUUGCUGUUUCGUUUUAUGAAGUCCUCAUUUCUCUUUCCUCAGUUCUUCUUGAAUGAUCCAUUUUCUUUCAAAGAGCAAAGUUUCUUUUAGGGAACUGUAUUUGAAUCAAGUUAUUUGACUUGAUAUUAUUUACUUAUAGCCGGUGCAUUCUUGAUAUUAUUUGGUUGGUUUUUAAGGCAAAGUUUUCUUUUUUCUUUUCCAGGGCAGUGAUGCAUUUUCACAAUCUGGUCUUUAUUCCAAUCACCAGGAUAUAGGACCGCGUUAUGCAGUAUGUUCUUUCCAUUCGUUUUUGGUGCUGUCGUGCUAACGCUUACUGGCAAAAGGAUAUAAUAUUAGUCACAUGAAUAAAGGCUAUAAUAGUCAUGCUAAUGCUUGCUUCUUGAGUUCAUACAACUGAUAGUCAUUAUUAGCCGCACGUCAAGUAAAAAUGCGACGCGGUCUCUUCUGAUGCUCUUAACUGUUCUGAAUUGUCUACUUUGUAUAUAGUCAAUUGCCAAUAUAAUGAUGUGCUAGCACAUAUGAAAAACAAUUUGAUGUUUUGUAGAUUUAUAGGAAGUUUCUCGCUUAUGCCUUUCGACAAAGAAAGAGAUCUUCUUUCUUCUGCUCAUCCUUCUAAUGUAGUUGUAUCCUAAAAUGGAUAUGUUUUGAAAAUUAACAGGGAGUGCUACUAGGGUUAUCGAACACUGCUGGGGUGCUUGCAGGAGUUUUUGGCACUGCCGCGACCGGCUAUAUCCUACAAAAAGGCAAGGAAAUAGCAAAACCGAUACACAAUCUCAUUUUAAACUUAUUUAAUUUAACACUAGUUUACACAACACUUGCAUCUUUAUACUAAUAUUAUCUUUUCUUCACACCAUAUGAAUUCUACAGGCUCAUGGGAUGAUGUAUUUAAGGUGGCUGUUGCCCUCUAUAUCAUAGGCGCAUUGGUGUGGAAUAUCUUUUCAACUGGAGAGAAAGUUCUCGACUAAAACAGAAGCAAGCAGUAAAUGCUGCUAUACCAAAUCAAAGGUUUUGCUAACAUUUACAUGUGCAAAUACAAGAAUGUUGAUCAUCUUCAGCGACAAACCCUUGACAAAUUUGACUUUCGCAUUUGAAAACGAAGAGAUGUGAUGUCACAACAGCUAGAUGGCAUGGCAUGAGUAAAAUGGCAUAGUCGCAAAUAAGUAAUUGUUGCAAAAACCUAUUGCAGCUAUGAGAUGCUGCUCUCUAUGAAUGUUUUCAGCGAGUCGUCUUCUUUUUUUGCGGUUGAGGGGGUGCAAAAAAUAUACCAACCUCUGAGUUUCUAUUUUCGUUGUUUGUAAAUUUUAAAUACUCGGCCAUGCAUCUUGGCUCUAACUUGAGUUGUGAGAACAAGUCAUAGCCAUAUGCAUGUGUACUUGACAGCAUAAAGCUUCAAGAGAGUUUUAGGCCUGGGAAGCUUAAAUUAUUUUUAUGUAAUCUUUGAAGAUUUUAAUGACAGUUAAAUUUUUCAUAUCAUCUUCUAUGCAGCAGAGGGGUUAUGUUCUGUACCCUUCUGCUCAAAUUUAUGCUUAACAUGAACAGAAGCAUCACACUUUCUUUUCAUUCCUUUGUACAGUUAGAUGAGAUUGUAUCUGCAGCUAGUUAUAAUCUUCAAUUAUUCGACUUACAUUUUCAGGUGAUAGGCCUUUAAUGUGAUGCAGACGAUACCUGCGCGAACCAGAGAGCAAUUUUGGGCCUAUCCUGUUAAGGCCCAAAGUGACUUUUCUGGUUCGAAAACCUCACACGAAUAAAUUUGGGCCCAAUAGGCCUUCUCUGGUGCCCUGCUCAAUUUAGCCCCGUUAGCUAACACCCUUUACACAGUUGCAAUCUACAAAAAGCUCCGGUUCAAAAGUCGCGAUCAAGCCUCAGUUAUGCAAAUUUGAAUCAAAUAGAAGAAAAUAAAGAUAUGGAGUUCGGAGUCCGGAAAGACUUGAAACUGAUCAGAACAUCUCUCUUGUAUGCUGAAAGCUAAAAGUGUGAUAAUUUAUGUAAACAUUUUACUAUCAGGAAACUACACACACACACACACACAAAUCCUAACAUGAGAAAAAUAAAUGUAGUGUCACGCUCCAGAAACUUUAGAGGGGAAAUUAAUGAACGGAGAGAUAGCGCCAGAUGCCCAUAACAUGACUUGGGGUGAUGAUGAUGCUACAAGAUAGGGAAGUGGAUAUCUAUAGGUGGAUUCGAGGCAUUAAAAAUUGUGCAAACUUAGCCUCACAUUAUUGGUUGGGUGAUGAUGUAUUGAUGCUAACACAAUACAACGAACGAGGUGCAUAGGACAAAAGGGCAUCUCAAGGAGCAUUACUGUACACACAAACACCCGGGCCCACGGUUUGGACCCACUUUGCUUUUUAUGGCAAUUGACUAGGUUCGAUUCUUGGGUCACUUAGUCUAACCAUAACUGUUGUAGGGAACCUCAAAAGACCCCAUAUGUAUAUAUAUAUAUAUAUAUAUAUAUAUAUAUAUAUAUAUGUGCAAUUUUCUAUAUAUAACCAAUUCAUUAUCUCCAACAUGGAAUAUUAGAUUUCGAUUCUAUAAAAUCUAUUGCUGUAGGAAAAUCCAUUUUAAUACAUUUUUAUUCUAUUUUUCUUUUUCAAUACUGGUUUCUGCACGAAGCAUAAUUUGAAUUUGAAUUUUUUAGACCAGAGUGGAUGCCAGUAGUAAUUAAGUUCUGAUCUUCACAGUUGGUGGUUGCAUUCGAUAUCAUUUUGGACUUAGGAACGGAUGUGUCUUAAUCCUAACGCAGCGAUCAACUCAUGUCGGCAAAGAUAAAAUUUAUGCGACGGUGUGCAGCUUUUGGGAGGAGGGGGGGGAGGGAGUCUAUCAUGAGACAAAUUAAGCAGCAUUUAUUUGUGUAUGAUAAAACAUUUCUUAUUCGGCCUUUUAUAGCUGCUGAUAUGUUGGCUAUAUUGUAUAAAUUAAUUAUUGCAUAUCAUUUGAUUGUUAGCACAUGUCAUUAGUAGCUAGGAUCUUAGGGGUUCUAUCAUGAGACAAAUUAAGCAGCAUUUAAUUGUGUAUGAUAAAGACAUUUCUUAUUCGGCUUUUUUAUAGCUGCUGAUAUGUUGGCUUUAUUGUAUAAAUUAAUUAUUGCAUACAAUUUGAUUGUUAGCACAUGUUAUUAGCAAGGAUCCUUGCUAGCUAUGUGGCACUAUUGUCUCCGCCAUUUUUGUAGGCAUAUAUCAUUUCAUAAGAUAUUUAUUUAUUUAUUUGAGAAAACAUAUAUAGUAUGCUAUCUAUUUUAUUUUUUAAAAAUAAAUUUAGCUAAAAAAAUAUAACAGUUCGUUAGGCUUCGAACUUGAGAUCUUAGAUACCAAUCAUCAAAUUUUUUAUCACUUAUAUUAUAAAUAGUCAGUGCAAAUAUUCAUUAAUUAAUCAAUCUUUUAAUUAGUGAGGUCGAAAUAUAUAUCACUACAACAAAAACGGUCUAUAGCGACACUUUUAAAUAUAGGUACAUGUCAAAAAAGUGCUGCUAGCUAAAAUUACCGACACUUUUAAAAAGUGUUGCUAUAUGUGGGGUCGCUAGGUAUAUAGUGACAGUUAAAGAAUGUCGCUAUAACCUAAAAGAGUGCUGCUAAUUUACCAACACUUAUUUAAGCAUUUAACAACCGCCGAAACUCUAUCUCGUUGGCUGCGGUGGCCGAGGAGGACGACAGAAAAGGCUCUUCGUCUAGAAUUUCAGUAGAUUGAGUGAAGAGAGAAGAAAAGAUGGCAAUUGAUUUUUCUUUUUUUUUUUUUCUUUUCUGUUUGUAAUCGGGCCAAAUGGACUGGGUGUGAUGGGUUGAGUAGAGUAAUCUUUUAUUUUUGGUUGGAUUGGGCUUUAUAUUUAGGCAUUAGCAAAUAUUUUUUUAAAUUUUAACAUAAAUGAAAUACUUACUCAAAAGUGUCCCAAACAUAUGUCCCUAUAACUUAAUUGUGUUGUAGUAUAUGUUACCAAAUCAACAUGGGCAUGUAGGUUUCGUCACCAAACGUGAUAUGGAUGACACAACUUAAUUUGAGACUCCUCAUUGUCCGAUUACCAAAGAGUAUGAAACACAUGGGGUUUGGUGCACUCCAGAUUUCAUCUAAUAGUUACAUGCACCAACAUAUAUAGAAAUUAACAUAAAAAAUAUUAUUAAUGUGACAAGUUGUUAGUCCAAAAAGACCAUAUAUAUUUUAUUUAUUUACAUAAUAUGCAACAUCAACAACGUAUGGGACGAAUUAGCAACCAAAUCACAUGGCGACAUAAAAUCACCUAAAAUUGUAUCUCAAGUGAAUGAAAUGGUAGAAAAUAUUACUCUCAAUUUUGUACGCACGCAAAUGGAUGCAUGUGUACGUUUGAUCGACAUCCUACAUGCUAAGAGUGUUACAUAGAAUAUUUUUCACAUGUGAAAAAUUUAGUUCUAAGCCACAAAAUUGUACUCUCCCACGAUUCUGUAGAGUACCUCAAUUGCUAAUUUUUAAUGUCUUUUAUAUUUAUUAUACAUAUAAAGCGUAAGUUUUAAACAUUAAUAAAAAAAAAAUCUCAUUAGUAGGCUCGGUAAGAGGUUAAGAGGAAAAUUUUAAUUAUUACUAGUGCUACUAUUAUUGUUAUAUAUUAUUAUUUAAAUUAUACUAUAGUUUUCAAAGAUAUAUAUAUAGUUCGUACAGUGACGUACUAAAACCAAACGUAUAUAGUUUGUAUUAAUCAAUGCAUUAAAAUACGAUCAACGGUUGGCGAGUGGCGACUGAGAUAGCUCAGCUAUUUAUAUGCGUUCAUUUAUUAAUCGGUGUAUAUGGAGCUGUGGCGCGCAACACCAAAACAAAAAGCAGUUGUGGGCCCAUCAGAUGACGUGGCACCUGUAGAUGCGUUGGAUUUGGGACAUGACAGUCACAUCGAAGUGCUUUUCACUUUCCCCUUUUUUUUUUUUUUUUUUUAAACUAGAUUUGGUGGGCCCCAGUGAUGUGUUAUGUGUAUAUAUUUAUGUUUGUGCAGCUCAGAAGCAGCUGUAGCAGCAAGCGGUUUUCGUAAAUACCGGGUUUUUUGGAAAAGCGGUUUUCUAAAGCUGUUUUGGGUUUAUCUAGUCGUAAUUUGACCUAGAAUUUAGAAUACAAAAUUGGGUUUCAUCACUAACUUUUAAGUUUGUUUAGUUUAAUUAAUUUGAUGGAUCUUUUAUAGUCAACAAUUAUGAUGCAUUAUUUGCUUCAGCAAAGUUGACUGUAGUUUUUUAUGAUUCACGCACACUCGAAUUUUAAAGCAGAAAAGCGGUCUAAUGUCGAAAAUUAAAAGAACGAAAAGAUUAGAUGGUAAAUAACAAAUUCUAUAAAUUACAAAUUGAUGCGCCACAUUUCAAAUUAAUUUUAGCUACUGUGAAGGCAAAUUCUCUCAACUAAUGAAAUUUUUUUCAAUUGUUUUCAUUUUACGUUAUUUCUCAAAAAAUUUUAAAACUUUUCAACUCAAUUCGAAACUCAAUUGAUUCAAGUCAACACCAAAAGUAUCAUGGAGAAAGCUUUCUCCUUUUUAAGGGGUGGGAUAUGUACAUGCAUGUUGCCUUUGUGAAUUGUGAUGUGACAAAUUCUCUCAAGCUAGACUCCUAUAGAAUCUUUUCGUAUACGCUAAGUCCUAACCCAUGCAUGCACCCACUUGCAAAAUGUAGCAAUUAAUCUUGAAUUUAAAGAAGAGUCUUUUUAAAAAAGAAAUUUUGAAGAGUGAUUGCCUAGGCUUCACCAUGAUCGAGGCCCUAGGCAAAAAUUACCUAGAGGAAUAAGAUGCACCAAGCUCUUGCGACUCCAAAACGAUCCUCGAAGAUGUGAAUUCGAAACAAUAUUCCAAAUUUAUCCAGGACAAGUGCAAAUGAAUCUGAAUAUUUGUGACUUUCUAAUCGAACAUGCAACAUGCUGUCGAAGAAUUAUUGGUACGACAAUUGCGUUUGGCUCGACAUGGGCACGACAAUUUUAGGACAAUUUUUGUAGCAUCUAGUGUCUCAUAGGUGAUAUCCGCCGAGUACGAAAGUGAGGCCCACAAAAAGGAAGGAUCUUUUACCAAUCAAUGCCGCAACACAAAACAAAUAAGUAAAUAAAAAUACAAAAGACACUACAAGAUCUUCCAAAAGAUUAAGUCCCGAAAAAAAAGUAAGUGGCCAACAACAUUGAUAGAUAAAAGAGCUUAUUGAUGCGAAGGCUUGUUGAAUUUGUUGCUCAAAAUGAAGGUCGAUCGAUAUUGUGCAAUUUCCUUUAUUCCCAAAUCUUUUGAGUGGAGGGAUUAAGAACGAAGUGGGGCAUCAUCAACUCUAGAUCCAAUUUAAUCUCGCGUCAUACUAGAUAACAUUCCCUUUGCCCUCACUUUAUUUUAUUUUAUUUUAUUUUUUCUCUUUAGUUCAUGAUAGCAUAUAUAUAUAUAUAUUGGAGAGAUCCCUACGUAAAAAUUUUAAAAUAAAUAAACAUAGUGUACAACAAAAUGUAGGUGCCACAACUUUCUAUAGUACGCAUCUUGCUCUACUAUUCUUUUUAGGCUUUAUUUGGAUGCCCGAAUAAGUUAUUCGGUAUGAAAAUAAUUUUUUGUGUAAUUAGAGGUAAAAAUUUGAUUUUUUUUGCUUUAUAUAUGUAUAGGCAUUUGUAACUUAAUAGGAUAGAAUAUUUUAUAUACAAAAUAAUUUAUCUUAUUUAAAAAAAUAAUUUGAAGGCCGAAUAUAAUUUGAGAUAUACAUAUAUAUAUAUGUUUGACCACACUCCUAACUUUCAAUUGUAAUAAAAGAUGUUCAUAUCAAAUUAAUAAAAUAUCACUGAGUGACUUAUUUUGAUAUUCAAACAGAGCUUAAGUUUAGAGUUAUGACACUAUAUAUAUUUUUCGCAUGCAUGGGAAAAUGAUAUCUCAUAGAUGAAAUUUCUUUCGCACGGAAGAAAAGGACCACCCUAAUUAAGUAGAGAGCUGUAGUUUGAAAAUGUCAAUUAUACUUUUCAGAAGGGUUAUGUCAUAAAUAGUUUAGAGAAAUAUUUAAUAAUCCAGUUAGGAUUUUCGCCAGAAAAGUUCUAAUUUAUUUUAAAAAAUAAGAGUGUUUUCUAACUGAAUUCUCGUAGUAUCUUAUACCCUAUAUUAUAUAUAAAUAUAUAUAUAGAGGGGACUACUUACUCUGAGACCUAUAUAGGGUUUGAGAAUAUGUCUCAACGAUAAAAGGAAACAUCUCUUGUUAAUUUUGUUCAAAAACUCCACAAAAUUUUGAUGGAGCAAGUUAUUUCUUGUUAAAGUAGAAUUUUUUGGAAUGAUGAACACACUAGUUAUGUUCAUAUGUAUAUAGUUAAUAUUAUGAUAUUGAAAAGCAAUAGUAGUUUAAACAGCGUCUAUGUAUUAUAAUAAAGUGCAAUAUAUAUAUAUAGAGAGAGAGAGAGAGAGAGAGAGAGAGAGAGAGAGAGAGAGUUUUGCUAGAAUACUGUCGGUAGUAAACAGCUCGGUUUACUACUGAUUUGUUUUUGAUGAUGGAGCUUCCAAAUUGAUGAUCGGCACCGUUAAACAUGAUCUAAACUAUUUAAACUAUUUGAAAAUCCAAUUUCACACAUUUUCGAUAUUGUUCUCUUGUCCAUCAAGUAAACAGAAAAAUAAAUGACUGGAAAUGAAUAUCCUUCAAAAAGUGAUAAUACAAUUUUUAUAUUUGAGAUCUAGAGUCUAGAUCUUAUUUUAAAUAAUUUAAAGAAUUUUUAACAAAAAUUUAGUUGAUUUGAACUCUUCUAUACCGUUAAACGAGCAAACGCACCAUAUCGGCCAUUAAAAUUAUAGAUUUUGUGACCCUUUGAUCGUUCAGUUAGUGAUGUCAAAAAAUCAUGAAAUUUGAUUUCUAGAUAAUUUAAAUGGUUUAGAUCAUGUUCAACGGUGCCGAUCGUCGAUUUGGAAGCUUUAUCAUAAAAAACAAAUCGGUAGUAAAUCGAGCAGUUUACUACCGAUAGUAGUCCAGUCAAACUCUCUCUCUCUACAUAUAUAUAUAUAUAUAUAUAUAUAUAUAUAUAUGAGUCCGGUUGGGAUACUAUCGAUAGCAUGAAGUAUUUGGUGCUAUCAAGUUUUCUACCGUUAGAUUUACCUCUUUUAUCAUUUUCAUCCGUUCGAUUAUACUAUUUAACCAACCACCCACUCAACCCUAGUGGGCCCACAUUAUCCUAACCGCACAUCUUUUAAUCUAAGGGCAGAAAACUUAAUAGCACUAAAUCAUUGGUGCUAUUAAUAGUAUUCCAGCCUAGUUCUAUAUAUAUAUAUAUAUAUAUAUAUCACUACUAUUCUAAUGGAUUUUAUGCAAGUCUAAUAAGCAUCCAUUCUCCUAAAAGCAUCUUAUUAAAUAUAAUAAUAUUCUUUAUUAUGAACCACCAUAUGAUCUAGAGUUGUAAGAUACGUAGGAAUUUUCGCCUUAUGUCCAACACAAGUGGAGAGAACUCUUUAUAGUGAAUGUUUAAAUAGAGACUUCUUAAUGUUUUGUGUUCUUUUUAUACAAAUCUAAAUUCGGUGUUUGAUUUUAUAUGUUGAAUUCAACUUCUUAGAAAUGUAUGAGGAGACUCAACUAUAGAAACUGUAACUACGCCUAAAUUGGCGGCUGUUCUAGUUGAAAAGAAUAACUUGAAACAAAAUGUUAGCUUACUUUCCUAAUAACUUUUUAAAUAAAUGAAUAUAUUUUUUUCUCUACAUUGUAAAUAAUCAUACCACAUAAAAUGAUAAAAUUAAAUUGCACUUUUAAUUAUAUGUAACCAAAUAAAUUAUUUAUAUUUGCAGUGUUUCUACUACAUUCAACCAAAUAAAAUAUAUAUAAUUAUAAUUACUAUAUUUUUAACUAUAUGCAUUUAUAAUUAUAUUGUAUUGCUUAUUAUAUCCAACCAAACAGUAACAAUAUAGAGGAAAAAUUCUGUAUUGCGGUCCAUAUACUGGUAUUCCCAAAACUCAAACCUAGAUAUUAAAAUAUACAUAUGUUGCUCAACACAUAGUAAAAGAGUUCUAAAAAUUAUUAUUUAUUUUUUAAAAAAAUUAAAAUGUUGCAGAUCAUAUUUUACUUUUUAUCUUUAAUUUAUGGUCUCUUUAAUAUUUAUGGUGUCUAUGCUCGGGUCUUUGAGAUCCUCGUGUAUAGACCUUGUUGCAUCGAGCAAGUUCUUCAACGAUAAGAGUCAAAUUAGGAAACUUAUCAAGACCGUUGAGCGAUAAAUGGUUUAGGUUUGGAAUAGUCUCCAAUGUGAGACAGCGUGAUCAGACAUUUAUACAACUUUAAUUUUCGAGCAAUGACAUGAUAGAUUAUAAAUCACGCAAUCUUGCAUUAUGAAUUUUAUUGUCAUUAAGUUUUUGUACAAGGACACCUGAUUGACAUGUUAACCGCACACGUGGUAUAUAGUAAGGUUUUUCUUUUUUUCUUUUUCGACGGAGAUCAAGAGACGGGAAAUGUUAAAUGCAACUCAAUUUUUUUAGGAAUUCUAUAUUAUCACACUUGCAUUAUGUUAUUAAUAACAAAUCAAUCAUAUUUUUUUCUUUUCAAAUAAAAGUACAAUAAAAAUAUUUUUUUACAAUCAUGAUGGGACAUAUACUUCUAAAAAGAGACAUUUGAUUGGUUUGUUACGUUCUGUCGCCAAUAUAACUGUUGCAUUCUAGAUUUUUUUCUUUUUUUAUUUAUUUUUUUUUGUGUGGCUGUGGAGAGCUGAUUAGGUUCCCUCAUUCAAUUGAAGUUCGUACAUAAAAAAUUACAUAUGUUGACUCUGUCUCUUAAGAAAAAAACUUGAAAGGGCUAUUUUAUAUAUUCCCCAUAAUGUGGUUUCUAUAUAUCUACACUUUUCAUUUUUCCGGAAAAAAAGACAAAAAAAAAAACCUUAUGAGUUUAACCUGAUAGAAAUAAAUAACUUGCACCUUAUGUACGGAUUAGUUUUUUUUUAAUCAAAUUUAAGCCUAUCACACCAAGCCGAAUUAAGGUUCAAAUUUUUUAUGUUUAAUUUUAAUAUUAAUGAUUAGAUUUAUAAAGUCUAAUUGCUAUUCACUAAGCUAAUUGAAUCUUACCAAAUUCGAUGAAUCUUAUCUGAUUCUAUUAAACACUUAUUUGAGGACACUACUUCUAGUAAAUAUUUAAAAGGGAGGGAUAUGAUUGGUUUCUUAAUUUUUAGUUAGAAAUGUAGCAAGGCCCCACUUCGAUCAUUUUUGUUAGAAAUCAACUCAGUUAAAAAUAUAAAGUAUUUAGGUUUUGAAUUUGGAACAUCGAAUAUCAAUUAUUAAGUUUUUAACCAACUGUGCUCGGCAUGUUCAGUUAUGGUUGGUAUUAUGUUAAGCAUGUUGAGUCAUGAACAUUGAUCUAUAUAUUGGCCAUGUUAAAAAAGGUUUUUAUUGUUCUUACUUGUGUAUUGUAUGAUUUACCUACUCGCUCUCUCUCUUCUCUCUCUCUCAUAAAUGGCUCGAAGUAAAGUCAAACAAUAAAUGGCCAUGUCCCAAGCCCAAGGAAUUAAAUUUGUUGGUUUUUUUUAGAUCUUGGAUCAGAGGCCAACCCAGUAAUGAAUUGUUUCCCAUAAAUGUGGACAAUAGAUAAAUUUAAUCCUUUUUUUAGCCGCCUCAAUUUUUUAUUGUGCAUGCGUAGUGGAUUGUAAACGGUGUUUAGGUCAAUCGGUAUCUGAAUUUGGAGCCAAUCCAAGUUUUUUUUUUUUUAGUUCAACAAGAAGUGUAUCCUUGCUAAAAGUUCUCAAUAAAUUGGGUUAAUUUUUGUGAUUAGAUUUUACUUGAUCAAGUUCAAGAAAUUCGGCGAAAUAAUCUAUAUAUAUAUUGACCUUUUCUUUUGAUAAGAUUAACGGAGAAUUCUACUUGUUGAACUCAAUAAAAUUAAAUGAUGUCGAACACAGGGGAUGUCUCUACUAUGGCAUUACUAAAAGUUGAUUUAGUAUUUAGAAUAAAAUAGAAAUAUUUUUUCGGCGUAUCAGAUUCCUGAAAUGUUAGUUAAAAAAUCAUACAAAAGAGUUUCAUGCAUAUGGCCUCAUACUUUUUGUGCACGAGCUCUUUUCCCCAUUCCUUACUUUAUAUAGCAUUCCCACAUCGCAAAAUAUUCACCUUUAAUCAUGAUCCAUUAUCUAAAUUAAUUAGCAUUACAUAUAUAUAUAUAUAUAUAUAUAUAUAUAUAUAUUAACACGAAGGGAUACUCCUUAUCUCACCAAGCACAUGUGGAGGAGGCAGUUUUGUACUUGUCCUCAUUUGUACAAUAAAAAUUUGCACUCGUCCUACUCAGUACAACAAACUUUUAUUUUAUGUUUUACUUUUUUUUUAUUUUAAACAUGUGAAUAAUUUUUUUAAAAAGUCAGCUCCUCUUAACAUUACAUUUAUUAUUAUUAUUAUUAUUAUAAAGAAUGAAAAGCGUUCGUCAAUCUAGGUGCAACGACAGCGGUGGAGCGAAAAAUAGAAAUUAUAGUGAAAAAAUUAUUACCAUUAUUAUUAUUAUUAUUUACUCAAAUUAUUUAUAAAGGUGGAAUCUCUACUUUUGGACACGUGUCAAAACGAAACGUUCUUAUGCGUGUUUGCCGUUGUGGUGCGUUCCAGGGGAUCGGGCCAACGAUUUUGAGUCCGCGCUCAUCCGGCGUGGCGGGCUCGUGGGUCUGACCAAGUGACGGGUCAACGGAUCCACGUCGCUCACGCAAAAUACGAAAACUAUUCCCCGCACCCGGUCCAUCCGUACACCCGUGCACAGCCAAGUUAUUCGGCCUAGAUUAUCUCUCAUCCAUCUUAUCUCUACUUUCAAUCUCGUUGAUUUAUGAAUUACUAUUUUCUUCUUAAAAAAAAUUGAAUGACAGUGAUUGUUGGGUAUAUGCUUCAAUCUAUAUAAUUUUAUAAAUAUAGAGUACGAGGCUAACCUUCCGUCCAUUUCUGAUGGGUGAAAGUUGAGAGGCUAAGAAGGAUUUCGCUAUAAGUAGAUUGAAAAAUAUCCUCCAAAGCAAAAUUUAAUAAGAACUACUACAUAUUUUAUUCUAGUGUAGUUUUCCUUCGAUUUUUUUUUUUUUUUGAAGCCCCAGCUGCCUCAUCUCAUAAUCAAGUUCAUAUCCUAAAUGAAUAAAACGGUAGCAUGCUAUCUUUUCUCAAAAAAAAAAAAAAUUAUUUUCAUCCUAACACACGGAUAAGAAUGCAUCGGGUGCAUAGAAUAGUUCACACUUCCGGGAACCAAAUGCCGGGUUUUUAAGAAAGCCCUUUAUCUCUUUUAAUUAUGCUCUCAACCCCCCUCCUCCACUCGAACUCCUAUAUAUACCUCUGAUCACCUUCACCAUUCCCACCCAAUCUCCUCGGCACAUUUAUGGUUAAUUCCUCACCCAUCUCUCCACAUCAAACCAAAAUAAAACCCCUACUAUUAGUUCUCCAUCUUUUAGCAUUUCUCUGCGAUUAGCUAUUCCCUAUUCAGUCUCUCUCUCUCUCUCUCCCUGGCGUUGGCGUGAGAUUGCGGAAAUGGCAAUGGAUUUAGAAGCGGAGGGGGAGAAGAAAGAGGAGGCGGCGGAGCGGCAGUACAUGGAAGGGGUGAAGCAGCUUUGCGAGAGCGGCAUCAAGAAGGUGCCCAACAAGUACAUCUUGCCAGCCUCGGAGCGUCCUCGGGUGAACGGACGGCGCGAUACCGCCGCUCAAAACCUCAGUCUCAAGCUGCCCGUCAUUGAUCUCUCUCUGUUGCACUCGAAAGACCACGCAUCGGUUAUUCAGUCCUUGGAAAAGGCCUGCGAGGAGUACGGAUUCUUUCAGGUACUACGUUUGUUGAAGUGCUAUUUGAAUAGAACUAUUUUUAAUAUUUUUAAAAAAAAACUACUUCUCACUGUAUGAAGUUUAUAGAUAGUGAACCACGGCAUUCCGAUCGAGGUUAUAAGGGAUAUGGUCGGCGUCGUGAGGAGAUUCUUCGAGCUUCCGUUUGAGGAGAGAUCAAAGUAUAUGUCGUCCGACAUACGAAAUCCAGUUAGGUACGGGACGAGCUUCAACCAAAUGAACGACAAAGUGUUUUCUUGGAGAGACUUCCUGAAACUCAGCUGCCAUCCUAUCUCCAGCGCUCUCCCGUUUUGGCCUUCUUCUCCUGCAGACUUAAGGUAGCGCUCGCAGUACAUAUUAACUAUUUUAUUUAUUGAUUAUGAUAGAUCAAUUUAAUAAAAAAAAAUAAUUUAUAUUAUUCUAUUAUACGCACACUCAUAAAAAAGAUAAUAAAAAAAAGCAACAAUUGAAAUAUUACCCAUUAAUGAUUGUUUAGGAAACAGUACAAAAAUAGCCCUAUCAAACAAAAAGUAGGGUUGGUCUAUAGAGCAGGGUUUCUAUACUUUUAUGAGUAUAGAGCACUUCGUACUCAUAAGUUAUUUUAGAUGUUGGGAUUUUCAAAUCAACGAUCCACACCGUUAAAUAUGAUCUAGAGUAUUUAAAACUUCUAGAAAAUAAAUGUCAUAAUUUUUUGAAAUCAUUAUAAAUUCAUCAAGCGGGUAUAAAAUGAACGGUCAAAAUCGAACGACACCCUAAAAAUGGAUGAUCGGAUCAUUCAAUUUAAAACCGGAGUUAUUGAUCUUUAUUUAGGUAGUGAAUAAAAUUUUCUAUAAAAAAUUCAACCUAUUCCGAUUCUUUUUCACUGUUAAAAUAACAAAUAUCUCAUACCGGUCGUUAAAAAUUGUCAAUUUUGUGAGCUUUUGAUCGUAAGGUAAAUGAUAUCAAAAAAUUAUAAAAUUUNAAAUAACAAAUAUCUCAUACCGGUCGUUAAAAAUUGUCAAUUUUGUGAGCUUUUGAUCGUAAGGUAAAUGAUAUCAAAAAAUUAUAAAAUUUAAUUUCUAAAAGUUUUAAAUGCUCUAGAUUAUAUUUAACAGUAUGAAUCGUUAAUUCGAAAGUUCUAUCAACGAAAACAACUUAUGAGUACGAAGGCAAUCGUACUCAUAAGAGUAUAGUAGCCGAACUCUUGGCCUAUAUACCAUAUAUAUGAUCGUGUGAGCGUUGCACACUGAAAAGCCUUUAUAGGUGGAAACUGGGGUGGGUAGUUUGAUAAUUUCUAUGUACGCACCUAGAUUUGGUCGGUUUUUAAGUUUCCUGUAACUCAUUAAUUUUUGUCCCCUUCAUUUAGUAGAGUAGCAGUUCCUCUACGACACAGGAGCCAGCUUUUAUUGGAAGCAUAUAUAUAUAUUUCUCUCUUUAAGUUGUUCAAGCUUUAACCACCUUAAUUUUCUUUCCAUUUAAACUCUAUCUCUCUCUUGUUUCAAUGGUUCAGAUAAGUAAUUUACCACCUCUUUUAAAUUCUUAAUAUUCUUUUAUACAAUAUAUAUAUGUGGAUUCAAGUUGUUUUCUUUUUUCUUUUUUUUUUUUGUGUGCGCACGCACACCCUAGAAGCGAAAAAAGUAAUUAAAUUCCUCCAAACAGAUGUGCUGAAGCCAACUCAUCAGAGCCAAGUCAUAGUCAGUUGUGGGUAAUAUGGUGAUAGAAGUCGACUGCACAGAACCAAACUCACAACUUUAUACAUAAAUAAAUAUAAUAUAUUUUAAAAUACUAUUGAUAAAUCAGUAUUAAUAUAAAUAUUAUAAUUUAUUAAUGAAGAUUUGCUUUUUUUUGAAGUUAAUAUCUUAAUUUUAAUUUCAUAUUUAAAAUUUGAAAGUUUAAACCACAACAGUUAGUUGUUAUAUGUUUGGAAGAGUGAAAAAUCAACCAUAGUACAAUGAGAUGUAUUAUUAAAGUACCCAUAGUUAGUAUCUAAUAAUUUAUGAGUGAGUCCUUCUUACUUUAGCUUUUUGGACUCCAUAUCUUACUUAGAUCUUCAUGUUCCAUAUAAGGACUACACUUUUGGGUACCCUCUACUGUACCCUUAGUAUUAUAUAUAUAUAUAUAUAUUAAAUUAAAUUCGGAUAAAUUUAACGGUAAAAAAUUUGAUAGUACCAAAUAUUUCAUGCUAUUAAUAAUAUUCCAGCCGAAUUCUAUAUAUAUAUAUAUAAAAUUAAACUCAGGUAGCUAAACGAGUCGCUACUACAUGUUGUGCCAACUAAGAUAUAGAGAAGUAGUUAGUACAUCAUUAAAUUAUUUAGGCCUUUUUCGCUAUCAUAUUUAUUUUUUGUUUUCAUAAUAAAAUUUUGUAUAUUAAAAAAAAUUGUAGGAGCAAACAGCGAAUUAUUUGUAAAUUUUUCAUCCAAAGUAACAUUUACUCAGCAACAAAAAAGAUAUUUAUAAAUAAAUUUUUUUAAUUUUUUUUUUAAACAUGUAGCCAUCUAUCACUCAACCUGAUGCAUAGUAAGCUAAGGGACAAUAACAAUACCCCAAAUAAAAAAAAAAAAAUCCAGCACUUCACAUUAUAUAAAAUUAAUAUUUUUUUAAAAAAAUGACAACGAUGCCGAAAUUUUACCAGAAAUUAGUAAAUAAAGUUUGCACUCACUGUACCAUAAGAUGUAUAAUUUGACUCGAUCAAAUUGAGUGGUUUCAUUUGGAAAAAUUAGUAUAGUUAUUUAAUUCUUCAAUUUGAAAAAUUUCAAUCCUAAUUAAAAGGGUAGCUGAAUUUUGAGCAAAUCAAAGAUUAAAUAAAAACACCGUAUAGAUUCGGUCGCUUAAUUUGAUCUUUGCGUGAUUUCAACUUUGACCCACGUGAGAAUUCGAGUUGUGGAUCGAGUCAACUAUAUGGGAGAGUUUUGGACCACAACGUACAUUUUUAUUGUGAAAAUGUUUAUUUGGACCAUAAUUAGCCCCUGCUUAAUUAAAUUAAACUUAUUGAAUUAACCCUCCUUUAUUAAUCUAAUGCAGGGACAAAGCACUUUUAUAUGUCAAGGAAAUGAAGAGUUUGUUCAUGGAUCUGAUGGAAGCGAUUUUGGAGACUCUAGGAGUGAACCGUGGCGUGCUCGAAGAAUUUAGAACUGGAUCGCAUAUCCUUGUAGCGAAUUGUUAUCCGGUGUGCCCCGAACCGGGACUUACCCUCGGAAUGCCGCCCCAUUCUGACUAUGGCUUCCUCACUCUUCUCCUCCAGGACGACGUCGAGGGGCUACAAAUCCAGCACGGCGACGAAUGGGUCACCGUCGAGCCAGUCCCUGACUCUCUUGUCGUAAACAUCGGCGAUCAUUUUGAGGUAGUUAAAGUUACUUAAAUUUAAAGCUUUUACUUUUGGGUUUAGAAUAUCAUUUCAAUUUUUCGCUCUAGUUAGGAGUACUUAUUCCCUCAACAUUAAUUGCGCUCUCAAAAGUCUAAAUUUAUUGGUUUUGAAACACGAGUGUUGCUCUCAUGAUAAUUAAUUAAGCAUUUUCCUAACCAUUUUGUUCCUUACAAUUGGAGGGUAUAUUUUCAAAAUUUCUAGUUAAAUAUUUCGGAUUGAACAGUUAUUUUAGAAAUCGGGCCAAUGAACAAAUUCAUAGUCCUAAAUCGGAAUUCGAUCUUUGAAUCUCAGAUAUUCAGUAACGGGAGGUACAAGAGCGUUCUCCACCGAGUGUUGGUCAACCCUGCGAAGCUCCGAAUCUCCGUCGCAUCCCUCCACAGUCUCCCCAUCGAGCGCGUCGUCGGGCCCUCCCCCGACCUUGUCGACGACGACGACAACCCGCGGCGUUACAUGGACACGGACUUCGCCUCGUUCCUCGAUUACAUCGCCUCGUGCGAAUCGAAGCACAAGAACUUCCUCGAGUCAAGGAGGUUGACUCCUGGCAAGGCCCUCCCUGAUAGUCAACCAAUUUGACUUCUGAUUCCCUCGCCAAAAAGGCGUUGACAAUUUGAGCAUCGUAUUUUUGGGCUAUUUAAAUAUUCCGACAAAUUAAUUGAGACUACGUCAUCAUCACCAUCAUCCUCCUUUUCAAAUUAUUCAACCACUCAAUUGUAGGAGAUAAGAUCCGUAUAGUAUGUACGUAGAAAGGAGAGAGUAAGGGAUAAAAAUAUAUCUAUAAUUAAUUAUACUUGCGGUUGGAAUCCUUUUAAUUAUCUUUGUAAUAUAUAGAAAUAGGUAUAUAAAUUAAAGAUUGACCUUUAGCUUUUAUUUAUUUAUUUAUUUCGGAACAAGUAUGAUGAUUUAUGGAGUGGUUUCAUAGAGAUAGGUGGAUCAUCAUAAAGGCCGUAGACAAGACCACCAUUAUAAAUCAAUGCUAGUACUAUAGGAUAUUACUAAAUAAGAGUAAUGAUCACACAUGUGCCUAAUCAAUUUAGUUAGCAAUAUUAAUGAUUAAAAUCAAAACUAUUACCUGCAACAAUUAGGCUAAUUAACUCGCUUUCCUAAAUAUAAAAUGUACCAUAUAUGAUUGCAGCAAACGUACGUAACCAAAUGUGUCAUAAUAUGUGUCAGGCUAAUUUAUCAAUAAUAUUCAGAGAUAUUUUUGGAUGUAUACAAAACAUUAAUUAAUCUAAACAUAAAUUUUCACUAUACAUUAGUAUAAGUAUAUUGUGCUUUAUUAUAAAAGUACACGGCGGAAAAGAAAACAUAAAAAACAUUCAUUUCUUACAAAAGUAAGCAUUAAAGGAGUCAACUCCCAAGGAAGCUUCCUUAUACUGGAAAUGAUGGAAAUGUUUUCCAAGUUAUUUAUUUCUCUUUAAAAAACUAAUAGAAUGGAAAUUCUUAGUUGACUUUUUAAAGUCUUUAAAAAAAAAAAAAAAAGUUUAUCACACUAUUUGACGCACCAUUCAAACCAAGGUUCAACUAGGGCAGGCUACUUAGGAAGUUUCAUUGAAAUGGCAGUAGUGAAGAAAAGCCAAGGAAAUGCUGUGUUAUUUUUAUUAAAAUUAAAUUAAUUAAGUCAAACCUUUUCAAGAUAUGCUAUAAAAAGAACCAAUAAUUGAUCUCAUUUUGCGUAAAAUCAUCGACACGUUCUUUGCUACUAUAAUAGUUAACUAAUAGUGUCAUAUUAGGAAUAGUAAUCAUAUGGUGGCCUGUUUGGUUGGAUCGAUGCAGUUAUUAAUAUAAUAUAGUUGAAGAUGUAUGCGUUUGAAAAUAAAACAGUUACAACUACUAUAUCGUAUUUGACUGGAUGUUGUAGAAAGCAUUGUAAUUAAAAUAAUUUAUUUGGUACAAAGUUUUACUACUUUAUACAUAUGGGAUGGUGAGAUUAUUAUAAUGUAGAAUAAAAUAUAUUUUCUGUUUAAGAGAUUAAUAGGAAGGUAAGAUUAUCUUUUAUUCAAAGUUAUUUUCUCCAACUGCUUCAGCAGCUAAUACGGAGAUAAUUCGAACUACUGUGUUUUAGCCUACUCGUCCAACUUCCACAGUAGCAAUUUAAUUAAGACAACACUGAAUUUGAAAUUACAUGCAACGAACUAGGCCCUUAUACUAGAUAGAAAAAAGAAUCAUGACCCCGACCUGUAUGUAUAUAAUAUAUAUUACCAUUAAUUUUAUGUUUUAGUAUUUCUAAUUAUUUGAGCUCUUUAACAUAUGUUUAACUCCCCUCAAAAUAUGUACAUUUAAGUUUUCUCCAAUUACUCUAAAGAAUCUUUUGAAAUUGAAAAGAGUCACCGCAUUAACUUAAACAUAUGUUGUAGACGUUGAAAAUGUUGAUGAGAGCAAGCAUUAUAUUCAUACAAUUAAGUUAAAAACAAAUAUGUAUGUAUAUAUAUAUAUAUAUAUAUAUAUACACAAAGCUAAUAGGAAUGGGGGAAGUAUUAAUCAUCCAUUUAAUAUACAAAUUUGAACUCAUGUUUGAAAGAGGAAAAUUUAAUAAAAUAUUCACAUGGCCUAUCUAUAUCGGGAGAAUGGGGACCAAUCUAUUUUGUACUGCUACUGCAAAAUAGUACCUAUAUUGACUUUUCUCAUGCAUUUAUUUUUUGUACAUAUAUUAAUUGUCCACAAUAAUGCACUACUAUGCUUGGCGCCUUCAAUAUGGGGGCACUCUUGUAGCCAUAGUAUUACCAGCUAUUUGUAGAUCUUCGUGGUCCCAAGAGUAUCUUAUUCCAGAUUCACGCUUGGAUUUGCAACAGCGCAUAUAUAUAUAUAUAUAUAUUGAUUCGGAAUACUAUCGAUAGCAAAUCGGCUCCGUUUGCCACGUAUUUAUUUUCAAUGAUGGAGCCUCCAAAUCGACGAUCGACAUCGGUGAACAUGAUCUAUACCACUUAAAGUAUCUAGAAAUCAAAUUUCAUGCUUUUUAGAUAUUAUUCUCUUGUCCAUCAGGUGGGCGCAAAAAUGAACAGCUGAAUAUGAAUAUUCUCUAAAAAGUGAUGAUAGAAAUUUUAUAAUCAAGAUCGAGAGUAUAAAUCUUGUUUUAAAUAGUUUAAAAAAUUUUCUAACUAAAAUUCAAUUGAUUUGAAUAGCUCUACACCGUUAAACGUGAAAACACCUUAUAUCUACCAUUAAAAUUACAAAUUUUAAAACCCUUUGAUCAUUAGGUCGAUGAUAUCGAAAAGAUUUGAAAUUUAGUUUCUAAAUACUUCAAGUGGUAUAAAUUAUGUUCAACGGUGCCAAUCGUCGAUUCGGAGGCUCCAUCAUCGAAAACAAAUGGGUGGCAACGGAGCCCGUUUGCUACCGAUAGCCUUCCAGCUCAACUCUAUAUAUAUAUAUAAUAUAUAUUAUAUAUAUAUAUAGUAUAUAUAUAUAUAUAUAUAUAUAUAAUUGAACUGGGUUACUAUCGGUAGUAAACUGCUCGGUUUACUACUGAUUUGUCUUUUGAUGAUAGAGCUCCAAAUCGACGAUCGGGCACCGUUAAACAUGAUUAAACCAUUUAAAUAUUAGAAAAUAAUUCUCAUGAUUUUUUGGUAUCACUACUGAACGAUCAAAGAUCACAAAGAUCUAUAAUUUAAUGGCCGAUAUGGUGCGUUUGCGUCGUCUUAACAGUAUAGAAGGUUUAAAUCACUAAAUUUUUUUAGAAAAUUCUUUAAACUAUUUCAAAUAAGAUCUAGAACUCUAGAUCUCAAUAUGAAAAAUUAGUAUCAUCCAUUUUGAAGGAUCAUUAUUCAAGGCAUUCAUUUUUGUUAACUUGAUGACAAGAGAACAAUAUCGAAAAAUGUGUGAAAUUUGAUUUCCAGAUAGUUAAAUAAUUUAGAUAAUGUUAACGUGCGCGCAUCAUCAUUUGAUAGCUCUAUCAUCGAAAGCAAAUCGGGUAGUAAAACGAGCGUUACUACCGAUAUGUCAUUCUAACGCUAUCAAACUCUUUCUCUCUCAUCUCCACGGCAAUUUCUCUCGUCUCCUCUCUCUCCUCUCUCUCUCUCUCGUUCCUCUCUCUCUCUAUUAUAUAUAUAUAUAUAUAUAUAUGGUCCGUGCUACUACUACUAUUAUGAGUAGAUCGCCUCUCUACUCAUAAUGUGUUUUCGAUGAAGAGCUUUCGAAUACGACGAUCCACACGUUAAACGUUAUUUACAGUAUUAAACUUCUAGAAUACAAAUUUAUGAAUUUUUCGAAGUCAUUUACCUUAUGAUCAAGAGGUCACAAAUUUGCAUUUUUAACAGCCGUAUGGGAUAACAUUGCUAGUUAACGGUGUAGAAAAAUCAAAAUUUGUUGAAUUUUGAUAGAAAUUCUAUCACAUACUAGAUAAAGUCAAUAACUUCGAUCAUUUGAAUUAAGGAUCCGAAUCAUCUUUUUAGACGUCGUUCGAUUUAGACGGCAUUCAUUUUAUAACCCACUUGAUGCUUUAUUAUGAGUUGUCGAAAAUUUAGCUAAAUUAUUGUUCUAGAAGUUCUAAUAUGAUCUCUGAUCAUAUAUUUAACGAAAAGAGUGGAAUCGUCGAUGUCGGAAGCUCUAAUCAUUGAAAACAACUAUAGUACGAGAAGCUCAAUACUCAUAAAUAGUAUAAUAGCCAUGGCCUAUAUAUAUCAUAUAUAAUAUGAUAUACUAUAUAUAGCGAGAGAAAGAGAGAGAGAAAGAGAGAAGAGAGAGAGAAGCUGGAGCUAUACUAAUGAUAGCAAAACGUCAUUCUUCUAUCAAUUUAGAUCUUUGGAUCAACUCUUUUAAUAAUUUCUAAUCAUUUGAUUAAAUACACACUAAUAAACAGUGGGGACGACUCACCCAUAGGGGACCACUCACUCUAAUUGACUAAUAUCAUCUCCUAUCCUAACAAUUUCUCAUUCAAAGUUAAAAAAAUUUGAUAGUAAAAAAGAGUUUUUGCUAUAUAUAUAUAUAUAUAUAUUAUAUAUAUAUAUAUAUCAAUGAAUUUAGGCUACUAUAUGAAUUUGUAGUACGAGGAACUCCCGUACUAUAGGUUGUUUUCGAUCUUAGGGCGUUUCAAUUUAACAGAUCCCACACAGCUAAAUAUGAGCUACAGCAGGUAUAUGAAAGUUCUAAGAAAAAAAAUUUUAGUUUUUUUUUGAUAAUCGUUUACUUAUGAAAUAAAUAUUGUAAAAAAUAGACGGUGCGAACUAAAUACUCUUUAAAAAAUUUGAGCACCUAGACUUUUUAAAUCAAGAUUCAAGAAGUGUAACGCUAAUCUAUAUAGUUUAAAAGAAUUUUCUAUCAAAAACAUUUGACAAAAAUUAGAUUAUAGCUACAACGUUAUCUCACAAACCUCGUCAUAAUAUGCCAUUGAAAGUUGAAAUUUUGAAAUGUUUGAUCAUAAAGUAAACUAUGGCGAAAAAAUAAUAAAUUUUUAUUUCUUAGAAAACUUUAAAUACCUAGAUAGUUUCUAACGGUGUGAUCAUUGAUUUGAAUGCCCAAGAUCGAAAAAACAUACUAAUAAGUACGCGAGCUCCCGACUAUAAAUGUAUAGUAGCGACUCUUAUUAAUAUAAGUAAAAUAACUAGUAUAUAUAUAAUAUAUAUUAUAUAUAUAUAUAGUAUAUAUAUAUAUAUAUAUAUAUAUAAUUGAACUGGGUUACUAUCGGUAUAAACUCGCUCAGUUUACUACGAUUGUCUUUUAGAUAGAGCUCCAAAUCGACGAUGCGGCACGUUGAACAUGAUCUAAACCAUUUAAAUAUUAGAAAAUAAUUCUCAGAUUUUUGGUAUCACUAACUGAACGAUCAAAGGAUCACAAAAAUACUAUAAUUUUAAUGGCCGAUACUGGUGCGUUGCAUCGUUUACAACAUAUAGAAGGUUUAAAUCACUAAUUUUUUAGAAGAAUUCUUUAAACUAUUUAAAUAAGAUCUUAGACUCUAGAUCUCAAUAUAAAAAUUAAAUAUCAAUCAUUUUUGAAGGAAUCAAUUCAAGCGCAUUCAUUUUGUUAACUUGAUGACAAGAGAACAAUAUCGAAAAAUGUGUGAAAUUUGAUUUCCAAUAGUUUAAAUAAUUUAGAUAAUUGUUAACGGUCCCGACAUCAUUUGAUAGCUCUAAUCAUCGAAAGCAAUCGGUAGUAAAAGAGCCGUUACUAGCCGAUAGUAUUCUAAAGCAAAACUCUCUCUCUCAUCUCCGACGAGACAACAUCUCUCUCUCUCUAUCUCUCUCUCUCUCUCUCGUCCCUCUCUCUCUAUAUAUAUAUAUAUAUAUAUAUAAUGGUCCGUGCUACUAUACUAUUAUGAGUACGAUCGCCUCUCUACUCAUAAUUGUUUUCGAUGAUAGAGCUUUGCGAAUACGACGAUCCACACCGUUAACGUUAUUUUACAGUAUUAAAACUUCUAGAAUCAAAUUUUAUAAUUUUGCGAAGCAAUCAUUUACCUUAUGAUCAAGAGGUCAACAAAUUUGCAUUUUUAAAGCGCGGUAUGGGAUAACUUCUAGUUAACGGUGUAAAAGAAUCAAAAUUUGUUGAAUUUUUGAUAGAAAUUCUAUUCACUACUAGAUAAAGUCAAUAACUUCCGAUCUUUGAAUUGAAGGAUCCGAAUCAUACUUUUUUAGAACGUCGUUCGAUUUAGACCGUUCAUUUUAAUAACCCACUUGAUGGCUUUAUUAUGAGUUCGAAAUUUACUAAAUUAUUGUUCUAGAGUUUCAAUUACUCUGAUCAAUAUUUAACAAGAGUGGAAUCGUUCAGAUGUCGGAAGCUCUAAUCAUUGAAAACAACUUAUGAGUACGAGAGCUCCAAUACUCAUAAUAGUAUAAUAGCCAUGGCUCUAUAUAUAUAUAUAUAUAUAUAUAUACUAUAUAUAGCGAGAGAAAGAGAGAGAGAAAGAGAGAGAGCAGAGAGAGCUGGGCUAUAUAUGAUGCAAAACGUCAUUUUCUAUCAAUUUAGAUCUUUGGAUCAACUCUUUUAAUAAUUUCUAAUCAUUUGAUAAAUACAACUAUAAAUCAGUGGGGGACGACUCAACCCAAGGGGACCACUCAUCUAAUGACUAAUGAUCAUCCACAUAUCCUACAAUUUCUCAUUCAAAAGUUAAAAAUUUGAUAGUAAAGAAGAGUUUUUGCUAUAUAUAUAUAUAUAUAUAUAUAUUAUAUAUAUAUAUAUCAUAGAAUUUAGGCUACUAUACUAUUUGUAGUACGGGAACUCCCGUACUAUAGUGUUGUUUUCGAUCUUUAGGUGCGUUCAAUUAACAGUCCACACGCGUUAAAUAUGAUCUAGGGUAUAUGAAGUUCUAAGAAAAAAAAUUUAGUUUUUUUGAUAACUCGUUCUACAUUAGUAAAUAAAUAUGUCAAAAUAGACGGUGGAAUAAAUACUCUUUAAAAAAUUUGAGCAUAGACAUUUUUCAAAUCAAGAUCAAGAAUGUUAACUUAAUCUAUAUAGUUUAAAAGAAUUUUCUAUCAAAAAAUUGACAAAAAUUUAGAUUAUUCUACACCGUUAUCCCAAACCUCGUCAUAAUAGCCAUUGAAAGUUGACAAAUUUGGAAAUGUUUGAUCAUAAAGUUAAACUAUGGCGAAAAAAUAUAAAUUUUAUUUCUAGAAAACUUUAAAUACCUAGAUCAGUUUCACCGGUGUGAUAUUGAUUUGAAUGCCCCAAAGAUCGAAAACAAAUACUAUAAGUACGGGAGCUCCCGACUAUAAAUAGUAUAGAGCCGACUCUAUAUAUAUAUAUAUAUAUAUAUAUAGUUGAAAUCGCAAUGCACCUCAAAUUCAUGAAUUUGGUAGUGAUGAUGACUUUCUUGUAAAAGGAUAUUUUAUUAACAUGAGCGUCAUUUCAAGAAGUCGGCAAUGAGCUCAGGAAUAUAUGUACGACUUUUGAUGGAGACCCAAAUCUAUAACCUGAUUGUUACUUAAUAGCUCAUUGAAUCUGAAUUUUAUAACCUGAAUUUGAUAAUUUGUGACAAAACAAGUUCAGAUUGGUCGUACACUGGCACCCGUAAACAAACACACCUGGAAAUAUACAGAAUCGUGUCAAUAAAAGAAAAAAAAAUCUUACAAAAUUGGUGUUUGGAUGAGUAUUCCCAAAAAUCUCAUACGCAAAUGUUUCGUUUAUUUCAUUUAAAAAUAAACGAAGCUGGAAAUGUGAAUCAACUACGAUUCAAACUUGGGAUUUCGAAUACUAACCACCAAAUUCUUUGCCACUUGUUCUAAGGACGGUCAGUCUCAUACACAAAUGUUUUAGAAAGGUUAUACACACAUAUACCAAGUCGUGUUAUUAUAUAUAAUAGUUGGGGCAGUUCUUUAUGUAUAUUCCUCUUGAAGUGCCUAUUUUUUAGAUAUACUUUUAGAAAGUUUAAGUGAUGAGAUUUAUCCCUCUAAAGUUUCAACUUCUUUCAAAUACAUUAUUGAAUUAAAUUCGGUUAGUUUAGUGUUAAAAAGAGCCAUUACCUUACUAUAAAGCUAUAUUUGCUCUUUCAAAUAUGCUUCAUAGAAAUUAAGUUUUAAGUAAUAAAAUCUAUCUUUCGCCGACCGUCCCUAUAGAGCAAGUGGCAAAGGGCUGGGUGGUUGGUACCCGAGAUCUAAGUUCGAAUCCUAGUUGAUUCACAUUUCUAGCUAAGUUUAUUUCUAAAUGAAAUAAACGAAGCGGGUAGCGUGCUACCUAUCUCUCCCAAAAAAAAUAAAUAAAAAAAAUAAAAUAAAAUCUAUCUUUCUAGUAUUCCAACUUCUUUGUAAUGUACCAUUCAUUUCACGCGGAGGUUAGACUAAAGAUAAAGUUAAAUUAGGAUACAUACAGAAUCUGGUAAUGUAAGAGUGUAUGUAUAGAGAGAGAGUUAAAGAGAGAAGAAGAGAGUUGUGCUAAAAUACUAUUAAUAGUAUGAUACUGUCUAUUUUGUGAUCAUUGGUUGUUUAAGGUUAAGUGGGUGAUUGAUAUGGUUGUAAUAAUCCAAGAGUAAAAAAGUGGAUAGGGCGCAUAGGUAGUUAUUCCUCAAUAGUUUGUGCACCAAAAAAAAAAAAAAAAAAAAAAUAAAAAAAAUAAUCAAAGAGAGGGGGAGCUAUAGGCCUUCUCUCUCUUUACACUAGUUAAAGCCCACUCCCACAAAUUGGGCCAAACUGUAGUGGGCCGGACCAAUCUAUAUGUAAGCCUGUGCAAUACGGGCCAAAUUUGUGUAUUAGGCCCACUUAUGAUCUUUAAUGGGUUUAUCCGGAGCCUAACCUUCUAAUUGAUAAGUUUUUUUUUGUUUUUUUCCCCUCCCCAAAGGUAAAAAUAUGUAAGCAAUUCCUUAAACAACAGAGCUGGAUCACAGGCUUAUAGAGUUUUGCAAAAAAAAAAUAGCACAAUUAAUGCACAGAACUUAGCAAGUAUACAAUUAUCCUCAAAACUAAAUGUAACUAAAAUAUAUAGACGGCGGUCUUCAAAUCUAUAAAUUAGAACCAGCAAAGAGCAGGAGAGGAGACAAAUUGGUCUCUCAAACAAUCAAGUUCAUUAUCGAUUAUCAAUGCUCAGAAAAGAAAAAAAAAAAAUGAAAUCCUCGAAUCGUGCUUCUGAUCAAGGUCCUUAUCUUGAUCCUCGAUCUCAGAGGGAGAAGAAAGAAGGUAAACUUUGAAGCAAAAUAUCAGAUGAUUCUUCUUCUUCUUCUUCUUCUUCUUUUUUCAAAAAGUAUUUUUUUCAUGUUCUGUGUCACAAGAAAUAGGCAGAUUUUGUUUGGAACAAAGCUUUUGUAAUGCAUUCUCAUUAGUUUGUUGGAAAAAAAUUACUUGUUUUGGCUCAACCACAUCCACCAAAUCAGAUUAGAAAAGAGAAAAGGGAGAAACAACCAAAUAUUUUGUUAGGUGAGAGCUUACAUCUUAGCCAGAUGCUACAUAUGACUUUUGAGCAAGGAAAAAGCUUAACGAGAAUAUUAUAAUCACUAAUUAAUAAUGGUCAAUGCCGAUGAAAAAGUAGAUAAAUAUUGUUGCAUAUCAUGCAAGUAAAUUCUUGGACUUACCUUUUCCCUUUAUUUAGCAAUUAACUAGCACAUUUGAGAUUGUGAUUGUAUCGUGCUACACAUUCAAUAAUAAUCUGUUAUUCAUCUCAUCUUACUCUUCAAUUAAAAAAUAAUUUAUAAAAUAUGAAAAAAAACUGUUAUAUUCUGUGUGGUGGUUCAUGGAUGAUGUGGUGGAUUAGGUCCAGCGAAACCUCCUCCAGGUAAAUUUUUAAAUGGUAACGGAUAAAACGGUUAACGACCCUUAGGCAUUUAAUAUACCCCAGUGGCAUCCUAUGCCCGUUGAUUUAUUGCUUGGGCCCACCACGAUCAGAUCGGACGGGUGUUCGUCUCCGGAGCCAUCCCACAUUCCCACUCUAUCAAAGAUGCCGAAUAUUUUUGAUACCCUGGAGAAAGGGUAUCCUAUGUACCCUGUCGGAAAGAGUAAGUAAUAACGGAUACAUUGAAUCUAGUUAAAUUUUCUGAAACUAGAGUUUUUGCAAAAUUGUAAUAAAUGUUUAAUAUAUUUAUUCUAUCAAUAAUAAUAAUAGUAUUAUAGCAAUAAUAUUAUUGUUUGAAAUAAAAGAGUUUGAACUUUUUGAUCAGUUCUACAUAAGGCCAAAAUGAACUUAUGAUUAUAACUUAGAAGCUCAAAUUUAAAGUUUGCAAAUUGUAACCUUUUCAUUGCUUUUAAGUGUUAUGAAUGCUUAAUAUUCCAUCUUGACGAGCAAGAUUGGUUUAUAAAAUGAUCCGAUCACCACGGCACGUAAUAUGAUCGAUCAUCCUGUAAAACUUUACCAUUUUGGAGUGUUAAAUAGAAAACUUAAAAAACAUAUUUCAUGUUGGCUUAGGAAAGACCAGCAAAAUCUUGUUUCGUGGCAGAGAGCGGAUUGCACCGAAUCACAAGCGAAACCUGCGGACGUUGUUUGCUUAUUUACUUUAAGUGAUAACUAAUUGUCCCCUCUUUCAAUAGGUUGAGUUUUGAAAUUGUGGUGACAGAAGAAUUAAUUUUUUAAUUUUAAACAGAAAAUACUUCAGCUAUCCUAAUAGAAUAUUAUCUUUAUAGAAUAUUAGUGUAUUAAUUAAUAUAUUAGCUCAAAAUGUUGGGGCAAUGGCUUUGCAUGUACCAGCUAGAUGGGCCCAAAUUAAUGAGAAGUUCUACACUAUCACGCUUGCACCUCGUCAUCCGUAACAAGCCAAUCACAUUUCUUCUUUUCAAAUAAACGUACAAUAAAAAUAUUCUUUUACAAUCAUAAUAGGACAUAUAUCUUUAAAAGGAUUUAUUUGAUUGGUUUGUGAUGCCAUGUCACUAAUACACCCGGUGUAUUCUAGAAUUUUUCCAAAUUAAUGGAGGUACAACCAACUAGUUAAACGUCAAUCUAUUAUGUCGCAAAAAUAAGUAAAAAAAAAAAAAAAAAAAAAAAAAAAAAAAAAAAAUUACAGAAAACUCACAUGACCCUUGCAUUAAAANGUCGCAAAAAUAAGUAAAAAAAAAAAAAAAAAAGGAAAAAAGAAAGGAAAUUAAAAAAGAAAAGGAGAAAGAGACACAGGAGAUAAGGGUCAUAAGGUAGCUUCUAAAGGGUCCCAUUCCAGGAAAAGUAAAAAGGUUAAGAAAAUCAUCCUGGAAUUUAACAAAGCAAACAGUAGAGAGAGACAGAGAUAGGACCCAAUAGUAGAUAAGAAGAUUAAAAGAGUAAACAAAUAAAAAAAAAGGAAAAAGAAAAAGAAUUAAAAGAAUACAAAUAUAAGAAGAGCAAGAGACCAACCUAAACAACCCUUCUCUAACCCCUCUCUACCUUCUCUACUAAGCCUCUCCAUCUCUCUCACCUCUUCAUAAACACAAACAAAACACAUACCAUCCCCAUUACACUCCCACAAACCAUGUCGGCCUCUCCUGAGCUCGCUCUCCCGCCUAUCGCGACCGCCCGAUCGCAUCCGGUUCAAGACCAGGGAAGGAACGACGCUUCACCGCCGACGGUCGACGGCGACGACAGCGGGGAGUGCCGCACGCCGACUGCAGAAGCGAGUAAGCUCCCCGUGGCCGCGCGAAUUUGCCCGCCGGCCCCGCGGAAGCCCCGGAGGGUGGUGCUGUGCAAGAGAAGGCUUUCGGUGGAUUUUGAGCUCAUCAGUGUUGAAAUGGAGGAGUUGGAGAAUUUGUUUCGGGUAAACUUCGCUGGGAAUUCGAUUAACGAAAGAGAUGUGAAGCGGAGGAAGAUAUGCAUGUCAUCCACUUGAAGAUUAAAAAAGGUCAAACUUUUAUUAUGGUGAUUUAUAAGAUAUGAUAGGUUCACGAACGUGUGUAAGAUAGGGGUUUUUUUCUUUCUUUCUUUUUUUUUUUUUUGGUAUUUUUGUUCUCAUGUGGUAUAGAUAUUUGUAACAUUUAAUUACUGAAGCAGUUGAUAAUGGAAGUUGCAUGUUAAUUAACUUAGUGCGUGGGAUUUAGCAAUGGAGAGGUGAGGAUAUAUAUAUGAUUGUGUUUAAUUUGUUUUCUCCUUUGUGAUGUGUGUUAUAGCAUGAUCAUCACACAUGUUUUUUGUGUGGCCAUCAUGAAGCUGCUAUAAACCCCUAUAUAACUAUGUAUUGUGGUGCUUAAAAUGCAAGCUCACCGCGCUUCCAAAAAUUAUGCUCGAAAUUUUUAAAACAUUUUCAGAAAAAUGUGCUAAUUAAAUUGCUUGCGUGAAUUAUUGCCCUUCCACUUGCUUGUUGCACUUUAAACCUGUUAAUUAAUUUGGUCUUGUUAUAAGGUAUAUUGUUGUUUCAUAAUUAAGCUAAUAUAUAUUCAAGUAAGAGAACCACUCUUUUAACAGCAUAUAUUCUCAUUCCAUUCGCAUCUUGUCCAAGCAAAAUCAAAAGUUUCAAGUUGGAGCUUUUGUUUCUAAGGGGCCAGCUUAAUUAGAAUUAUAAUUCUCUUUUCUUGUCACAGUAUUAAGCUUAGAACUGUAUAUUUAUUGAAUACUCUAUAAAAUUUGUUAUUGCUAAUUAAGAACAAAAGAAAAAGCAGUAUAAGAGAGAAGAGAGAGAUGUAGAGAGAGGAUGAUGCAUGGUAGGUGAUGGGGAGGUGGGUGGGUUUUGGCGUUAUGCGGAUGGUCUCAUAUUGGGUGGAUCGAGUACGUUUCGAUCGCAUUGAACGAACGAAUGGAGAGGAGUAACGUGCACGACUCUCUUCUAUCUUAAUUUAACUUUCAAUAAUUAGAAACAUUACGCACGUCCGAUCUUUGACGAAGCUUUUAUCAACUUUUACAUGUUACUUUGUCCCCAUCCAUGCAUUACUUACUCCAUUAACACUCUAUUUAUAUGUCUCCUCUCGUAUUAAUAUUCAAUAUAUCAUCUUGGACGGCGCCUAGCUAUAAACAUAUAUUAUUUUGUGCAUUAAAUAACGUCCUUUUAAUUAUUUGGUACGUGAUUCAUUUAAUAUAAUACUAAAGAAGGUUUUACUUUUGUUGUUUUUUACCGCAGCGUGAACGUAGAUGAGGUGGGGACUAAACUUAGUUGAUGCUAUAUGUACAAACUGUUAUACAUACAUUAAUUUUAUGUGACUUUUUUAUCAAAAUUUUCCAAUAUUAAUAUUUUGUGUAGUAUAUUUUUUUCAUAUAAUAACAGCUAUAAUAAUAAAAGAUUAAUACGUAUUUAAUAACUUUCAUUAAAUAUAUUGCAUGGUCAUACUUAUAUGGGUCUUGAUAUAAGCGAGUCCAGAACUCUCUUGUGCGGUUGAAACUUUGGCUUGAAAAAUAGGAAAUAGUUUUUUUACAGUCGCAACGAAAACACAACAGCAUGAAUGUAGAUCAAAUCUUUCUUUUGUUGAAGAGUAUUCGUAAUCCUCAAGCCCUUUGUUAUAUUAAUAAUUUUUUUUAUCAUGAUGAGUGACUAAAUCUAUCUAAGUGCUCAAAUAAAAUUAUAAAACUUUACGAUCGUCCCCGGCUAAUGUAAGUUGUUAAUUAAAGAAUACGAUGAUUAAUAUAUGAUGUGAUUAUGAGCAUAGCGAAAUUUUUCUUUACGCAUCUAUGAUCUAAUUUUUAAUUUAUUUAAUUAGAGAUGCGGUAAAAUUAGUACACGAUAUUGCCAUCGUAACAGUAUAUAAUGUUCUGAGUUCAAAAUUAAUUUGUUUGAUAUUUUUCACUAUUUUUUUUUUUAAAAAAAUAAUGAAGCAAGAUACCAUGCUCUUUUUCUCACAAAAAAAUAACAGUAGGAAACUUCAAUAAAACCCCAAAAAAGGAAUUUAUCAAAUUUUUUUAAAAAAAUAAAUACGAAAAUACAUUUUUACAUAAAAAAAACCGGGCAAAUGCAGUUCCCUAGGGAGAAUGGAACACAGUAACGGCCGUACGAUGCGAGACCUCGUCGGACACGUGGACGUCGAUCAUGAGAUAACCCGAGGGGAUCGUGACAUGGUGUGGGGCCCACGCUUGUGCUGCGUAUUCGCGCGUUUGUAAACGGGAAGCGACAGCGACACGUGUGCCGAGUCCACAUUCCCCAAGAGCGCAUGGCCCACCAUACGUGCCAGAGGAAUCCGAGGAGCGAAACGAAUCGCGCGGUGAUUUAAAUAAUUACCCAAAAAAAAAUAAAAAAAAAAUAAUAAUUAUUGUAGGCUUAUAUAUAAAUUAUAAUCCAUGUAGACACUUCUUCUUUUUUCUUUUUUUUUCCGACGCAAAAUUCAAACCCAGUUUUUAUAACAAUAGAUUUGAGACGAUCUUUUCAUGACGUUUUAUUUUUUAAAAUUAACUAACAAUCACUUUUGACGGUCUCUAAAACAAGUGGAAAAAUAUCUAUGAUUUCAAAUUUGAAAUCAAAUUACUUUAUAUUUUUAGUUAAAUUUAUUUGUUUAAAAAAUAAUAAUUGAGACUGCAUUAAUUUUUCACUUGUCAAAUUACGCUCGCAUUUCAAAAAUAUAUAUAAGCUAAAUAAAUGAAGUUUUUUUGUUUUUUUUUUUUUUCUUUUACUUUUAUCAUAAUUAACGGAAAUUGAGAUGAACUUUUCUACGUGACCACAUGAUUAAAGCCACCUUAAAUAGCCAGAACAAGACCACAAGCAUCUUAGACCAGAACUUAGCUGUAGUAAAUGAGGUGGGGAAGGAAUAAAGCUAUAUAUCCAGGUGAACUUUGAACCCAAUUCUCUGAGGAGAGGAAUAUAAACCCAUUUAUAAAGAGUGAACACAAUAAGGACUUAAUAAAGUGGUCUUGGGUGUAAAUAGGAAAACGUUGCAAGGGCUCAGUUGCAAUAUGUAUGGCUUUUUCCUUAUAGAAGCCAAAGUGGAGGCUCUCGAGUCUCGACCUGUCAAGGAUAUAUCCCAUACAUGGACACUGCAAAAGAGGAAAAGGGAAUAGGAUAGAAGGUUGAAAAGUAGUGCUAUCUAUUUGCAGUACUAGAGAGAGAUGGGUAGGGGUGUAAUGUGGGCCGGAUCGUGCCGGCACGGCUCACAUUUUUCGUGCUGAUCCCGGCUAGGGGCCGGCCAGGCUCUGCCCGAUUUCAAAUUCGGGCCAGCCGUGCCGGGCUGGAGCUACCAACUCUCUGGCCCAGCACGGCCCUUCGGCCCGGAAGGCCCGGGCCGUGCCGGUCCGGGCUGUGCUCCGGGCCGGCCACUAAAGGAUUUUAUCCUUUAUUAUUUUUUUUAAAAUAUAUAAAAUUAAAAAAUAAACAAAUAAUUUUUUCUAUUUAAAAAUUUAAAAUUUAUAUAAUAAUUAUAAUAUAACAAAUAUUUAAAUUUUUAAAAAUAUAUAUAAUUUUUUAUAUUUUUUUGAAAAAAAAAAUUGGAGAGUGUAUUUGGUCCAAUGGACCAAAAUUAUUUGGUCCAUUGGACCAAAAACCUCCUUCUAGCAUACCUUGGGAGGAGAUCUCCUCGGAUGAAGGGCCAAGGCCCUUCUCCUCAGGAGAUCCAACCGCAAGGCUAGCCUUGGGCCUUUGGGUUCAGGCCGUGCUGGCUCAACUGGCAUAGCCCACUUGGGCCGUGCCGUGCCGAGCCACGGGUCUCCCUUCGUUCCGGCACUGCUCAGAACCGUAUCGGGCUGUGGCAGGACGAACCGUCGGGCCCAAGAAGAUUGGUUCAGCAUGGCCCAUAUAGCUGGACCGGCCUGGCCCGGCACGAUGCUACUAUAGCUGUGCCAGGCCAUGGCCCGACCGGCAGUCGUGCCAUUUUACACCCGUAGAGAUGGAUCACGUAAAAAUAAGAGAAAUACUUAGUCUAUAAUAAAAAAAGAUUAUAAUCUCUACAACCCCUCAUUCAAAAGUUGUUGAUUUUACUAACCCUUUUUAAAUUUUUACCAAAACUUAAAAAUAAAAAAAAAAGUGAUAAGAGAAGUAGAGAGAAAGUGGCUUUAGGACCAGAAGAGUCGUACCAGAGGAGUCGUAUGAUUAUAAUUCACAGUGAAUUCUGGACCUUGCACUCAUUUAGAAAUAACAGUUUGAUAAAUGGAGCGAGGACUUGAACAUAACGUGGAGGGUGUUUUUAUCGAAUAGUUUUUGAGUUGGUUUGAGCCCUUUAGCAUAGGUAUUAGAGCCUAAAAACUUAGUGUGUUUUGGGCCAAGGCCCAUAUAAAUUACUCAUAGGGUGGAUUUGGGCUCAUGUUUCAUCGGCCCAGCAAACCUAAUGGGCCUAGCCCAGUAGCUUUGUAUUCCUUGCCCAAAUCCUCUGUGUUCGAGUGAUCCAGUUGUUGCUUGUUUGUGCGCUUGAUUUGUUUUUUGUUUUUUUGUUUUUUUUCCUUUCCUUUUUCUCUGUUUACAUACUAGUCUUACUUUAGUUUUGAGAUAAACUAGCUGGUACAAAAAUAUUACCACCCAAUAAAGCUGAGUUGAGUUAGUGUGCUCGAUCGUACGUAUUUAGCAUUUAGAACUUUACUACUACUUGUGUUACAUUAUGAUUAGCUUUAAAUUUAUUGUAUUAUAUUGGUUAUAAUUUCACCGCCAUGGUUGCUAGUAAUUAAGAGCUAAGAGUUCCAGAAAAAAAACUGUUCAAACUGGACCAACUUAUCCGGUAAAAUGGAAAAAGAGAAUGAAGAAGCUACUUUGUUGUGUUAGUCAUGAUAUAUGUAACACCCCCAUCAGGAUUCAGGAACACGCACAGCGUGAAUACAUGCAUGACGUACACGAAACAAUUUGUCUUGGUUCUAAACUUAACUUGAGAGAUCAAACUGCUGUUACGAUACAACCAUUGAUAUCGAUCAGUGCUGCAGGUAAUUCAAAAGAACUCGUAAGAGUAGAUGCUUACCAAUUUUAAGAGUGUUUCCCAGCAACUCCAGUAAAAUAUAUAGUUCUACCCCCUUUACUCAAUUAAACAAGGGAGAUUAUUUCCAGUUAGGUAUCUCAAGAGUUUUGAUUACCAAUAUUUAUUGUGUCAACUAUAGAUGAAACACUUCAUCAGGAAGGCGAUUUAUUCACUUUUGAGUUUCAAGUGUUGCCGUUCGGCCUCACAAAUACAUCGGCCACAUUUUGCACAGUUCAUAAACAAGCUCUCACGUUCAUACGACGAUCAAUUUGUUGUAGUAUGAGUUGAAGAUUGUACAAAAUACAAAUACGCAGUUACAUAUAAACGCACUUUUUUUUUUUUCUUCGAGGUGACUAAAUUUUGUGUUUUGAGUUCGUACUAAUUAAUUGGCUGGCUCUGUAUUAUUAAACUUUAUAAAAAUUAAGAUUGUACCUUUUGUUAUAAUUUCGAUUUCUAAACCUGAAUUGUAGAUGGCGAUUAAUUCUUACUUGUGGUUCGUUCUCGUUCAUGAUCUGCCAAAAAAGAAACAUUUCGAGUCUAAUUCUCUUAUCCCCGGAAAUGAAACCGUCAUAGGAAUUAAGAUUAGAGUUAGAUCGGGACUCCCAUAUGUUACAUAUUUAUAUAUAAUUUGAUGUAAGAAUGUUAAAUCACGUACGUUCAUCAAGAACGUGUGGCCAGAUACAUCAUAAUCAUUAGAUCUACCGUAUUUUUAUAGAUCGACUUGAAUAGACCGACUGCAUCUUUAUAAAUCGUCUUAAAUAAAUCACAUAAACCAUAUCCAACAUAUAUAACUUGUUUUGCAAAUAAUUGCCAUUUCAAACUUCUCUGAGCUGUUACCUGACAAAAUUUGAUUGCAUUUAUCAAUUUUCAAAAUAAAAACUGGAAGAGGGCGGGUACAUGUAAUUUUAUCCAGUUGCAUGAGAGUAACGUGCAAGAGCACAGAGCCUUAUCCUUCGUACAACAAAGAAUUAUAUGCAGAAGACGCAGUGAAAGAUUACAAAAUCGCGUUUACUAUUCAAUACAUGCAACAAUUAAUUGCUCUGAUACGCACGUGCGGGAGAAAUUAGUACCUGCACAUGGUGUACGUAUAUCUACAUGUUUAAUAAAUAAUUAAUCCAAAAUUAAAAUAUGAUUAAAUUAAUGGAUAUUGUAAGAAACAUCUGGAGAUGUCAUGUAUAUAGGAAGAAAUUAAAUACUUCCUAAUUAAGAUUAACAAUGUAGAAAUAAAAUAUUAUUCACUCAUUUAUAAAUUUAAUAAUUACAGGUAUAUAAUCGACCGCCCUAACACAAGUUGCGAAGGACUUGAUGAUUAGUUAGUAUCCGAGAUUUCAAAUUUAAAAUCUAAUUGCUUCAUAUUUUCAGCUGGGUUUAUUUCUUAAAAAAAUAAAUAAAGUAGGAUGCAUGUUAUAAUUUUCCAAAAAAAGUAAUAAUUAUAAGAAUAUGUAUUAUAAAAUUAAUGCAUUUAUCCAAUUUAUAUUUUUUCAUUCAACAAUCUACCCUUCAAGUGUUUAGGAUUCUAUCGGUGAGGUGCAUGGUGCACCGGGUUCAUACAGCAACUUCUGCUUCGUGUUGUUGGCGUGACGUCAGCAAUAGCUGCAUCACCGUGGCAUGACGUGCGUGGGACACAGCUUAAUUAACAGCUAACAAUAACAUAAGCGACUCGAAUAAAUUUAACAAAAAUGCCAUGCCCUUCAAAUUCAAUAGAUAUAGAGAGUUAGAAAAAUUUUCUUUUAUUGGUUACGGAAAUUUCUCAAAAAUUUUAGUUAAAAGUAUGAAAUAAGUAUCAUUCGCAUUUAAGAUCUCGAAUAUUUAUUAUCAAGUCUUUAGCAAAAAGUGCUAAAUACAAUUAGUACAAAUAAUAUAAUUUUAUGUGCAUUUGCUUGUGUGAGCAUAGCAAAACUCUUAAUUUAAUACCUUGUUAAUUAGGAAUCAUAGAAUGCUUUUUCCAGUUCACGUGCAUUCCCCCCNACUAAUUGAGUUAUUGUAUAAUUAAACACCUUGAUCUCAAACCUUAAACCUAUAUAUAUGUACCAGCAGAUCUGAAUAUAAAUAAUUAUAUGUAUAUAAUCUGUUGAAUUUGAUGAUAUCAAAUUUACCUGUUAGUUUAUUUGGUUCGUUUUGAGUUUAAUUCAAUAACUCAAUUAGUAGACUAGUUGGUAGUUGGUUUGGACCGUAGUUAAGCUUUAGUUAACCCAUCAGCAUAUUGGACCAGAUGGAUUAUUAUGAAAGGAAUUCUCAAUUGGUAUAGUAUAUAGAAGUUCUCAUUUUGCUCUCAAAGAUUUUCUUUUCUUGUUAUAGAAAAGAGGGGUGUAUAAGAGAGAGUUGGCGAAGAAGCUUUCUUGUUUUUAUUGUUUGUUCAAAGUUUUCAAAGUUGAUUGGUGAGUAUUCGAAGAGACAUUUCAAAGUGAGAUUUGCAGAAUAUAUAGGAAGAUGCUUCAAAAAAAAGUAUAGCAAGAAAAGUUUUUCUAUUUGGUUGGUUCUAUGUCCAUUGUAAUAGAAUAGUACUUUUUAAUCAAAUCUUAUAAUCUGCUCAGUUUCAUAAUGGAUUUGAUCUUCCCGUAACCCAUGAAUGCAAUUCAGUUUCCGAUAACCACUUAAGUUUUCUUGUAUUGUUGUAGUUUUCAUUUACUCUAAUUUUUACAUUUUUUGAUUGUUGAUGAUUUAGAUCCAUCACAUUUGUUUAUUAUAUGGUUAAUUAGUAUUUUAACAGCGCGGGUUACAUCAUUAUCGCACUACAUAAUUGAUUGGUUGAUGUACAACUUUAUAAUAGUUUAUUUAAAAAUAUAUAUAUCAUUAUUUUCGAGAACUUAUUAUAUAUUAUAUAAGCAUCAAAUUGCCACAAAACUUCACGGCAUUAAAAAAUUCUAUUGUUCAUUAUAGAAGAAAACGAAUGUCCAAAUCUAUGUAUAUAUCCAGAACUAGGCUAGAAUACUAUUAAUAGUACUAAGUUAUAGGUACUAUUAGGUUUUCAGUUUUUGGAUGAAGAGAUGUGCGGUUAGGAUGAUAAUGAUCUUCUAGAAUUGAAUGAAUGGUUGAUUGAAUAGUAUAAUCUAAUGUAUGAAUAUUGUCAAAAAAAUAAAUCUAAUUAACGGUGAAAAACUCGAUAGCACCAACUAUUUGGUGUUAUUAAUAGCAUUAUAGCCAGACUCUAUAUAUCUAUAUUAAUUCUCCAAACCUUCUAAGUACAGUGUGUCAUACACUGUUGACAUCUUGGGUAUCCUCUCCAUUUGAUUUUUUGGGGAUGGUCCAUUCUAUAUAUAUACGAUUUCUCCUCCCUAGCUUUCCCUAGAGUGGUCCAUGAAUGGGAAUUGGGAAGGACCUUGUACAACUAAUCCAUUCCAUAAGCCAAAAUAGAGGGGCCCCAAAACAAAGCAACUAAUCCAUCUCCCUCUAAACGCCAUCACUGUCCCGCAAGGUUGGCUAGCUAGGACCCUUACCUCAAUCAACCAACAAAUUAUAAUUAUUGCUCGCACUCGGCACAUCUACACAUUCGUACGUAGACGUUCAAUCUCUUAUUUGCGAUUGCAGAUAAAUUAUGUUACGCGUAGUAAUUUUUAUGCUCGACAGCAUCAAACAGCUGCCAAUAUCAAAUGGACCAUAGACGAACGCACGCAUUAGGUGUAGGCAAUAACAUUGUCUAAAUUACAAUCCAUGUGGUUGGUUUGGGUUGCAUUUGUCCUUACUCCCACUUGUCAACACAAAUUAAGCGUCUAUAGUCACAAAUCCCACAUCUUUAAUAUACUCCCCCAACUAUUCCCUGCUCCACAGUAUAAAAUAAACUAACCGACCAUCCAACUAUUUGAACGUAAAAUAGAAGAAUAUUUAACUAAAACAAUAAAUAAAUAAAUAAAUAAAUGGAAUAGAAAUGAAUACAAUAAUGGAAUACAUAUAUAUAUAUAUAUAUAUAUAUAUAUGUAUGUAUAUGUACUACGGCUGUGACUGGUUACCAACAAUUAAUUAAUGUCAUCAAAUGGAAUGAAAUAAAAGCGCUUUUAAAUAACUCCACCUACGUAUUUGUGGGGAGAGAUUUUUGUGUAUUUUAUUAUCAACUAAUUAUUGAAUAAAUACAAUAAUUUGUCCUAUUAUUAUUAUUAUUAUUAUUAUUAUUAUUGUUGUUGUUGUUGUUGUUGUUGCUGUUGUAGUUGUUGGUAGUGGUUGUGGGUCUCAAGAAGCGAAGAAUGGGGCGCGGUGGGGGACGCCCUUGCGACGCCGCGAAUUCGGCAGCGACCGCGUUGCUCGGGCCGUGUCGGCGCCGACUCUGGUCUCCUCGCGCUGCGGUAUCCGCUCCCCGCUUCCCCCGGUAACCUUACCCCCCUCCGCUUUGUUAUCGUCCCCGUCUCCUCCUCCGCUCCCGCUCCCGCUCGCGCUCGCCUCGGUCGGUGUGAAGCUUGCGUCGCCGUUCCUCUUUAUCCGCACCAACUGCAACGAGAGCGCAAAUGAAAAGAAUAUUUAAUUGGUUCCGCGAAAGUGAUUUAAUACCGGAAUUCAUAUCUAUUUUUUUUUUUUUUAUUUAAUUAUUACAGUCGAAUAUAAUUUUUUUUUUUUUUUGCGUUUUUUUUUGGGGGGGGUGCUGUGAUGAAGUUGUUACAAAUGCAUGCAUGAUCGAUAUAUAUUUUUGAAUACAAUGUAGGUAGUAGCUAGGUAGGUAGGUAAAUUAAUUGAUUGAUGUAAAUAUUUUUUGAGCGAUCGAGAAAGAAGGAAAUUAAGUAAGGGAUUAAUUGGACCUUGCAGCCGAGGGAGCAGAAGCGGAAGGGGUCGAGGAGGGCGCGGGCGCAGAUCUCGCAGUAGUGCGUGGACGACGCGGCCUUCCCGGCUGCGGCGGCCCCUCCGCCGCGCGGCUGCGGGCGCUCGUUGAGGAAGAGCACCCGCGCGCUGUUGAUGACGUACGUCUGCACCCCGCCGAUGUCCAGCGCCUUCUCCACCUCCGCCACCCGCACCACGUCGUGGUACGACGACCGCCGUAUCUACACCACACCACACCCGCACACUAUACUUCUUCCUCAGUCAUUAACUAGCUACUAUAUAUUAAUUAUUUGCAGCAUCAUCAAUCAUCAUCAUCAUCAUCAUCAUCGUUGUUGUUGUACAAUGUUAUUAGUUCUCUUUAUAUAUAUAUUAAAAUAAACAAACAAACAAACAAACAAACAAUUAUAUAUAUGUAAUGAAAUUUUGACCUGGAUGACGCGGUGGCCGGGGUGGAUGUCGGAGCGGCAGUAGAAGCAGAAUGCGGGGGGCGAGGGGCGGCAGUCCAGGCAGAACAUGUUGCACUCGCUGCGCGCCGCGUCGGCGUGGUCUGGGCACGCCGAGAAGAACUGCGUCGCCAGAAGCGGCUCCAGCCACGGCGGCACCAGCGUCGCCGCCGCCGCCGCCGCCGUAGAUUCCGCCGCCGCCGCCGCCGCCGCUCUUCUCAUUGUCAUCAAUUACGCCAAUUGAUCUCCGCUCCGACGGGCCGGAGCAAUGCCGAGGCAAUGCCGGACGAAAUUCGCAAGGUUAAUCACGAGCGCCCGCUCGAACAGCAGCACAGAGGCAACGAAAAGAAGCAACAACGCAGCGGCAAGAACAACAACAACAACAACAACAACAAAAAGCCUCAGACAAAGAGGAGGAGCGGAGAUAAUAAUAAUUAAUAAUAAUAAUAAUAAUAAUAAUAAUAAAAAAUAAUAAUAAAAGUAAAAAUAAUAGAAUGGGAGGAGAAGGAAAAAGGGGCGGAUGGGAUGGAUUCUGGGCCGUUGGAUGUGUAGACGGGGCCGGGUGCGGGGGGGUUUGGCGUACGCUACUUGGGAGGUGGUGUUCUUUGCGUCGCUUCGUAGGCGCUGCUACCGUCCGCAACAACGCUACGUAAUGCCAACCUGUCAAAGAUCCGCGGCUCCCUCGCAAACACGAAACAUCCGUAGAAUGCCACACGCGUGUGUACACGUCGCCCACACCGUGAGUUUUGAUUGGUCGGGAACCGUGCGACGGUGUUCGCACGCACGCACGCACGCGUUGCGUUGCGUUGCGUUGCGCGGGGGGUGGAAAAAGUGGGGAGUAGGGAAGCGUUUGGAGAAGGGGAGAGGCUAAAAAGUCACACGUGGAGAGUGGUGGGCGCAUGUGGCGUGUGACGUGGGAUUGCCAAGUGUCGCACGGAUCUUGGGAGUUUGCGGACUCCACCUUAUGCACCGCGUACUCCUUAGCGUACCCCAAACUCCUCCCUAUACGAAAAACAAAAAAGAACAGGGAAAAAUCCUAACCCUUUUAAAAGAACAAAAAUCUAUUAGAUACCACCCCCUUGGGCAUAUUUAUUUAAUUUGGUCUCUCCCAGAGACAAAAAAAUCAUUGUUUACAAUCAGUGCGUUUGUGUAGUCCUCCUCUACUAUUCUUUUCAUUGGUCCUUAACUUGACUAAAACAAGAUAUAAAACUGAUGGGAAGCGUACAUGUUCCGAAAUGUACAAAUUCAACAAGUGCAUGCAUUAAUUUCCUCGCACAAAAUAUUCAAACUAAUACGUUUGUUAAUUCACUCCCGAUUGCAUACUUUAACAAACGCUAGCUACUUAGAAUAUAUAGUCGUAUUUAUCCAAAUAGUUUUCAUAACGGUGAUUUAAAUUCCCACAUUUGUGUUUCAAAAUUAAUAGAAAUAGUAUCUAUCUAUCUCACUGUGUUAGCUACUCUACAUAUGUAUAAGCCCAAAAAAUAAAAAACAAAAAUACAAUUGCAUUAAGAUACACAUAUUUAUAUUUGUUUCGUUGAAUUUUUGGUGUUGUCGGUGAGCUCGGUCAACGUCAAUGUAGUUUUGUAUGAAGGUGGCUUGUCAAGUGCAAGGGCCAUUUAUGAUAAGCUGUUCACCCCAAUUGGAUUUGGAUACAUUCAUCCACCCAUUUAUUAAUUUCCCCAACCCAGGCCACAAUCAAUAAUAAUUAAUAAUUAAUAAUUAAUUCGUGGGAUUGAAUUAUUGUCAUUAUUUAGUUUUCCUAGCAUUGCAUUGCAUUUGUUGGAUUACCUAAACGUCCCCACUUAUUUAUUGAUGUCCCUUUUGUUACAAAAGAUUUUGUCAUUGUGUAGGUUCCAUGCAGGGACAUAUAGCUGUGACUUAGAUAGGGGUUACGAUCUCAUACAGGGUGUCAAAUGCAACAAAUAAAUUUAGGUUCGUAUAUGGGAUUAUACAUAUUUAGUUUUCGUGCAACGAUGCAAGGUAUUAACCAUCCCGGAUUAUUGUUGGAGGAAUAUAAUGAAAUCAAGCGGUCGGGAGUUGAAACCCUGAGUGCGUUUGCACCUAAUAUUUGCCACAUGUGGACCAUUCUAUGUAUAGAUGGCCUAUAGCACUGUAGAUGCACCGUUGACGUGGAUCGGUCCAAUUGAACAAAGAUUAUAAUGCUAAGCCUGAUCGAUUUGGGAACAACUGGUCCCUAUGUGUUCUAGGCCAGCUAGGCUAAAAUUACCAACCUAUACCAAUUCCCUUUUGGAGUCAAAAAUAAUUUGGAAAGUUAUAUCAAUAUUUUCUACACUUGUGCAUGCAUCACAUUAAUGUAUGUAUAUGGCACCAAAUUAAAUGACAUUUGAUAUGCACAAUAUUAAUAGCUAGUGCACACUCAUGGCCAUCAAUGCACUAAAUAAAGUGCCUUUUUCUUUUGCUCUAUGAGAGCAUAUCUUAGCUUAACCAAAUUAAUAAUAGAAAAAGUAAAAAUUUCCUUUUUGUUUAAUGAUAACAUUUUCUAAUGUUAUUAGCUAUAAGGGCCAAAAAAUUUCAUCAGUCCAUCAAAAGGGUGCCAUUUUUACUGAUUGGUUGGUUAGGAUGUCCCCUUCAUGAAUACACAAGAUUCUACUUUUUAGUCACUUAACACCUCUAAAAUAGGAAAGCUUCCACUCACUUUUUUCGCCUGCUUCUUCACCUUUUGUGUGUUAGGAUGUUACUAUCAUCAGGGAAGUGCCAAAAGUAUCAAAAGGAGUUGGGCCAUAUUCAUUUCUCAACCAACUAAUCAUUCUCCACUUUCAUAUUCAAAAAGAAGUGAUAAUGUGUUAGGGCUCCACCCUUCAUUGUUGGACAUCAUCUUCAGCAUUUUGACCUUUCUGUUUCGAACUUGAGUACCUAUAGUUUGAGUUGAGCAACUUGAGAUUGAUUUGUCACAUUCUCACAAUGAAUAAACAAUGCUUUAGCGCAGGACGUGACUGGUAUACAUCCUCGUUAGUUUUUAGGUCACACGCGUAUCCCUCAUCUGAUUACGCUCAAUUCUCAAACUAUUAAGUGAACAUAUACAUCUGAUUAGCUAACUCAUUUACGACAAAUGUUACUUUUAUAUAUAUAUAUUUCUAACAAAACAAAUAAUGGAUAGUCUUGCUAUAUAUUAAGAUAAAUCUAAAGAUACCAAUAUUUUAUGUAUCCAUAAAGAUUCUUCAAAAAUAUUGUUAAUGGUUUUUUUUUCUUUUUUAUGUAUUCUCAGUUUCUCAUGUGUGUUGCAAGCCACAUAUUGCCCCAACCAAAUCACUUUGUCACCCACAAAAUUGAAGCCACUUUCGCAUUUACCCUCUCAAUAAAUGAUAGGCACUGAGAAUACUUUUUGCUGGAACAUUUAAUUCUUUUUAUUCCCUAGAGAUUUUUUUUAGAUCUACUCAAGUUCACAAUUCCCAAGCAAAACGUACUCCUUCGCUGUUCAAGCAGCUUUUCUCAGAGAAAUACUCGACCCAUAAUGGCUAGCCUAGUGAUAUAGUAAUAAAUUAAAUUAAUAUUAAAUAAAUUAUUUAUUUGGUACAGAUAUAAUAUUUGGUAUUCUUUAGUAUUGACAAUUAAAUUAUAUAAAUGAUAUUAACAGUAUUAUUUUUAUUGAAACUAUAUUGACAACUAAAUUUAUUGAUUUAUAAAAUUGGGCUAAAAAAUCAGGUAUUGUACGGUUUGCUGAUUGAUCCAGUACACUAAUGCAGGUUUAACGUUGCGAAUUAAUUGGACUUUAUUAGCAAAAUUGUAUGCUUAGUUAAGCUUAACUUGUUGUCCAUGUUCAAUGAAUAUAUUAUCAGGAUAUUACUUUAUUCUCAUACAACAAAUAUAUAUUGAUCAUAUUCAAAACUAUAUUUUUAUGACUUUUAUAUGAUAAAGUAAUGGAAAUAAUCACCAAAAUUAAUGAAAACUUUUUAUUUUUAUUCUGUGGCAAUUUUGGUUUUUACGAAAUUCUUAAAAUCUAAUUUUUAAAUUUUAGGAUGGCUUUAAAUUUUUUGUUUGAGAUUUGGUUGGUGGCUUUUCAGAUUUUCUUUAUUAGGAAUUUGAUUGGAAAUAAAUCCGAAAACUUGUUACUUCCUUCAGUGCUAUCUAUUUUUAAAUUUCCCCCCUUUUUUUUUUGUUUGUUUGUUUUGGAAUACCAAUGUAUAAUGUACUUGCCCAUAAUUGUGAGUUGAUACACACAAAGAGGCUUAAUUUGUUUUUUUUUCUAAAUUUCUGUUUUAUAUCUUAUAUCUUUAUAUAACACAUACACAUCAUUGUGAUCAUCAUCAUCAGUUAUGUGUAAAACAAACAGCCCACUUUGGUUUUUUCCUUUUUUUUUCUUUUUUAAAUUAUUAUUAUAGUAUAAGGAACAAAGUACUCUGUUUUCUCCCCCUGUUCUCUUUCUCUGUAGACAAAGAAAAAAAGAGGUAAAACUCAAGGCUCAUUCACCAACCCCUCCUUUUCAUUAAUUUUCUCACUGGGUACUUUUGCUGAGUCAUAUUUUCAAUUGGGUACCCAUCCUUUUCAGUAUUUGCAAUGGUAAAAAUCCCACCUUUUCUCCUCCCCCUCCUCCCUCUCUGUCUCCUCCUCUGCUUCUCUCUGCUCCACCGCGCCGAUGCCUCUGGAACUGUUGAUGGAUCCGAGCACUGGGGAUACGUUCAAGUUCGACCAAGUAAAGUUAAACUCUCCAUUUUUCUUUUCUUUUUUCUUUUUUUUUUCUUUUGCUUUAUCACCAUUGUAAUUGAUCGAGCAAAAAGGUUUUUAACUCAUCUCUGUUUUUGUCUUUUUUUUUGUUGUAUGAACAAUGCAGGAGCACACAUGUUUUGGUGGCAUUACAGAAGCCCACAUAGGAUUGAGAAUGACUCAUCUCCAUGGCCAACAGUGUUGUGGCUGCAAGGGGGACCUGUAAAAAUCUCAACUUUUUUCGUUUUUGUUUUUGUUUUUGUUUUUGUUUACAUUGAUUAAAAAGAUGACAUUUUCACCAAUCAAAACACAUAACGACGGUAAUAACAGGGGGGCUCUGGUGUCGGCUUCGGCAACUUCUUCGAGAUUGGGCCAUUAGACAACAACCUAAAGCUGCGUUCCUCGACGUGGCUUCGCAAAGCCGAUCUCCUUUUUGUGGUAUUAAAUCUCUCUCCCUCAAGAGUUCUUCUUUUACAAGCUGUUAAUGAAUGAAUCUACAUUGUAGGAUAAUCCGGUGGGAACAGGGUAUAGCUUUGUGGAGGAUACAGGGCUCUUUGUGACAAGUGAUGAGGAAGCAGCAAUUGAUUUAACCACACUUUUGAAGAAGCUCUACAACAAGCAUGAGAGCUUGCAAAAAAGUCCACUGUAUAUUGUGGCAGAGUCUUACGGAGGCAAGUUCGCGGCGACGGUCGGCGUAUCGGUUGUCAAAGCCGUUAAAGCCGGAGAAUUGAAGCUCAAACUUGGAGGUUGGUAUUUGCUCUUUUUCAAUAUCAAUCACCUUAAAGAAGUGAAAUUUAAUGGACAAAUUUACUUUGCAGGGGUUGUUUUGGGAGACAGUUGGAUUUCUCCGGAGGAUUUUGUGGUGAGUGUUCACAGUUUGAAUCAAAUUCUCCCUCCAUUUCAAUUCAAUUCUUUUGUUUUGUUUUGUUUUUUUUUUUUGUGAUUAAAUUUGUAAUAAUGAAGUUAUCAUGGGGACCUCUUCUUCUCGACGUGUCGAGGCUCGAUAAAAAUGGCGCUGAGAAUUCAAACAGCUUGGCUGAGAAGAUCACAGUUCAACUAAAGAAAGGGCUUAACCGCGACGCAGAGAGAACGUGGGGCGAGCUCGAGGAUUUUAUCGCUUCGAAUAGUAACAAUGUUGUAAGUAAUCUAUGAUCUUCUAAUCUAGCAACAUGGAAAUUUCCCCGUAGUACUCAUUAACCUUUUAUGUAACAUAAUUUACAGGACUUCUAUAAUUUCUUACAAGAUGAUGAUUCCUCUGGCUCUAUAACAACUGUGGGAUCAUAUGAAGAAUCAUUCGCGAGGCGGUACUCGCGAUAUCUUAGCAUUAAGGCGGCGUCCUCGUCCUCGUCCUCGUCGUCGGGCAAUCUCCAUGAUCUAAUGAAUGGUGCCAUUAAGGAAAAGCUGAAGAUAAUUCCCAAGAAUGUGAGGUAGUAAUCUCUACUCAAGAACCAAAAUGUGUAGAUGUUUUAAUUUACCAAAAAUUCAGUAAAGAAGAUGAGGAGGAAUUUUGCUUUGAUUGAUUGUUUCUCUGUUGCAGCUGGGGAGCACAAUCUGACGAUGUGUUUGAUGCGCUCAGAAGUGAUUUUAUGAAACCAAGGAUCAAGGAGGUAAACAAGUCAACUAUUUUAUGUUAUUUUGUUCCAUGUGUGUUUUUUUUAAAAAAAAUUAUUGUAUUCUUUUUGAAAAUCUACAUUUGCAGUUAUCAAAAUAACAAAAGAACUAAGUCAAUUGCCUAGCUAAAAUUUCUGCUUGUGAUUUUGUUGUAUUUGAUACGAUUUCGUAUUUUAUGUAGGUUGCUGAUAUUACCUAAUACCAAUUAUAGUCCUAAUAUAUAUUUAUCUGUAAAUGUAUAUAAUGAAUAGUUAUUGCUUUAUGCUUGUAGGUUGAUGAGCUUCUUUCUCAAGGUGUCAAUGUCACCAUAUAUAAUGGACAGGUACUAUUUAUUCAUUUCCAUAUUAAAAAAAAAAAAAGAAGAAAAAAGAAAAAAAAAAUUGCUUAAUUUGAAGUAUUGGAAUUGGAUUCAUGUAAUUUGUGUUUUAUGAUAUUGAAAUGAGCUUGAAAUUUUUGUGAUAGCUAAAUUAUUUUAAUGUCAAAUAUUGGAGUUUCCUUUGGUUUAGCUUAUUGCACUCUUUUUCCCUUUAUUCAUGCAUCUUAAUUGUACAAAAUUUGGUUUUCCAGUGGCUAUGACUUUAACAUACUUGCACCAUAAUGGAUGCAUGCAUCUAAGAGCAAGUAACAGGAAAAUGUGAAACUAAAACUUGUGAACAAAUUGCAAGCUAGGAGUAAGCUAUCAUUCAAGAAAAUGAUGCUCUAGUUCUUAAUCAAGGAACCAUUUAUUGCGCAAAAGUUAAAAAUUCCCUCGAAGAAUCUAAUCACAACUAAUAAUCAUUUCUGAUCAACCAUGCUGACAAAAAAUAUAUUAUAUCGAUCGUAUAGUUAACUGAUAAAAUUGGGCAUUUGUGCUUCUGUGAAGCUUGAUUUGAUCUGCGCAACCAGAGGAACAGAAGCUUGGGUUCAGAAGCUCAAGUAGGGCUACUAUUUUUUUUUUCUUAUUUUCAAAAUUAAAUUCAUAACAUAAAUUUAGGAGCGGAUAAUGGACCGCGAUUCUCAUGUUUUACGCUUUUCAGAUGGGACGGGCUGACGGAUUUCACCGGCGCGAACAGAAAGGCUUUGUAUUGUGAUGGUAAUGAAGCAGGAGCCACCAAGGGCUUUGUCAAGUCCCACAAGAACUUACAUUUUUAUUGGAUCCUCGGAGCAGGUCAUUUUGUAAGUAUUUUCUAGGAUCAUCAAAGUUUUUUCUUUAUUUUAAUUUUAACUAUUAACUUGUAAGCAUGAGUGCUUAAGUUUCCUCCCCUGAUAUGUGGUAAAAAAGAAAAAAAAAAAAAAUCUCACUGCACAUUGUAUUUCCAUUCUACAAGUAAGUGAUUACAACAAACCAUUACUAACUUCAUUUUAAUUAUCUUCUCGAGCAUACUUAUGAGAGACAACAAAGUAUGAACUUUGUCAUGCAUAUUAUGACAUGUGAUGGUACAUGUAAUAAACAAAAUUUGAACCACCCAUGAAACAAAUCAAUGCUUGUCACUCAUUGAUUUCUUGUGUGACAUCCAAACUAACUUUGUUUGACUGAGUCAGUAUCAUGUAUUAUCAGCAGUAAGAUUAAAUGCAGCAUCUGUUCCAAAGCUUGUGAUAACUAAUUCUAGGUUUGUUCCCUUUGUUGGUGGUUUCCUAUCACUUAUAGGGCUCUUUAAAUGAUUCAAUUAAUGGUCCCUCAUGUGGAGGUUGGUAACUUAGGGCAAAGAUAGAUGGACAACCCCUUAACUACAUGCCAUGGUUUACACCUCUAGUUGGAUUUAUUGUUCGAAGUUGAAUCGCGUGCGUUUUUGUUAAUAUAACAGCUUCAUUAGCUAUCAACUAUUAAUGACUAACACAAAAUCCACAAUUCUAUUGGUUCAAAACUCACUCAGAACAAGCAAUUUUGUUAAUAUAUAUAUUUCUGUACUCGUUUCUUACUAGAUCGAUCUUUAAGAUAACAAAAUAUUGGAGCUAUAUCUAAGCCCCCUUCAUUUUGUGAGAUCGUAGAUUUAAUCUGCACCUUCAGCAUGCAUUAUCUAAUACUCAUUUUAAUUGUCAGUUAUUAAUUUCACGUGCCUUUUAUAUCCAUCACGUAUGUAAGUGUAAGUAAUAAUAUAUAUAUAUUUAUGGCCCCGUAUUUACUAGUUCGAUCUUUUGAAUAACAAAUUCAACAUGAAAAUAAUUGAGAUUAACAAAAUUUCUAAGUUAAUUUAUUUUUAUUGAGUUUAAGUGGUAUUUUUGAAUACAACAGAGUUGAAGAGUUGUAGGUACAUUUUCACUGUGCCCUUUUUUUUCUUUUGGGGAGGACACUCAGUACUGGCAUUUAAAGCUGAGAGGUUGGAUUUUCUCUACAAAAGGGGUGGCAGCAAAUGAACAGCAUUUCUAUGUUAAAAAAAAAAAAAGAAGAAAACUCUGUAAAUAAUUUGAUGACCAAACACUAGAAAAUGCCCAAAAAGGACAGGAGCAGGUGGAUGUAGCAGCAAUUUAUAAUGUAGAAGGGCCAGUUCAUUGAAAAGUAUUCUAAUUGUUUUUGAUGUCUCUCAUACUGGCAGGUACCUGUGGACCAGCCUUGCAUUGCAUUGAAGAUGCUGGGUGACAUUACACAUUCUCCAGCUACUGCUUCAUCUCACUGAGGGGGUCAAAGAAAAUAAUAAAUUCUUCUGACAAAAAUAACAAUUUUUUUUUUUUUAUAGUAGAAAUGUAAGUUUGAUUGUUUGAUUGUUUGAUGGACAAAUACAUAAUUUUAUUGCUUUUCUUCUUUGGAUAUUCUUUGUGAUUGGAGGAAAAUGUGGAAAUGCUUGUCAAAGUUGGUGGCUGUCAGGCUGGACAUUGCUGGACAAACAUAGUUCUUACAGAAUAGAUUAUGGAGGAUGCAAUUUCUGUGCACUGCUUGAUCUGACCGUCCAUCUAGAUGGAGAACAAUCCCAGCAUUUUACCAAUUGACAGAUUUGGAGUGAUUUCAAGUGAUUGUAAUAAUGUAUUCGACAUAUUUGGCGGCAUGUCGCAUUGAUUGGUCUGAUUAAAUUGCCCAGAAUUAGUUUAUGAGGCCAUUUGAGCAUUUUGAGUUAUUGACGAGUUCAGAUCAGUUUUUGUGUCUUAAAAGUAGUACGUAUGUUCGGCUACAAACUUUCGGCUCUUGCAAGACUUCUUUGCCGGAAGCAGAAAUUCCAAGAGCCAAGGGAUCUGCCAACAUACUAGUUUUAAGUCAGAACUAGGAACUCUUAUGUUGGUUUAGAUUAAUAUUUGAACCUUCUAAAUAACAUAACAUCCAAAUUAAAAGAAGAGUUCAAAUAUAGUAUGCAGAUGGAUUGGUUGCUAUCAAAUAGAGCACUAAAUGUACAUGCUACAAUGUACAAUGCUACAUUGUCUACAAACACUCUCUCUCUCUCCUCUUCAUCUUCAUUUAUCUAGGACCCAAGGUAAACUUAACAAGCAUUUGCCAAAGGACCUAUACAAGAAGCAGUAAGUAAAACCAAGUUAGCCCAACUUUUUCUCUGUAGGAUAUGGGUGGCAGGAAAAUUUUUACAGUGUGGAUUAAACUGCACAGGAAAUACAUCAGAAGAGCUCUCUCCAUACAGUGACAGAAGAAAUCAUUCCCAGCCCAUUAACAUCUUUGUUACUUCCUGGACUAUCUUGCUCGGCGACACGGAGAGCUCGUGAUCCUCGCCGAGGUGAAUUCGGUACACUUCCCACUCCCUAUCACCCACAACAUGCCUCCCAAUCUCGGCCUGGUUAUACAAAUAUAUGUAUUUUAAGUAAUGCCUAGAGGGGUAUAGCAGAAAAACACAAAGUACUAGCAGAAUUACGAAGAAUGUAGAGGGGAAUCACAGUACCAAGAAGAUCGGAAUGCGAAGUAUUUUGAGGGCGAGAGUGAUGUCGUAGAAAACUAGGGGACGGCCCUUGCCGGAUAAUUCGACCGGGUUUGCCACUAUAAGCUCCAUGUCGGGCCCUCGGCUCACGAUGGUCACGCGGAGUGGCCGGAACAGCUCCAUUCUCAAGCGAGAGCACAGCGCCUGUUGCUUGUUCGGGUCGACGAUUUUCUUACCAUCUACUUGCACUGCGAACAAGUCUAUCUCGCAGUUCCCAUUUUGACUGGUAUAGAAUCGUCCGUAAGAUAUCUGACAAAAAAAGAAAAAAGAAAAAAAAGAAAACCUGUAUCUGAAUUUGCCAAAAAUAAAAAAGAUAUCAGUAACUAAAUGGAUGAAAUGGCCAUGAUAAUCCUAUCUUUGUUUGGAUUUCACUUGGUACCUUCACUAUGGCCAAGUAAAUGUAUGUUCAUGCCGUGUGUAAUACGUGCUAAAUGUCUAUUUUGCAGGGUGUAUAUGCGAAAGAAAAUAAAAAUUCAUGUGAUGUCCUGUUUACCUGUAUGUUGUAAUCCUUGAGAGUCCUCAUGAUGUCGUAGAGGAUUCCCUUGUGGUCACCACACUGGAUCUGAAUAAGUGAAUGAGCGGGACUCAGAGAGUUGUCCAUCGUGACCGAUAUGUUCUUACACGUGGACGGAGACUCUUCCCUUCGGGAUUGUUCUUCAGGAAGCUCAAGUGAGAACAUCCGAUCAGUGAUCGACGGCGGUAAGGUAGAAGAAGCUUGAACGCAAGCAGACAUGUCUGCUCCGGCUUCUUCGAUCUCGCAACUCAUCAUCGAGCCCCCUAAAACAGUUCUCAGUUGAUUACAUGCCUCCUCCCUUUGGCUCUUCAUAUGAAGUUGCUCCCUGAAGCCAAUUUUGUAUUAUUAGCAUACGAUUAUCUAAGAGUUUGAUUAAUAAAUGGACUGUUGACACAGUACAGAGAAAUAAUUUUUCUACACUAAUCUUCGAUGUAGCAACUUAGCUGUUUAACACUUCUCCAAUGAAAUAACAAGGAAAAAGAAAUGGCAUUUAAUGUACGGCGGUUUAGAUUAACAGAACCAUGAGUUAUAUAAUCCUUAUUCUUAAAGUAAAUUCUAUAACCAUUAUUCAAUUGUUAGUGCAUCAGGGGGUCCUCAACCUUAAACAACAGUUUAAUUUUGGUACUCAACCUUUAAGUUGCUACAUUGUGGUUCCUCACCUUCAUAUAUCCUCUCACAAUCUUAGUACUUCAGGUAAAAUUUUCUCUUCAAAUGGAGGAGAUCUCCGCAAGAGCUAUAUGUAACUGCCCUAAGGCAACUUUCAUAUUCACAAAAAAGAUAAGGUAAUAAUAGAAUGCAAAAGGUUAAAAGGAUCAAAUCGCAGCAAUUUAAAGGUUGAAUAGCCAAUCUGAAACCACGCUAAGAGGUCGAGAUCCCCUAGUCCAAUUGAGGCAAAGAGAAAAAUGUUAUCCACAUGUAGAAAAACAGGACAAAAUUAAACAAGGAUAAUAUACGACCUCGUGUCUGUAAUGAAGAAGAGGUCGAGAACUCGCCCAUCCGGUGUGGUGGACACCUUCACCCUCCUGAUUGUCAGCUCAAGCUCACAUAAUACUUGGGUCACAUCUGUCCACAAGCAUAUAAUUCCUUAAAUAUCUUCUUAUUAUGUGACUUCUUCUUUCUCUUCAAAAGAGGCUAAAAAAAAAAAAAAAAAAAAAAAAAAUCGCAUUCGAAACCUAGCAAUAAUAUAGAAAGAGACCUUCAACAGAGGUAACCAAACUUUAGGAACUAGUCAACACUACAGAUCUUAAGAACCCAGUAACAUCCAAUUGAAAUUGUUGCUUCUCAAUCUGAAAUUUGCUAAUUUUGUUAGAUAUCAUAACAGAAAAAAAAACACCCCCCUCUAAACUAAAGAAAAGAAGUUGAUAUACUUUGUUUUCCCCAUUACAGUAUAUAUUCAAAACCCAUAAAGGGAUAAGCUCAAAUGCUCCAAAAUCCAACAACAAAAAAAGGACCCAAAAAAGAGAGAAACAAAAUCCUAAAGAGAAAGAUGGGAAAAAAAAGUAUAUCAACUUCUUUUCUUUANAAAAAAAAAUAGAGGAAAUUUACCAUGCAAGAGAUCCAAUCGAUCAUAGCAUGAGAACUUGAGGAGAAACACCUGUGGUUGUUGCACCAUGGACACCAUCUCCGGUUGCCUUGAGAAGUAGGUUUCUAUCACCAGGGGUGAGCUCACCACGGGGCAAACCCCCAUGAGCCUCUUCUUAAGCAAACCCCACCUCGUCUCCUUCCCUCCUCUCCCCACAACCCAGAACACUAUGAAACACCACUUCCCAUCCGUGCUCAUAUCUACACGAAAUAAAAGGGGGUGGGGGAAAAAAAAAAUCUAAUUUUUAGUGAGAAAAUUGAAACUUGUGGUAAGAUUAUUUAUCAAAGUUUCCAAUCACACCAAUCUUUUGAUAAUACGGUAUCAUCGCCAAUCCGCAACUAAAAGAUCGAUACGAUGAAAACGACUCUCACGUACUGUAUUAUCCAAAAUAAUCUGAUAAAAACAGUUUAAAAAAUAGCUUUUUUUGGGGUAACAAUUUGCAGGGAUUUCGAACUGGGCAUCACAUUUUAGACACAAAGAAGGAAAUUUUAACACAAAUUGGGGACAAAGACGCAAACUUUGACACCAAAAAUCACAUCAAAAAUCAAAAUUUUUAAUUCGGAGGGAAAAGGAGGGGGGGGAAAUGGGUUCACCUCCACGGACGAUGCUCAAUCCGAAGAGGAGGAUCACACGGCAGAGAUCGCAUCCGAGCCCCGUCUUAUCGGGGCAACUAACGGUGAUCACGCUGGGCUCCCCGUCCCUCUCCGGCUCCCUGAUCAGCACCACGUCGUCGCUCGGCAUACCCAUCUCAUCAAUCCCCUCUCUCCUCCUCCUCCUCCUCCUCCUCCUCCUCCUCUUACGGCUUUUGAAGCUGCUUCUGUGCGCAGCGCUUUUGGGUUUCGCCCCCUGUUUUGUUUUGACGCGUUUCUCUCUCUCUCUCUCUCUCACUCUCUCUCCUCCUAUGGGGUGGGAGAGGAGGCUUUUGAUUCUAGUGGUGGGAUUUGGCGUGAGAUUCGAAUAUAUCCAUUAAAGAGCUCGGAGAAAACUAUGGAUCGAGAGAGAGAGAGAUAGAGAGAGAGAUGGGGAGGGGAAUCAGGGGAAGGUGCCGCAUAGAGAUCUCUCUGCGUUCGCUUUUGUCCUUAGCUGUUGUUUUCUAUCCGCUGUUUGCUAUACUCACCCCGGAUUUUUUUUUUUUUUUUUUGCUAAUUUCAUACAAGUCCUGCAAACAUAAUAAAUUACAAAUAUAUUCAUAUAAAGUUUAAUUUUUAUAUGUUAUUCCUAUAAAAAUUCUGAUGUUUUCAAAUAUAUCCCUUUGGUUUGUUACUGUUAGAAAACUAUUAGAAACUGUUUAUAUUUUCAAUUUUAUCAUUAUAAAUAUAUUUAUUCAAAAGUUAUAACAGUAUAAUAUAAAAAAAUAAAAUGUCAAAAUAAACCAGCAUUAAUACUUAAUCUAUAGUUAACUAAAUUUUUCUAAUGAAUUCUAACGGCAAUGACAUAUUUGAAAACAUCAAAACUUUUGUAGAGACAACAUAUGAAAGUUGAACUUUAUAGAAAUAUAUUUGUCAUUCACUAUAUUUGCAGGAACUUGUAUAAAAUUAACCUUUUUUUAAAAAAAAUUUCGCUUCUUCUUCUCAAUGUGCCAUUUAACUUUUGUCUCAACUAACUUAUUAGUAUAUAAAUUUUCCACUAAUUUUAAUUUUAUAUUCUAUCGCUAUCUUGAAUAAUUUUAAAAUAUCAAAAUGAGAACUAAAAAUUAAUGUGAAAUCUUACAAAAAUAGGAUCAAUAAACUAUCAAUUUAGAUAGUUCUAAUAAGAAAUACAAGUUUUUUAUUUUAUUUUCAAUUUAUUGUGUAAUUUAGGACUAUGAAAAAUGCUUUUAUAUAGAACUAGCAUAACAUUUCAAACUUAUCCAUAUGAAUUUUCAAGUGAAUUCAAUAAUUAUUCUUAAAUUUUGUAUUAUAUUAAAAUAGAGCAGAAUAAAAAUUGAUAUAAUUUUUUAUGCAAGAUAUAAUUUAUACACAGAUUAAUAUACGAAAGAAAUUUUUGAAAUCAUGAACUAUAAGUCACAAUCAAAUGUUACAGCAAAAAAAUCUUUUUUAUCUAGAGAUUGCUUUUGAAAUUUUGAAGGACUUUAGCGUUUGACUAAAAGAGUAGAAAUAUAAAAUAAUAACAGUAAAAGGAACUUAUCAAUAUUGAUAGAACAAUUCUAUUUUAUUUAUAAUUUAUGAGUUUUUGUUAUAUUGACUAUUAGUACAAAAUGUAUAAGAUAUAUUUUUAUAAAAAAGAGUACCAAUCAUAAGUUCUUUAAAAUAAGUACUUAUAUGGAAACAUCUAAAUAGGCGAUGGAUUUAAAUAAUUUCGCCACCCCAUGAAUUGCUUUGUUAGCCUUAUUUAAUAAGCUUAUUUGUAAGGAGAGAUUUGCAUUUAAAUAAUAAUUUGUACAUCAAUAAGAAGUUAAAAUCGAUAAAUAAAAGAUUACAUAGAAAAUUAUAAUAAAUUGAAGCUUAGCUUAACAAUAAAAUAAACUAGAUAGUACUCUCAACAAAUAUUGCCAAAAAAUACAAGUUUAUUUUUUUAAGAAUUAGGAGUUGGGCCUCUAAAACCAAUUUUAUGUGAAAACUUUUGUCUCUCUCCAUCCCCACUCGUGUUUUUACUAGCAAAAAUUUCAAUUACAAAUAGUAAAUGAAAACAAAAAAAUUGAAAGAAAUAAAAUUUUGCCAUAUAACAAAACACUAUUUGAUCAUCAAAUUUUCCUCAACUUUUCAUUUUUUUUAUCUUCCAUUCUUUUAAUUUUUAAAAAUCCAUCAAAUCAAUAAAAAUUAUUAUAUAGUAAGAUUUUACGCCGAAAUAAUAAAUAUUAAUUGGUGCUGAUGCAAUAAUUUAUAUUGGAAUUAACAAAUCUUUUAACAUUAAAAACUAAAUUAAAAUAAAUAAUAAAUAUAAAAAUUUUAUUAUUUAAAAAAUUAAAAAUUGAAACGAAAUUAAGAAAAAUGGAUUAAAGAUUAAUUAAUUAAUUAACUCAUCACACAGUGGAAAAAAAAAGGGAAAUUUUGGUGGGUAAGAAUAUCAUACUUGUUUAGAAAAUUAAAUACAAAGAGUAAGUGCUUCUAGAAGAGUUGGCACGUGACAGGUUGGCCCUUGACCACUUUUAGCUAAUCCCAAAAGCGCCAAUCCAACGAACUCCAAAUCGAACGGCUCUGAUUUCGUUUAGAGCACUAAGCGAGCGGUCCUGAUUAGUUCAUCAAUCGAGAGUCCACGUGGCGCGUAUCCGUGAUGUCCCAUUUGCGAGGUGAUUCGGAUCGAAGACCACUCCGACAUGUCGCUAUCAUUAAUUAUUACAUGCCCCCCUCAACUAUUUCACGUUCUGAAAAUGCGCCUUCAACUUUAUUUUUUUAAUUCGAAAAUAUACUUUUAAUUUUUUGAAUCAAAACAAUUAAUAAAUGAUAGCUAAUAAAGGUGAUGAAGAAAAUAAAAGUUUCGACUUAAUUAAUUAAAAUAAUUUAAUUUUAAAACUCACAGUUUGAACUUGCCUAUAAAAAAGGGUAAAUUUUAUUUCUAGUCUUUGGUCUUUAUUUUAUUUUAAUUUAUACAUUUUGAGGAUAUUUUAUGUUAAUCUUUAUUAUAAAGUAAAAAUUGCUUAUGGCAUCUCAUUUAUUGGUAUGUUUCAUGCACUUCAAAAUUUAUAAUUUUUUAAAUCUAUUAUAUAGUUUCACUUUAAUAGUAUAUUUUAUAUAUAGAGAGAGAGAAAAAAAAUUAUAAUUUAUUAGAUUGUAGAUUAAAAAUUAAAAGUCAAAAAAAUGUAUGUCGUAAAGAUAUACAGAUGCAGCCGGUGUAGAACUUGAAGUAAAAUUCUUUUUAAAAGUUUGGAGACGCAACAAUGUCAGAUUUUGAAAGUUUGAGGAUCUGAAACAAAACGUUAAGGGGGCUAUUUUAGAAUAGCAUAUGCUUGAGGGAUCUCAAUGCAUGUUUACCGUACUACAUCACGUAGAGGGCGUCAUCGCGCGCCACGUGUUUAUUUCGUCAUGGGCGCUCUUUUAUGUCCGAGCCGACCAGCUCCUAAUCACAUGCUACACUUUUCAUGUAUUUUAUUAUUAUUACUUGUUAUCAAUAAAGUUUCACUAAUCCAUUAUUAACUAUAUAAUAUUAUUUUAGUGCAUUAUUAACUCAGGUUUAUCCAGUGAAUAAUUACCUGAGGACUCGUGGUCAUUCUAAAACUUAAGUAGAACAGUAAAUAUAUAAAUUUUUGUUGGUAUUCGGUAGUUUUUAUUUAUAUGAUUUAGAUAUCUGGUAUUACUAUAUUAAUUUUUAUAUAAAAGAACUUUUCACCGGAUUCGCCGAAAUUUGAGCUUACCUUCAUAGUUUGAAUCUCAUUUUAAUUGGAUUUCCAUCGAAACUUAAUAGGCCGGAUUUAAUAAUUCUGAUAAUUAUUAUAUAUUUUAUAAGAAUCAGAUUUCAGUUCUUAUUUUAUUCUGUAAUAAAAAAAGACCUAAUUCAUUUAUGACUUCAUCAAGUUCUGAGUCAUGAACCAACUCACUUCAAAGUAAACAUCUCUCCCUCUUCAUGAUUGAUUGCUCUUCUUUCAUAACCAAAACUCUUAUAUCCAAAUUCUAAAUAUAACAUUUGUUUAUUCCAAUUUUUAUUUUAAUAAUAAAUUAAAUAUUUUUAAAUGAUUCGUCGUUUUACUUUUUUCAUUCUAAUAUAAUUUAAUUUAACUUUUUAUUUUCAUUCUAAUCAUGAAUCGGACGUGUUCUUAAAUUCUUCGGAAAAAAAAAGAAAAAAAAAAAAGCUACUUUCAUGUGAAUGCAUGUGGCUACGUUCUAUUCUUACUAAAUUAGCCGAAUAAAUAAUGAGCAAGAUCCCAAUAUUUAGCCGACCAAAACAAUUUAAUUAAAUGUUGAAUCUCUAGAGUGUUGUAGCUAGGAUCUCUAUCAACCUAAGACAAUUGGGGGUUUUUUUUUUUAAUUGUAUCAUAAUUAGACAAAUCAGAAGAAUUUUCAACCUAAUGCAAGUUGGUGAUGGCAACUAACCCAAAUGGCCAAAGAUUGGGACAGGAGGCCUCCCAGUACUAGUGAUCCAUAAAUGUUACUGUCCUGCCAUCUUCUAUUGUCCAAAACUAAAGCUUCAAAAAAAAAAAAAAAAAAAAAAAAAAAAAAAAAAAAAAAAAAAAAAAAUCCUUCUAUGCUUGCUCUCAAAGAUUUUCUCCAAUAUUAUUAUUGUGUCAAUAGUCACAUGCGACAUACAUCCAAAUUAGCUGAUCAACUAUAUGUACACUUUGAUUUAAAUAUCACCAGUUCAUGAAUGAUACUUUCAGAAUCACAUAAAAAAAUAUGAAAAGGCUUAUUCUAAUACAUGAACAACUUAAUAAGUAAUACAUAUUUUUGUGCACUUAAAGAGUCUCAUAGGGAUAUAACAUAAGUAUUCUCUAAAUUAUUUUUUUCAAAAUAAAAUAAAUUAUUUUAUAUGUGAAAUGUAUUAUUUUAAAAAAUUUAUGACUGCGGAAGCUUCACAAUGGACUAAAAGUAAACUCCCAAAUUACAAUUUCAAAAAGAAUAAACUUUCCUGCCGCAAAAGUUAUUUUAUAUUAGAUAACUUAUCUAACGCCAAACUGGCUAAAAAUAUUUUUCGACUUGUAUUUGUGCAAAAGAAAUGCUUUGGAUCCGCUAGAAUUAAUGUCGAUCUUAUAAACUACAGAUAUGUUGACAAACGCAUAAAGCAUCUUUUUUGGAAAAACAUGUAUACAUACAUUUCUUUUGAAUAAGUUCAUAGAUUUCAAGUGGCAAAAAAAUUUGGUAGUUGAUAUUCGAAACUCAAGUUUUAAUCCUAAUUGAUUCACAUUUUCAGCUAAGUUUAUUUCUAAUAAAAAUAAACGAAGCGAAUAGUAUGCUACCUUUCUCUCUCUCAAAAAAAAAAAGAAAAAGUUCAUAGACUCCAAGAGCCAAAAAAUCACCCUAUACACAUAUAUAAAAAUUAUUUUUCUUCAAUCGUCUUACGACCCUAUUUAUAAAUUCACGGGCGGAGAUCGUUUCCCAAUAUCUUGGAUCAGUGUCUGUGGUAACAAUUACUAGGCUAGUCGGCAAUUCUUUAGUUUAACUUAUAAGAGCAAUUACUAGGUUAGUCAACAACAUAUCGUACUUAGCGCAAGUGGCAAAGAGCUGGUGUUUGGUACCCGAGGUUCUAAGUUCGAAUCUUAAUUGAUUCACAUUUUCAACUAAGUUUAUUUCUAAAAUAAAAUAAGUGAAGCGGGUAGCAUGCUAUCAAUCUCUCAAAAUAAAAACUUAUAAGAGCAAUAUUUUAGAAAGACCGGUCAAUAAUUAAAGCACUCAGCAAGAAGAAGAGUUGCAUUGUGACAUUAGGAAUUAUUUGGAAGCAGAAAGCUAGAAAACAAAAAUUUUAUGGGUUUUACAAACUCAAUUUUAUCUCUUAGGCCAUAUUUGGAUGGAUAGUUAAAAAACUCCAUGAAAUUUUUAUUCUAUGAUUUUGGUUUAAAUGAAAUACGGAAUCCUAUAACUAUAAAAAAAUUCCACAGCUUCAUUUUUAAGCUUUUUGGAUACAUAUCAUAUAAUUCCACAGUAUUUAUAACAAUUUAAUUUCUAAAAUUUUAAAAUUUUAAAAUUCAAAAUUCAAAAUUCAAAAUUUAAAAUUUAAAAAUAAAAUUUAAAAAAUUAAAAUUCAAAAUUCAAAAUAUAAAAUUAAAAUUUAAAAUUUAAAAUUAAAAAAUUAAAUUAGAUUUUAUGUUUUAAAUUUGAAAUUUGAAAUUUGGAAUUUGAAAUUUCAAAUUUGAAAUUUGAAACUUUAAAAUUUAAAAUUUAAAGUAUACCAUUUAAACUUUAAAUUUUGAAAUUUAAAAAAUAUAUAAUUAAAAUUUUAAAUUUUAAAUUUAAUAAUUUAUAAAUUUACAUAUUUAUAAAUUUAAAAUUUAAAAUUUAAAAUUUAAGUUUAAAUUUAAAUUUUGAAAAUUAAAAAUUAAAAAUUAAAAUUAAAAUUAAAAUUUGAAAUUUGAAAUUUGAAAUUUGAACUUUUUGAAAUUUGAAAUUUGAAAGUUGAAAUUUGAAAGUUGAAAUUCGAAAUUCGAAAUUCGAAAUUCGAACUUUUCGAAAUUCGAAAUUUGAAAUUUGAAAUUCAAAAUUUGAAAUUUGAAAUUUAAAAUUUGAAAUUUGAACUUUUUAAAAUUUGAAAUUUAAAAUUUAAAAUUUAAAAUCAAAAUUAAAAUUAAAUUUUAAAAUUUUUAAAAUUUGAAAUUUAAAAUUUUAUGUUAAAAUUUAAAAUUUAAAAAUUGAUACAUCUUUAGGAGCCCAAAAGGUGGAUAUUUUUUUUUUUUGGUUAAAGUGGGUUGUAAGUUUAUUCUAUUUUUUGGAGUAUAGUAUAAUUAUACUCGUCAUUUUUUUUCUUCCAAACGCUUUAUAGGAUUAUUUUCCUACCGGCGUAACAUAGUUUAACUGUACUAUAUUUUUAAAGGUAUCCAAACGGGGCCUUAUUCUUAAAAAUGAAAAGGCGGAUCUUCGUAUAUUUAUAUGCGGGAGUUCGAAUAAUCUUACGAUUUCAGUAUCAAAGCAACUGUUGAUGCCCAGGAUCUUGUCGAUUUCACGAAUUGACCCCUUAGAUCCAAAAACACAAACAGACCCUACACAGUAAAUAAGACUAACUAAUUAUACGAUCUUACUAAUCUUAAUCCUUGGGAAUCUAAUCUAAUAAUAGUCUUUGGGUCAAUUUGUCUCCCAACGAUGUUCGCGCGGAUCUGCUGCAGAUCUUGGAGACAGGCACGUGCGAGGACGGCUGGGCGAGGAUUGUUACGUGUCCCUCCCCUCAAUCCUAUCCAUAUAUUUUGGUAUAAAAUAAUUAGAUGUUUAAUAAUAUCCAUUGUACCUAGAUUGCGAUGUGAAUAUUCUACGGCCCCUAUUUAUAGGCCCUAACACAUAUUCAAAGUUUUUUUAAAAAAACAAAUGUGUCGGUAGCGAACACGGGAAUAGAUUCUCUCAUGUUGAAGUACACAAUCCAAGCGCAACUUUUUUAUUCAGAGGAACUAAUUUAGAUCAAGAAAUUGAGUUAAACUAAGGCUUGGUUCUGGAAAUAUUGGCUCCAGGAAAAGUUUAGCUCUAGAUCAAUUUUAAUAGUUGUGGCAAUUGAAGAUCGAACUCUCAAUUUUGCAAAAUAAUAAAAGAAAUUAGAAAUAAUUCUAGUAUAAUUCUAGUAUAAUUCUGAUAUCAUAUUAUCAUUGAUGGUCUCUAAUACAAGUGAUAAAGAAUAUGAUAAUUGAUACACGAGGUUUCUAGUUCACAGCCUAAUUAUUUUUUAUUUUCAGCUAAGUCUAUUUAUUUUUUUUAAAAAAAUAAAACGGAUAGCAUGCUAACUUUUUCUAAAAAUAUAUAAUAUCAUGUUUUUUAAAACAUUAAUUUAGUAAAAAGCAAUAGAAAAAUAUAAAUGUUUACUAAUUACGUCGCAAAAUAGUGGAAAUUAGAGGAAGAGUAUACAUGAACAAAUGGGAGAAGCCCCUGCAGAUUUUAAAUCCUUUCAAUUUUACUUAAUUAGAUUCAUAAUUUAAGGGAAUUUUGAUUUGUCCGUAAUAAAAAAAAUGCUGUACAUAUAUAUAUAUAUAUAGAAGAAGUGAAUUCACCAUAAUUAAUACUAAUAAUAAUGGAUAAAGCAUAAUGAAAAAUUAAAGGAUUACGUUGUCGACGUACACCAAUCAAAUUAAGCGUUACUUAAGUAGCAAAUUACCCCCCAUUUACCCCGUUGUUUAACACCGAUCGACAAUGGUACAAGAUCGGAAAGAGAAAGGAAACUUCGUGCACGAUGAAAACGAAAGAAGAGAAGAGAAAAGCACUUCCUAAAAAGCACUUCUAAUUAAUUAGAUUUAAUUAAGAAGAAUGGUAGUGAACAUUGUUUUCGGUUGGUGUUAGUAUUUUAAUUUAGCCAUUUGGACUUUAAAGGCAAGCAAAGCUUAUUUAGGAUGUAGCUUUAGCUUUUUUAGGUUUUGCUUUGGCUUCAGCUUUUCGCAUAAGUUAAGCAGUUUGAGUGGAAGUAGGGACAUGGUGUGGACUCUCCUCGUUGGUGGUCAUAUGGUGCAACACUCAUGUGAUUGAUGUUGAUGGAAACAUUAAGCUCGAGUGGAUAGGUUUCACUUCACUAGUGAGACAAAUGUUUUAUAAAAUAUAUAUAUAUAAAAUAAUCUGAAAUAACCAUCACUGUGUAGCAUUGAGGAGUUAAUUAUCUACGGUGCAAUUUUUAAGAUCAGCAGAUUCAAAUCUCUGCAUGUGCGUUAUGAUUCCUGAGAAUCUUAAGAAUUAGGAGCCUACGCACAACUUUUAAUACUGUUUACGUUUUCUUCUUUAGAGGGCACAGAGAAUUUGGGUUCUAAACAUUUCAUGAGUAUCAUAUGCCAAGCCCAAGGCCAAUUUGUUGGGCUUGUUUCGUAGGUUUGGAUUCUCACACUGAACAAGGCUCGGCCCGAUCCAACUACGCUUCUCGCAAUAAUUAAAUUGAUUUUUGAGUUCGGUGAACUCAAAUGAAUUAGAUUUGGAAUUAAAUUUUGUUAUUAGGAACAAAAUUGUGAUGGGAUUGAAUUUCUCUCUAUAGUAAGCACGAAAAUAAAACGAUUGAUCUUUCUUAUCUUUGGGAAACUAAACAAGAGUCAUUAUUUAUACAUUUUUUCUGUCAGUAAAAGCGAUUACAGGGUACAAAUUAAUUAAUAAGUACCAAAUCAAAUAAAAUGAAAAAAAGAAAAAAAAAUCUGAAUUAAGUGGCUCGAGUGUUGCCAAUUUUACGUCAGGUACGUAGAAUGAAUGCCAUGCAUGAUGCAUGCAUGUAAGUUGUAACGAAACCCAUAUUAAUUCGUUAGCUUUAUGAUUCUCAUUAAUUUAUGCAUGGACAAAUUAUUAUUAUUAUUAUUAUUAUUAUUAUUAUUAUUAUUAUCAUCAUCAUCAAAAUAAAAAAAAAAAAGGACACCAUGCAGAAAACUUUAAUCCGCUUCCACAGGGCGAUCCUACAAUCUCUCUCCACCCCUCUUAUCUCGUAUAAAAAAUGAAGCUCCUCAUAUUUCCGUUUCCUUUCUCUCUUCUUAUUUUCUCUCUCAACCUUAAAUCUUCGCGUACAACUAUAUAAACAUAAAAAAAUAAUAAUAUAUUAAUAUUAUAGUAUAGAAAGGGGCCGGGGUUGAAGAUGGCGGGGGCGGCGGAGUUGUCGGCGGAGGUGAUGGAGAGGAUCUUCAAGCGGUUCGACGGGAACGGGGACGGAAAGAUAUCGUUGGCGGAGUUGGGGGAGGCGCUGAGCGCUCUGGGGUCGACGUCGGCCGACGAGAUCCAGCACAUGAUGGCCGAGAUCGACACCGACGGUGACGGAUACAUCGAUUUCGCCGAGUUCACCGCAUUUUGCCGCGCCAACUCCGGCCUCAUGAAGGACGUCGCCAAGGUCUUCUAAGCCUCUCCUUGAAUAGUGUGUCGUACGUUGCACCACAAAUUGUUACAUCUAUAUAUAAUUUUUUUUCAAAUUUUUUAUCUUAUUUUCUCUGCAUUUUUAAAAAAAAUGGUUGAAGAGAGUAACAUGAAUUGAAGGAACUAGUCAUAAACGUUAGAGUGAUGUGGAAAGUAUUCAGAGAUUCACCUUUUAUUAUUUGUUAUUAAUUAUUAAUUAUUAACUGUAUAAGUGACAAAAAUUGAUGUGAAAACAGAAAUAUAUAUUUGUCUUAUUUUAUAAUUUUAUUUACGUGGUAUGAAAUGUUGGGCCUGCCCAUGUCCAACCCGAAUUUGGUGGACUAAGCGGGCCCAACAUUUUCGUUCCGGAUCCGGGCAAAAUUGAUCCAUUAAUCCGUUUUGUAUUUGGGCUUUAUCCAAUUUGGGUUUAUUGGGUCAGAAAUACAGACAAUUUUAUAAGAAUAAAAUGAAUAUUUAAUUAGUUUCGAAAAUCUACUCUUCAUAGUUAUAUAUAUUUGGUUAUUAAACAAUAAUGUUUUUAUCACCACUGUCUAUUGCGGUUGGUCGGGACCCUGGGUCAUCGAUCAAGCAUUUGGGUUCGAUUUAAAAUCUUUAAGUAAGGUAUUAAUAUAUUCUCGAUUAAUUUUUGUAGAUUUUUUCAUCUCUCAAACAAUCUUAUCAACUGCAAAGGAAAAGAUAUAUUCAUAUAAACCAGCAGGUGCAAUAAUAUUUAAGCAUAUGCAUGACAAUUAAUAAUUUCCUCAUUCCAGUGAAUCAGAUUCAAAGGGAGCCACCACAAGGCCAUAACCCCAAAUGGGUACGGGUCCAUAUAUUGCUGGAUCCCAACUUGACUAAACAAGCCCUUGCCACAAAAUGGUCCUGUUAAAAUGUUACCCACCAAGGGGUUGGUAUCAUUCUCCCAGUUGAACACUUUGGAGAGAGAGAUCUUUGAUGAGGACCAACAAGGAAUCUUAGCUUGAGAUGGGACUUUAACCCCAACAAGUGGAAUCAAAACUUAUUGCCCAAAUCUGGUGUACAUGUACAAAGUAUAUUUCAUGCACCACACCCUUAAUUAAGAUCCUAUACUAAAUGCCUCAAGAAUCAAACUUAUAAUCUAGUUCAUUGAAUCGUAUUGUUGGUCAUUGUAGAUAUUUUAGAUCACAUCUAUGAGAUUAAAUUACAAAUUAUCCGUGGUGCACGCACCAAAUGUAAGCAAUAAUUUCUCCAUGUAGAUAGAUUCUAGAUGCAAUAUGAUCUUUCCUCUCUCUCUCUCUCUCUCUCUCUCUCUUUCUCAUCAAUCCCCUCUAUUGCGAUAUACCAACUUUUUCUAUCACUUGGUGAGUUGGUGGUGGGGAGAAAUGGAUGGAUAUCAUGUGUAGCAUAUAUAUCCCUUUGCGGGACAAAAAUAAAGGUCGAAGCACUACAGUGGCUUUUGUGAUCAAGUGUGUGGUCACUUUAAUUGCUACGACCUUUGACCCUUGGGCUUAUGAUUUGAAGGCGUUUGGACGCACGAGGGGAACGUAACUUGGUUGGGUUCAAUUAAUGGGCGUGGAAAAGGAAUGGUCCAAGGAAUCGUAGUUGGUUUGUUAUACGUAACUUGGACUAUUUCGUAGUGUUGUCUCCUGAAGAGUGAUGUGAAUGGAAGCAACUUGAGCAUCGGUUGGUUAUGUAUUUCUAUGAGAUUAUGGUAGUUUCUUUCUCUCAAUUAUUCGUAUGGUAUACGUGCUCUAAAAGGUUAGGAUGGAGCGCGCACGAUGGAGCCACGAGAGGGAUUGUUGCUUAAUCUAACAAAAAAUUAUGAUAUGACAAGGGUAAGGUUUCACGUGAAAAGUUUAAAUUCAGUCCCUUGUUUGAUUUGGACAUCACAUUAUCAAAGUAUCACGCGGAAUCCCAUUACCUGAUGCUUUCUUCAGAUACAUGAAGUUUUGGGCUACCGUAAGACAAUUUUUUUUUUAAUUCUUCAUUCAAAAAAAGCAGAAAAAAGAAGAAGUCCCAACCAAGGGAUUAGUCUCAUAGUGAUGAGCUGCGUCGUUACCGGAUUUCUCUUUUUAGCAACUUAAUGGAGACAGCGCGCCAACCACUACAUAAAUAUAGCAUGGUAAUAGAUAUUCGAAUAGCGGAUCUUGAUGUCAUGAGUCUAAGCCACUACAUGUGCUUCUCAUUAGAGACUCUGUGUCCUUGACUUCAGAAUCUAAAUAUAUGGACUCUUAAUUAGGAUAGAGUUGCAACUGCAAGUAUAUAUAUAUAUAUAUAGUUUGGUUACUAUACUCUUAUGAGUAUAAAUCAAUUUGUACUCAUAAUUUUUCGAUCGUUAGAUCUACUCUUUUGAUUAUUUCUACUUGUUAGAUUAUACUAUUCAACCAACUACCCACUCAAUUCUAGACAAUUACUAUCAUCCUAACCGCACGUCCCUUCAUCCAACAAUUAAAAAUUUAUGAGUACAAAAAAGUCUAUAUACUUAUAAAGUAUAGUAACCCUAGUCUAUAUAUAACUUUUUACUUCAAUUUUGAGUGAUAGAACGGAUCUUAAGUACUUCUUUCUUCCUGCAACCAGUUGAUCAACCUGUUCAACAGGUUAUAAUUAAUUUGUGCAUGUUUGUUUAGUAUCAGGCCCUAAGAUAAAUAAGGCCAAACUUGCUUCACGGCGGGUUCAUCUGUUUGAUUGGCUAGUCCACUACAAUCAAUUCAGCUUAAAAUUACAAAUUGUAUAUUACUUUACAUUUUUUUUGGAGAAAGAAAGAUAACAUGUUACCCGCUUCGUCUAUUUUUUAAAAAUAAAUUUAGUUAAAAAUAUAAAUCAAGUAGAAUUCGAACUUAGAAUCUCAGAUACCAACUACCAAACUCUUUGUAACUUAUUUUUUUUUUAUAUUUAUCCAUUUGUACACCCAACGGAAGCGUAUAUACACAUAUGUAUGUAUGUUUAUAUGUAUGUACAAUGUACAGCAUGGCGCGCGGUGAUAUAUUUUAGAUGUAAACUAACAAGAAUCAUCGAAUAUUGUGAUCAGUACACGAUAGCUAAAUACUGAUCAUAUAGUAGCAUCAUCACCCAUGCAUCCUUUAGACCUUGAAGUGAGAGGCGCAGUACAUUGACGCGGCAACCACUGUCCCCUUCUAAGCCGAUGCAAUAAUAAAUGGCCAAAAUGAGCUGGUCGAUUGAUCGUAGAGUACCGAGCAAACACGCAUGGUUUGUGUACGUUCGCACUUAAUUUGCUGCGUUGUUUUGGAGCCACAUAUAUAUAUAUAUAUACACACACGCGCGCGCAGAUACGCCCAAGAGCACGAGACGUGCCUUUAACAUUUUCUGCAAUUACCGACUGUCUCUAACGCAAGAGAUCAUAAAAGACUUAAUAAUUAAUAACAGGUUGAGAUUUCAAAUUUAAAUUUUAAUUAAUUUAUUUUUUAAAAAAUAAAUUAAAUAAAUAAUAUGUUAUUUUUCUGUCUCAAAAAGAGAACCGAACAUUUCGGGAGAUUUAGUUUCCCACCGGGCUCAAACUGAGAGAGAGAGAGAGAGAGAGAGAGAGAGAGAGGAACAUGCACUGCUGUUGCUUUUUCAUGGAUGCAUGCGAGUAUGCGACACCCCCAUCGAACCUCCCUCUCCUCGGGAUCAAGCAUGCCGUGAGGGGACAGGGAUGAGGUCGCAUGCGGAGAUUUCAUGCACACCUGCCUACACCUUGUUCACCACUUCAUCCAAGAGUUUCACUCAAAUCACAAAAUAUUUGAGUGUAAAUUUUUGAGCCAUAUAAUAAUAAAGUAAAAAUAAGCCCGGAGGUAAAACUUCUUCUUGUAAUUAUUAUGGUUUAGAAUCUCAUUCUUUUGAUUUUCGUUGCAACAUAAGCUUCGAUUUUUCCCUCACCAAAUACUAGUGUUCAAAGAGGAUAGAAUUAGACGCACGACGAAAUAUGCAUACCCUCGGUAUCUUUUAGAUGCUACAGAUUAUAAGCAUCGGAUGAUUAAAAAUUUACAAGUUUUACGAUCUCCAUGAAAGAGUUUUGGAAAGAACAAUCUGCAGUGGACUAGGUGCAGGCAAUAGUUUCUUAGAAGAAUAAAAAGGGAGGGGUGAGAGAAGAAUCUGUUCUUGGCCUUGGCUGAAGAGCCGGCCAAGCAGAAAAGUGACCAAGGGAUCUACAGCCUGCAUCCUCUUUUCCCCACAUUGAGAUCUGCAUUUACAGCUACUUAAUUGUAUGGUAUCCUCUUAACAUAUGGUUGUUGACAAAAAAAAAUUUCUUCUUCUUUUUCACUUGGAUGUUUUGUAUAAAUUCGGCUACUUAAAUUUACUAGUAAAUUAGAACAGCCAAUAUACUCUUCAUAAAUAUAGAAAUUUUUGUUUUUUUUUUUUUAUAAAAUAAAUGCAUUGAAUCUGAUCGAUUCAUCGAAUCUAUACCUAAUCGAUCUAUGUGUAACAAUAUUUUUCUGUAAAUAACACAUAUUGGCUCUUAAGAACUAUGUAUUUGCACUCAAAUCGCCUCUUCAUCACUUCUACGUCACAAGGCAUUAUGAGAAUUUUGAUGUUAAGUUAUUGGGGGGAUUAAUCAAGCAUUAAAACCUCAACUUUAUUUCUUUCUCAAUCUUUUUAUUCUUUGAUUUCCAUAAUGAUGCAAGUGACGGAUCUUAUUGAUUCAAUAUUUGAUCCUUCGUUUUGGAGAAAUAUAUAUAUAUCUUUUUAGCUCCUCAUGGUAACAGUAUGAGGAACAUUCACGGCAUAAAGAAAAGCUAUAUACAUCCACAGAUAUUAAAAAAAAGGGGCAAUUGCCUAUAUACCCUUGAAAAGUUUCCGGUUUUUUUAUUUAUCCCUCUUAGAAGGCUAAUAUUGAAAAUACCCUUCUUAUGUUCCAAGUCUUUCUAAUAUACCCCUGGAGUUAAGUUCCGUCAGUUAGCUGCUGUUAUCUCUGAAAAAUUACCAUUUUGCCCAUUCCAAUAUACCCUCGUACCGUAACUCACUUAUCUUAUAUACCCUUCAUAUACAAAAUAUUUUUCUUAUUUGCUCUUUAAAUAUCAAUUAAUUAAUUAAGCACGUUGGGAGCGAGCAAAUGAACGGAUGAGAUUGAUCGCAGCUAAACCAAUCUUAGUGGCGCGAGCAAAUGAACGGAUGAGAUCGAUCGCAGCUAAACCAAUCUUAGUGGCUGGAGGCAUAGUUAGUUAAUUCGGAUUCGGCAAAAAUUCAGUACAGAUAUAAUUCGAAUAAAAUUCGUCUUUUAAUUUUUAAAUUCGUUGAAAAAUACGGCUAAAAAAUAGAUUCGACAGUUAUUCGAAUACGUAAUAUAUACGGGUAUUAUACGUUCACCAAUUAAAGAUUCCAGAUCAAAAAUUCGGCUAUAUAAUAAAUAUAUAAUAAUUAAUAUACUAUAUAUAUUAUUAUUAUAAUUUUUAUAUAUAUAUUAAAUAUAUAUAUUUAAAAUUAUAAUAAAUAUAUAUUAAUAAUAUAUAAGAGUUAUAUAUUUAAAAAUAUUAAUAAACUUAGAUUUGUGCAGAUCAAAGGACUAAUUUAUUCCAAUUAAUCUCAGAUAUUAACUAUUCCACCCUAAUUAACUCUCCCAAUUAACUCUUCCACCCUAAUUAACUCUUCCAAUUAACUCUUCCACCAUAAUUAACUCUCUCAAUUAACUCUCCCAAUUAACUCUCCCAAUUGACCCUCGUACAGCACCCCUCCUCGUCCCCUUCCUCCGGCACCGACAGCACCCACCUCGACCACCGUCGCCACUCCAAACCUCGAGGGUGGCGACCCAUGAGGCAAUAUUGGUGAUCGGAGCUGCUGUUCCCGACAGAGGCAGAGACGAAGAACGGGUUUCUCAGCAACGAAGAAGGCGUCCACGGCGAUGGUGUCGAGGUGGAAGGCACGAUGAUGCUACCGGUGGUGAGGGAGACGAUGUCGACCCACUCACAGCGAUGUCGAAUGUGACGAGAAGGAGGAGGAGGAGGACAACGAGAUCUGCACGAAUCGUUGCGGCCCUCUUGCUCCCGGCGCCGGCAAAGGCGGCGGCGGAGGAGGAGGACGAUGAGAGCGGCGACUCGCGGGCCUUUUUUUUGUGCGAAUGAGGCGAGGCUUCUUGGGGACGAAGGUGGAGGCGGAGGAGCCGGCGCCGAGGUUGGCGGUGGCGGUGGCGGUGAGCUGCUGGCGCUCGCGGCGGCGGGCGGCGGGCGGUGAGCGGCGGACUUGAUCGAGAGUAAUAAUGUUAAGUUGGAAGAGAAAGAAAGGAUAAUUUAAGGAAAUAGUUUAAUAAGAUAGGGGUAAAAUAGGUAUUUUAAUUAGGUUUUAACUCUGGAAUACAUUUAACUCAUGUUUAACCCGAGUUAGUUUAACAGGGGAUAACUGCGGGGGUAUUUUGGAAUAACGGUGGAACAUAUGAGGGGUAUUUUAGAAAGAAAAAAAAAAGUAGGGGUAAAUCGGAUAUAUUCAAACGCAUGAAGGGUAUAUUGGCAAUUAUCCCUAAAAAAAAAAAGGGACAGUCACAUGUUAGGCUUAACCCUAGCAUUGUACCAAGAGAUCAACAAAAAACAUUCCUCAUAUCUCUUAGUUGUCAUUCCGUUUUGCUAUUGAAUCCACUUUAGUGUUAAUUAUAUAAUAAAAUCUGACAAAAACCACUGUUACCACUAUUAAUCGACAUAGUAAAAUAAUUUGAUGUGACCAAGAUCCAUGUUAAUUAAUAACAGACGAAAAGAUAAGAAUCCGAUUGGGACCAUGCACCCCGAAUUGGCCUAAUCAACCACCAACAUGAACCAUCAGUGAUAGAGAUUAAUUAAAUCGGUCCCAAGAGGCUUUUAGAGACACAUCAACUCACUGUAUUAAGUGCUUUUGCUUAAUCAAAGAACCAAAAAACAAAAAAAAAAAAAGCAGUGUCCAAGAUGUGAAAAGCACAAGCACUGUAGCAUCAAAACCAUGUGAUAGCCCUCGAUCACUAAACAAUUACUUUCAUGUGGAUACAAAUGUAUAGACGUACGCUUAUUGGAAAGGUCCCAACACUUAACAUUAGACAAUAGAGAACACAAAAAAGAAAAGCUUUGGAAGGAAUGCUUUCAUGAACUAGCGUGGGACAGGAGGUGGUGGUGAUGUUAGUGGUCUUGCUUUGUGAAUAAUGUUAUAUGUAUCUAGCUUAUAAUGUUUCUCAUAAUUAACAUUGCUAAUUAAUGAAUCAACUUUUAACAAUUCAUUUGUAUAUAUAUAUAUAUAUUUAUAGAGUAAGUCUCGUGUACUUUCAAAAGUACAAAGAUCUCCGUGCUUGUAAGUUGUUUUCGAUGAUAGGAAAUCCGAUUCGACGAUCGGCUCCGUUAAAUAUAAUCUAUCUUAUUGGAACUAUUUAGAAACCAAAUUUUAUAACUUUUUGAUAUCAUUUACCAAGCGAUCAAAAUGUCUCAAAAAUGACGAUUUUAAUGGCCGAUGUGGCACGUUUUUAAGUUCAACGGUAUACAUAGAAGUAUCCAAAUUAGAUGAAAAUUUAAUAGAAAAUUCUACUUAACAUCAAUAGUAAGACCAAUACUUGCGAUUUGAAAUUUGAGUCCUUUAUCAUUGUUUUUUAUGAGAUUUUCAUUUUCAGCCGUUCAUUUUGAGGCUACUCGUUUACUAGACAAACGAAAUCAAAAAAUUAUGAAAUUUGGUUUCUAGGUAGUUCCAACAGUGUAGAUCAUGUCUAAUAGAACCGAUCGCCAAAUCGGAUGUCCCAUUAUUAAAAACAACUUACAAAUACGGAGGCUCCCGUACUUUCGAAAGCAUAAGAGCCUGGCUAUAUAUAUAUAUAUAUAUAUAUAUAAACUUAACUAAAAUAUAAAAUACUAUAGCUUCAAAUUGUAGAAUCUCGAAUGCCAGACCAUUAAAUUCUUAGUAUCUAUACUAAGUACGAUCGGAUUUUUUUGUUGCUAGUAUUUUUAUGGCAUAGAUGAUUUAUAUAGCAUUUCAAGCUGAACGUUUCAGUACGCGCUGACUAUAAAUAAUAUACAAUAAACUUUUUAAAAACUUUAUGUAUUUGAAAUUAUUAUGCAGUGCAUUUUACUCCUGCAUACCACCGCCCUAGAGCAAGUGGCUAAAAAGGCUUAUGUUGCUACCCAGACACAUAAGUGUCGUGACUGAUUGAUUCAUUUCCGUCGGCCUUAAGUUUAAUUUCUAAAUGAAAUAAACCGAAGCGGGGGUAGCGUGCUACUAUCCUUCUCAAAAAAAAAAUUCUCCUGCAUAAUCCCAUUGGCGUGCUAUUAAUUGGAUCACUAUUACUACAAUACAAUUUCAAACUCAAAUAAUUUAAGAACAAGCUUAUUGUUAUCGAAAAUCCGGUUCAAGUUAAAAAUUCUUAGUCUAAGAUAUAUUAUACUAUAUAUAUAUAUAUAUAUUAGCUUAUAAUUAUAUAUUUAUAAGUGUUGAAUUAAUCAAAGUUGUACAACUAGUUGGGAUAGAAAUUAAUAAGUGUGAUAAGUAUAUUGAUUAUCUUCUUUGGAUAUUUUGUAAAUGAUGGUUGUCGCGAUAGAGGCGAGCAACUUGUCCUUUAAAGGAGAAGAGGUUCGGCACCUGAAAACGCCUGAGUGAGAAUUAGAGGAGAUAUAUAUUUUUUUUUAAAAAAAAAGAAAUAAAAAGAAAAAGAGUAAAUAAAGAAGAGCGGCCACGCUUGAAAAGGAUGCUUUAUUUUUUGGGGAGUGGAAGAGCAGUGGAAACAUUAGAUUAAAAAAUAUAACAUAUAUAUAUAUAUAUAUAUAUAUAUAUAUAUAUAUAUAUAUAUAUAUAUAAUAUAUGGAGAGGUAGUGGAAACAUUAAUUAUUUCAUUAGAUUAAAUUAUAUAUAUAUAGUAUAUUAUAUAUUAAUUAUAUAUAUAUAUAUGUGAGACUACUAUGCUAUCGAAAGUAUGGAGCCUUUCGUGCUUCUAGCUCGUUUCGAUGUUGCGAUUUUCGAAUCGUGAUCGGCUCUGUUAAACUUGAUCUAGAAGUAUUUGAGUACAUAGAAAAUAAAUUUUUUAUUUUUCGAUAUCAUUUGCCUAGUGAUCGAAUGGGCUCAAAAUCAACAAAUUUCAAUGGCCGUAGUGAGCGCUUUGCAAGUUUAACGGUGUAAAAAUAUUCAAAUCAGCGUGAAAUUUUGAUGAAAAUUUUUUAUACUAUAUAAAACAAGAUCAAUAUCCUUGAUUUAAAAUUUUAAUGUCAUAUUAUUACAUUUUGUAGAUUUUUAUUUUCAGCGUUGAUUUUGAGCCUUCGUUCAUUAGGCAAAUGAUAUCGUAAAAUCAUAAAAUUAUUUUCUAGGUACUUCAAAUACUCUAGAUCAACUCUAACGGAUAUAUAUAUAUAUAUAUAUAUAUAUAUAAUAUAUAUAUAUAUUAGUUGCGGCUAGGAUGCUUAUGGAAGCACGGAGGGCUCCGUGCUUUCAUUUUGUUUUCGAUGUUCGACUUUCGAAUCGACGAUCGGCUCCGUUAGAGUUGAUUUAGAGUAUUUGAAUACCUAGAAAAUAAAUUUGUGAUUUUCGAUAUCAUUUGACUAGUGACGAAGGGGCUCAAAAUCAAUAAUUUUAAUGGCCGUAGUGAGCCGGUUGCAAGUUUAACGUGUAUAGAAUAUUCAAAUUACUGAAAUUUUGAUGAAAAUUCUUUAUACCAUAUAAAACAGAUCAAUAAUUUUUAUCUAAAAUUUUAAUUCAUUUCAUCAUAUUUUGUAAGAUUUUUAUUUUCAGCCAUUGAUUUGAGCCACUUCGAUCAUUAGCAAAUGAUAAUCGAAAAAUCGCUAAAUUUAUUUCUAGAUACUUCAAAUACUCUAGAUCACUCUAACGGAGCCGAUCGUCGGUUCGAAAGUCCGACAUCGAAAAUAACUUAGAAGCACGAGGACUCCGUGCUAUCAUAAACAUACUAGUCCACUAUAUAUAUAUAUAUAUAUAUAUAUAUUAUAAUAUAUAUAUAUAUAUAUAUAUAUAGCUCGCAACGGACUAAAAUAAAUGCUUCACUCUAUAUUUUAGGAGCUUGUGAAAGUUUUUAGACCAAAAGACAAUUCUUUUGGUAAUAGUAGAAAAAGAGAACAAAUAUUAUAAAAAUAUCGAGCUCGGUAAUUCAAUAGUAAAGUGUGUUGACACUAUUACUAGUCAAAAAAAAAAAAAAGACUAAAAUUGAGUACAUUAACUAAUUACAGAUAGUUAAUUGCAUUAAAGUAACAUAUGAAUGCUUGUUUUUUUCUCUCUCCAAAGAAAAUGCAAUUAAUAGAGUACUCCUAGUAAUUAACUUGAUCUCUUUGUAGCUCUUUGGCGAGUUAUGUAGAUAAUUUUGCAAAUAUAUUUUUAAAAAAGUAUUUUUGCACUGAUGUUAAUGGUCACUUGGAAUUCUUGUUAAGUUUUUCUUUUUUUAAAAAAUAAUUUGAUGGUGUUUAGUCGUCUUCAAUGCACGUGCCUAUCAUUUCACAUGGACCAUAAAACAUAAACCAAAUCAAAAUACCACAUAAGCUAAACAACACCAACAUUCGACAAACCAAUUAAUUAAGAUCCAUCAUCAAAAAAUAUUAUUUCACAUUUUAACAGUUUGGCUCAACUUUAGCAUUUACUUUUAGCUUAUGUAAACACUGGUAGUGUAUUUGACAGAUAGAGAAAGAUAAACCUUUUGUUAUGGAGUGAAGCAUAGAAAUAAUAUUGUUGAGUCUAAAAAUAGAGUUCAAUUUGAUAUUUUUAGUUUUGUUCCAUAUAGAAUGAAAAUUUUGGAGGUGAUAAUAUAGGAGUCCAGCUUCUAUUCUCUUAAUAUGAUAAAAGUUUUUGUUCUAUCAAGUUCUUUUGUUUAAUCGAGACUCUAAAUUGAGAAUUGACACUGUUGCAAUUGAUCUACACUAUUAGAAACAUUUAGAAAUUUUGAAUUUUGUAAUUUUGAAAAAGUCCAUCAAAGAGUCAAAAAAUGAACAGUAAAAAAUAAAUAAUUUUUUAAAAAUAAAGGCUAGACUUUUUAAUUCAUGAUCAGAAUUAUCAAACGUUAUCUACGUAGUAUAAAAAAAUUUCUAUUAAAAAUUCAAGUAAUUUGAAUUGCUCUAUACCGUUAAACAAGCAAAAAGCUCAUAUGGGCCAUUAAAAACUAUAAAUUUUGCAAUCAUUUAUAUUAAAAAUUCAAGCGAUUUGAAUUGCCCUACGUGCGAGUGUACAUUGGAACCUAAUAAAAAAUUCAAAAUCAACAACAAUAUAUAUAUAUAUAUAUAUAUAUAUAGAGAGAGAGAGAGAGAGAGAGAGGCUGGUAUGCUUCUGAAAGUCCAAAUUGUUUUUAAUUUGAUCUAGAGUAUUUGAAAUAUAUAGAAAAUAAAUUUUAUGAUUUUUUAAUAUUACUUGCCUAGUGAUCGAAGGGUUAAAAAUCAAUAAUUUUAAUGACCGUGACGAACUGUUUGCAAGUUUAACGGUAUAAAAAUAUUCAAAUCGCGUGAAAUUUUGAUAGAAAAUUUUCUAUACUAUAUAAAACAAGAUCAAUAUAUUUGAUCUAAAAUUUUAACUUUAUAUCAUCACAUUUUAUAAAAUUUUUAUUUUCAGCUAUUGAUUUUGAUCUAUUUCGAUUACUAGGCAGAUGAUAUCAAAAAAUCACAAAAUUUAUUUUUUAAGUACUUCAAAUAUUUUAGAUUGAGUUUAACGGAACCAAUCGUCGAUUCGAAAGUUUCAACAUCGAAAACGAUUUGAAAAUACGAAAGGCUCCAUGCAAGUAUACCAGCCACACUUUAUAUAUAUAUAUUGCCGUCACUGGAUGUUUAAGCACAUCUCACACACCGUCCUCGAUAAAUACCAUGAUAGUGGUUGAAUAAUUGACGCCUAUUUACUCACUAAUACGUACAAAAAACAAUAGAAUUUUCAAACUAAAACUCUAAAUCACAUCUAUCUAUUGCCGAAAAUUAGAUGCGAAUCGUGAGGCAUUCGGACACACCGGGUGCAGGUAUUUCUCAGAAGGCUAAAUUAAACUUUUGUUUCUCAAACUACGGCGCAUGCUAUUUUGGCCUUUUUGGUUCGAGUUUUUUAAAUUAUUAUAAUUAAAUUUCAUAGUCUAACUUAGUUAACUAGAUAUUAAUAUAUCGAAAAAUAAAAAUAAUGAAAUAGUAUUGUGAUUAAUGAUAUGACAAUAAUUCAGGUAUCACAUUACUUCUACCGUUGCUGACUUUGUCUUCCUUUUAUUUUUUCACUUGUAUAACUUAAUUAUAAUAAUAAUAAAAUUUGAAUAAAAAAUUAUUAUAAAUAAAAAAUUGAGUAUUAUAAUAUCACCUCUCUUGUAGUGUAAUGUGUGAGGAUCAAAAGUAUAGCUUAGCCUUCUGUAGAAAGAACUGGGACUCACUCGACCCCCUCGUCCGUCCUAUCUAUAAUACCCAUCUCGCUUCAUUUAUAUUAUUUAAAAAUAAAUUUAAUUAAAAAUAUAAAUCAAUUAAAAUUAGUAUUUAAGAUUUUAAAUAUCAAUCAUCAAAUUUUUUAUCACCUGCACUAAGUACGAUCGUUAUACCUCAAUUAUUUAUGAUCUUACAUUUGUAGUGCCACAUUGGCGCCAAAUUAAUGGACCUGGUCAGGAUCAGCAUUCCCCGCCGAUUCGCUUUCCUAGUGCGCUCGAGGUUGUCGUGUCCGACCCAAUAAAGAGACCCCACCACAUUCGUACCCACGCCCCAUCACCCUCCAUCUUGUCAUAUCCCUACUUACAUGUCCACCACCCACACAUCGAUUUAAGGUUAAAAUUGUAAUUCAAAAAUGAAAACUGUUUUUUUUUUUUGAAAAAAAAAAACCUCCAAAACCUUUUUAAUUACAGGCCAUUUUAGAAAAAGUAUUGCCACAAAUUAAUUUCUCUAAAUGUUGACUCUUCUCGAUUGCUGACGUGUUAAAAAUAUACAUAGUAUAAGAGGUUUCAAAUUAUUAUUUUUUUAAAUAAUAAAGUUUGCUUGUUGAUUCUCACCAAAUGAUCAAUCAAAUUAAGUAAUUACACUCACUCACAUAGUCACAUUCUCUCUUGUAAGGGGUCAUCAAUUAAUAAACUAUGAUAUCCAUUAGAGAGAAUAAGGAGGGGUAAUUAAACUAAAUUAAAUCAGCAACAGCUGAGACAUAAUCGAACAUUCUACAGAAAGUGACAAAAAGUUUGAUGAUUGAUACUCGAGCUUCCAAAUUUGAAUUCUAAUUAAUUUACAUUUCAAACUAAGUGUAUUCCUAAAUGAAAUAAACAAAAAUUACCUUAUCUCUCUAANAAAAAAAAAAAAAACACAGCUGAGACAUAAUAACGUCUUAUUCAGAGAUUGCUCGUGGGGGCUACUGCUACUCCCCAGUCCCCUCCUCCUCACUCGUAUUUAGACCCCCCCACCACUCCUCACUUCACCACCACCACCACCACCCUCUCACCACCUUAAUCACUCAAUAUCACUCUCCUUUCAUAAGUUAAAGGAGGAAUAUAUAUAAAAAUAUAUACACGCGCGCGUGUGUGUGUAUACAUAUAUACUGACUAGGUGGUGUUAGCUGCAGCAGCGGCGGCGGUCGGUAAGAAAUGGCGGAUGCGAAUGCGAAGCAGAUAUGCGGCGUGCCGGAGAGGGUCCAGCUGCAUGUGGCCAUGCUGGCCCUCCAGUUCGGCUACGCUGGCUUCCACAUCGUGUCGCGGCUCGCGCUCAACAUGGGGAUCAGCAAGGUCGUGUUCCCGGUCUACCGGAACAUCAUCGCCUUGAUCCUCCUCAUUCCCUUCGCAUAUUUCCUCGAAAAGUACGAUCACUUUUUUUUGAGAGAUACAUAGCGUGCUACUGAGAAAUAGGAAUUAAUUAAAAUUCGAAUUUGGAAUCUCGAAUAUCAACUAUCAAAUAUUUUGUCACUUGCUUGGCGCUAGAGCUGAUCGAUAGUACAAUUACUUUCUGAUCACUGAUCACUGCAUGUACAGUAACGUACAAAUUAGUAAACAACAAGCAAAUUCAACGAAUGUAUAUAUACGCGUGACAAAAAUAUAGUUUCAUUUUAUUUUUUCUUUCAUGCAAAAAAAAAAAUGAAGUAAUAAUUCAUUAAUUACAUGUUCAAUUUAUUUUUGUAGGAAGGACAGGCCCGCCAUCACACUUAACUUCCUCGUUCAAUUCUUCCUGCUUGCGCUCUGCGGGUAAUUAAUUAAUUAACAUAUAUUUGGCACUAAUUACUCAGAUUGAUUUGAGAAUUUUAAUCUUCGUAUUUAUGUACGCAACAUAUAUAGUAUAACUGCGAACCAAGGAUUCUACUUACUGGGUUUGGACAACACUUCCCCGACCUUCGCAUCCGCGAUCCAAAACUCCGUCCCCGCCAUCACCUUCCUCAUGGCCGCUGCUCUGAGGUGACUGUUUUGCUUUAAAAGUUUAAACUAUCAGAGAACAGUAUUUUAAUUAACCUUUUUUCCGCCGCAGGAUCGAGAAGGUGCGUCUCGACCGCCGCGAUGGCAUCGCGAAGCUCGUGGGCACGCUGGCCUGCGUCGCGGGCGCGUCGGUGAUAACCCUCUACAAAGGCCCGACCAUAUUCACGCCCUCGCACAACGUAAACAGCAACAACGCCGUCGCCGCCGCCGCUGUCGAAGCGUCGGAAAAGGCGCUCCUGUGGGUGAACGAUCCCAAGGGGAAGAACUGGACGCUGGGGUGCUUGUACCUGAUCGGGCACUGCUUGUCGUGGUCGGGGUGGCUGGUGCUGCAAGCCCCCGUGCUGAAGAAGUACCCGGCGCGGCUCUCCGUCACGUCGUAUACGUGCUUCUUCGGCGUGAUACAGUUUCUGAUCAUUGCGGCGUUCAUCGAGAGAGACGCAGAGGCUUGGAUUUUCCACUCCGGCUCGGAGCUCUUCACUAUCCUCUAUGCGGUAAUAAGAGUUUUACUUGGUGUGUUUAUGUUACGUACCUGCAUGCUAGUAGUGCUUCAUGGCACAGAAGUUUUAACUUAAACUUUUUAAUUCACAAAUAAGAAUUAAUAUAGUAGUGCUUCUUCUAAUAGCACUAUUCUAAUUGCAUUUUACUCGGCCUUUUAGCAAUAUUGUUAAAUAAUUCCUUACAUAGCAGAAGUAAAAGUGAAAAGUGAAAAGUGAAGCUUAAAUGAUUAUUUGACAACCUAUUCUGAACGAGAAAAAUUUUAAAAAGAAAAUUUCUAAAUGCUCCUGGUUUUACUAUUUGGAAGCAGAAAAAAUAUUUGAAAAAAAACAGAUACAGUUAUUUCUGAGCAUAACUAAUUGCGAUCUCAUUAUGACGUGUCUAAGCUUAUAAUAUGCAGUGCUAUGAUCGGUCACAACAGCCUAAAAGUAUGCACCAACUCCAAAGGUUUCUGAAAUGGAUAUUUAGUUAAGGAAUGUCCGUAGUGAGUUGUGUUAUCUUUUUCACCUUUUUUUUUGACCCAUAUGGUGAUGGCAUAGAUGGAAAUGGACCAAACAAAUUAAAUAAAUAAUAUAUAGAAAGUUGGUGUGGCAAUUGUAUCCUUCUUUGGAAGGAGGAAAGAGAAAGAAGGGAGAGAGAGUGAGAGAGAGCUACAGGAAGUGCUCCUUUGCUUUGCUUCUCUACUUGGUCAGAAGCUUUAAAUGAAUUGGUUAAAGCUACCUUUGGACUUAGCUUUUCCACUUCAGAGGUGUGAAAUCUAAUAUUAAAACAUAUAUGUAGCAUAAAGUUGAAAUUAGUGGUAAACAUAAUGGGAUAAGCCUUUCUUUUAUGCCUUCGCUUUAACUUUAUUCAUAAUAAUACUAGCUAGUUAUAAUUACAAGUAUAAUAAAUUGCAAGGGCUCCAUUAUAUAAUCUUUUGAUGUGCAAAUGACAUCAUUAGAGGAGAAAGGAUUUCCUUUUGGUCAUGCCUACACUGUUUCACCAGAUGAAAAGAGCACCAAAAAAUUCCUCUUCAAAGGGGGCAUGUGCCAGAAUACAUACUCAUUUGUCAUCAUGCUGUACUUGCCAGAGUGUUAUGAUCACAUGGCAGCAACAGCUUCCUUUGAUUCCUCCAUGGAGUACAGCAAAUCUUUCAGGGUGUGCACCCUAGUUAUCUAGUGGAUGAGCAACUUAAUUUGGUCCCCCACAAAACAAAAAAGAAAAGGAAAAAAAAGAAGAAAGAAAUCUUACUUUUUCUAAAGUUAGGUAGAUAGAGCGCAGAAGGAUUUGAGUAGGUCUUGAGUUCGAGUCUCAUUUACAGAAACGAAAAAAAUAGAAAGAAAAAGAAAAACUAGUAGUAACAUAAUGCAUUACUUGCGUCGAGCAUCUUUACUAAGCUCAAAUAUAUAUAUGAACUCAUUUUUUAGGGUUUCAUUGCGUCUGGAGUGGCGUUCGCAGUCCAGAUAUGGUGCAUCGACCGUGGCGGUCCUGUGUUUGUGGCCGUUUAUCAACCCGUCCAGACUCUCGUCGUCGCCAUCAUGGCCUCUAUCGCUCUCGGAGAGCAAUUCUACCUCGGAGGGUACCGAAUCGAAAUAACUAAUCUAACUGCACAUAAAAUAGCAAGCAUGAAAUUUCUAAUUUGCUUCUUUUUGCUAUUGAUCUUUUUGGUGCAGGAUCAUUGGAGCCAUAUUGAUCAUAAUUGGGCUAUACUUGGUUCUCUGGGGCAAAAGUGAGGAGAGGGCAUUUGCUAUAAAAGAGGCAAUAAUUUUGGCUUCCUCAAACAGUGAAGAUAACAGCCAUAGAGCAAGUGCUGUUUCCUUCAAGGCUUCUUCCCUGAAUCAACCACUACUUCCCUCAUCUACCUCGGAAAGCGUGUGACAAGAACUAUAAUUAAUCCCUCUCUUGGAGAUCUAUGUAUGGGCUCAUGUUUAUGUUUACGCAAUAUUUAAUGUUGUGAAGAAGCAAGUUAAGAAUGGGGUUGUAGUGUGUGAGAGCAUAGACUUAGAUUUGUUUACUCAAAAGUUAACUACUACUACUAGGGUUUACUCACUGCAGUUGAUGGGUUGGUGCACAGUGAGUGCUAGAAGGAUUGUGUUGGUAGCUACUAGAUCUUUGUUCAAAAGAAGCUAUGAGGUUUGCAUUUGGUUUGUUAUGUUCUUGUCCUUUUCUCUUCCCAUGCUUGUGAGUGGCAAACUUGCAAAAGAGAAUCAAGCAUCUAUUUUGUCCUUUAGCUUGAUAUAUAUUAUUGAGUGAUUGAUAAGAUAAAAGAGUUACUGGAGAUCUACAUACAUAGAUAGGAAUAUAUAUUUCUACUUGACCAGUCCUCUCAGUUUCUGAAAAUGUUUCUCAGAAUAUUAUUAAUGAUCAUCCUAGCAUAUACAUGCAGAUCAUAGUGAGUAAUUUAGAUUUUUCGAAUUUUUGUGACCAUGUUUUCAUUUCAUUAUAUAUGAUCUCUAUUUAUUUUUGGCACACAAAGAAUAUUAUCUCACUCAUGUAAGUAUAUAUCCUUUUUCACGUCUGAAAUAACCGAACCGCUUAAUUAAUAGCUUCCAUGCAUGUAUAGGAAGCAGAUUUUUCAAAAACAUUCUGCGGAAGUAUGCGAGGCUGGUUGAUUUGUCGACAACAUUAACUUUGAGAUAUAUUAUUGCACAUACAUUACUCUAUGUCGGUUUUUCACUCCGAACACCAUUUUUUCUUAAGAUUGUAAGUGAGGAAAAAGAAAAGAGAGAAAAACAGUCAUAUGCAUUUAGAAGCAUAUAUUUAGAUGGCCCUGUUAAUGAUGAAAGGUGAGAAACACAAUGAAGCAUUAUAUAUCUUAUCUUUCACUAUUAAAUACCUAAUUGGAGGUUCCAAAGUCCCUUUGCAGUCUCUGUCACGCAUGAUCCACUAACUUGUACAAUAUUUGACCUGAACAUGACUUCUUUGUGAAGGCUCUAGAAGACCUUUGAUUCUUUGUUCUUAAUUGUGCCCCACUCAUAUUCCAGAGCAAUCAAAUGCUAUGCUUUCUUUCUUCUUCUUUUGUUUUUUGUUUCUUUAUGCAACUUUACAUAGGGGGGAAAUUUGAGGUGUCAUAUAUGGAGGGGUUAGUUAAUUUUGUGAUCUUAAGAGUGGUAUCAGUCCUCAAAGCUGGUACUUUACUAAUCAAAAUUCUAGUUUAUUAAAGAGGUUUUAAAAAGUGGUGGUGGUGUUUUGGGGUUCAGAAAAUAUUAAUAGUUGAUUUUAAUGCUAUGAUAACUAGAUUGUAUUUUGUGAUAACUAAUGCUUUAUUACCUUCAUGUACACAACAAGAUAAAGGAUAGGACAAAGAAGAGCAGGAGAAAUGUGAAAGUAUCACUGCUUUAGCCUAGCUUGUUGGCUUUAGCUGUUAAAGCUGAGAGGUCUAAUGGAAUAAUCCCAAACAAACUUGACUUGAAUUAGAUCCAAAUCACAAAUCCAGAUACGAGAUUUAGUUUUUUUUUUUUUUUUUUUUUUAGUGAUUGUUUUGUAUGGUAUUAGAGCUGGAGAUUCUGAAUUCUCUAUCAGGUGAAGACCGUUGAGGCUCUCCACGUCUUCAUGUUUUAUCAAGAAAUUCGCCAAAAUCUUUUCCAUUACUUUUUAAAUUCCCUCCAGCAAGGGAUGCUUUGCUUGCUUACAAUUCUAUAAUUUCUGUAUAAUUCAAUUUUUUUUCACUUCAUGAAUCAGGGCUUGAUCCUUAAGAUUCGCAGAUAUUAAAAAAGAAUCAUAAAAAAAAUACUUCCAUUUGAUGUAGUCUUAAUUAACAUGUACAAUUAUGAAUGCUGGUUGAAAUAAUAAGUUUUCAAAUUUAAAAACAAUUCAAAAAAGUUGGGCUUCUUAAGUGAGGCCCAAUUCCAACUUAAAUUUAUGGGCUUCGUGGACCAAGCACCACAGCAGGCCCAUAUUAAUUUAUGGCCCUGGCCCCUUUUGGGAUCACAUGGAGAUUGCGCUACCACAUUCUUUUACAUGCUUUCACUCAAACUCUAUUUUAUUUAUUAGCAUUUAAUAUACAUUCAUUCAUACCAAAUGAGUCUCUCUUCUUGUUUGGAAACAACGAAUGACACGUGUAGCGUGGACCUGGUUCACCAGUAAGCCAAAAGCCAACCCAAGUUUUUAAUCUUAGAGGUCGCAAAAUCUGAAAUAACCAAUGGAUGCAAUCUCUUGUUAUGAAGAAUCUAUCUACAUCUAAAAAAUUAUAAAGUUCAAAAAACCUUGAGGAGUAUGUUUUCUUAUUUUUAGUGGUUAUAGAGUUUCUUUUUUUUUUUUUUGAGAGAGAGAUAGGUAGCACGCUACCCGCUUCGUUUAUUUCAUUUAGAAAUAAACUUAGCUGGAAAUGUGAAUCAACUAGGAUUCAAACUUGGGCCUCGGAUACCAACUACCAAGCCCCUUACCACUUGCUCUAGGGAUGCUCUAGGGAUGGUAGUGGUUAUAGAGUUUCGAGUGUUGAAAGGUUAGUAGUCCACGGUAGACCCGGUCCUGGCAAAUGAAUUUUCCAUAGUCGGAACGUAGGCGGAACGCUCACAGCGGUCUCCAUAUGGAAUGGGUUUUAGUCCCACAUCGACUAGCGAGUGCUCUUUUCAGUCGCCAGGAUGCAUAAGAAGGGUGGGGUGUGGAUCAUUUUUCCAUACUUACCUGGACGGGGUCUAUGGGCGAUCAAGAAGGUCCAUGGCCUAGGCCCGCGGCCCGCAUUGCACUUUGUGGGUGCGCUGGCCUACCAUCUCCCCAAGUGGGAGAGUGGACGUCAUAAUUUGUGGUAGAGGGGGUACGCGCCACGCGCGGCCCCUGCCAAUUCAAAAGAUUUAAAUUUUUUAAAAUUUUAAAGUUUCAAAAGAUUAGAUAGUAUAAUUUAUAAUUUAUUUGAAAUCAUAAAUUAUUUUUAUGAAUGAAUGUUUAUUGUUUAUAAUUUUAGUUGUAUUGUUUAUUUUUUAAUUAAUUUUAAUUCUGGGGAGUAAAUAGUAUAUUUUGAUUUGAUUUUAAAAUUUAAGUGUUUCAGUUUUUGCAUGAAUAAAUUUUAAAGUUAAAAGUAUCUUCAAAUUAAACUAAGACAAUUAAAUAUUUGUUUAGCUCAAUUUUUUUUCCUGCUCUUUGGUGUUGAUCGAAACACCUUUGAUUGAGGGGUCUGUUUGCUUUACCAAAUUAAAGCAAAAUUUUGAAUCAACUAGAAUUUGAGUAAAUUUUUAUUUCACUUUUCUGUUCAAUAAAUUAAUAUUUUUUUAAAUCUUUUUUGUAAAUUAAAAGUUUUGAGUUUUAAUCGAAGAUUAGAUUUAGUAAACCAUUGAAAAAAUAUAAACAUUUACACUGAAAAUUACUUAAAUCUUUGUCCACUCUCUGAAAAACAAACAAACUCAUGAGCACUUUUCCUUGAAGUUCCCACCUUCUGGGGGCCCAAAAGGAGAAAAGCCCUUUAUCGCAAUGUUAGCAGCUGAUACCUUAUCCCCGACCCACCAAAGCCCCUAAUCUCGGCUUCUUCUCCUUCUCUCGACUCUGUCUGAUUUUCAUGGAGGAAGCAGUACUCGGCGUCGCCAUGGCCACCCACGCCAUCCUCGCCGCCGCUACCAUAUCCUUCUCCUCCCCUGCUCCUCUCCUUCCUCAUUCCUCUGCUCGCCCCUUCCACCCCGCCAUUAUCGCCCAACCCCUCAAGCUCCUCUUCCCCUCCCCCUCCGACGCCGCCGCUCCCAAGCCCCUCGCCGUGGUCGCCGCUCCCAAGCCCCUCGCCGUGGUCGCCGCCACCCAGAAGGCCGUCUCCGUCCUGAAGGGCUCCUCCCAUGUCGAGGGCCUCGUCACCCUCCUCCAGCAAGACGAUGGUCUCUCUCUCCAGCCUAAUCUCUCUCUCUCUCUCUCUCUCUCUCUCUCUAGCAUUGCUCUCCUUUGGGUUCGCUUCGUUUCAUCGUAUUGGCAAAUGGGUUUUUGCUCAAAAUUGAAGCUUUUCGUCGCUAUUGGGAAAAGUGUGAAUGGGUUUUCUCGGGAUUUUGUUCUAGCGGGAUUGAUCGAUGUGUUUGUGUUGACUAUUCAUUUCAUCAGUUUGGUUAUAUACUUGCUUAGUGUUCUGUUAGAGUAACUUCAUUGUAAGAAUAUAUGGUGAAUAUGAACAUUCUCUAACUUCGUUGUAAUUUUAGGAUGAUAAGUGAGUUAAUUUGUUAUAGUCGCUUGGUUCUUGCGUAGUUGUGUUGUGUUCUUAGCUCAUUUGUGAUGUGUUUCCAUGAAAAUUUUGAUUUCUGUUGAAUUUGCUAUAAUUUUUAAAGCAAGUUAUGAAUUAUAAUUAUAUAUAUAAUAUAUAACAAAUCAACAGGUCCUACAACAGUGUCAGUGCGCGUUACUGGACUAACCCCUGGACUUCAUGGCUUCCACCUUGUAAGCGGUUGUUAUUUUAUAUGAUUGUUUGCUGCUACUUAAAUAGAUGAUCGGCGUUCUCUAGUCAAAAUGCAUUCUUUUCUUUGUUGCAGCACGAGUAUGGCGACACCACCAAUGGCUGCAUAUCAACAGGUUUAACAUCUAUUCAACCAGUCGCUUAUACAGAUGCCAUUAUCAGCAGGUUCAGUAUUCGUUGAAUUGAUUAUAUUCUGCUGACGGAAGCUGCUCUUUAACUCGAUUUUCUUGAUGUUAUGUUGUUAUCUGAGCAGUCGAGCACAGCAUGUGGAAGUUUUCAGUAAUAAAGCAUUUGGCAAUUAAAUAGUUUGGAGCUUUGAUGUGGCAGAAGUUUCUGUAUCUGCCUCAUCCUAAGAAGAUUUUGAUGAAAAAGCUUAUAGUGCUUCUUUCAACAUCUAUGGUUGACCAUCACUUCUGCAGAAGCUCAAUUUGGGCCAAUUAGGCCCCUCAUAUCGUUAGAUUUACCAGCUUUUGCUGGAGGGGAAAAAAAGGAAAAUGUUCUUAAUGUUUCUGCAUGUAGUAUAGUACUUUUCUAAGGAAAAUGCAAUUUUGUUCACACAGGGCCACAUUUCAACCCAAGUAAUAUGACGCAUGGUGCUCCCAAAGAUGAAGUUCGUCAUGCGGGUGACCUGGGAAACAUAGUUGCCAAUGCCGAUGGUAUCACUGCAAGAGUAGUUGUAUUUUUUCUUUUUCUUUUUUUGUCCACCAUGUUGAAUUGACAUAUUUUCUUUUGGUCUAUGUUUGUUACUUUCAUGCAUAUAGGAAUAGCUGAGGCGACAAUUGUCGAUAACCAGGUAAACUUGAAUUCUAUACUUAAUAUGUUUAUAUAGAUUCUUUUCAACAUGCUCAGGCGAACCGCUUCUUUUCUUCAGAGACAAAAAAUUAAAAAACUUCUUUCUGCUUCUCAAUAAUUGCUUUCUCUGCUUGCUAAUACUUGGUUCUUUGCAAAUGUUGGAUCGGCUAAUUUUAAACCUUAGAUUCUUUUGAGUGGACCAAAUUCAGUUGUUGGAAGAGCCUUUGUGGUUCACGAGCUUGAGGAUGAUCUCGGGAAAGGUAAUGCUUGAUUUUUCAUCAACCAAGCUCCUGUUUCAUAGAAAAGCAUACAUCUGUUUUAAUUACAUAGUUCACAUUGUCCAUUCUUAUUGAGUUCUUAUUUGAAGUUUUGUUCUUUGGAUGCCUCUUGUCACAGGGGGCCAUGAGCUUAGCCUUACGACUGGAAAUGCUGGCGGACGAUUGGCCUGUGGUAUGCUAUCUAGCAACCUCUUUUUGUUGAAAUUGAUUGUUUUUUAUUUCCACUUAUAUGUCUCUGCCAAAAUAGUUCCUUAUUUUCUAGCUUUUCUUUUACAUGUAUUAAACUACUAUAAUUAUGAAAAAUUUCAAGAAGCAUGGGGUAGUGGCAUAAUUAAAAGUGAGACAAUGGCCCUAGGAUCGUGGUAAAUAUAACUCGGAUGUGGCAAUUGGAAUGAGAGUGGGAGUGUGUUUCUUGGAAUAGGAUUUAACUGAUCGGUGCUGUUGGGAAUGAUGCCUUGUCGUGGCUUAAGAGUAUACAAUACAUUAGGUGCAAUAAUGAGAUAAUGAAGGAACUGUUUAUUACAUUUUGAAAGGGAAUGCUAAACUUGAUGACCACUCUCUGAUUCCUGAAAAGAAGAAAAGAGCAAAAAGUUUCCGUGGAGGCUCUUUCAUGUACUUGAAGUCAAUAACCAAACAAAUUUUUUUUUUGCACUGAAGAAUAAUAUGGAGCUAUCCCCAUGUGAUGCACUUAAAACAAAAUGUGUAAAGCGUAGUGAAAAAUCUACGUAGCCACAGAAGUAAAACAAACCUAUACAGAAAGGGGGGGGGGGAGGUAGCCAUCACAGAAAAAAAGCUUUACCCACAGCCUGUGGCAGACAUGAGAUUUAAGGACUUGACCUGUUAAUUUACCAUUUUACAGUGAAACUAUUUCAAUCUAGCAGAGCUGUUUCUAAUUUAUCAUGUUUCAUGUUUCUCAGAAGUUAUUUAAUGUAAAGAUUAUGCUUGUGGCCGGUUUUGCAACACGGAUGCCCUUGCUGUGAUUCAGCAUUACUGUUCUUCAUACAUCAGCACUGAUGCCUGUGUUUUUGAGGGGCCACAAUUUAGAUAAUCUAUCAUACGUGAAUUUGUCUCAUUCCAACUUAUAUGGAUGCAUCUUAUAAAAAUUUUCUUUCAAACUUCGCGAGUCCGUCUACUAUACUAUUAUGAGUAUGAUCGCCCUCGUACUCAUAAUUGUUUUCGAUGAUAGAGCUUCCAAAUUGAUGAGCCACACCGUUAAAUAUUAUCUAGCGCAUUUAAAACGUCUAGAAAUCAAAUUUUAUAAUUUUUCGACAUCAUUUACCUUACGAUCAAAAGGUCACAAAAUUGACAAUUUUUAACGGCUAGUAUAGGAUAUUUGCUAGUUUAACGGUGUAAACGAAUUGAAAUUGGUUGAAUUUUUAAUAGGAAAUUUUAUUCACUACAUAGAUAAAGAUCAAUAACUCCGAUCUUAAAUUGAAGGAUCCGAUCAUCCAUUUUUAAGAUGUCGUUCGAUUUUGACCGUUCAUUUUAUACCCGCUUGAUAGACUUUAUUAUGAUUUCGAAAAAUUACGAAAUUUAUUUUCUAGAAGUUUGAAAUACUCUAGAUCAUAUUUAACAGAGUAUAUCGUCAAUUCGGAAGCUCCAUCAUUGAAAACAACUUAUGAGUACAAAGGGCUCAAUACUCAUAAGAGUAUAGUAGCCCUACUCCAAACUUCGCUCUUAGAUUGUUUGUUAUGUACGGUGAAAGCAUUGACUAUCAGCUCUUGAAACUUCGAUUCUCUAUUGAGGCAUUAACUAUUAGAGUAGAUGUAACAUUCCUUUUGUUAUUUUGCUGCAUUUACAGGUGUUGUUGGUUUGGCUCCAGUUUGAUUGAUUCAAUUCUGUGUCCGAGCUAGCUUCGUCAUGCUUGCGCUACGGAGUUGUAGUACUAUGCAUUACUUGGAUCCAACAUUCCGGCAUGUUGGGUGAGUGUUUAGUCAUGCUUUUGAUCUCUCUACUUACAUUGUCUUCCUAUGCCAUCUUUAAGCCUUCAAGAUUAGAUACAUAAGAAAAUGUAUUCAUGUGCAGCUGUAACUAUUACUGUACACUGAAUUCUGUGUACUUUUGGUAGAAAACUUUAAUCCAUAUAAAAUCAUAUUCUUGUACUUGUAGUGCUUAAAAUUAGUGGUACUUUUAUAAAAAGAAAAAAAGUAAAAACAAGUAUUAAGCAAGCAUAAAUAUAGAGAAAACUUAUCUUUGAAAAACACACAAAAGAAGCUUCUCUUCUGGUAGGUACAUAUUCCCAUGCCUUAGAGCACUUCUUUAACUUGAACACAAUCUCUUAGAAAAAUCCAACGAAGUGAAGAGGUAGGUACAACACAGCUAUAACACACUAAUGACCUUGUUUUCAUAUUUGAUAUUGAACCGUAUAUUUAAUUUUUAUGUACAAGUAACAUAAAAAGGAAUAAUACCCCAGUACCCAUAAAUCAUGUGUACAACUAAUGCUUCCUAAGCAAACCAAUUCUAAAAGAUACAGCAAAACACGUCAAGAACAUUUCAGAUAUAGCUUUGUCGGUGACAUUUUUACACUAAUCAAUUAGUUUGGGAGGGAGAUGGACACUUGUCCCAAAUUCCAUUUGAAAAUGGAUUCGAUCGUGUUUCUUAAUUUGUUUUUAUUAUUAUGCCACAUGGCGUAAUAUUGUUGAACACCGAGAAGGUCAACCACCACCAAAGUUUAUUCGGAUAAAACAAGGGUGUUUUUUUUUUUUUUUUUUUUUUUUUUUUUUUUUUUAGAGAUAGAUAACAUGCUACCCGCUUCGUUUAUAUACUUUUUUGACUAAAUUCCCAAAAAGAGAAAAACAAAAAUAAAAUCUUUCACUGCGGUCCCAUAUUUCAAUUAUUCUGAUUUUUUUAGGCAUUUUGAUACAGUGGUAAAGUGUAGGAUUAAAAUUGAUGUGACUGUUUUAUUUAAAGGAAUAAUUGAAAUAUGGGACCGCAGUGAAAGAUUUUAUUUUUGUUUUUCUCUUUUUGGGAAUUUAGUCAAAAAAGUAUAUAGUAGUUCUACUUGGGGAUAAGUUUAAUUACUAUACCAAAGCCCUGUCAAAAAUCAAAAUAUUCAACUUCUCAUUUUCCAAAUCAAAAUUUGAGGCGAGUUCGCAUAAAUUCUCCAAUACACUUCCUCAAUUUCCUCUCUACUUAAAAAUUGACUAAAUGGAAUUGUUGAAUUCCUUUAAAACACGCGUAAGGGAAUAUGACAUGAAAAAGAAUUUAAAAAAGAAAAAAAAGGGGUGGUUGACAUUCACACAAUACAAAUAACCAAAAACCGCGUGUUACCUGGGAAUGCAUUAAGAAAAAGAGAAAAGUGUUCCUCAAAAGUCCUCUUGACAACCUUAUCUCAAAGUGCUUAUCUACUCAAAAAGCAUGAUCUCACCAAUGACAAAAUCAAAUUAUUUAAAAGGUAAUUAAAUUUACUAGUGGUUUUGUUAGAUUUGGUAGUGUAUACCAGGUCUUUAGCAAAUAAAAACUACAGUCGAGGGGCCUCCGUAACAUUUGUCGCCUAAAUUGUGUUACUGUUAGUUCAAUUCAUACCCACCAGUGAGAUGCUGCUACUAAUUAUUGGAACACCAGUAGCAGCAGCCACAAGUUAAAAAGGGGGAGAUCUCUUUUCCCUUUGGUAAAGUAAAUAGUGGCUUCGCUGUUGCGCGAAGCACUUGCAACUAAAAAGGUGCUUCUUACAUAGGUACUCAAUAUUCAAUAUUUGGUAGUGAGAGUGUGCUUCGCCCCACACGCACGCGCGCACACACACACACACCCCUCCAAGUGGCUACUAGUAGAAGUGGUGGUGUUGUUGUAUGUUGACAUGCGAAUCGAUAUUUGUUUUGAGUCUCUUGGAACCACUCAAUGACUUGGAGCAUGUGGCUAUGGCUAACUCAGUCACAUGUCAACCAAUCCAACGAACGGAUGGUCGCUAUGCAAGGUAGAGAAACUAGUGCCUGUUCUUCUUAAUGCUUUUGCUUUUGAUUACAGUUAUCUUUAAUAAUAUGUUCUUUUAAUUUAAAAAGCUUGGACAGUUUUGCUGUAGUAGUAAGCAGGUUGUAGUUUUGUCACUUUUGUGUUCCAAAAAAAAAAAAGCAACGGUAACUUUGAGCUUCUGUAUCUACUGUAGAGAUAAGUUGUUAGUAGUAGAGCUUGAUAUAAUACUUCUUAUAAUAGCAUUUCUCAUACAACAUCAUCAAGCAAUUAAUAGUGUGUCCUAUAGCAAGAUCAAACUAGACCCAUUAACAUUUGAUAUUAUUUCAAUCGCUUUAUUUUAGUGCGACAUGGUACUAGCAAGUUGCCCUAUAUAGCAGUAUAUAUUGAGAGUUUGGAUACUAAGUUUCGAAUGGUAACCUAAGGGUCCAGUAUUAUUAUCUGGACCCUUAUUUGCUCAGAAAUAUAUCAAUUUGGACAUUUGCUAAGCAAGAAGUACCUAUCCAGGCCUUCAAAAGUAGAAUCUUCAGCUUGAGUAUAUUGUAAGUUGAUGAAGCUUAGUAAUUAAACUUGUAGAUCAACUUCUCUACUGUAAAGAGUAAAAUAACAAUAAUAAUAAUAAUAAAUAAUUUACAAACUAAAAGUCUAAAAUUUUUUGGUAUCACAGAAAAUGAGAAAAGAGUCCCCAAAAGCAGUUUAAGUUUUAACUUGAUGGGGCUAUCAAAAUUUUACUGCAGCUAGUAAGAAUCCUCCAUAGCUCAAAAGAGUCACAAAAGCUGCUUCUUUGAGAAUCUCAGUAUGCAGUGGAUGGUUUGGUAACCAACAUAAAUGACUUGGGUUUGCUUUAUUUAAUUAAUUAAUGGAGACUCACUUAACAACUAGCUACUAUUAAAGUAUCCAUCUCCUAAAGAGUGCCCAGCAUUGCACAUGAAGAUAAAGCACAACUGUAACAGAAAAGGUAAUGCAACCCACUUACACAUAACCAUUAAAUUAAUUAAUUAGAACUAAGCAAUAAAAAUAAUAGUAGGGUAUUAUUAUUGGUGGGUGUGAAUUAUUAAGGUAAGGUAACCACCCCCCCCACCAUGUGAAUAAUGACAAUGUCAAACACCAAACACACCCCCAUGUUUAUGGUCUUCGCACGCAAAGUCCACUCCAUACACUUACUCAAUUCUCUUUUCCUCCACACUACCAAAACGUGCACUUAAUUGACACCUAAAGCCUUUGAUAAAGUCAUCUGAACAACAGCUAUACUCGUUUCCUCUCAAAGCCUUGAAUCUUAGUUACUUCAUCAACUUGUUCUCUAUUUGGUCUAAGACUCGAAAUUAAGAUUAUUUUUGAAUCGUUAUCUAUCUAAUAUGAAUUAUUUAUCUGUUAUUAAGUUGUCUCUCGUGUUGUCUCCAUAAUACGACAACGAUCGAUGAUGUGGAAGUGUGACAUGUUGUAUUUUGAUGGCAUUAAUUGAUCAAUGUGGCACAAUGUUCAUGUGUUAGGGCCAACCCAUGUUUGAGAAGAUAAUCAUGAAGAUAAUUUUUUUUUUUUUUUUAAGGUAUGUGAGAAAAGAUGUAGAUUUAUCUAAAAAUAGAGAGAGAGAGAGAGAGAGAGAGAGAGAGAGAGUACAAGUGUGUGGGGGGCGUUAUCUAGUGGUCACCUUUUUCCAUCUCAUCUUUUUUAUUCUUUUUGCAUUAAAAUGUGAGGGGAGGGGGUUAGUUUGCUUGCAAACAAAACAAACUCGUGAGCCGAAAAAGAACCUGAUCCACGCCCCUUUCCUUCGAGGUGGAGAAAUCAACUACCACUUCCCAGACGGAGAGAGAGAGAGAGGUUUCCAUACUCUUCGUCUUUUUCUUUUUUUUUUUCUUAUCUUACACUUUACAACAAAAUACAAUAACCAAGUUUAACACUCUUGUUAAUACCGACCGUCCCUAGUACAAAUGGUAAAAGACUUAUGGUUGAUAUUCGAGAUCUCAAGUUCGAAUUUUAUCCAUCGGCUUGGUGGUUGGUAUCUGAAAUUCGAAGUUCGAAUUUUAGUUGAUUUACAUUUUUAGUUAAAUUUAUUUAAAAAAAAAAAAAAAAAUUUAGCUAAAAAUAUAAAUCAAUUAGGAUUCGAAUUUGGAACAAAAGAUACCAACCACCGAGUGCUUUGCAACAAGCGCCGAGGACGGUAGGUUAAAAAAGAAAAAAAAUAAUUUGUUGAUUCAGUAUUUAAGAAUAUUAUGGGAAACUAACAGGCUUAACAAUGAAUGAUUAAAAGAAUCCAAAGAAUCAAUGGUAAUUAAGCUGUAACAAUAAUAAUAAUUCACAUAAUAAUUCACAUAACAAGUUUUUUUUUUUUUUUUUCGGUCUAUAGAAUUCUAAGAAAUUUCACAAGUAAAUUGAAUAAAAUUCUAUGAUUAAUAAUGGCAAUCCACCAAAGCCGGGGCGAAGAAGACGAGCGCCGGCUUCGCCCCGAAGGCGAAGACGGGGGGAUUGGGGUAGCCGUUGGCGGCGGCGGGGGCGUCGUCGUCGGCCGGAGCGGGGAGGUUGAGAUCCAGCGGCAGCGGCAGCGGCGGCGGCGGCGGCGGCGGCUGCUUCUUCGCCUCCGCCGGGGGCUCCGCCGCGCUCAGCGGGCGGUGCCGCCGCAUGUGGCCGCCGAGCGCCUGCCCGGAGGCGAACUCCGACCCGCAGAUAGAGCACUCGUGAACCCUAAUUUUGUUGUUGUUGUUGUUGUUGUUGUUGUUGAUGAUGCUGUUGUUGUGGGAUGUAUUCGGCUUCGGCGGUGGAUCGAUGGAUGGGUGGAGGGGGAGGGGGAGGGGGAGGGUGAUGGGGAUGUCCUUAUCGUGCUCUCCGUCGCCGUCGUUGGGAUUGGGGUUGGGGAGAGGGGAGGCUUUGGGCUUGUCGUCGGUCCUCGGCUUCUUGUGGCUGGCGCGGUGGCCGCCGAGGGCUUGGAAAGAGGGGAAGCUCUUGUUGCACGUCUUGCACUCGUAGGCGGAGGGGGCGGCGGCGGCGGCGGAGGAGGAGUCGGCGGAGGAGCGCGGCCGGGGCGGGGAUCUCUCGGCGGGCGACGGGACGGGGGCGGCGCCGCCGUGGGCGAGGAGGAUGAGGCACUGGGCCAUGUCCUCGUCCUCAUCCGUGGCAGCGGCGGAGGUGCUGGAGCUCUCGGCGGCGGCGGCGGCGGCGGCGGCGGCGGAUGAUGACGACGAUGACGACGACGAUAGGGUUGGGGGGCGGAGGCGCUUGGUGCGCUUCCCCUUCACGAGGGCGCCGAGCAGGGAGGAGUCGACGCUAGGGUUCCCUUCUAGGGUUUCCAUUUUUGCUCCGUGAGAGAGAGAGAGAGAGAGAGAGAGAGAGAGAGAGGCGUUAUNGGAGGGGUUAGGGAGAUGUAAAAGGGUGUAACCGUUUUUGAUUUUGGGGGAGCUCACACUGGAUGGUACACACUCCUACACGGGAGUUUAAAUUAUAAAUAGAGAGAGAGAGAGAGAGAAAAGGGCGCAAGAGAAAAAUGUGGAGGGUAAAGUGGGAAAUGUGCGAGAUUAGGGGAGAAGGACAUGUGGCGUAAUUAGGUGGAAACUGGAGCGGUGUGGAGUGAACAACAAAGAGAGAGAGAGAGAGAGAGAGAGAGAGAGAGAGAGAGUGGUGUACUGGUGUGGACUGUGGAGAAAUAAAUAUUAAUUAAAAUUUUUAAUUUCUAUAGAUAGGGAGUGAGGAGAUGGGGGAGUUGGUGUUUGCUAUUUUUUGAGCAUUCUAUAGUGUGUGUACACUAGGCAUGACUAAGAUUUAUGGUUUAUUAGCAGUAGAAAUUAAAAUCUAAUCCGAAGCUUAUGUUAUUAAAAAUUAUAACUUUUAAAAAGUCCUGUAUAGUUUAGAAGCUUAUGUUAUUAAAAAUUAUAACUUUUAAAAAGUCCUGUAUAGUAUGUAAACAUUUUGACGGCCAUCCUGAUUUUGAUAUUUUUGAUCGGCUUAAAGGGAUCAGCAUUUUGUCUUAUAGUGAAAGACCAGAUCGAAUCGAGCUACAAUUGAGAUCUUCUAUAUCUAUACGCUUAAUUAAAUGAAUUAGGUGUAAUUUUCUAACGGCUUAAAAUUUUGAAAUUAAUGAUAGUGCCAAAGUUCCACAAUCUUUAGGCUACAAUGUUAGGUUAUUAUAUAGUGUACACAGAUGAUGUGCUUGUACACCAGGUGCAUGGACUUGGUUUAUCUUGUGAAGAGGGGGGAUUGGUUGGCCAAUCAUAGGUGGGGAAAUGACUCCAUAAAUGUAAGGAAGUGGACCACGAUAAAGCCAUGCUACCUCUCCUUCACUAUUCCUUGAAAACGAAUAUAUGUGUGUGUGUGUGUGUGUGUGUGUGUGUGUGUGAGAGAGAGAGAGAGAGAGAGAGAGAGAGAGAGAGAGAGAGAGAUUCGGUUGGGUGCUUUGAAGCAAACCCAUUUCUUUUGUGCAACGAUUCGUGUUGAUAGGAUUGGACUACAAGCCAAGAACCACAAGAUUUUGAGCUCAUAUUUUCCCAUUUUUAUCAUUAUUCUUUUUCCCCCUUAAAUAUAUAUAUAUAUAUAUAUAUAUAUUGUAAUAUUUUUACAAAGCUUGGGUUGGUCCCCAAUGCUAAACAAGGGGUUGAAGCAACUCCCUUAAAACUACUACUAGUAGUAAGGAUAUAGUGGGCACUGGUACUAGUGGUGCUGGUCUAAGCAACUGCCACAUUUGUGGCUACUAUGAACUCCAAUAUAUAUAUAUAUAUAUAUAUAUAUUUGUCUCCAUAUAUAUGCGCAAAAAAUAAAUAAAAGAGUAAAGUUAAUGCAUUCAUCUAUAUUUUCUGCAAGUAGUUGAUGACAAGCGAAGCAUGAUAAGAAAGUAAUGAACUAAUCGAUCUUGUUAGGUUGCAGGAACUUCUCCUUUUCUUUGGCAGAUGGGAUGUACUGUGCAUGUACGCGUCGUCCGAUAAUAAAAGCACUUAAAUAAACUAAUAUUUUCGUUAAUAUAUAGUGUAGGAACAUAUAUACAACUCUUCAAUGGUGACUUGUUCUUCUUCCGCUUUUUUUUUUUUUUUUUUGUUUUUUGCAAAGUCGGAUUAGUAUUAUUAUAAGUAGAGUGUGGUGGGUGUGCAAACUCCGUGGCAAAAGAGAGUUGUACAUAUUUGUGAUUUGUUGGGGACAAGUCAACUAGAAGUUAGGAGAUGAGUGGGGUUAAGUAGGGGAGAUACUUGGCGUAACCAAUUGUUGUUUAAUUAGUUGUGUGAGGCACGAAAGAGAAACUCCAACUUAGUUUCUUUCUCUCUUUCUCUCUCUCUCUCUCUCUCUCUAUUUGAUAUCAUAUGCUACUUAGGAGGUGGUGCAAGUAAGGGAUCGGUUGGUGGAGAGUUUGGCUAAGUCCAUUCCCUUCACUCCUCUCCAAUCCGAACUGCAUACAUAUCCUUAAUUUCUAUUACUAUAUUUAUCUGUGCAAUAGAUAUUUGUUCCUACACUAGCCCAACCUUAACUAUUAUUGGAAUAGUUAGGCUUGUUAUCCUAACUUUAUUUAUUGGUGUCACAAAUUGAUUGCCCUCGGAUCGUCAUAAAUUUCACAUCCAUUAGGUCAAAAUUUCUCUCUUUUUUUCCCACUGCUGCUCGUAAAUCAUAUGUUUACAUGUACUAUUGUUUCGUUCGAUCCAUAUGAUCGAGUCAGUAUAUAUAGCAGCUAAUUAUAAAUCCCUUCAGUUCAGUUAAUACAACAAGUUAACCUUUCACUCCUUGUCUUAAUUACAUGCCAAAUCUAACUAGGCUGUUCUUCAAUCUGCACAUAUAUAUAUAUUCUGUCCUACGUGAGGUUAAAUCGACAUCUCUCCUCUAAACUCUCAAAUUCGAACCUAGCUUAAUUGUUUUCUUAUUAUAUCAAUCUUUUUAAUGACGCAGAGUCGUCAGAGUUCGCGGGACUACUCACUUAAUUAGCUUGUGAUCCACUUCAUGCCAGCGAGUUGGUUGCAGCAAAGGAGGGGCUUCCAUUUGGGUGACAGAUAAUGUAAGCUUCCACCGUUAGCCAGAGACAGAUUCCGCGAUAAAUUAGUUCGGCAGAGAAGCUUAAAAAAUAAAUAAAGAUCCAUCCAUUAUUAGAACCAUAAUAUAAUAUAAGGAACAAAUUUAAAUAAUUAUUUGAUUAGUUAAUUAAUUAAUGAUUUGGGAUCAAGGAAACCAGUUCCCCCAUUAGAGUCCUAAUGCAUGAUUAAUAUACAGAUAAGUAUUUGGUUAUUAUUGUUGGCUCGCAAUUAGUGGCGUGGGGGUUGCCUUUUCUUAAUGUGUAACCCUUAAACCUUUGAUUAAUGGUGGGUACUCUUAUUCUUCCGAGAUGUAAUAUAUCCCAUGUACAUGUGCUCGAAUCUUAAUUUAAGGACCUGUUUGGAUACAUGAAAUUUUUUUCAAAGUACAAUUAGAUAUCUACAACAGUAUAUGUAAACUGUGAUCCACCACCAAUUCACACUUGAGCUCAGCUUUGGCCUAUAUUUACACUCUUGAGCAAGUCGGUUUUUGGGGGAUCCAUUUAAUUACUUUUUGGGUCCCCACAAGAAUCCUCUCCCUCCUUUUUAUUCUUUUGGUGAGAAUCAGAUGUUUAAUUUCCUACAAUCCAAUUCAGAGUUUACUCUCACAUCCUAUUCAGAUGUCUUAUCGUUGGGAUAUAUACUAAUCAUUUAUUAUUUUGUGUCAAAUUAUAUCCCUAUAAAUAUGCUAGGUUUACAUCGCUUUAAUUUCGUUUUAUGGUGCACUAGUUAGUUAAACAGCAGGAGUUCUUAGUAACCACAAUUAAUCUUCUUAAGUAACUUUUGGAGCUCGGAAACGUUGAGAACAAAAUGUACGUGUUUGUUGUAUUUUUGUGACACCGUAACCUUUCUUUAACGAUGGUGACCUCACACCGCACCUCAUACGUAAUCUCCGCCACCCAAAACUUUAAUUAAUUACUAACCCAUGAGACGUUUUUUUUUUCCCUUUUCACCUGCACCUUUUUCCGCUCGGAAAAGCACUUCUAGGAGCUGCACUUCUGCGUGCGUUGGAGAUCACGUGGAAAUCAUGCGAGUAAAUGGAGUGGCAUUAUAUGCACAGGGUUACUUUAGAUGAAAGUGAGUUAUACACUUUUUAAGCUUGGGUUUUUUUUUUUUUUUUUUUUUCCCCUCAUGUGAUACCCGUUUAGUUGAUUAAUUGCACCCUUUUUUUCUUUUUUUUUUUUGCUAAUUUAGUUAACAGUAGAUCUAAGCGAAUUAUCAUUCUUUAUAAGGUUUAGCUUGAAUGGUUGGACCGGUCGGGUUCUAAUAAUAUCAAUUAGACAAUGGUCAGAUUGGGUUAAGUCACGUUGUCAAUUAAUUUGUUCUCGUUCUUUGGGGGCCCGGCCCGAAGCGAGAGCAUUUUGGGCUCUAUCACGGCCUAAUUGGAUGGAUGGUCUCUGUUUGAAUGGUACAUAUUUACAAAUUACAAGCCAGUUCUAAUAGUAGAUUGGUAAAUUUCAAAAUAGUUUUUGAAUUAGAAAUUGUGAAAAUUGAGAGAUACCAAGGGUCCUAAAUAGUGAAAAUUGACUUGCCAUAAAAAUGAUUGGACAUUACUAUAAAAAUAUCAAACUUGUUUUAAUUAUAUGAAACAAUUUUUAUUCUCUAAAAACUUAAGCUAUCAGAUGAUGGUAUUUUUAUAUUUAUAUUAUAUAUCACUUAUGUGGCUUAUGACAAUCUUUUAUCAUACUAAAAGGCCAAAUAUUCUUGGAGCUCAAAUACCUUAUUUUUUGAAAUAUAUGAAUAAUGAAGGUUCGAACUAUUGAUCUCAAAUAUAAUGCUCGCGGAGUAGUCGUUGUAACUGUCCAAAACAUAUUAUUAACAUUUAGUAGGAUGGACCGACUGUCUCUAACGCAAGUGGCAAAGAAUUUGGUGAUUGAUAUCUGAUGUCCUAAGUUCGAAUCCUAGCUGAUUCACAUUUCCAGCUAAGUUUAUUUCUAGAAGAAAUAAACGAAGCGGGUAACAUGCUACCCUUCUUUCAAAAAAAAAAACAUUUAGUCGGAUGAUACGCACCAUUCAGAAAUAGUCUCAUAUACCUUGAAGUAUAGAAUUUUUACUAUUAUAAACUUGAGCCUCAUCAUAAUUUCAAGAGCGAGCCAUUCCAUUGUAAGAACCUCCAUACUUAAUCUUUAAGUACAAGGUGAGUUUGGAUAAUCUAUUUUGGGCAUGACCGCAUCGACUAUUAUCAUUCUUGGAAAAUACUCUACUCACUUGAAAUAAAAACUAUCUAAUUUUAGUAAUUCAUUAACCUCGAUCUAUUAAACACAACACUAGGGAUUAAUUAUCCAACUUCACUACAUUUAUUUCCUCACCACUUUGAUCCCUUCAUCAUCAUCUUAUAAAACAAAGAAUAUUUUUGACCCUUCGCCCACAUGUGCAAAUGGCGUUCGUGGUACUCUCAUCCUUCUUCGUGUUCGUUCUAAUUGGAGGUAAGUGUUUGGCCUCUUUAUAUAUAUUUCUACAACAUGUACGUAGUUUAUGGUUUAUUUGCUCCCCUUUGUAAUUGGUAUUAUCGAUUCUAAUAUAAAAUAACAACGUAGGAAUAGGUUAAUUGUUCACAUGGUAUAGUCCAAAUGAAUUAUUCUACAUGCGCCAGCGAAAACAGAAACAUAAAUAUAUAGCUUCAUUGAAGUGUAUAUCAAAUGCGGAGAAUCAAACGCGCGACCUUGAAGAACUGGAGAGCUAGGACAUAAUCUCCACAAUUACUGGUAUAUAUGGUUAUUCGUUGAUUAAACGCUAGAUAACAAACUAAUGUCCAUCAACGAUCAACAGUGUAAAUUUUCAUCUCAGGUUCGAAUGCGGCGACUAUAACCAUAACUAGCCAGUGCAAUUACACGAUCUGGCCCGUGAUCUGGUCGAAUCCGGGUUCGCCCGGUUUCCCCAACAUGUUCACAAGCAUCAAACUCCGCACAACCGAGUCCAAACACUUUAACAUCCCACACGGGUCGGGCUGGAUCUGGGCCCGGACCCACUGCACCAACUUCGGUAAUUCGUCGAGCACAUUUGUCUGCGCCACAGGCAACUGCCGCACCGGAGCAUUCUCCUGCGGCACAGGCCUGUCGCCGCCCAUCACCUUUGUUGAGCUCAAUAUUGGACCGUCCGGCAAACCUAACGGCGACGCGUACCAAGUCAGCGUCGCCGCGGGGUUCAACGUGCCGGUUGACGUCACCCCGCGAUAUGGACCGGAUUGUAGUAAUGCCGCGUGUGCGACGGACAUCAAUGCGGUGUGCCCGCCGGAGUUACGGGUGGUGAGGCGGGCCGGAGGGCCCACGAUCAGGUGCAUGAGCGGGUGCCAGGCCUUGGGGGACGAGGCCGACUGUUGCCUGGGCCGGUAUUGGGGGCCCGAUAAAUGCAGGCCCACUAAGUUUGCACUCAUGCUCAAGAGCCUGUGUCCCUCGGCCAAGAGCUUCGUUUACGAGAAUGCUUUUCGUUACUGCAGUGGGGGUUGGGAAUAUCUCGUGACAUUUUGUCCUGAAUAUUAGAUAAGAUGUAAUAUUUCGAUUUCAAGUGUUGUUUCCAGUUUACAGAAAAAACAUAUGGGUUAUUCAGGAAUGAUGAUGCCCCGCGUUUGAUUUUGUCCUUGGUAUUAGUUAUUCGCGCGUUCAGGUGGGUUGAUUUCGUAAAAACAAAUAGAGCUGAAAAAAUAAGAAACAAAAAAAAAAGAAUACAAAUAAAAAAAAUUGGAGAAGAAGCAGCUGCAGCUGCAGUUGAAGUAAAAAUAUAAGAAUAAAAAUAUAAAAAGAAUAGAAAAUGAAUAAGUGAAAAAUUAUAAAAAUAAUAUAUUAUUUAAAGAAAUAAUAAAAAUUGAGAAUUAAAAUAUCACAUGUCUUAUAGUUCGAGGCAUAAAUUAUAAUUAAUUAAAGUUUGAGGACUAAGCGUCACGUACCUCAUAGUUUGAAUAAGAAAAUAUAACUCAUUAAAAUUUGAGAACUUAAGUGUAGCGCGUCUUAUAGUUUGACUACCAAAAGCAUAAUUUAUCACUUUUAUAUUUUAAUUUUAUUUCAAAUGUAGACAAAGUUAAGCAUGGAUCAAUUUUGUUAUUACUUUAUGUAAUUUUUACAACUAAAUUUAUUAAAAUAAAUACUUAAUUUAAACUCCAAAUUUCUCUUUUAUUUUUUAUUGUACAAUUUAUAUUUAAUUGAUCAAUAUUAUAAAAUUUAAAUUUAUAUUCAAUACAUGCAAUGUAACUAUUUAAAAGUCAUAUAUAAAUAAUUAUAUUGUUUUAAAUUUUUAUAAGGAAAUAAAAAAAAAAUUAGAUUGAAUUAAAAGAAAAAAAAUCGGAUUCCUCAAUCCAAAUCAAAGUAUCAAAUAAAAAAAAAAGGACUUGAGCCACUCCCACCCCCACCCAACUGAGCCCCAUACUCACCCCCAACCUCACCCCCUCCCUUUGCCCCUCCAACUCCGUGCCACAUGGAUAACAAAAGUGAGGAUUCAUUAUAUGUAAUAGAUAUGUGUGUAGUAAAAGUGGGGAUUUAUUAUAUAUAAUAGAUUGAAUAAAAAAAAAAAAUCCGAUUCUUCAAUCCAAAUUAAAGUAUCAAGUAAAAAAAAAAGAACUUGGGCCACUCCCACUCCCACCCAACUGAGCCUUAUACUCACCCCCAAUCCUACCCCCUUCCCCUGCCCCUCCAGCUCCAUGCCACGUGGAUAACAAAGUGAGGAUUCAUUAUAUCUAAUCCACCUCCCACCCAACUGAGCCUUAUACUCAGCCCCAAACCCACCCCCUCCCCCUGCCUCUGCCCCUGGCCCUGCCGAGGAAUUCUACACUGUCACACUUAUACCACGUCAUCAAUAACAAACCAAUCACAUCCCUUCUUUUCAAACAAAAGUACAAUAAAAAUAUUUUUUUACAAUUGUGAUGGGACAUAUAUCUCUAAAAGAAAAAUUUUGAUUGGUUUGUGACGCCACGUCACCAAUGCACCCGAUGCAUUCUAGAAUUUUUCGCCCCUGCCCCUCUAGCUCUGUGCCGCGUGGAUAACAAAGUGAGGAUUCAUUAUAUGUAGAGUAAAUGAGUAAUAAUUCAAUACACCAUGUAAAUUUUGAUCAUUUAUUUUUUAAAUAGAUGGUUGAAAUAUAAUAUGAUUAUAAAGGCGACAUACUAUUCUGGCAUAGGUACCAUUCACCAGGUACCUAUUUAAAAGGUAUUUUGGUUUUAGAAAAAUAUUUUGGUGUACAAAACUAGUUUUAUCCAACUAAAAAUACUAUAACCUUCUCAAAUACCUACAAUAAUAGUUGGACUUUAAAUUACAACUAAACUGUAAAUUUAAAUACAAAUCAACAUAAAAAACUUAAUUAUAAAUCAAAUUCAACUUUUAAAUAUAAAACAUAAAUUUUAAAUAAAACUUUCAGUUCAAAUUCAAAAUUUUAAUUUAAAUCAAAAAUUAAAAUUUGGCUUUCAGAUUAAAANACCUAUUUAAAAGGUAUUUUGGUUUUAGAAAAAUAUUUUGGUGUACAAAACUUAAAAUUUGGCUUUCAGAUUAAAAGUGCAAGAUAGAUUCAAAAUUUAAAAGUUUAAUAUAAAUUUUGAAAUUAAAAUUUUACAUUACAGUACCAACUUCAAAACUUAAAUUUAAAUUCAAUAUUUUUUUGAGUUGGAUAACAAAUUGGGUAUUAUCUAAUAUGGUAAGUAACAAAACUAAAUAAGAUACUUAAUAUUAUAUGAUGCUAACAAAUUUAGUAUAUAUUACUAAUUUUUUUCAAUAUUGUCAUAUUAACUAAUUCAAAUCGGUAACCUGUUUAAUAGGUUACUUUAUGUAAAAUACAAUUAUACCCUUUACUAAUUAAGAGUUUGAUUUUAAUACUUAUAGUGUAUUGAAGUAUUGCUCUUAUAUAUAAUCCACUCCCCACCCAACUGAGCCUUAUACACACCCCCAAUCCCACCCCCUCCCCCUGCCCCUCUAGCUCCGUGCCACGUGGAUAACAAAAGUAAGAAUUCAUUAUAUGUAAUAGAUGUAAUAGAUAUGUGUAAUAAAAAUAAGGAUUUAUUAUAUGUAAUAGAUUGAAUUAAAAAAAUAAAUCGAUUCUUCAAUUCAAAUUAAAGUAUCAAGUAAAAAGAAAAGGACUUGGGCCACUCCCACCCCCACCCAACUGAGCCCCAUACUCACCCCCAACCCCACCCCCUUUCCCUGCUCCUCCAGCUCCUCCGUGCCACGUGGAUAACAAAAGUAAAGAUUCAUUAUAUGUAAUAGAUAUGUGUGUAACAAAAGUGAGAAUUCAUUAUAUGUAAUAGAUAUGUGUAUUUUUAUUCUCCAAUGUGUGAAAGAGAGUCCCGUCCUAGUCAUUUAUAGAAGCAAUUAAGGACCAUAAUUUAUUUGUAAUCUGCUGUAGAUAGAAAGGAGGAUACACAUUAAAUAUGCGGUAACAUGGCACACUGCUUCAAUUACAUAACGUCCAUUUCACACUUUGCAAAUGACCCAAUAAUGGCGCACCAAAUCCUUUUAAGUUAAUACUUUCUUCUUUACCAUAACCUUAUAAAUUCACAUCCUCUGCUUACUCCCCUUUUACAUUUUCACCACAACCCUCUCCUUAGCCAUUUCGCAUUUCAAAUCUCCCUUGUGUCUUCAAUGAUGGACUCUAAAGCCUUCUCCUUUCGCUUCUUCUUUUUCUUCAUAAUUUUCGAAGGUAAGGAACAAACGAAAAAGUUUAUAGCUUGUACUCGGUGCAUCUGUAUAAUACACAUUGUGCUCACGAAAAUACAGUGCAUAAAUAUAAAAGUAAAGUGGAGUGUAAAACAAUUUUGCUCAAAUUUUUGGUUCGGUCUCAGGUGCGCUUGCAGGAACACUAUUAAGUGUAAGAAACAACUGCACGUACAUAGUCUGGCCCGCGGUCUUGACGAAUCCAGACACACCCAGCCCGCCGGCAGAGUACUCGGGCUUUGAGCUCCCGGUCCAAGGGACUGCCUUCCUUCACAUGCCGGCGGGCUGGUCAGGCCUUUUGUGGGCCCGAACUCUCUGCGCCGUCAACAGCUCUGGCUCCUUCCUCUGCGCCACCGCCGACUGCCGCACGGGGCGGCUCGACUGCCGCGCUGUGCCGUCAGCCCCUGUCACGCUCAUCGAAUUCAGCCUCGGUGCGGCCGGCGGGAAAAAUGACGCAUACGACGUGUCCAUCGCCGCUGGUUUCAACGUGCCGGUCUCCGUGGAUCCACCGCCCAGGUCGCCGUCGUGCACCCCCGCGGCGUGUCCGAUGGACGUGAACGCAGUGUGCCCGCCGGAGCUGCAAAAGGUCAGCGGCGACGGGCACGUGAUCGCAUGCAUGAGCGCAUGCCAGGCCUUCAGCGACCCGGCGGACUGUUGUUUGGGCCAGUACAAGGACCCAUCCAAGUGCAAGCCCACCAAAUAUGGCCAGAUGUUUAAGCAUGCAUGUCCUAUGGCCGUGGGGUAUAUUUAUGACAAUGCUACUCGUUAUUGCCAAGGGGGUUCUGAUUAUUUGGUCACAUUUUGUCCUCAAAUGUAACUUUCCCAUUUAAACUCAUCAAGUUACAUUUCAAUUAUUCUUUGCACAGUUGGAGCAUGUCUAAAAGUGGCAAAUUUUGCUCCAUCUUCGCCGUUAUUUCUUGGUAAACUGCAUGAGGGGAACCUGACCUUAAUUUUCAGAAAAUUACACUUUGGUCACGCAACCUUUCAAUUAUUAUAAUAAAUUUUGGUCGCGAAUAAUGCAUAUGAGCUGUAAAUAUUACGACAUCUUCUACAGUUAUUUAUCCUAAUUAUUGAGAAAUUCAGUGCAUUUCAAUCAUAAACAACGACAUCUUCGAAUUUCAACAAGGAAAUUAUAUGCAGGAAAGCCAAAAUGAUGUCUCAGAAAAGGAGUUCCAUGUUAACCACAUCUCCUUUCAGCCUUCUUGUGGAGGCGGUGCCGCGAAUGGUGCCGGUGCUGCGAAUGGCGGCGCCGGCGAUGCUGCGAAUGGUGGUGGCGACGCAAAAGGCGGCGCCUGUGUUGCACCAAAGAUACCUGGAAACCAAGUCACAACAAGAAGCUCUUACUGGAUUUGAAGGAUAAAGAGAAAUGCUAAGUCCUCGGCUAUGUGAACAAGAGAGAAUGAAGCAAAGAGUUUUGUUAAUUAUGAGAAGAAUUAAUGGCUAACCACAGAGGAGAAGGUUAUCAGGCGGCGGGCGCUCCUUGGCUGGGUUGGGAUCAGGAUCGUGGACUCGCAAGUACAUCUCCUCGCCUAAGUACCAAUUCUCAAGGAUCUGCGAGCGCAGGUUCCACAUGCCCGGGUUGUCGAGGUAUGCAUAUACUGCUGUCCAUCCCUUAGGAUACACCUAAAUCCAGAAGAUAGUUAGUUUCAGGGGCAGAGAGAGAGAAAGAGAGAGAGAGAGAGAAACCUGAACGGUGGAGCGCACGACAGGAUCGAGUAAAUUGUAGGUGUCUCUUGAGGCAGGGGUCCAAUCGCCGUCACCAAAUCUUCAAAUUAACCAAAUGAUUCAAUCAGUUUGGUCCUCUUACACAAGGUGUCAAAAGUAACAUUUUAAAGUUCCUACUAUAGCUGAUUUUUUUGAUUUUUCUGUAGAAAUGAACUAACUGAAAAAUAGUAUUCAUAAGAAUGUGAUUCUUACCCAACCACAUAGAAGCCGAAACCAUCAAGAUGCCAUGAAUCCAUGAAAUCAAUUUCAUUCUUGAAAACAAUCUCCAGCCAACUCUUAUGAACUCCAGUGACCACCGAAGUCCCCAGCGCGGCUUCUUGAUUUACAGAGCUAGUUGGGAAGGCAUCAAGCUGGUAGACCCCGCUACCGUUCACAAAGUAGUCAGCAAGUUUGAGUGGGGUUGAGGGUGUCAUGUAGGAGACAUUGUUCACGGUGUAGCAGCGAUGGUUAUUCAGUUCUGCUUUAGAACCAACCAAGAUAAAUGUCUUUGAGAUAUUAGCAUGUCUCACGUUGAAUGUGCCCUGUGGGUUGGGCCUCGCAGCCCCUGCCGUCAUGUUCCACCUUCAAAACCAUAGUCAAGAAAUAGUUAACUACCUUCAUAUGAUUAAAUUUCACCGGACAUGAAAAAUAGUUGGCAUCAAAGCUUCGAAUCAAUAACUGAAGGCAAUACCUUAAUUGUUAAAUUUUUCGCAAUUUAAAGAAUUACCAUUCUUUCGUUAUAUUCGUAAUUUGAUGAUGCAGCUAAAUUUCAUUGGCAUAAAUAACACAUGCUCGAAUUUCGUAUUUGAGCAAACAAUGUUCACUCUUUCCAAGUGAAAGAGAUGAGAUUUUCUUAGCACACCUAAUUUGGCAUAUAUAGGUGAAAUUACCUGAUUGACCUCGCCUGAUCGAUGGAGAACUCGCGGUCCAACUGAUCAGGCCCCAGCGGAAGGGGUCCACUUAACUGGGCUUGCGACUUCAUGUAAUGCAGUCUCGCAAGACCAUUGAUGUUAGGGUAAUUGCUAGUAUCAAUUUGCGUUGGACUAGCCACAAUAUAAUAGUCUGAUUCCUGCUGGUUUGCCGUGAAUAAAACAGAAUACGAUUGGCCAACAUGAACAUCAAGUGAGUCCAGCACAAUCUGAUCAGUGUAGGAUCCUUCAGUCUCCACUAAAGUCAUUUGAUGGUCCUGAAUUCUGAAAUUAAAACUCAAUGCAUUUCCAACAUUUGAAAUCCUCAAGCGGUAUGUCUUCCCUGAAAAGAGAAGAAUGGGAAAAGUUAAUAAUAUAAAUACAUAAAGAAAACAAUAGAAAUAUAUAAGAUGAGAUAAUUAACUGCCCUUUUGGCCUGGCUUGUGGAAUAACUCCACUUCAAAAGGCAUUAGAAUUUACAAACCAUGUGCUUGACUAGAUUUUAAAUAAAACUGCAAAGAAAAUGUGCUUCUUUCAACUGCUCACAGUCAAAUGGAACUCCGCAAAAGCUCCAGAUAAACCAAACAAGCCCUACGUACUAAUGAAUUUUAAUAGCUGCUUAUCAGUGUAUGUGUGGGCAUGUAUCAUUUGAGAAAUUACUGCUACUUGGAUGAGACAUUUUAGCUGCUGUAUUUACAAUAGUUAUACUCACCAUUCUCCACUCUAAGGAACUCAUAUUUUCCUCCCCAAACAUUGUUAUAAGGGGCCUUUCCAUUGAUGAGAAUGUACCUUGCAGGAAUAAGACUGAAAUGCUUGCUUGAUACAAUUUGCCGAACCGCCUGCAGACAGCACUACAAACUAAAGGUCAUCCAAUUACAUAUACCUCUUGCACCCUUAGUACCAUCUAGCAGUACUGUGUUGGACAUAAAAAGGAAUCACUUUGAUCAACAAAAUGACAUAUCUUAAUGUCAAGGUAGGCGGCAACAUUCAUAGAGUAAAUCUAGAUAAAAAAGAUACAGGUCUUUUCAGAAAAUAUCUCCAACGAAUUUCAGUAACUUAUUUUUGUUUUGAUUAGACCUGCAGGUCAAUUGGCCCGUAGGCUCACAUGCUCUGAAGAUACUGCCCCGCCCAGUAAUCGAUACCGGAUCCCCAAGGUACCCUCCAGAACUCUUAGCUACUUGGGCUAGAGCUAGAUGGUAUUAACUAACUCUUUUACUUAACAACACUUACAUAGUUAAUUGGAUAAAGGAACAUACCUUGUAAGGAACAUUAUGCCAAUCCCCUACAAGGAGAUCAAAUUCUGCUUCUGGUUUGGGGAAAGGCACAGCGAUCACAUUGCGAUUGUUGACUCUAAUUGGACCGAACCCACCCGCAGCCUUUUGAAAUUUGGUCGAGAGGAAAUAGAAGAAGCUUCCGAUUUGGUCUUUCACUUGAAACACAUAUGUCCAGUUCCUACCAGGCUCUAUGGGACAGUUAGUACCAGAAACUCCAUCUUGCCAUGAGUUGAGUCUCUGUUGUAUGCCGUUCCUGCAUAAAAUAAUCUACAAUUUAGUAGGUUGUAGUUCAUUUCCCCCCUACCUUUCAAAAUUUUAGUAACAGAAAAACCUGGUUUUAAUGCAAUUGUUGCUUUCAUCUUUUAGCCCCACAUGAGUAUGAUUCAAAAAAUUUUUCUAAAUCUUGGUGAUUACGCACAACAUUAUGGAUAUAUAUGAAAAAAAAAAUGAAUUACAGAAGUCAAAGAACAUAUAUUAGCUACAGAAGGGGCUUGCUAUUGCAUAUGAUUUAAUUGGCAAAUAUACAAAAAAAAAAGAAAAAAAAGAAGUGAAGAACAACUUGGAAUAGACAGAAUUUUCUCAAAAAGUUGGAACGAACCAUACAUAUAUAAUUGGCCCUUCACUUAUAGAAAGCAUUGGAGAACAUUGUUAAUUUACACGGUAUAAGAAAAGGAAGUCUUCAAUUUCGAAGUCCCAUUAAGCUUCUAAGUAAACACUCUAUUCAUAUUCCAGAUGUGUUGGGAUACGUAAAAUGUAAUUCAUCUUUCUCUAAUAAUUAAGCUUUUUAAAAAAAUACAUACCAUGUCAUGAGCAAUGGUUCAUCAAUGUUAUUGAAGAUGUUCACAUGGAUCACGUCAUUUGUAGUUGAAUUGAUGAGGGGUCCGGGGAACAUUCCAUUAAUGGUGAUGACCUGAAUGAACGAAUUUACAGUUUUCGAUUAGCAAUUUAACACUUAAAUACGUAUAUUAUUCUAGACAAUAUAAGCAAGGAAACGAUUGUUACUGUAGAAUAUACAUACUGGUUGAUGCAUAAAAACAGGUCUAAUAUUCCAAUCAAAGGAGACAUUCCACUCAAGAAAGAUGUCAAUGGCUCCAGUUCCUGUGGCAAGAAGCGCAAGUACUGAACAUAUUACGAAAAUGCAUGGAAGGCAACACCCCAUGGCUUCGGAUAGAUUUCUUUGCUUAGAGACCUUCUCAUUAGUGCAAAAGGUGCAAGGCCCUUUAUGUUCUAUAUAUGCCAUCUGCAGUUCGUUCUUUGAGAACUGGUGGAAUUCUCCAACAAAAGAGAUGAUAAUAAGCCAAAGGACAAAAAAACACAAGAAACUCUUCCAUUCGUUAAUAACAAUGCAACAAUUAGUUAGUCUUCUAGUAAAACCGGCAAAUACUAGAUAAGCCAAUUAAGCCUGUGCUUAGAUGAAAGUCACACCUCUUAUCUUCUACAAUUUCUAGGAUAACUAAAUACGCAAUCUUGUGUAAUAAGUCUGUCCACAGUUGGCAUUAUUCUACACAGAGGAGUAUGACACUUUAUCGACUAAUGACAGAUGAAUUUCAUGGUCUCAUCAUUAGACAAAAUGAGCAUGGAGUGGGCGGAAAAGUUGGCUUAUUGACAACCUUUCUGAUCAAAUGUGCCAGCAAUGGGAGAAAGCAGGCCUUGCUAUGGUAGCAUUCUCGCAGUCACUGAGUAGCGAUAGUAUCACAAGAAUUAACAAAUUUAUGUCUUCUUUUGCACAAGCUGAGCAAGUUCUAAGAGGGGCCAAUCUAGAUUGAACCAACUAAUACACUUCUCUCAUUAAAUCAACAAUCAACUAGCCCCUCAAUUUUCUGCAGUGUGUCCCCUCUCCUGAACAACUGCAAUUAGGUUCAGAUCACAUGUCGCAAGUUUUUUUUCUGAACUAACACAUACCCACAACAUAGCGGAACAGAAGUAUAGAACAAUACCAUAGUUUUACAACCAGAAGAUCUGCCAAACAGAUAAAAUACUUAAAUUUAACAUAAGGGAAUUCACAAUGAUGAACUGUGCUUCAACUUGAAUUCAGAAUUGUCCAAGAAUUACAUUGUAAAGAUGGUAUAACUAAAAGACAAAUGUACUGAUCCUUCCAAAGACCGAAGACUGAAGUAUUGAUCUUUCCAAAGGCAUAUGCAGCCACUUCUGAAGACAAUUUCAUAUGGAUUUUCCUAGGUACAGCUACCAGAUACACCCAUAGCUUUGAAGUUUCAGCACCUUUCUAGAUCAUUGAUAUUCACAAAAAAAUAUUUAAUAAACUAGAGAUUGCAGCAGUGAUGCACUGUAUAUAACUUUUCAGCGUGCAAUAAGAUAAUAAAGAAGAUUAGAAUGCCUAGCAAAAUUACAAGUCUUAACAACAGAAAAAUCUUAACAAAAUUCCAUAAAUUUUAUCAUGGAUGGGACCAACCACAUCUCUGUGCCCAUCGAAUAGGGAGCCUAGAAGAUAGUUCUAAAAUGCAUUGAAACUAAUUCUCUUAAGAAGAAGAUGAAUAUCUCCAAAAGGCAGCUAUCUUAGAUCCUGAAAUAACACAGCCCACAAAAGACACAGUGGAGCAAUUAGAAAGUAAUCGUUAGAACACUAACCAACAGAAAAAGAGACAGUACUCAUGCAACAGAACAUCAAUUGGCUGAAAAUGCUACUAACCUCUCGGCGUAGCUAACCAUAAUACAAUAAGACCUAAAUUGUCUACAGAAACAAUUUCCAAGGAAAUUGAAGCCGAAUGUAAUUAUCUAAAACAGAUAAUUGGUAAAAGCCCUCCCAAUCCCAGCAAUACCAAAUUGUUCAGCACAAUUAGUAGCUCAGGAGCUCGUCUUACAGGUGUUGAUCCCAUCCUUGCAAUCGCUGGUGAGAUCAUUGAAUGUCUCAAUCUGCUUCUUCCCCCUCAAAAACACCUCAGUGUCUACUUCCAUCCUCAUAUAACCAUCAAACUCCACCGGAACCCCAUUAUUCAGGUUCUUCAUCUCCGUAUACCACUCGCUGUUCUCGCCCCACAAGUCCUUGAAGUCAUCGAGGAAGUGUGUCGUGUACUUAUCCUUCAGAGGGUCAAAAAAGGAUGUGCCUGGCUCAUUGGUCGCGAUGUACAGAUGCCUGCCAUCAUCGAUUUUGUUCCCAAGAGUGGCAAGCAGAGCCUCCGGCGAGGUGUCUGCCGCCAAAUUGGGCCACAGUGCAGUGUUCUUGGCCUUCUCCCCUCGCACCACAUGCACGGCAUCGAAAUCCCAGUUCAUCUUUGAUGCGAUCCCCGACACUAUAUCCAUCAACCGACGCGAUUUCCAGAGGAGGUGCCACGGGCGCUGGAUCACCGACUCUGUCUCCCCCUCGCAAACUCGAUACCAGUAGUUAUCUGGCUCCACCGAUCCAAACUUCCUCAUAAUAAGUGUAUCCUUCACUUCAGCGAGCUUCAUCGGCGUGACGUGGAAGUCCUCGACGAGGUGGAGGCUGAGCCGGUCCUUUUUCCGCCACUGCGUCCAAUCGGCCCAGAACUGGCUGUGAUUGAGAACCGAAGCGGAGUCCCUCAAAUGCUCGAAAUCGAAGUAGAAUCGAAAGUCCUUUCCCUCCUCAUCUUGCUUAGUCGAAGUAUACAUGGAAUUGAGGCAGAUGCUGAGAUCCAUGACCAGUGUUCGGUUGAGAUACUGGGCCUCGCCCAGCGAGCAGAGGAAGCUCCAGAGGUAGUGGUUCAUGCUCUUGCAGCGAUCGCCGCCGCCGACAUAGAUGAGGUACCUGCCGCGGCUGAACCCGGACUCGGACUCCACGACGGGGAGGGUGUCGUUGACGGUGUCGCCGACGACGGGGACGACGACGGCGGCGGCGCCGGCGGGCGCGGCCUCGGAGGCGGGAGGCGUGGCCGCUCCUGAAGGAGUUGAGGAGGAGGAGGCCGCGCGGGGGGAGGUAGGUGGAGAGGCUGCAGAGGCAGGGGCGGCGGCGGCGGCGUCGGCUCCGGACGCUGCGGCUGCGGGGCGAGUUGACGCGGCUGGGCCUCUAGAAGGUGGAGUACUACGCGCGGCGGUAGCUCCGGAAGGGGCUGUAGGUGAAGAUGGCGAAGCCGUUCGGGCGGGGGCCGCGGCGGCGGCGGCCGCCGUCGACGCUGUACCGCACCGCGAAGGCGGGGUUCCUGCGGUUCGCGCGGCGGAAGAUGUUCCUGAUGGCGGCGAAGCUGUAGCGGGCGAGGGGGUUAACGUGGAUGAGGCAGCGGUUCUAGCCGCUGAUGGUGAGGCCGCAGUUGCGGGCGUUCUUCUUCUUGUUCUUCGGGGCGGGGCCGUCGGGGGGGCUGCGGCUGCCGAAGCCGGGCGCCUGGCGGUCUAGCCGGNGUGGUUCAUGCUCUUGCAGCGAUCGCCGCCGCCGACAUAGAUGAGGUACCUGCCGCGGCUGAACCCGGACUCGGACUCCACGACGGGGAGGGUGUCGUUGACGGUGUCGCCGACGACGGGGACGACGACGGCGGCGGCGCCGGCGGGCGCGGCCUCGGCCGAUCUGGCGGUCCGCGGGCCGAAGCCGUCGGCGUCGGGGGGGCUGCCGGGGCGGGGCUUCUUGUUCUUCUUCUUGCGGGCGUUGACGCCGGAGUGGUAGUCGCCGAUCUUGGCGACGGAGUAGGUGCAAUUGGGGGAGCGGGCGAUGUCGAAGCGGCGGUAGUCCUUGUAGAAGGCGGCGCGCUUGGCGUCCUUGGGGCGGAAGCGCCACGCCAUGUCGCAGCUGCCGCCGGCGGCGGCGGCGCCGGGGGCGGGCUUGCCGAAGCGGUAGAAGUGGAUGUCGGGGAAGGCCUCGAUGGCGGCGCGCAUCAUGAGGUGGAAGAUCUCCGGGUCGGCGCAGUUGAGCGGGGCGUCGGCGUCGCAGGCCUCGGCUGCGGCGGCGGCGGCGGGGACGGAGACGUCGGAGAGGUGGAUGGAGGGGGGCGCGCCGGAGGAGGAGGAGUUGAGGAAGUCCUCGCCGGUGCGGAGGGCGGAGGAGUCGUCGGCGGGGAGGGUGGAGGAGGAGGUGGUGGAGGUGAGGAAGGAGGUGAGGGAGCGGGAGGGGGAGGAGUUGGGGCGGAGGAGAAGGGGGUCGUCGGGGGAGUAGGAGGCGGCGAGGAGGGUGAAGGCGAGGACCCCGAGCACGAAGAGCGCNCGCCCCCCCCGCCGCCCCAGACCCCGCGCCCCGAGUGCAUUUGUCCACUGGAGGGAGGGUCGUGCACAGUGUGGAGUGAAAGCAAGGAGAGAGAGCGAUGGGCUGUUUGGAUCUGAGGAGUCGGUUAGAUCUGGUGAUUUAGAAAGGAAUCGAGCCGACACUUUCAGUGUUUUUUUUUAUCUUCUUUUCCCCCUUCUUCGGUUUAUUAAACAAUUAUCUAUUCCAUGGUUUUACUGAGGGAGGUGGCACUGCAGUGUUUAGACGAUCUAAUUAUCUAUGCCAUGGUUUUAUUACUGAUCACUAAUGCCUAGUUACGCACUCCCUUGCUUAACUUUUAAAAUAUAAAAAGUAUUUUCAAAUAUUUUUCAGUAAGAUAAUAAUAAUUAUUAUUGGCAGAAAAAUACAAUACUCUCUGUAUAUAUUAUUAUAAGAUAAACUUUUACAUAAUACACCCCAUAAUCUAAAAUUUUAUUUUUAAAAAUUUUAAUACUAAAAUUAACAUAACAAGUGAAUAAAUAAAGCCAUUUGAAAGACUAGAAUGUAGAAUUUUAUACAUAAUUUAUGUUUAUAUAGGUGCACAAGUAGUAUUACUCUUCAUAGGGUUCGUUUAGCUCGCGUAUCUGUAUUAAAUUAUUGAUUUUUUUUUUUUUUACAUUUUAUACCGUUUCGGUAAUGCUGGUUAUUUCUUAAAAUAUGAUUACAAAUUUGGUCAGACAGGUAGGCCCCGAUUUUGUUGUCCGUGGGCCGUGGCUCCUGGGCUCAAUGUUUCAAGUUUUCAGACCGUGACAUGUCCUGGCUACACGUUAGGCCACGUGGUAGAGAUUAUAUGAUUAUCAAAAAAUUUUACUUAACUAUCCUUUUUUAUAAUAAUUUUUUUUGAUAGAAAUAGAAAUAAAAGGAAAAACUUCAAAAAUCCCCCUGGGAUUUCGUAGUUUCUUACUUUGCCCCCCUGUGGUUUAAAAUGUACCAAAUUGCCUCUCUGUGGUUUCGUUUUUAUAUUUUCAGUAGUUUUUUUGUUAAUAUUUUAUUAAUUAUAUACAAAAUACUUCAAAUACCCAUCUAGAUUUAUCAAAUAUUCACUUUAGUACCCUUUAAUUUUAACUUUAUCACUGAUUUAAGAAAAAAAAUUAAUAAAAUUGAUAAGAAAAAGAGAAAAAAGAAACCAUAGGGGGGCAAAUUGAUACAUUUUAAACCAUAGGAGGACAAAGUGAGAAACUACGAAACCACAUGGGGUUUAUUGAAGUUUUUCCGAAAUAAAACUCUAGAGCAAUUAAGUGUAAACAAUAGUUACAUGCCACAAACAAUACCUUUUUUCUUUUUUCUUUUUUCCUACCGUCACGUGCCACAAACAAUACUUUUCCGAAGUGUUCUAGUCACCAACUCGUAGAAGUUUGAAAAUCAGUAAAUAUUCUAAUAGUAACGACUGGUGCUGAGAUAUGAUUCUAAGUAGCGCCAGCAUUACUAACCAUAGAAUGACUACAUGCAUCUCAGCCCUCAAGGCACAGCUCUCCUCCUUCAAAACUAGACUAGGACCGAACAGUGUGCAUUGGCGGUAGAGCCCUUACGACUGUUUAGUGUGAAGUCAAUGUAUUCGGCACUGUGUGACGGGAGGACAAGGGACGGGCGUAGCUGCAAAAUUUGGAAGCUCUGCAUACCAUUAAAAGUUAAAGUAUUCUACUAGCUCGUCCUAAAAAAGAGACCUCUUACUGUAGAAAAUUUAUUAAAAAAAGGAUGGAUAGCAACAUUAAUUACGUGUUGCGUAGAUCUGAUGUGGAAACAGUAGACCAUCUUUUUUCUCAAUGUGUAUUCUUCAAAUUUCUUAUGGUGAUGUCGUUGGAGGAUGUCCAAACAGGAGAUUUGGGCGAAGCUGUGCAUAUUGUUUGGGACAUAUGGUGAGAAAGGAAGGGGUCACAGUCCAUGAGCGAUGGUUUAUCUGGACUAAUAGCCUGUUGGGGUGGGUCAUCUGAGAGAUCAGGAAUGGUGUUACUUUAGGAGGAAUCAGACUGAUUCAAUCCGUGGUUGCUAUAAGGUUAAACAACUGACGUCCGUGUAGAAGAAACUUUGCCCUGUGGAGAGAUACUGAUUUUUUUUUUUUUUCGUCUUAGCCCUACUUUUCAUCUCCCUAGAGGCCUUGUUGUCUCACCCAUGUAGCUAAGUUCAUCUCCUGAAUGAAUAAAGCGGGUAGUGUGCUAUCUUUUUUCUCAAAAAAGAAAUUGAGUGCUAUUCAAUAAUAAUAAAAAACAGAUGUAUUUAACUUAAUUGCAUUUUUUACAAUUCGUUUCUAACAAAAUAACCUUUAUUUUCCUUUUAUCCUCCACCGCUACAGUCUUCUUCUUCUUCAUGAUUUUUCUUUUUAAAAAAAUCACAGCCAAUUACUUGACAUUUUUUUUUAAAAAAAUAUUUAUGGCUAUGCUACCACAGAAAGAAAAAAUUAAAUUUAUAAAAUAAAAUAUUUUUAUCAUUUUGUUAUAUAAAUAUAAUUUUGUACAAUUUAGUAAAUAUUUUUUAAAAAUAUAUUUAAAUAAUAUUUUAUUAUAGAAUACUAUAUUCUGCAUUGACAUAAAAAAUAAAGCCAGUGCCACGUAGACAAAUACUACUUGUGUGUACAUCAAUUUAGGUGGCGCAUAUCUUACAACACUCAAAUCGAGGAUUAAGAUUUUUUUAUUAAAAAAUAGAAUGUGAUUAGUAUGAAACAAAAUAAUUUUGAAUAAUAAUAUUAUAUAAUAUAUAAAUCAAAAAUCGAAAAUUAACUCACAUGCUGCAUUAGUUGACUUCGUGCAACUCGGUAUUUUGAUCUGGCAUUUGAUUCGAGGUGUCAGAGAGUCGCAAGGACUUUGGGCUCUAUAGAAAAUUUUCCCUAAAAAGUUAAAAAAGUACAAAAUUUACUUCAACUAAGACUCAUCUUAAAUUGACUAUUGAACAUUUCAAAAUUUUAAUUGUAAUCUCCAAUCGUUCAAUUUAUCUCAUAUGAGUCGGUCAACAUUUUUUGGACUUUAAAUUUGGAGGACAUAGUUUAUCUCUACAGAUUUAAUUAAUAUAUAUUUUACAAUUUUCACAAUAUAAACUUAUUAAAAUAAAUAAUUAGUUUAAAUUUUAAAAUUAAAGUACUGUUUACUGACUAAAAUUAAAUAGAUUGAAAGAUUGAAUAGUAAAAUUUAAAUUUUUAAAAAUAAAUUGUCACCUUUUAUGGCCCACGGGUGGUUUAUGACACAUGCCUUACUAGUUCGGCCCCAAUAAAAGCUAAUUCACGCUAGAGAGAAUAUUUUCCGGGCCCAUGAGGAUCCGGGUCGGGUUCGUUCUGAUCGAGCCCAAAUCACCCUCGCUCCCCCGACCCCAAACCCGAUACCAUUCUAUGCGGGCGCUCGCAUGGAAGAAGUCAUUCUUCGGGUGAAGAAACGGUUUCCAUGUUUCGGUCCCACUUCCGUUUUGAACCGCCCCAGACACGCUCCUUGAAUACAAGUCUUCGAGUCUUCCUCAUUCGUCGUUCUUCGCACCUCACUUCCCCCACCUCGUCUCUUCCACCGAAGUCCACUUCCACGCGCGAUCCGAGGACGAAACCCCAUUUAUCUCGACGAGGAUCGCUCCUCCUCUUCUUCGUCACCUCGCGAGAUCGAGAUCUCCCGAUCCUCCCGAUCCCUUCUCGCCCGAUCGUUUAAUCGAUCCGUGAGGUAACGAUCCGAGCUCUCUUCACGAUCCCAUUGUCGUCUCCUAGCUCUUUCUCUUGCUAAAUUUUGAUCUAAAUCAAGUGUCUAGCUCUUAAAUUUGCUUGAUACGAUUCAGACGUUUUGUUGAGAUUAUCUUGUUCCUGUUUGUUUCAUUUGACACCAUGGAUUAUGAUCUAGGAUCGGUGUUAGAUUCAAGUGGUUUCUAUAUUAUAUACUACUUUAAGCGUGGUGAUGAUGAGUUUAUUGAUUUAGUCCUGUUUAAGUUCAUAAUCUUAUGCAAUUGUGUCAGUUGUUGUUUGUUCAUGUUUUUUUUUUUUUUUUUUUUUUUUUUUUUUUGACAUGAUGUGUAAAACUUGUACUUAAACAUUAUCAUUUCUCUGUUAAUCAUGCUCUGAGUAUGAUAGUUGUGUUUCAUCCUGUGAAACACUUGGUUUUGUUCCUUGAUGGACGAAUAUAUGUAUAUUUUUUUUACGAAGAUAAUGAUUGUACUUGUUCGUGUUUCUGGUAAUGAACUAUCUUCCAUCACAUUACUACUAUGGUGCUUACUGUUUGACAUGUCAAUGCAUGAAAUUAUGUAUUCUUUCAGUGAUCAGUAUGGGCGACAAAGAUGUUAAUGGGAGCUCUACUAUCAAUGAGCUAUUAUCCAUGGUCUCUUAUGAUCAAUGGGUUUUAGUCAAUCCCUCUGGAGUGCGCCCAUCGGGUCGUUAUAAGGUACGAGUAUUUCCUUCAUGAGUGUGCCAGUAGUGCAUAUCAUAGUGGUGUUACUUGGUUUUUUGGUUUUUAUAGUUCCUUUUCCUUUGUAUGCUGUGACUUAAUAGAAUGCUCCCUGCUUUGAUCUUCUUCAGCUAAUAUUACUACGUCCACUAGAAGCUAGGUUUUCUACUCUUCCAUUUCUACUUUAGUGUCAGGAUAUAAUAUUCUGUACGAUUCAAUGCUAACAUUUUCUCUCUUUCAAAUACAAUAGCAUGCAGCUGAAGUGGUCGAGGACAAGCUCUAUGUGAUUGGAGGGAGUCGCAAUGGCCGUUAUCUAGCUGACGUUCAGGUUACAUAUACUAACUGAAUCUUUAAUACAGUGUCUCUUUUUAUAGAUGACUAGACAUGACAACUUUCGCAGGUUUUUGAUAUCAGAAGUUUGGAAUGGUCAAAUAUAAGUGCAAACAUGGAUACAAAAUCUACUAAAUCAGAUAGUUUUGUCUCAGAUCAAGCCUUUCCGGCAUCUGCAGGGCACAGUUUGGUGGGUUUCUUUUUGUUGAAUAAUCGCAAACACUUGAUUAGUUGCAGCCAUUUUAUUUGUUGUUGAUGUUAAUACAUUCACUGAGUUCACCUGUCCUAGUUAACUCAGCAUUGUUACAUUGAACAGGUUAAAUGGGAAAAUAAGCUUGUGGUUGUUGCUGGGCAUUCCAAGGAAUCAUCAGAUACUGUCAGAGGUCUAUUUCCAACUGUAAUGCAUCGAUAUACUUCUAUCUAUUUAGGCUGACUGCGAAAAAGAAUUUGUGGAUGACAAUGGUCUCUUCAUUUGCUACAAAAAAUAGCGUCUUAAAUUGUUCGAGGCUACUAUUGUAAAUUUGUAAUGUAUCUCCUACUAAAUUACAUGGAAUGCAGUUUGGUUGCUCGAUUUAGAAACAAACAGCUGGUCUGCUGUAGAUACCUCUGGAAAAGUUCCGGUAAUUUCUAAUCUCUGCUUCUCAACAUUUAAUCAAUCACGGAACAUCAAUUUUCACUUCUCUCUGAAAACUUGAAAGCACGAGGAGGAGUUGCCAAUUCAAAAUCAAGUGAAUAUUCAAGUGCAAAAAAAAGGGACAUAACACAAAAUAUUGUGAAACAUUGAAUAUUUGAUUUACCUUUUGUGAACCAGAAAGCACGAGGAGGGCAAUCUGUGACAUUGGUUGGAUCUAGGCUUAUCAUGUUCGGUGGAGAAGAUAACAGUAGGAGGCUGUUGAAUGACCUUAAUAUUCUGAACUUGAAGACCAUGACUUGGGACUUAGCAGAAACCAAGUAAGGUUUAGUUGUUAAAACUUGUUCUAGCAACAGUUACGCUAGGGAAGGUUUCUAAGUUCCAGGAAGAUCUCUUAAGUUCCAUAUUUCCUAGUAAUUGCACAGGAAAGCAGCUCCAGCACCCAGAUUUGAUCACACAGCUGCAAUGCUUGGGAACCAAUAUCUUCUAACAUUUGGCGGUUCAUCUUAUUCUACUUGUUUCAAUGAUCUGCACAUACUUGACUUGCAAACUGUAAGUCGAAAUUUGUAUUCAUCCUUUUGUUCUAUGUCAUUCCAUAUACGCGAUUACUAAGCAACAGGUUGUGGCUGCUUGCAUUGUAAAUCAAAAUAUGAUAUAUCAAAGUUCAAGACCUUUCAUGAACUUAGAACUAGCUAAUCAAUUUUGUGAGAUCUUAUAGAAGAAUGAUGUUUCUAGGCUUUUCAGUUCUUAAGUUGAGCUUAAUCUCUUCUACAAAUGUUGGAGCUCUUUUCUUUUUCCCUUUAUCUUUUUUGUUUUCUUGAAAUGUUUGUUUCCUAUUUAUUAAUACUUAAUUGCAUUACAGAUGGAGUGGUCUCAACUAGAAAGUCAGGGUGCAUAUGUGACUCCCAGGGGUGGUCAUGCUAGCACCAUAAUUGAUGAGAAAUGGUACAUAGUUGGUGGUGGAGACAACAGAAGUGGUAAUUAUGUUUGCUAAUCAGUCUCACUAGUAGCAGUGAUGAGUUUGUUAUUCAGUUUUUCUGUUGGUUAUAGUAUCUUGUAAAAUUCUAACAAAAAGAAACUUUUCACAGGUGCUAUUGAGACCGUUGUUUUGAACACCUCCAAGUUUGUGUGGUCAGUGGCCACGAGCGUAAUGGAACGACAUCCACUUGCUAGCGAGGUUCCUAAUGUAGCCUUCUGAAUUAAUUAAGAGUGAACUUUGUAGUUACAUAAAUUGUUUGUUCACUAAAAGAAAACAUUGAAGAAAUAUAGUAUGCCAAUAUCUACAUUUUUUUUCAGCUUAAUUUCAGUUCAUUAAUCUUCCUUCUAUGAACAUAUUGCUAGUGAAAAUGUGUGCAUUCGCUCAAAUUUAUUAUUCUGAACUAAUCAUAUGCGACUGUUCAAUUGGACGAAAGAAUUUACUUUAUAAAAGCAGCAAUUCAUGUUAUGAUCAGCACCACAGUACAAAUUGCAUCAAAAGUAAACUUGUUUUUAGUAUAGAUAUCUGUGUAACUUUAUUUCAUCAGUUCUUUAAGUUGGUUGAUGUUGAUUCGUAUUUCAAGUAUCUUCAUGGAUUUUUGUUGUUUAACAGGGCCUCGCCCUUUGCUCAACUAUCGUAGAUGGAGAAAAGAUUUUGAUGGCCUUUGGUGGUUACAAUGGGAAGUACAGCAAUGAGGUAUGGAUAGCACAAAAAUUGCACUGUCUAAAUAGUGUCUCUAUAUUUAAUUUGUUUUGUUCUGUUUUCUACCACAAUAAUAAUGAAACAUUUUCCUGCAGCUUUUUGUCAUGAAACCAAAGCCAAUAAACUCAUUGCAACCUCGGCUUCUUCAAUCACCAGCUGCAGCUGCUGUAUCAGCUUCUGUCACUGCUGCGUAUGCUGUAAAUACAGCUGCUGACAAAAGCAUUGAGAUUAAGCAUCCAGAUGAAUCAAAUAUGAGGGGAGUUCAAUUCGAGAAAACUCUCAACAUUGAAAUCAAAAUUGAUGCACUAAAUGCAGAAAAGAAGAUUCUAGUGUCUAGAAUUGAAGAUGCAAGAGAUGAAAAAUUGAGACUAAAGUACAAUCUCGAAGAGAUGAACAAUUCAUAUGACGAAUUGGUAAAGGUAAGUAUUCAUCCUGGAACAGAUAUUUGUUGAUUAUUGAAGCUUCUGAUUGUUUUUGUAUUGCUAUUGAUCUAGGAACUUCAAUCAGUGCGAGGGCAACUGGCUGCUGAGAGUGCAAGAUGUACCAAACUAGAGGUUCUGGACUCUGUUCUUUUUCAGGGUGGGGGGGGGGGUGUUUGGCUAAUUUGGGGCCUCUUGAAUUUUAUAGGCUAAUUUUUAAAUUUUUGUAUUCAAUUUGUGCAGGCACAAAUUGCACCAGCCAAGAAAAGGUUGGAGUCACUUAGUUCCCUCGAGCAGGAGCUUGAAGCCCUACGGCGUGAAAAAUCUCAAGUAGAAGAAGAAAUAGCUGUUGCUCAGAGGCAAAGGUCUGGAGGUAUUUGGCAAUGGCUGACGGGAGCAGAAAACAACCUUGAAGAGUAGACACUAGAUAGUAAGUUAAUAUUUCUGUACUUUGCCCAUGCGCUAUUUUUUUGGUCAUUGAUGCUGCUGAAACCUUCUAAUUAUCUGGUUCCCUGUUUCCCCUGCAUUUUUCUGAAAUUGAGGGCCACAAUGCAGGAAACUCCUUCAAUAAUUAUCAUGACUUUCGCUUUGUUCUCUCAAAAAAAUUGUUUUCACAUUAGCUCCAUAAAAUUCUGAAACCUUCUUUUGCCCUAUUAAUAUAUGAGGAAAGUGAUAGAUUUUACCUAAUGGAACAGUAACAGGGAGGCAAAGUAAUGAAACCUGCUACUUUAAAAGGGUAAUAUAUAGGUUUCAAAAUCUCAGGGGGCAAAGUUGAAGUAUUAUAGUGGGUUUCCUGCAAUUAAACAAUCAAAUUAUGUAUUUUUCUUGUCCACUUGAUUACAUAGAACGGUCUUGUGACCAGUACAUUCUAGGAGUAAAGAACUAAAGCCAGGAAGUAAUUUGUUCUUCCAUUCCUAUAUCUCUUGCAAUAAAUAAAAGUUGAGCAGUCAUGGGGAUGACAUAGUGGAUACCAGCCUAACAUCCAUUUGCAAGACAAUGAUACUCUGAUUUCUGUAUAAUUAUCAACUGAAGCACUAACUCCAUGACAUUUUGACCCAUAGGACAAUGGUAUGAUUUAUCUCUUGAGUAUUAUAUUUAACAUCAGGCACAUACUGCUGCUGCUGGAGGGACUUGUAUGAAGAAGGAAGAUGCUACAAUUUCGAAGUGAUGGCCUGUUGGUUUUGAGCCACCAAUUGCUUCCUUAAUAUCUUUCCGGCUGCUGACCUUGGGAUACUUUCUAUGAAGGCAACCUUUCUGAUCUUCUUAUAGGGAGCCACCUGAUACGUAUUCCAGAACACAAUGGAUAAGAUAUUUAGUUAUUGGCAAAAUAUAUUUAUAACAAUUUAUAGAUAUACACCAAAUUGAGGGAUAAGGAAAAGAAUAAGUGUUUAUUCAUUGUCUGCAAUAAUAUGAUUCUCAGUUCAUACAGAUUUUUGUAUACUGAUUUAUAGGCUACUGUGAGAAAAAACUGUUGUGUAUUCAAAAUUAUUCUCUUCUUCAAAAAGCUCAACCAUCGAAUUAGUUGCUUCUUUUUUCCUAGAAUAAAAUGUGAGUAGUAGUUGGUGCAAGAAUGGAGAAGAACCUGAGAAGCAAUGAAUUGAAUGACUCCAUCGGUUGUAAGUCCACUUUGAGGUGAUUUGACCACAUAAGCCAUAGGUACUUGCCCUGUUUCCUCAUCUUCCAGCCUAUAUAUUUUUCGUCAAAUAAUGAAGAAAUUUACUGUUUAUUUUUGUUGAUUACUUUUGUGAUGAUUAUAUACUGCUGCGAAGAUAGGAGGAGAAACUCACGGGACUACUGCAGCGUCAACUAUAUGAGUAUGUGUGAGCAACAGGGCUUCCAACUCUGCAGGAGCAACCUGUAAGCAGCUCAAAAAGAUCUCAAUUAAUAAAUCUAUCGGCCUAAACCCUCCUUAUUUGUCGAAUAUUUACUGCACGUGUGGAUUAAAAUUUUGUGGUGGCAGAAAACUAGUAGUUUAGGAUUUAUUGAAAUAGUCGCUAUUGCUUCUCGAAUAGCUCUACUUUCUUGGAGGUAAAAUGUUUUGAUAGUCCCUAUAAACAAUUCAAUUACUGCAAGCUAGUCCCUACACUUCUUUAAAUGGUCAUGAACUAAUCAGCAGCGUGUGUGUAAGGUGAGGAACUAAAUGUUCACGUACCGAGACUAGUUUGGGACGUUUCCCUAGGCUGGUAAAACAACAACAAACUUGUCGUGCGCACCUGGUAACCGUUGUGCUUGAUGAGCUCCUUUAGCCGAUCUACGACGUACAAGUACCCAUCCUGGUCGACGUACACCAGAUCCCCCGUCCUCAGCCACCCGUCUCCGACCAGAGCCUCCGCCGUGGCCUCCUCGUUCCCCAGGUAUCCCUUCAUCACGGUGGGCCCCCUCAGCCACAGCUCCCCCCUCAUCCCAGGUCCCAGCUCCUCUGCCGCAGGCCCUACCACCUUUGCUUCCAUCCCCGGCAGCAGCCUCCCCACCGCUCCUGCUUUCGCUGCCACUGCAAAUGUAGCAGCCCCGCCGCUCUCCGUCAGCCCGUACCCCUCCCUCAACUCCACCCAAGGAAACUUCCUCCGGAACUCCCUCCCCGCUGCCGCACCCAGUGCCGCUGCACCCGUCCCCACCCUCCUCAGCCCCGACAUGUCGUACCCUGAUCCACUGCCACUGUAUCGGGCUAUUGCCGACACCACAGGCGGCACUGCAGGGAUGUUGGUCACCCCGUGUGCUGCCACCGCUGCCAUCGCUGCCCCAAGCUCGAACCGCGGCAUCACUACAGUGGUCGCCCCUGCCGCUGGCAGCCCUAGCGCAAAGAAUGCCAGGCCAUAUAUGUGGGACAUCGGGACGAAUCCCAGGUACACAUCAACACUGUCCCUCGCCGGCACGCUUGCCUCCGCCACCCAUCGCACCAUGGCAGUGAUCGCGAUGAGGUUGCCGUGCGUCAGCACCACCCCUUUGCUCGGUCCUGUCGUCCCCGACGAGUAGAGCACUGCCGCCACAUCGGAUUGGGCAGUCUCUGGAUGCGGGGCUGCCAUUGGGUCGCCAUCCUCCAUAAGCUCCUCCGCCGAGAGGGGCCCGUCGGAGUCUGGGGAGCGGGUGGUGAGGAGGAUGGGGAUGUCAGCAGCGGCGGCCUUGUGGGCCUCCUCCGGUGCCACGAUGGCAAACACGGCGCCGGAGUCACGGGCCUGGCGAGCGACCUCGGCGGCGGUGUUGAGGGGAUUGGCGGUGGUGAUGACCGCGCCAGCAGCAAGGACGCCGAGGAUGAUGGCAGGAUAAAGCACUGAGUUGGGAGAUAGAACAAGGACGACGUCGCCACGGCGGAGACCGAGGCCAUGGUGGAGGGCGGCAGCGAGGGAGAGGGCAGAGCAGCGGACAUGAGAGAAGGUGAGACAGCGUCCGGUGACAGAGUCGAUGAAGGCAGGCUUAUCGUCAGCGAUGCCGGGAGAGGGGAAGAGGGAGAGGACGAAGGUGGCGGCAUCGAGGGCAAGGUCAGCGGGGAUCCGGUGGCGGGGGCCGAGUCGGUGGAGGGAGCGGUAGAUGCUGGAGCGGCGGCAGAAGCCGCUCCGGGGGUCGUAGUCGGCGUCGUAGACCGGAUUGGAUUCUUCUUCGAAGGAUUCGAUGGAAGCCAUUGUCUGCGAGAAGGGCAGGAGAUGAGGCGGGGGUUUUAACGAAGUUUUAAAAUGGGCGGGGGCGGAGUUGGCAGGGUCGGGGAUGGCUUUGGAGAGUCCGUUUGGCAAGUUGUCGGAUAUAGAGAUUUGUCGUUAGUAGGUUGGCGGGUAGUCGCUAAGAUGUUUAAUUGAAGGGCCGCCCCGUGCGUGCGAUGCCUCACACCAUCGCGUGCUUCGUGUUUUUUUAAGUAGACUAGCAGGUAAAUUCGCUGCAUAAGUUGCAUGGCCUGCAGCAUAUUCUGUCCAUCGAGAUGGCUUGGCAGUCUUAUCUUUGCUAGUGCAGCCUUUCUCCGAGCUAGAUUGAUGAUCAAAAGUUCGUGAGAAGAAUUUGCUUGCCUAGCUGACACAUGACUUGACCAGUUAAUCAUUUCGCUCAAAAUUUUGAUCAUGCGUAAUCACGGAACUAAAAACAUCUCCGAUUAGCUAAAACUAAAGGUUCAAAAGUAGAUUGCGACGAAAUUAUUAUUUAAGCGGUGAAUUUCAACAUUUUAAGAAAAAUAUUUGGAACUUGAUUGUUUCCCGGUCUCCAGAAGUUAGUGGCUGUAGAUUCACUUUUAGGCUCGAGUAGAAAACCCAAGUUUGGGAUUAAGCCUCUGAGGCCUGAGAUUGUAAAGAGGGGUGGCGACGUGACUCCAAAAUUGUUGUUGCCAUAAUGCUAUGCUUAAUUGCAGGAGCGCUCCUUAAGCGGAGAGCUUGAUCUUGAUCUGGACCGUUCAUCAAUCUAAAACUUCGUGUUUUCCUUUGAUUUGUGCCGAAUUUUGAUUAGAGCUAACGCUUCUAAAAAGCCAAACCGCGUAGGAAUUGUCGUUUCAUGCAAAAGAGAACGGCUUCCUCCCUAAAGCCCCCAUGGCCACCAAUCCCUCCAAGCCCCUCAUUUCAUGAAACUUAUUACUGUGAAUAGCAAAAGCAACACGUACUCUAAACAUAGCAAACACUUAAACAAAUUACCAUUGCAUGGACAACACAUAAAUAGAUCCACAACAUGGAUGCAUGGUUUAACAGAGGCUCAUUUGCUACAUUAACAGCAAUUAUUUCUUCUCCUCCUCCUCCUCCUCCUCCACGAUGGCCGUGCUCUCGUAUUCCUUACUUCCCUUGUUGUCGAUGCUUGUGCUCUUUGUGCUUGGUUCUGGAUUCGGCGAGGCGCAAGGCAUUGUUAAUGCACGCGGGAUUCAUCCCCGCGGCCAAGUUUUGCCUCAUUUUCCCGUCAAACACAAUCACGGCAAGUUCAUGGCCGGUCCGUGGAACUUUGCUCAUGCCACCUUCUAUGGAGGCUCUGAUGGCUCCGAAACAAGAGGUAACAUAACAUGAGCUUAAUUUCUUUCUAAUGAAUUGCAUAGCAAUCACUCUGCGUCUUACAGCGUAGCUAGAAAAUAUAUAUGUACAGGAGGAGCAUGCGGGUAUGAGGACACGGUGAGCCAGGGCUACGGGCUGCAGACGGCGGCGCUGAGCGCGGCGCUGUUUAACAACGCCGAGACAUGCGGUGCGUGCUUCGAGAUCAAGUGCGUCGACGACCAGCAGUGGUGCAAGCCCGGGCAACCUUCGAUCGUCGUGACGGGGACCAACCACUGUCCCCCGAACUACUACCUCCCGAGCGACAACGGCGGCUGGUGCAACCCCCCUCGCACCCACUUCGACCUUGCCAUGCCCGCGUUCCUCCAGAUCGCCGAGUACAAGGCUGGAAUCGUCCCCGUCACCUAUCGCAGGUAACAAAAAUGUCCAUGGAAACUGGAAUGUAUGAGUUAUACAUAUACAUGUACAUGUAAAUAUUUCUUCAAAAAUAUGCGCGCGCGUAUGGUGUUUCAGGGUGCCGUGCAGAAAGGAAGGUGGGAUAAGAUUCACGAUGAAAGGGAACCGCUACUUCAACCUGAUCCUGGUGUGGAACGUGGCCGGGGCCGGGGACGUGCACGCGGUGCUCGUAAAGGGAAACAAGCUAGGGUGGACGGCGAUGACGAGAAACUGGGGCCAGUACUGGCAAACCUCCGAGGACUUGACGGGACAGUCUCUUUCGUUUCGAGUUAUCACCGGCGAUCAUCGGAAGUCCACCUCCUGGCACGUCACGCCGCGGGAUUGGCAGUUCGGACAAACCUACCAGGGCAAGAAUUUCAGAUACUAGCUAGCAGUUUCCAACUUUGCCUGCAGAUUGUCGCACUCGCACUCGCACUCGAUCUCAGCAACUAGGAAUUACUGUAAAAUCCUCAAAAUUUAGCAUUUCAUAGGUUAAUUUGUUUUGUAACUUGGGUGAUGUUGUUUCACUCAAUUAAUUUGUAUGCAAUCGUGUCCCUUCCUGUGCUUAAUUGUGUGCGCGUGUGAAUCCCCUAUCUUACUUACCCUUAUGGGAUGCAUAUAUCAUGCAAGGAAUUUCACACUUCAAAUUGUAGCUAGUGAGUUAGUUUCACAUAACAAAUAAUUUGUAGCAGUGCCAGUGAGUAAACAUUUUAUAGUUGAAAUCCAGCACAUAUCUGAUAUUUGCAAUCUAGCUUAAUUAUCAACUAUAUUUAGUUUUUAAGGCACCCAAAUUAAGCAUUCUCAAUAUGCAAUAUAUACCAAAUUAAAUUUUCUUUUGUAAAACAAAUCUCUUAUUAGUAGUGAGAUACUCCGAGUCUCUGCUUCCAUGUCGGGUCUAUAGACCGGGACCACGAAAAUAAGCUACCCCUCCGUCGCUCCAACCAAUGAGGUUUGGAUCAUCCUGUUGCGCCACGUGUCCUCCUUCGCGUCCUUACACCAACACAUAUAUAUAGUCCCAAUCCGAAGCCAAAACCAACUCCCCUCUCCUUCCCCCUCUCCCUCUCCCUUCGCUCUCACUCCACUCCCCUCUCCCUCUCUUCCUCGCCUCCUCCGCUUCCUCCAUGGCCGUGGCCGAGAUCUCCCCCUCCUCCUACGCUAAAACCCUACACUCCGACCUCUCCUCCAAACCCUCGAACCCUCUCCGCGCUCGCACCUCGCGUUGCCGCUCCGCCGCGCUCCCACCUCGCCCGGCGCCCACAAUCCGCUGCUCCGUAGCUCCCAAGUAAGGAAGGUUCUUUUUUUAAUCAUGUUCUUGCCUUUAACGGCUAAUUUGUGCCUAAUAUCUCGCUAUUUAACUCUAAUUUAGUUUGAUUUUGUGGUGGUGGGUCGCAGCCAAGUGCAAACCCUUGUUUCCCCUGCAGUUCCCACCGGCGCGGCGAGCAAAAGAGAGUGCUUUGGGGUUUUUUGCACCACGUACGAUCUUAAAGCGGUAAAGCCCUAAUCUUUGUGGUUUUUUACUUCUUUUGGAUGAAGGAAAAAACGUUUAAUCGCCAUUAAUUUUAAUUCGUAGUUAACUCAAAAGAUGAUAUCUAAUCUUUUAAUGAGAAGUUGUAGCUUUACUCUCAGUAAAAUUCCUCGAAGUUAGGUUUUUGUCAAUGCUUCAUGGUGUUGGUGGUUAAACAAUCCGGGAUCGAGAUAUUAUGUAGUUCUGUAUGCUGAUAUAGUUGCUUCUGAUUUGGUGUAGGAUGAGAAAACAAAGUCAUGGAAGAGUUUAAUUAACAUUGCAGUAUCUGGUGCAGCUGGAAUGAUAUCUAAUCAUCUACUUUUCAAAGUAAGGAAUACUUUAUAAAACGUUCUUUUCAUUGUUGAUGCCAUCUAGUUCACUAUUUUUUUGCUAUACAUUUUAGCUUCCGUAGCAUUCUGAUCGAUAUGUAAAAAUAUAUCCUCUCUAUGUUAAUAUACAUCAUCCCGUGCAAAGACGAACGGUUUGGGCAGUCUCAAAAUUGAGUUUCAUUUCACAAUUUUACUUGUGAAAGGGAAAAACUUGAUCGAAGAAUGUUUGAUCUUCCCUUUUAUUCCUGUAGCUUGCUUCUGGUGAGGUUUUCGGACCGGAUCAACCAAUAACCUUGAAGUUGUUGGGCUCUGAAAGAUCAUUUCAAGCUCUUGAAGGUAUGUGUUCUUUUCUUUAUGAAAUUAAGCUACUAUUAGGAGAGGAAGUUAGUUGUUAGUCAUGUAAUUCAUUAACCACGCAGGAUCGCGCAGCAAUUCUGGAGGGAUUUUCUUGCAUGAUUUUUCUAACCUUCUUUUCAAAUUACAAAUUCAGGGGUGGCUAUGGAGUUGGAGGACUCUCUUUACCCUUUGUUGAGGGAGGUAAGCAUAGGCAUCAAUCCAUACGAGGUGUUUCAAGACGUCGAAUGGGCACUUCUAAUAGGGGCAAAGCCACGAGGUCCUGGAAUGGAGCGAGCCGGCUUAUUAGAUAUUAAUGGGCAAAUUUUCGCUGAACAGGUGCUUUCUCGAAAUAACACAUCUGCUUAUUUAUAUAAGUAGAAAUUUAACGCAUGAUCUUUAUUUUUAUUCUAAAUUUUAUUUUCUAAUAUGAGCCGAAAUUUCAGGGAAAAGCACUCAAUGCUGUGGCCUCCCGUAACGUCAAAGUUAUAGUUGUGGGGAACCCAUGCAACACAAAGUAUGAACUGUAUAGAAAAACUUAUAAUUCCAUGAAUUUUAACUCUUUUAGGGCAUUUUGUUGUCGUGUCUUAGUUAAAUAUUGCCUUUGCCAAUUCACAACGAAUAUUUUAUGCAGUGCAUUGAUUUGUUUGAAGAAUGCACCAAAUAUACCUGCAAAGAAUUUUCAUGCCUUAACGAGGCUGGACGAAAAUAGAGCCAAAUGCCAGGUAGUUUCUAUCCUUCUUUUUCAUUAUGAUUAGGUUCUGCUGUUUUGCGGACAUACUAAUAGGGGUGAUAAGUGGUCUUAUUUCAUGUGUGAAUUUUCGCAGCUAGCCCUCAAAGCAGGUGUAUUUUAUGAUAGAGUAUCGAACGUGACAAUCUGGGGGAACCACUCAACAACGCAGGUUGCGCUAAUACUAAACUGCUAAAUUUACAUUUCUGUUUUGUUCUAGAUGGAAGUCUCUUUGUAUUGAUCAACAUACAUGUUGAAGGCAAGUGCUGCUUUUUAACUCAAACAGGUUCCUGAUUUUUUAAAUGCCAAAAUCAAUGGCAUUCCUGUUAAAGAAGUUAUCAAAGAUACCAAGUGGUUAGAGAAAGACUUCACUGAAAAUGUUCAAAAGGUACAUGCAUACCACAUUAUCACUACAAGGCAUACUAAUUUUUUUUGGUCAUGUUUUUGCCUGUGGAAGCACAAUAGAAGUCCUUUAUCUUUUUUACAAUGUAAAAUGAUUUUCAACAUACAGCGCGGAGGAGUGCUUAUUCAGAAGUGGGGCAGAUCUUCAGCUGCAUCUACCGCUGUUUCUGUUGUUGAUGCCAUACGGUCCCUGAUUAUUCCCACUCCAGAAGGCGAUUGGUUCUCCUCAGGGGUAAAUUCAUGACAGACAGAUCUUCUUGUAGGUAGUUUUAAUUUUCAAGUUGUUCUAAUUAGAAUACCAGCUUCUGUCUUCUGUCUUGCAUGAGCAUUUGUCAAAUUUUAUAUAUAAAUCACAAAAGUCAUUCCACCUCUAAAAGAGAUUACCUUUAAAAUGCUAAGUUCUUCAUUUACUUUCCUACCAAGCAGUGAAUGCCACUCCAGGAAAGAUAAUUACUCUUAACAUAUGUAGAACCUAUGUUAAUGUGUGAUAUCGUUUCUUAGUGUCACCAAUUGCUAUUAUUAUAUUCUGUAAAAUGCUGACUCCAGAGAAAAAUGACAGGUUUAUACCAACGGAAACCCUUAUGGCAUAGCGGAAGAUAUCGUGUUCAGCAUGCCGUGCAGAUCAGACGUAACUCUUUUCUUUCCUCUUCUUUUAAAUUCCUGAUACUUCUUUCAGCUUUGCACCAAGAAAUAGCAUAUCGUUUUUAUCAGGGAAACGGUGAUUAUGAGCUUGUUAAGGACGUCGUGAUUGAUGAUUACCUCAGAGGACGCAUAAAGAAGGUAGAAUUCAAUUCAAAUAUUCUAGUCGAUAAUUUGUGUGAAAGUCCGUGCAUCAAUUUUAUGUUUCAAUUGUUACAGAGCGAAGCUGAGUUGCUUGCUGAGAAAAGAUGCGUUGCUCAUCUCACCGGAGAGGUAUGUAGUAUCAUACAUCUUAAAUUGUUCAAAAUUAUCUAUUCCAUAGAUACGCAAAAUAGUUUAUGCUAUCGUCAUUUUAACAGGGUAAUGCUUACUGUGAUCUUCCUGAGGACACCAUGCUUCCUGGAGAACAGUAAGAAUAUGGCGAAUAGAACAUUUAGCGGCAGCAAUAUAAGGUCAGAAGAACAGAUCACUCAUCUAGAGAAGCUGCUGCCUCUUAUUAUGCUCUACUUCGUGUUGUACAAUAAAAGGCUUUGGUGCUUCGAUGAUGCAGAUUUUGUGCGAUAAUCGGAUCGUUGUCACGUUUCUUCCCUAUGUGACCUUUCCUUUUAUCAUUUUUAAUUACAAAUGAGGCUUCUGGGCCUCGAUUUGCUUUUGGAGCUUGUUAAGGCGUCAAUGAACUGGGCAAUUGGCAAAAUUGCCAAACAGGCUUUAAUACGAAAUGUGAUAGUAUAUAAGUAUUUAAUGCGUUUGUCCCCGUAAUGCAGAGGCUUUGAUCGGCUCAUAUAGGCUUUGAUUGGCUCAUAUACGCACACUCUUAUAUAUAACAAUAUAUAAAAAUAAUAUUAUAAGGACCUGCGGCGAUACUCAAAUAUGAAUUGGCUACAAGGUUUGACAAAUUGAAGACUUUCUCACAACACGCUCCACAAAUUCUUGUGGAUAUCUAAAUCAAAGGACCAAGUUUUUCCCGUUUUGAUGGGCAUCCAGGCUUGACACGGCAGACGAUUCGAUGCUCAGUUUGGAAGGACAGAAAUAAUUGGAGAAAGUGAAAGAACAAAAAAGAAAAAGAAAAUUAUCCUCCCCCCUGGGAUUCAAUUCUUGGAAAGAACUCCUGGAAUGAGAAGAAGAUCAACAUAGAAAAAGAAAGCGAAAAUAGACUCGAGUCUUUGAUUAUCUGGGAACUUAUAUGUGGAACUGAAGAGACAUAUAUACAUCACAAUAGUCAUCCAUUCGAAAAAUAUGAACAGCAUAAGAUAAUUCUGUACCACAUCUCUUGGCAUAUAAUAAUUUCCAUUAAGUUUCAAUCCAAAAUAGCCAAAUUUCUCAAAAUAGGACAGAGGUAAGCCCAUAAACUCCUGGCCCUAGUUGCAAAAUGCUACUAGAAAAUACGGUAGCACCAUUCAUUACAGAGUUCAAAUGAUGCAGAUGUAGUAAGCUACACAUAGGUUUCCAAGUCACCCUAUUAUUAUAGAUUUAAAGCUCACCUGGCUUAUUAUACAUGCACAUUCCUACAGCACAGCUGACCGAGAGAAUCACGGCCGAGAGAAGGAAAAAGCAGAAGCCACCACGGAGCACCGUCCAUAUGGCGCCACUGUGCAUCUUUGUUCUUGGAUCAAAGCAUAAUGAUUUUCUAGAUGUGGAACAAGACAUGAAGCAGGAGAGGAGGAAACAACCAUCUUCGCUCUUCUCCAGCGACCAGUUCUCUGCGGCGCGGGCCAAUGUUAAUUCGUUCACUUCGAUUACGCCAGCAGAGAUAUGAACGGAGCUAGCUGAGUGGUCCACGGAGAUAGGUCCAAUAGACUUCCCUGGUGCAGUAGGGAAUUCCUCAGCAAACGCGGGGGGUGCUGGGAUUGAGCCCAACAUGCUCGCGAGACGUUUUCCAAUAGAUUUAUUACUUAAUUCGUUCUUUUGAAUAUCUGCACCGUAGAAAUUGAAAAGAAAGUUUUACUUGAAAUACAAAAUACCACCAUGUACAGCCUUGCUACAAUUAUAAACUUAAUCAUACACAUAGCAGGGAAAUCAAUAUUUUCAUAGUAGCAACUACAAACAAAAACUGUACCUGAAGCAACAUUAAGAUCCUUAUUUUAUAAACUUAAUCAUACACAUAGCAAGGAAAUCAAUAUUUUCGUAAGGAGCAACUACAAACAAAAACUGUACCUGAAGCAACAUUAAGAUCCUUAUUUUCUCUGGUCAAUUUAUCAGCCUGCGGUAGCAUAGGAACGCCGGGUAUAACAUAUGAUUGUAGAGCCUUUGGCUUUGAAUCACUAUUAGUACCAUCAUCACCUUCGACCUGUAAUAAAGAAACACAUGCUGUGAACUCAGUUCAUUCGAUCAAGCUCAACAAAUAGCUUCUUGGCCAGACAAAUAAAGCAUACCUCUUGAGUCAUGCUAGAACCUUCUGCAACAUGAGGACCAACAACAUAUUCCGGCUUUUGUACAAAAUCCAGGAUAUCAAGAUUCCAAUUAUCAUCUGCCGCAUCAAAGAAUGCUGCUAGAUCCUCUAGCAUAUCAAUCCCAGAUGAACCAGCAGUGGGUGAAUUAGGAAGUUCAUUCAGUUGGAAUAAGUCAUUCUUUUCCAUUGCUAGAUUGUCACUAGGUGUAUCGUAAAACAUGGUGUUGUAGUCAGUCGGUUCACGAGAAUAACUCUCACUAGCCAGAGGCGGAUUAUUCAGCAUAACACUUGGCUGCAGAGAGUAGUUAUUCUGAUAAGAAAUGCCGUCAGUGGUGUCAAAGAACUCCUCAACAUUGAAUGGUUCUUGCAAAUCGCUUCUGCCAUCUUCUCCGCUCACAGGCUUCUGAUUAUUGAUGUCUGACCGUAAAGGCCAGGCAACCGAGUCAUCACUUGCAAAGUAGUCCAUAUUUCCAUAAUCACUAAAAUCGUUUAAUUCAACGUAACCAUUAUUCUGGCUAGAAGGACUAUGGGACCAAUGUGUGUUAGCAGCAUUCCCUUCCAAUUGGCUAUUGAGUGCUGGGCCGCUUGUAUCUCUAGGUUCAUCAAAAUACGCAGUAAUGUCAUUAAUGAAGCUCGAGUCUUUCAAAAUCUCGUCCAAUGAAAUCUCAGGAUCUUCAGGGUGUUCAGUAUUAUCCAGUACAUUAAGACCAGGGGCUGAGAGAGGAGUAAUCUCGUGUUGACUGUCCAGCUUCUGGUUCUGAAAGUAAUACGCAUUAUUAGUAUAAAUAAACAGUUUUGUCAAAGACAAACACAACUCAAAUAUUUAGUUCAUUCAAAUAUAAAAGAUAUAAAUGAAGGUAAUAAAGAUUGCAGCUGAAAAAUGUGUAAACUCUCAAAAUCAAGAUACACAUAUUGAAGACAUCUACGGGAAAGCAUAGUGGCAUCAUUUAUGAUUGCCUUGAAGUAAUAAAAAUAGCCGUACUAGCCCACAAAGCAAGUAAUGGAGAUAUACAUGAGGAAACACUAAGAAAUUUGCUAAAAGCUAGACACAUUAUAAUAAUCCUGGCAAUGCAAGAACCGCUUUGCGUGCAGCUACCACUCUCCUAAAAUAUUUCAAGGGAUAUUCUAAACAGUUUUAGCCUUCUCUUACAAAAUAAGAUAACAGUUCAUCAUCUUUUAUCCUUAAUAAAAUUCCAACUGCAAAAUACGUCAAAGUUUUUAGCCAUUUUUCACUCUAUUUAUGUUCUAAAAAAUGGAAUGAGUCAUUCCAAUCACAUGUGUAAUGGGAAAAAAUAAAGAUAUUGGAUAAAGAUAAACACCAAAAAUUGUCAGCUGAUUAUUUUCCUGAUAAUAGAACAUCCUAUACCUGAAUAUUACAAGACUAAAGUGCCCUUUAGCCCAGCUUCUGCAACAGCUCCUCUACCACAUAAGCAGAGGCCAAGCAAAUGGAAAAUAAAAUCUUAGAGCUUCUGGCUGGAUUAGGGGCCUAAACCAGCUUCUCGUUCCCAAAAACAGAAGCUCCAUAUCGGAGCUUCUCCUUCUGGCUUUAGCAUGAAGCUGUUGCAAGGAUUAUUAUGAAAAAGUUGUAAUAUCUUCUCGAACAGCUCUUUUGAAACAGCAUUUCGACAGAAGCUCCAGCACCAAAUAGGCACUGAGAGAAAGAAAUGCAAGGAGCUGGCAAAAAAGGAUCAGCUAAAAUAAGAUAAUACGACUUAGGAGCGAAAGACAACAAAAAAAGAAAAACAAUGUUGAAGAGUUUCAGUAUCAAGGGCCUAACCUCUGCAAAGUCAUUCAUCUGAAGGAAUUCAUUCUCCCCAGCAUCAUUAAACUCAUCUUCACCACCAUUUUCCACCAUAAGAGGAAGACCAUCUACCUCUUCGUCCCACUCCUCCUCAACAAAUGGUGCCCCAUACUGAGCCCCAUUCUGUGGGCCUGACCCGCUCUUCUGAAAGAUCCUGCAUACGACGUACGAAUCCUAAAAACACACAAACCCAAAUGAUUAUUAGUAUGACUGUAUGAGUAAUAACAAGAAACGAAACUCAAAAUCAACUUACAAUACUUUAGUUACUCACUCUUUGCAUGAAAGCUAAAAUUAAUCAUAAGGACCUACAAAUCAAAAUGAAAACCAUCGAAUUUUAUCUAAAGCAUAAAAACAGCCUGCGCCCGAUCAUAAAUUUGCAAAGCUAUUUAUGACACAUCAAACAAUGCCCUUACUUGAUAGUUAUGGACAGUUGACUUAGUACUACUUGAUCUCAGCAAAUAGGUUUCAGAAACUUAUAAUUUUUGCCUAUUUAGGUUUUGUAGAUCACAUUCGACGAUUCAGAUUUUGAUUUCAGAGUCUCAAGGAUUGAAAUUCACACGUGUAAAAAGUAUGUCAGUUACAAUCAGGUCAGAGAAUCCCUACACAGAACUAAUAGCUCUAUCGACCAAAUCCAUAAACUCAUGAUAAGCAAAACACCUCCUUUUGAAAUUACUAGAUCCUAUACCUGAGAAAUCCCUGCUUGAGCGAGCUCCUCGCCCUCGAUGCGGUACUCAUGCAUAACCCAAUUAGUUCUCUCGCCGCGCGGCGCUCGACCUGCGUGGAAAACUAGGGUUUUCUUCAUGCCGACGACGCGGGAUCCACGGCGAACCUCGCGGUCCUUCCCGGUGGUCUUCCAAUACCCCUGCGGCGUGGCCCGGUUCGUGCGCGCCUUGUUCGCGUGCUUGCGAUCAAGGGGGCUGAAGAAGUACCACUCCACGUCGCGGCUCCGGAUCCGCGACCUCGUGGGCAGGUCCCAUGGCUCGCACUUGUACAGGUCGACCUCGGCGAUCGCGUCGACGCGGAGGGGCCGCCCCAGGAUCUUCCUCCUAAGGUAGUAGCUCACGAGCUCCUCAUCCGUGGGGUGGAACCGGAACCCGGGCGCAAGGAGCGCCGAGGGAGGCGGCGGAGUCGAGGAUGACGAGGGGCCCCGGGUGUUCAUUCAGGGUUUCGAGAGGCGUCGUUCCAAGGGGAAUCAGAGACGAAAUUUUGGAGAUAGGGAGCUAGGUUUGAUCAAGAGGAUCGAGAACCCUAAUUGUUGGAUUUAGGGUCCAUUUUUCGAUUUGGUGGCGGAGAAGGGGACGAGGGUUUCGCUUUAGAAGAGGAGGAGAGAGACGAAGAAUACGAGGAGAGAGAGAAGACGCUGCGCUUAUUUAUUUAUUUAUUUAUUAUUUUCUAAUUUUUAUUUUUUAAGCGAAAAUUGGACGGACACCAUUCAACUACAGGGAAUUUUCAAACGCUCCCCUUAAUUUUACAUUUUGUACUAAUAUCUCAUUAAUGUUAGAUUUUUCAAUUGUGUCUGAUUCUAAUCAACUUAUUUAAUUAAAUAUCUUUAAUAUUAUUUAAUUAUGUUUUAGCAAAAUAAAAAUAAAAUAAUCAAUAACUGAUACUAAUAUCAUCAAAUUUAGUACAAUUUUUAGCUUAGAAAACUAAAAUUAAUUAGAUUAAAUUAAAAUUAUUAGAUUUGCUAAAAAAAUAAAUUAACAAUUAAUAACUGUUAAUUUUCGACUGAAAAGUGAAAACCCCCUCGAAUAAUAGAGUCGGGAAGGACCAUCUCACAGUUUCCAAUAAUUAAGGGGUCUCGGUACAUUUUCAAUACUAAAUUAAUUAAAUUCUAGUCAAAAAUUUCCCUUACCACUUUACCAGUUCCUUUACUGUACGAGGUUUGAGGAAACUUUCUAUGCGACUGAUAUAUCCACCGUCCGAUGUCCUAAGAUAGAGCGUCUUCAUUGGUCCACACAUGGACGGUUCGGAUGCAUUUUAGAUUUUGACAUCAAAGGUGGAUCUGACAGUCGCAUAGUAACUACCGUGCGAGUGUUUAGAUCGUCUACCACGCUCUUGGAGCCGUGCGGGGAGAUAAUCCACCGUUCAAUCGGUCUCCGUUAAACCUCUACCGCAUAAAAAUAAAUAAAUAGCGUCAAAACUCGUGGUCUAUUGAUGUACUGCACGUGUCCGCAUGCGUAACUCUCCGAAGAGUAUUGAGAAUGGUUUAUAAAAAGUAACAAGCAAUAAAUAAAAAAGUGUUUGGUUUGGCAACAACUACUACUUUGGGGAGUUUGUAUAAUUGUAUACAUAUAAUUAUUUUUAACGAUGGAUUUUUGAAUCGUACAGUUUAAUUUAAAAUAUUUUAAGUAUUUAUUACAUAAAUUUUACAAAUUUUUUAAUAUUAUUUAUUUAGUAAUCAAGAUGACAUAAAAUUAAUGAUUAAAAAUAAAAAUCUCAUUAAAACUUAAUAUAUAAUAUUAAAAUUAUAGAUCAAAUAUAUUAAUCUUAUUUUUAUAUAUAGUAUAAAAUUUUUUUAUGAGAACAGGUGAACUUUCGUGCUUCCAAACGCACUGCAAGUAGGCUCAUAUUAUAUUUGCUAAUACAGAAUAAUAUUUUUGAUUACCUAUAGUCAUACUAUUAAUUAAUUUAUUUAAUUAAUUUUAGAUAAUGUUAUCAAAAAUUUCAACAUCUUUUUAGAAAAAAUAGAGAGAGCUAGAGUAUCAGUUAGAGAGAGAGAGAGCAUAAUUAAAAAAAUAGAAAGAAAAAUAUAGUCGAAAUUAGAGAGAGUGAGAGAGUUGAAAUUUUAGAGAGAAAAAUAAGUUUAGAGAGAGAUAUAAGGUUAGAGUGUAAAGAAAAAUAAUAUUAAUUAGCCGGCAGGUAAAAAGAAAGAAAGAGAUUAGAUAUAUUAUGAUUAUCCCAAUUAAUUAAUAUGAGGAUACCCAUCAUCCCUUAAGGAAAUGAGAUUAGUACUUUGGGGUGAAUCAUAUUUCCAAAUGAAUCCAAUAUUAUCGACUAGAUUACUUAGUGCAUUUAGCCAAACACCGUCAUAUUUUUUUAUUCUCAUUAGAUUACUAGAAAUUUUUAAAAAAUAGCGCGAACCAAACCCGCCCAUAUAGAUAAGUUAUAAGUUAUGUGGUUAU